UCACCUUGCCUUUGGGUUUCAGUCAAGCUGAUGUCAACGAAAGAAUUUCAAAUUUUUUUUACCGUUACAAUGUACGCGCCAACGAUAAAUUUUCUUUGGAUUUCUUGCAUUGAUCCACAGCUACCAAAAACCAACAGCUACAAGCCACGUGGCUUCUCCAGGAGCCUCCGAUCCAAAAAUCAUGUCAAAUCUAACGGCAGUCCAUUUUUUGGCUAAAAAUAUCAAAAAAUUAUGGAAACAUGUUCUAUAAAUUCCUACAAAUAUUAUUCACUUCCCACACCAAAUCUUCAUACAAAUUCAUAUCCUUUCAAUAUUUUUCACUUUCCAUACAAGAUUUUCUACUACUAAGUUUCGUUUGUGUAAAAAUACAAAUGACCUCUUCUAUCGAAGCCGGAGGCGCGUGUACAACCGUGGAAGAUAUUUUGUUGCGUGAGUGUUGGGUCAAAGUUGGUCAUUCCCUGAUCACGGGCAAUGAGAUGAAGUCCUCUCGUAGGAGUUUCUGACAUCGCAACGAAAGUAAGAUGUGAUAUGAAAAUGUAAGGAAUUUGAUGAGAGGAAUGGGAUUUGAGGAGUUUGAUGUAGGAAUUGAUGUAGGAAUUGAAUUUGGGAGGUAUGUAUAUAAGAUUUGAGGGUAUGUGUUUAGGGAUUUUGAUAAGAGGAUUUGAGGAAUUUAGAUUUGAAGGAUUUGGAUUUGGGGAAUUUAAAUAUGAGGAAUUUGAUUAGGGUUUGGGUUUGAAUAUGUGAAAUUUGAUAUGAGAGUUUAGAGACAACAGAUGAUCGAUUGCUCUGAUACCAUGCUAAAAUAUGAUAUGGUUUGAAUACUUUAGGUUGAGUUUUAUUCUUUUCCAUAAAAAGGUAUAUAUAGGAGUUUACAUGAGUGCUUUACAAAGAAAUAGAUACAAUAAUCAAUUAGGAUAAUAUCUCCUAAUUAUACAAUAAUUUGUCAACUAUAUAGAAUAGGAAAGUAAAUUCCUUAAUUAAUCAAGAAAAUAAAUCUCAUUGAUUAAUUAGGAGACUAACGUCAACAUUUAUAAGCCAUAAAAGAGCAGAAAAAGAGGUACUUAGGAGAUUUUAUACGUCGGACUAAGGUAAGCUUAAAGGACUAUAUCAAAAAAAUAAGGGACCAAGAAGCAAGACAGAGAAGUUGUUAUGCAAACCCAUUAAGUUUAGCAGUGAUGAAUUUGUAAAAAUCAUUCUAGUGGAUUCUGCCUUCACUAUUGAGUUCUUAUUGAGGUUCUAUCUGAAAGGAUCUGGACAUGAAGGAGACCGCUUAUUAAACAAACCGUGGAUGUUUACAGCCUGACAUGUGGUUGCUUGAAAAUCAGCUCCCAUUCUUUAUUCUUGAGGAUCUUUAUCACACAUACAUAAUAACCGACUCUUUUAGGAAUUAUUACAGUACUCAUGAUCAUGAGAGGCUUUCAAUAAUUAAUAUUUCUAAGAAUUUCUUCACAGCCGGAAUAUUGAAUUUGGAGGGGAAGGGAGACAAAUGGAACAGAAUAUCAUCUUCUUCUAGUGUUGGAAAUUUUAUAUUAUUUAAUAAUAUUUAAUUUCUAUUGUGAAUGAAAAAUAAGUUUCUUUAAGAAACGUGUGUCUUAGGCCAGUUUUUCUAACUGGUCGGCUUCCUUAGAUUUGUGCCUAUUGCUUUUCAAAGUAUAAUGAUGCAAUGGUUGUAUCUCGUUCAGGCAAAUGGAAGGUAUAUAGCAAUUUAUAGAACAAUACAGUAAUCCAGAAGAAAUAUUAUGAAAUGAAAAGAAUAAAAAGUAAAAAAAGAGAAAGAAAGGAAUUCCCACCUGCAAUGUAUAUGUAUGAAAGGAAGGACCAAGUUUGUUUUAAAAUGGUAAGAACAAGUUGAUUUUAAAUUGGGUUCAGAUCAACUCAUAGAUUUCUUGCCUUUUCUGUUCUCCUUCCUUGGACAUGAACUGUUUAAUCUUGGACUCUUCCCCAUCAUGUUGGGCCUGUCUUCUUCUUGAGGAUUGUAUAGGCCUAGGAAAUGCUUCGGGGUAGUUUUUGUGUUUUGGGCAUUGGGACCCAACUUCACAAAAAGAAAACAAAUUUGACCAAAACACAAAUUUGAAGGACAUUGAAAUUGUACCCGUAGGAUAGAUUAAAACACUAUAAGGGAGGUAAAUAGUACGUUUACAGAGUUUAAGUGUAAUAAAGGAAUAAAAACAUGCCCAGAGAAUUGAUAAGUGAUAUCAAUUCUUGAAUAUACGUGAAAAUUAUUUUAUGUGGUUAAACCCCACCUCUGGGGAAAAUCCACGGAACUUCUUAGUCCAACUUCUAUCACUUAUCCUAGACACAUUCUAGAUAAUGUUUGCCAACCUCUUCGUAACUCAACUUCUGUCACGAGAUGAUCUUUCAACACUUUAUGUCGAACGCAAUACUGGUCACGAUUUCUUCAAGCUCGCCGGAGUUCUUCCAAUUCUCCUUAUAUUGAAUCUGAUACUAGUCACGAUCGAUUCAAGCUCAUCGGAGAAAAAUCGCCACAACAAUCUUGGUGCCCUCAACCGUAUGAGUCACUGAACAUGCAAAUGAAUACAAUAUGAAUGAUAAAAGUGUUUGAUAAAUCACCAAGUUAUGGAACACUUGAUGAUUUAUCUCAAAUAAAAAUUCAGCUUUCCAAAGUUUAUGAAUUGAAAAUAUGACCGUUAAAGCUCUCUAAACAAAGAAGACGAAGGUCUUAUUUUAUAGACUUUUACUUUACAAGAAAGAAAACACGUUGAAAACCAAAUCUCCAAUUUCCAAGGCUUGACAGAAAAUCACAAAAUUAUCUUUCCUAUUCUAGAGAUUGGUCACAUGAAGUCCAACCAAUAGGAAAUGAGAUAUUUAAGAAAGGAAGAUUUUGAUCAAUAUCAAUAUCAAAUGAAUUCUUAUACGCCUAGUCAAUUGUUAUGGGUAUCUUGACUCCUUGAUAUUGUGAUAUGAUUGAAACAUGAUUUCCACGUUAGAAAAUUAAGGGGAUGUUAAAACAUGAAGGUAAUAGGAGAAUCAAAUUGAUUUGGGCCAAAAUUGCCUAAAAAGAAAACACUCCUUAAUAAACUUCAAUUUACUUUUAAAAAUAGUAAAACGUGAUUGAAUCGUUCUUUAAAACAAUUCCCUAAUAUACAUGCAUGAUAGUGAUAUCACUUACCUUUGAAUCAGAUGGCUUUCACGGGUCAAGCCACAAGUUUUUGUCUUGGGGAUUGCUGAGCUUCAUCAAUCCUGCCAAUGUCAAUUUUGCCCCUAAGCUCUCUCAAAGCACGUUUACAACCUAUGCUAACAUAUAUUAGAGUUUAUGUUAGUAUCAAGAAAAUGCCAACACUAAUUUCGUAACACGUAGAAAUUGUUAGAGAUUGAAGUUUUUAUCAUUUUUUCUUCCAGACUCUCCACCACUCACUAAUAUAGUUUACUCAUGUGAUGAGUUUACAAAACCUAUUUCUCUACUCUCACAAAGACUAUACUUAGGGGGGUGUAUUCAAUUAGGAUUCUAAAGCGUUUAAAAAGAUUUUGUUUAAGUGCCAGCUUUCAUAGAACUUGAUGGAACUUUAUAAUUCGUAUAGAACUUGAUAGACUUUCAGAAGACUUCUGUAUAAUUUUUUAAUAAAACUUUCUUAAGCUUUCAUAGAACUUGAUAGGCUUUCAUUCCAAACUUAUGUAGAUGGUAUAUUUCAUUUUAUCCCCAUCCUUGACAUUUAAAGAAAGAAACUUGAAUUUUUUCAAUCAAAUUUGUUUUUGUUACCAAAGCAGCAAAAACAAAAAGUACUUGUUUGCGAUGGAAGAACAUAUGCACAGUUCAAAAUGAAAAGAAUAAGAAGCAAAGUACCUAUUUGACCAAUGAAUGCUGUGUCAACUAGAGAAGCAAUUGGAUCGGCUGUCAAAGCCAAUGCUGCAGGCAAUGCAUCGAUGGUCCAAAUUGCAAUAAAAAAAUAUUUUGAAUAAUGGCUCUUGCAGACAAAGACCACAUAAAUUCUGAACUGGUCUAGCUUGAAUAAUAAGGUUAGAUUAGCCAAUUGAUGAGAUUAAAAGCAAAGCAAGUUGAUGAAUUUAUCAUCAACUAUUUAAUAACCACAGUCCUGAUCUCUUGGACCCCUGUAGUCCAAGAGAUUUAUGGUCACCCACCGUUGGAUGUAAAUUCAACGGUUGACUUGAAUCGGGUAAUAAUCAUUUAUGUCAUAUUGCAUUUAUAUAUAUCAUUUUGAACCAUUGGAUUAAUAUCCAACGGUGGGUGACCACAAUCUCUUGGACUCCUGUGGUCCAAGAGAUCGGGACUGUUAAUAACCAAUAGAGUAUUUAAACAUAAACAACAAUGUUUGAUCAACAAAACAAAUAGUCCAAAUAUCAUCCAAAAAACAAUAACAAAAAAUCAAUCAUUCCAAACAAACUAGUCAUUCUCAAAAACUCUCAAAAAACCCACUCAUUCCAAAUUGUAGGAUAUCCAAUUUGAGCACUCCUCAGGAGACAUUUUCAAAAAUGCAUCCUUUUUUGUGUUACUAUGCAACAAAGAGAGUGCUUUAUAACGAGCAUGUUCAUCCAAAUUUGGGGUCUCCUUAAUGGCAUCCCAUAUAUAACUCCGCUGCUCUCUCUCUUUUUCCCUUUUUGCCAAUAGGUUAUGGACCUCCCGGAAGUCGAUGACAAUUGAAUCAAUGCUAAGGCUAAUUCUUCCCAUAGCUUGCUGGGUGGUCACAUUUGAGAUAGCAUUCCCUUCCAAAUAUGUUCUAGUUCGUUUCCUCUAGUAACAAGCAUAAAUCCUAGUAACAAGCAUAAACCCUAACCCCAACCUAUAACCUAAUAACAAGAAGAAAACCCAACGAGGUAUUGAUCAAAGAAAAAUUAGGGAGCAUACCUUCACAGAUGGAGGAAGGAAGCUGUUCGUCUUCGCAGAGAGAAAAUCUAGGGAAAGAGAAAAACGUCUUAUGAAAUACUUGGGGGGGAGGUUGGAUUUAUUUUGGUCUUUUUUAUUUAUAACUCUCCCCUUAAAACCUACGUAAAUUUAUCACUUAAUGAAAUCCUUCCAAAUAUAUGACCUUUCGAAUACACCUAGAUUUGAUUCAACUUUUUUAUAAUCAUAAUUGAAUACACCCAUAUUUGAAUGGACUUUUUAAAAGUUCAUAUAGGUCCGAAAUGAAUAUACUCAAACUUGUAAAACCUCUUUUAAAGUUUGUAUAAAUCCAAAUUGAAUACACCUGGAUUUUUAAAAUCUUUUUAAACACUUUAUAAUCCUAAUUGAAUACACCCCCCUUAUUCUCAAAAGACUAUAUUACUUUACCUCUAUCUCUGUGAAAUGUAAAAAGUUGAAACUUUAAUGUCAAACCUCAACAAAAGAUGAACUUUCAUCAGUUACGUUGAAUUUGGAUUUGUUGAACUUAAGUGGUUUUAUUUUCUUUGUCAGUGUUUGAUGACUUAAUUUGGUAUUUAUUUCUUCUUUUUUUUCCUUGGAAAUGUGUUCCACCAACGUGAGGAAGAAAAAUAUGCACAAAUUAAUAUAUUUAAUAGAAGCCCAAGAUUUCGGAUGCAUAUAAUUUCUACAAAAAUCUACAAAGUUUUUUACUUUACAAACUUCUUAUGUCUACCAAUUUCUACUAAAAUUAAUUUCUCUGUGGUGCUCAAAUUCAUCAUAUGUGUGUCGUUAAUUUUAUUGAAAAUUGGAAGUUCCCAUCAUUUUUGUUUUUUGGGAAUUUUCUGAACCAAGGAAAAUCAAGUAAAAUUAAUAAAGCCUAAAUUGGAAAGGGAAAAUAUCUAGAGGAUGCAUUGUAGGAUUGCUCAUGCCAAUAAUUGUACCCUCUAAAUAUAUAGAGACAUAUUUUUUUUGUUUUCAUGACAUGUGGUCCUAAAAUUAUUGUGUAAAUCUUCAAUCCUGAACGAUGCACCUAAAACUCAUCCACCCAUUCUCAGGCCAAUUAUUGCACCUAGUGGGCUCUCGACCCCCUCUCAAAUUUAACCACAUAUUUUAUGGACCAUCCAGCUGUGAGGUACAUUCCCCCCACAUGCCACAAUUGUAUAUUCACAAUUACGUCUGAUACAUCACAUCAUGCCACUUGCCUCAAAUGAAUUUAAGUGAGUGAGGCAGUUGGAAGUAAUUAAGCUCUAUAUUGGUGGGUGGAGUGUUACUUCUCGGUUCCCCUCAUCAUUCGUCUAUAAAAUGGUGAAGGCAGUUGCUAUUGUUACCAUAAGAGCCAGCUCCGACUUCCUUUAAUUUCUUGCUUCAUAUCCACUAGCUACAUCUGUUACCAAGUUAAUUUCAGUUCUAAUGGGGUUUCAUCUCCCACUCAUCUUUGCUCUUCUCAGUGUAAGCUCUGCAAUUUGAUUAACUUUUCCAUUCUCUCUCAUUGUACUCUAUAUAAACGAAAGUUUUGUGUUCCUAUUGUUCUCUCCGAUUUUAUUUAGUACGUACUUAAGUGUCGUCCACUAAUUAAUUAUACUUUGUGAUUUGAUUUUAAUUUGAGUUUGAAUUAAUGUUGCAGCUAGCAGCAGUGGCACUGGCAAACCAUGCUGCUCAACCAGCACCUCAACUUUACUGGAGCUCCGUCCUGCCAAACACACAGAUGCCAAGAUCUAUCAGUGAACUUCUGCAUCCUGGUUUGUGUUGAGCUCUUUAGAAUCUUAGAUAUCUCUUCUACCUGCCAUUUUACUAAAAUAUGUUCCACCACAUAUUUAUCAGUUAACCAUUGUCAUUACAUGAGUGACACAUAUUCACAAAUCGGCUGAUCACUUAUUUUCCAUUAUGACUUGAUAUAUAAUUUGCAGACUCCACAAAUGAAGAAAAGAGCACAAAUGACGUUGGCAAACCUGAAACUUUCCCAUUGGGCAAUCAACAUUACUCCAGUCAAAAACAUUAUGGAGGCAUACCUGAAACUUCCCCAUUGGGCAAUAAACAUUACUCCAGUCAAAAACAUUAUGGAAGAGGCAAACCUGAAACUUUCCCAUUGGGCAAUCAGCAUUACUCCAGUCAAAGACAUUAUGGAAGAGGCAAACCUGAAACUUUCCCAUUGGGCAAUAAACAUUACUCCAGUCAAAAACAUUAUGGAAGAGGCAAACCUGAAACUUUCCCAUUGGGCAAUCAGCAUUACUCCAGUCAAAAAAAGUAUGGAAGAGGUGCUUCUCCAUCCGACAAUCAACAACUCCAUUAUAAAGACUUAGCUAUUUUCUUCUUGGAGAAGGACAUGCGCCCUGGCACAACAAUGAAGUUCCAAUUCCCUAUAAAUUCAAACACGGCUACUUUCUUGCCACGAGAAAGCGCUCAAUCGAUCCCCUUCUCCUCUAACAAACUGCCAGAAAUUUUCAACCAUUUUUCAGUGAAGCCAACAUCUGAGGAAGCCAAAACAAUUAAGCAAACAAUCGAAGAGUGUGAAGCUCCAGACCUUAAGGGAGAGGAAAUAUAUUGCGCCACAUCUUUAGAAUCAAUGGUUGAUUUUAGCACUUCGAAGCUUGGAACAAGAAACGUUGAAGCAAUCUCGACGGAGGUAUUGGAAAAAGGAGCCACCAUGUCCAUCCAAAACUAUACAACAAUGCCGGGACUGAAGAAGUUGGCAGGUGACAAAGUCGUUGUGUGUCAUAAGCAGAACUAUCCCUAUGCUGUGUUUUUCUGCCAUGCAAUAAAACAUACAGCAGCUUAUGCUCUCUCCCUGAAAGGCGAUGAUGGGGAGAAGGUUAAAGCAGUAACCAUCUGCCAUCUAGACACAUCAGAAUGGGACCCAGAGCAUAUGUCCUUCCAAAUCGUCAACGUUAAGCCCGGAACCAUUCCCAUCUGCCAUUUCAUUUCCACUGAUGCUAUUGCCUGGGUUCCGAACCACAAAUCUGCAUGAUCAUCACUUAGCACUAGUACUGUGCGUAUAAUAUGCCUGUAUAAUUAUCUCCCUACUUAUUUCUGCCUCUUCAUCAUGUGGUGUAAGAUAUAUGUUGAGAUGAAGUUUUUGGGAUUUGUGGUCGAAAUUAACCCGAUCAUGUUUUCUCUUGCAACCAUAUAGACUUCAACUUGUACUCAUAAUAAAGCAUGCUAUAUUUAUGAAGAGAUAUUAAUCUUCAGGCAAAUAGAUAUUAUGAAAACAUAUAUAGCAAUUUAUCCAGAAGAAACAUUAUGAAAUGAAAAGAAUAAAAAGUAGAAAAACAGAAGGAAAGGAAUUCGCACGUGCUAUGCUAUGUAUGAAAGGACCAAGAUUGUUUUCCCUUUGGUUAAUGACUAGAAAAGCUCACUUGCAGAGUGCUUUCUCCGACCAUAGAUGGAAGAGAAAUUUUCUCUUAAUAAUAGCACAAUGAUCGGGUAAUUGUAAGAACAAGUUGAUUUAAAAUUCCUUGACCCAAAAAAAAAAAAAAAGUUCUUUUCAAAUUCAGGUCAACCCAUAGAUUUCUUGCCUUCGUCUUCUUCAUCACGUUGGGCUUGUCUUCUUUUUGCGUUUUGGGCCUUGGAAGUUGGGACCCAACCCAACUUCACAAAAAGAAAACAGAUUUGCCAAAAAUCAAAUUUCAAGUCUCUCCUCCGAUCACUAAUACAGAUCAAAUUUUGGAUUUGAUGAACUAAAGUGGUUUUACUUUCUCUGUCAGUGUUUGAUGACUUAAUUUGUUAUUUACUUUUUUUUUUUUACUUGAUCUUUGUAGGGGCUUUUUUUUUUCCGGCAGCUUAAACGGGCUGGGCUGCCGUAAAGGGUAGAUUGAUGAAAUUGUCCCCUUUGUCUGAAUUCGAAAAUCAAGCCCCAAAAGCGCUUCGAAAGGGCAGUAGAGCCUUAGGAAGCGUUCUGGUUACCUUCACUAAUUAAAACAACAGCAACUUACAGAUGAUUUCUUGAGGCUUACAGAUAAAUUUUCUAGCUUGGCAUGACAUGGAAGCAAAAUCAGCAUGAGUUUAGCACCAAAGAGGAAAAUAUGGCUUCCUAGGGAGAAAUGAGAGUGUUUAAGGUGAGGAAGAAGAGGUUUGCAGGCUGAUUUGGCUGAGAAAAGAGAAAGAAAGAACAAUGUUCUUCCGGCAGCUUGACAAAGCUUCUGACAGAUGUGAAAGUCGUCCGCCAGAAGAGGAAAAUGGAGAAGAAGGAUGAAUAGUGCACGAAAUUGGUGGGUUCUUGCAGGUAAGAGAGAAAGCUUGCUCUCUGAAUCUGAGUUGGUUUUGGUUGGGUAGAAGAAGCCCCCUUUUAUAGCUGCGGGAAACCAUCUUUUUCCAAGAAACCCUAAUGGUUUCUAUCCUUUUUGGCCAAGCUUUUCCCUUCCUUUCUCUUCUCCUCCCUUGACUUUUCCUAUCUUGGUGAAAUUUCCUCUGCCUAUUUGCACAAAAUUAGAGAUUUUGAGGAGCUCAAGGCCCCUUUCCCGCAGCUGCCUUAGUGGAGAAUCCCCAUUUUCAGUCAUCUUUCUUCCUUCUUUUCUCCCAUCUUCCAAGGCUAGGUUUGAUGAGAGAAAGAAAUGGAUAUGCACACUGGUUUGAAGGGUGUUUUUCCUUGAAACUUGUUCUCUCCCAUGUGCUGGAGCUUCCCAGCAGCUUACACACAUAGAUAUUUUGGCUUUCAUCGUGGCUUUUGUUUUCAGCUAGGUGCUGGAGAUUUUGCAUAUAUUUUCUUGAGUUGCUUGGGCCUUCUAGGACAAUACGUUGGUUUAUCAAGUGAAUGGGCUAACUUCAUCAAUUGUUGGGCAAUUUUGGUUGAGUUAAUGGACUAUUUUGGUUCAAGUAAUGGACUAUUUUGGUUGAAAUAAUAGGCUAUUUUUCUCUCUUUGUGCUCACCCACAUAUUUGGGCCUAAAAAAUGGGCUUGAGUUUCGGGGCUCCCAAGCAACCCCGGGACUUCCAUUUCUCGGCCCAUCAAUGAGCCUCAUGUCAACUUAUUACCAUCCAUACCACAACCCACUCAAGCAAGCCUCAGGCAUCUUGCGUGGCUUGGGCCCACGUAAGCUCGUAGUGGCAAUGUUGCUUAUUUGCUUGACGUGGCAUGUGUGCAAGUGCAUAUGACGAACUUUCGCGUGCCCAAAUUGAGUUUCUUCUCGGUAGGGUAUCGCAUUGGGCCGAGAAUUUAAUUGGGUAGAACCGUGGAUUUUUUGGGCCUCAACAAUCUUAUAUAUAUUAGUUUUCUUUUUUUCCUUAAUAUUCACCACCUUUCUGUUGCAUAAGUAUUCCAGUCUUAGCGGGUUUCCAUCUACCACUCAUCUUUGCUCUUUUAAGUGCAAGCUUUUUUAUUUUUAUUUUUUUAUGCACAAGAUUAGAGGGGAGGGAGAUUUCUCAAUGUAAGCUUUGCAGUUUCAUAAUUAAUAUUUCCAAUAUCUCACUGUUAGUAAAAUAUGGAACGGGAAAAGUACGAAUAAAAUACACACAUGUUUUAUUUAGCAAAAUUUUGACAAGAUACAACUGAAAAGUUUGGCCACUAUAUAAUAUUUUGAUUUAAUUUUUUUUAUUUUUUUAAUAUAUAUUAUUUUUAUUCAAUAAUAUGUGAAAAAUAGGUGUACAAUAUAUGAAAUUUGUAUGUAUUAUUGAAAAAUUCGUAAAAAAAAAACAUGUUAUUAAAUGUGAAAAAUAUGUACGUAUAUGUAUAAAACAUGUAUUGUACAUUACUUUUUAACAAACUUGUAUUUUACCUAGUCUUUAAACCGUAUAUGGAAAACGGAAGUAUUAUUGAAAAAUACAUAUGUACGUAUAUGUAUAAAACAUGUAUUGUACAUUACUUUUUAACAAACUUGUAUUUUACCUAGUCUUUAAACCGUAUAUGGAAAACGGAAGUAUUAUUAAAAAAUACAUAUGUACGUGUAUAAUAUGAGUAUUAAACAAAAAAAUGUGCUAAGUACUUAUCUUUUAAUUUAAUAAUUCAUUUCAUUUUGUGAUCUCAUACGUAGUAAUGAGAGUUCAAAUUAAUGUUGCAGCUGACAAUGGUGGCUCUGGCAAGCCAUGCUUGAUGCAGGAGUAUAGGGGUGGAUCAAGAUAGAUAUUUACCAUGUAAUUAGUUAUUUCAUGAUAUAUUGUUAUUUUCUUAUUUAGGUAGUUUUAUGAUAUCUUUUAUUAUUUAUGUGGGAUUUUAUAAUUAAUUAGUUUACUUUUGGACCAAGUAGCCUUGGUGCUCAAGUCUUGUAAAGCUUAUAAAUAAGGCUAAUGUAAUAGUUGUAGGAAAAGAGAUGUCGAUGAUUAAUAAAAUCGUUUAUUUGUGGCAUGGAUUUGCUACGAUAUAUGUGAGUUUGCACUAGCCCUAGAUUUCGGUGCUCGUGUAUGUGGUUGGUGACCUGUGUCCGGAUCCCGAUCCCCAUCAAUGCUGUUCUCCCAGUACCUCAACUUUACUGGAACUCUUUCCUGCCAAACACAAAUGCCAAGAGCUAUCAGUCAACUUCUGCAUCCUGGUUUCUAUUAAGGGACUUUUCGUGAGCUUAUCAUCUACCCAAAUUUUACUCAUCCGACGUAAUUUUAAAAGUGAUUUGAUCCUUUGGCAAAGUAAUCUUGAACUACAAAAAAGGAGGGCACUCGAAUAGGCAUGCCAUUUGGUAUUACCCACCUCUAAUUUCUUUUAAAAUUUUAGUAAUUGAUUUUUAAGAUUAGAAAAUGGGAAAGUUCAAAACCGAAAAAGUUGUUUCAGUUUUGGCAAGUAUCGGAAAAGACUAAAAUUUUCCGACUUUAUUAUUACUAGAAACAAAGUCGAAGUAUUCACCAAUCAUGUGGCCUUCCAAGUGCUCAAGGUUAAGCCAGGAACCGUUCCUAUCAGCCAUUUCCUUCCCAAGUAUGAUCAUGUUGUCUGGGUUCCAACCCACAAAUCUACAUCAGUACCUGAACUAAUCAGUUCUACAUGAAUAUUCAUUCAUGGCAACCUUGGGCUAAGUAUUUGAAUUUAUGCUCAUAAAGCUUUAAUGCUUUUGAGGGCCAAUCGUUGUCUACAUAUGGUAUUGUAGCAUCUUUAGAUGGAAGAGGUCAGGGGUUCAAUUCUUGUUUUCCACUUCUUUAUUUGUUGGUUUAUCGAGUGUAGAGUGGAGUUGCACCUAUAUGUUCGUCUCUCACCCCAUCAUUUACCAUUGAUAUAUAUUUAAUAGAAGCCUAAGAUUUCGGAAGCACAUAAUUUCUACUUUACAAACUUCCUGUGUCUACCAAUUUCUACUAAAAUUAAUUUAUCUGCGGUGCUGAGAUUCAUCAUAAUUUUAAUAGAAAUUGGAAGUUUUCAUCAUUUUUGCUUUAAGUCUCUACUCCACUCACUAAUAAAGAUUACUCAUGUGAGUUUACAAAACAUUUUUUUUUUCUACUCUCUCCUGAAGACUACACUUCUUCUCAAAAAAUUAGAUCACUUCACAUCUUGUGUAUGUGAAAACUAAUGUAAAAAGUUGAAACUUUAUCGUAAAACCUCGACAAAAAUGAGCUCUACUACAAAAUGUUAAAUUUGGAUUCGUUGAUUUAAAUGGCAAUUUGACACUUGAUAGAAAUUUUUACAUACAUGUGUUAGUGUUUGAUCACUUCACAUGUCACUUACUAUAUUUAUUCCACUCAAGUUAGGUAAAUAUUAUUAUCAAACAUUUCAAUUAAUUUGUGAUUUUUUUAUUAUUUAAUCAAUUAUGAAUUAAUGGAUUCUUCUUGUUGUUUUGAAGACCAACAAAAAAAAAAAAAAGGGUAGUGAUGGCUUAUAAUUCUGGUAAAACAACAGUGACGUGGACAACAGAUGUUACGCUGUACUAAAGAUUUUUGAAGAUUCUUUAUUUGAGUUUCUUUCAAGAUAAAAACCAUAUUAUCCACAACCACAAGCACAUCCGGCAGACAAUCUUUGGCUAUUCAUCACAAUUGGGAGACAAUGAAGAAGACAGAAAAUGGAGUAAUUCAGAUGUUACCAGCCAUCCACGACAAACUGAAGUCUGCAAAGCAUUCGUAAUCUAAAAAGGAUGGGGAGGCUGCGCAAUACUUAGCCACGUGUAGGCCAGGAGGCUUUCCAAUUUUAAUAUAUAUAUAGAUUGAAAAAAUAAAAUAAAAAUCAAUCUAUUAUCAUAUAUAUUAUAAAAUAAAGAUUAUUGCUCCCAUGGGCGGUGCUAUGCACAGGACAGUGCCUGCCUAGUCCAAAUUUUUUUUAAAUAAAAAUAAAAAUCUACAUAUGUUAUAAGCUCAUCCAAAAAAAAAAAAAAAAAUAAAAGUGUUGUAAAUUAUAAGGUGGAGCCCACAUGUUGGAAGGCUUUGCCUACAAAAGGGUUCACACCCUCCCUUUGUAAUUAGACAUUGAGAAUACUAAGGAAGACAGAAAUGAAUAGAGAGAAAACAUUCCCUUCUCUCCAUCUCAAUUCCCUCUCCAAUUCCUCUAGAUUUAUAACACGUUAUCAGCAGCACGAAUCGCUUUCAAACAAUACCAGCUGAAUUUUAUGAUGAAACCCAGAUCUCUCAUCCAUCUCUGCUGCUCCACUACUUCAAAAUAAAUCCCACAGAAAAAGAAAAAGCCUCAAUGCUCUCUCUCUCUCUCUGUCUCGCUUGGGAGACUUGGACAAUUCCUCAUCCCCGUUACUGACAAUUUCAACAGCUUCAGGGGAAGCUAGUUUAUCUUCCUCUGCUCACGAAACCAUGACUCUUUCAGAGCCAAACAACAACACAAUAGACAACGCAUGGAGACCAGACUGGAGCUCGUCGGCUAAGGCACCGACGAUCCGACCCUACCCGUAUGGACCUUCCGGAUGUGGUUCCUGGGUCUUGUCUCAUGUGCCCUCCUCUCAUUUCUCAACCAAUUCUACAAGCAGCAGAGCUUCAAAUCAAACAGAUCAUGGCAUCGCUUUCACACCUCCCCAUCUUCCUCUUCCUCCUGUUCACCGCUUUCUAUUCUACAGCUUCGCAGUCCUUCAUCGGCGCAUCCAAAGGCGACAUACCGGCGCUCGCCUCAGAUCCGAACGCGGCGGCUCAGUGGGUGAACUCGAAUGUCCUCGCCUUCUACUCGGCCAGCAACAUCGACCUCAUCAACGUCGGCAACGAGGUCCUUUUUCUCCAACGACCAGGGCCUCAUCUCGCAGCUCCUCCCCGCCAUGCGAAAUGUCCAAUCUGCCCUCUCCGCCGCGUCCCUCGGCGGCAAGGUCCGUGUCUCCACGGUCCACUGCCUCGCCGGAUCGGGAUCCUUCCUUCAAGUGUUUCUCUGUCUUCGACUUGAAAAAGAAGGUCAUGGCAGGCCUAUGUAAAAAUUGCGAAAAGGAAGGCAAUCUUCAACCUUUUCUCCUGUCUCUCUCUUGAUCAAUUCAUGGAAGGCACAUUUGGGUCUUCCGGGGGCUCAUCAAAUGAGUCAGCAAUGUCAAAGGUGGAGGUGGUGGAGCAAGACUACGUGGGGAUGUCAUAUGAGGCAACCUCAUACCCAGCUGAGGCAGAGCUUGUGCUGGGCCUGGGCCUUGGCCUGAGCCUUCGUGGUGGUGGUGCAGGGAAGCAGCCAAAGCCAUGUGCAUGGGGUGAGCGUGGUAGAAUCUUGACUGCUAAAGUUAGGUGCUGAGUUACACUGUGUUCUCUGCUACUGACCCUAAGAGGAGUGCUAGAAACUUCCAUGUUCCGCCAUCAUUUCGCUUUCACUGUUACAAGGCACUGGAGUAUGUUUAAUUGAAAAGUGAGAUACACAGCAAGUUGAUCAGCCUAGUGGAAAGCAAAGGAUUAUUGCCAGGGAUAUGAACACCCACCGAAAUAAAGGGAUAAGUACUCUUUUUCCCUUCGACCAGUUUUUUUUUGUCCCACUGGGUUUUUACUGGCAAGGUUUUUCACGAAACAUAUUCCGUAUCAUUUGUGGUCUCUAAGAGGGAGUGUUGUAAAUUAUAAGGUGGAGCCCACAUGUUGGAAGGCUUUGCCUACAAAAGGGUUCACACCCUCCCUUUGUAAUUAGACAUUGAGAAUACUAAGGAAGACAGAAAUGAAUAGAGAGAAAACAUUCCCUUCUCUCCAUCUCAAUUCCCUCUCCAAUUCCUCUAGAUUUAUAACAAAAAGUAAAUUCUACACAUAUGUUGCCCAUCCAGGUGGUCCCAUAUCUUCUCUUUCCUUUUCUUUUGGCUAUUAGACUUCUUGUUUCUCUCUCUCUCUUUGCUACCCCACAUCAGCAAGUUUCUCCCUCUCUUUUUUUGGGAUCAAAUUCUUCUUCUAUUGACAAAAUCUUCUAUUAUAUUGGGUGGGCAACUUGGCAACAACAUCUUCUCCUCUCCUUUUGUCAACAGCAAGUAUUAUUCUCAUUCUCUCAUUUGCUAUAUAUCUUUAAUUAUAGUUUUAAUUUAAAAUUGAGUAUUCUAGGGUUUAAUUAGGGAUGAAUUAUAAUUUUGGGAUUUUGUUGAAAUUAAUUAGGGCUUCGAUUAGGGGUGAAUUAUUCUACUGCUUUGAUUUGGAAUUUUGUUAAAAUUGAGUAUUAUAGGUUUAAUUAUGGAUGAAUUACAAUUUUUGGUUUUGGUAUUGUUGAGAUGUUAUUAUGAGAAUUUGUUUGAUUUUUUGUUGGUAUAUUUGAUUAAAAUUCUUUCUACAUAUUAUUCAUAGGCUAUCUUUUAUUAUGUCGGAUCACAAUCGGAAUCCCAAGAAAACAAAAAAUUUGAAUAGUGUUGUUUUGUAUUGCAUUGCAUUUACUUUUGGUUUUAGUUUUGCUUUUAGUGUAAAUUACUCAAAUGGUCCUCAAAUUUGUACCCAAUUUACAUUUUGGUCCAUAAACUAAAUUAUUCAUUCAAAUGGUCCACCAACUCUUUAUUAAUCGGUGCUUUGGUCCUAUCGUUAUGUUUUCUAUUAAAUUUAGUCAUGUGAGCAGCACAUGCUACAUUUGUAUGGGUAAAUAAGACUUUUGACCAGUGGCGGAUCCACGUUGGGACAAGAGGGGUCGGACGACCCCUUGGAAGGCUGGAAAUUUGGCAAGGGAGUCCAUGAAAGCCCCCUUGGACAGCUGCUGGAAGCCCCCUUGUAUGCACACAAUGUGCUCGACGAAAUGCCCCAACGAAAUGUCCUGCGCAGCUGUGCUGCGCCUUGCGCGUAAUUUUUUUUUAAAACCAGCCUUGCCAAACGACGUCGUUUGGUCAAGGCUCAGUCAAAUUUUUUUUUAAUUAACCUGGCCUCAAAACGACGUCGUUUUGGGCCAGGUUUAAAAAAAAAAAAACAGAACAGUACACACGCACAGCAGCUCUGCACAGAUUCAUUUUCUCCAAACCUUUCAUUCCCAAUUCCACAGCCCCUCUUCCCAUCCUCUCAAACCCUAACCUCCCAACCUCCCAACCUUGGACAACCUCCAUCAACUCUUCACCGGUGGCCCAAUGCCGAUCACCACCACCUUCUACCGCCGUCCGCCGCCCAUUUUUUAAACUACAAGUAAGUAAGCAUGGAAAAUCUGAUAUUAAUAAUUAUAGUGAUAAUAUAUAUUGUUGAUAUUGAUAUUUUUUUUUUAUGUAAUGAAAUUUAUGGAUAUGAAUCAUAUUGAUUGAUUGAGUUUAUGCUUGAAAUUUAUGGAUAUGAAUCAUAUUGAUAUUUUUUUUUAUGUAAUUAAAUUUAUGGAUAUGAAUCAUAGUGAUAAUCAUAUUAAUGUAGAUUGAUUGAGUUUAUGCUUGAUUGAUAAUAUGAAUUGAUUGGGUAUAUUAAAUAUUGAUUGCUAUUUGAUAUGAUAAUUUGGUAUAUUGAAUAUUGAUUGAUAUGGGUUUAGGGAGUAUAUUGAAUAUUGAGAGUGGGUUAUUGAAAUUUUCAUAUUCAUAUGAUAAUUAGGAUAAAAAUUAAUGAUUGAUUGAAUUAAUUGAUUUGUAGAUUUAUGGAACGAUUCUUUAAAAGAAAAUUAUCUACGGAUAGUUCUUCUCUGUCUAAUCCGGGUAGUUCAAAUGCAAGACCAAUUGAAGUAGAUGAGAUCUUAGCUAAUCUUCAAGCAGACCCUGGACUAAGAACUCGAAUGGCGGAUUAUAGUCCUAAUAUUAGGGAUGAGAUCCGAAGAGCAUAUCUACAAAAGGGACCUUGUCAACCUAGAAGUUAUAAAUUCCCACAAACUAAUCAAUCAGGAAUUAAUAGACGCUUCAUUGCUCAUUGGUUUGAUGAUCAUGAUUGGUUGGAAUAUAGUAUUGCUAAAGAUGCUACGUUUUGUCUUCAUUGUUAUCUCUUCAAAUCUAAUUUUGAUCAAGUGGGUGGUGAUGCAUUCACUGGGGUAGGCUUCAAUAAUUGGAAGAAGGCGAAAGAAAGAUUUAACCUUCAUAUUGGACCGGUUGGUAGUGUUCACAACCAAGCUAGAGAAGUUGCUUACAAUUUGAUGCAUCAAACUACACACAUUGAAACAAUUGUGCUCAAGCAAACAAGCCAAGCUCGCACGGCUUAUCGCACUUGCUUGAAUGCAUCACUUAAGUGCACUAGGUAUUUGUUGCGGCAAGGGCUUUCUUUUCGUGGUCAUGAUGAAAGUGCACAAUCAAGUAAUAAAGGGAAUUAUUUAGAGCUCUUGCAAUUUCUUGCGGAUCAUGAUGAAAAAGUUAAGGCCGUUGUAUUGGAAAAUGCUCCGGGAAAUUUAAAGUUAAUAGCUCCUUCAAUUCAAAAAGAUCUUGUCAAUUCUUGUGCCAAAGAAACCAUUGAUCUUAUCUUGAGUGAUGUAAAAGAUAGAUAUUUUUCAAUAAUGGUGGAUGAAGCACGUGAUGUUUCAAUAAAGGAGCAAAUGGCAAUGGUGUUGCGUUAUGUGAAUGACAAAGGACAAAUAAUUGAAAGGUUUGUGGGGGUUCAACAUGUAACCGACACUACUUCAAGUGCACUAAAGGAAACAAUUGAUGAAUUCUUUUCUUCCGCGAAUUUGAGCUUUUCCAAGCUACGAGGACAAGGUUAUGAUGGAGCUAGCAAUAUGAGAGGUGAGUUCAAUGGCCUUAAGAGAAAGAUUUUGAGAGAACAACCUUGUGCAUUUUAUGUUCAUUGCUUUGCUCAUCAACUUCAACUAGCUCUUGUUGCGGUAGCAAAGAAAAACAUUGAUGUCAACUCUUUUUUCACAACGGCUAAUAGUUUGGUUAAUGUGGUUGGAGCAUCUUGUAAGCGUCGCGAUGCACUUAGAGCACAAUACCAAGAAGAGCUUGUGAGAGCUUUUGAAGAUGAUUGUCUUAUAACGGGGCGGGGCUUAAAUCAAGAAAGGACUCUCAAACGUGCCGGCAAUACACGAUGGAACUCACAUUAUGGUACGUUGAUUAGUAUCAUUUCUAUGUUCCCAUCUGUGGUGAAUGUGCUUCAAAUGAUUGUUGAUGAUAAUCUUAAUGAUAGUUCGGGUGAAGCCUAUAAGUUAAGGAGAGAAAUACAAUCUUUUGAGUUUGUGUUUCACUUAUUUGUAAUGAAAGCUAUAUUGGGAAUAACAAACACUUUGUCUCUAGCAUUGCAAAAGAAAGAUCAAGACAUUGUGAGUACAAUGAAUUUAGUGAAAACAUGCAAGGAAAACCUGCAGUUGAUGAGGGAUAAUGAGUUUGAAGAAUUGGUUGGGCAAGCAUCCUCGUUUUGUUACAAAUAUGAUAUUAUAGUUCCUACCAUGGAUGAGGAAUAUGUAAUUCCAGGGAGAUCAUGGCGUAAUGCUCCAAUGAAGACAAAUUAUCAUCGUUAUCGUGUGGAGAUCUUUAUUCAUGUAAUUGAUGGGCAACUUGCGGAAUUAAAUGAUCGCUUCAACGAGGUAAGUACUGAGUUACUUACUUGUUUGGCAUGCUUGAGUCCAAAAAAUAACUUUGUGACUUUUGACAAACGAAAGCUAGUUCGUCUUGCUCAAUUUUAUCCUUAUGAUUUUUCGGAUAGAGACUUAUUGAUGCUUGAAGAUCAACUUGGUGUUUAUGUUCAUCAUAUGCGUUCGAGUAGUGAUUUUUCUCAAUUGGAAGGGAUUAGUAGUCUUGCGGAAAAAAUGGUGGAGAAAGGAAUGCAUGAAAUAUUUCCUUUUGUAUUUGCUUCUUACAUUGGCUUUGGUUUUACCGGUUGCAACUGCAUCAGUGGAGAGGGCAUUUUCCGCUAUGAAUAUUAUUAAAAAUCCACUUCGCAACAGAAUGGGAGAUCAAUGGUUGAAUGAUAGCUUGCUUGUUUACAUUGAGAGAGAUGUUUUUGCUUGUAUUGAUAACGAAAUUAUAAUGCAAUGUUUUCAGAAUAUGAAAACUCGUCGUGGACAAUUGUAACUUGUAUUAUUGGUUUUGUUAUGAAUUAUGAAUGAAAGUACUAUCUUUCUAUCUUUUUAGCAUUAUUUUCUUUGUAGAAAAAUUUCAGAACUUUUACACUAAGCCCCCUUGGCUACAUAAUCCUGGAUCCGCCACUGCUUUUGACCACUUUAUCACCUAUGUAUCACCACUUUAUAACCUAUUUGGGGAACAUAGGUCAGUUAUGGACGGUUUUACCCUUACAUUUGACGGCAACAUUAACAUAAUGUAACAGUGGGAUCAAUGGAGUGAUUAAUAUAAAGUUGAUGGACCAUUUGAAUGAAUAAUUUAAUUGAGAGACCAAAAUGUAAAUCAAGUAUAAGUUUGAGGACCAUUUGAGUAAUUUACCCUUCGCUUUUAUAUUUGUUGAACUUUUAUUUAUGAUAGAUAUGCAUUUAAGGGUAAGACCCAUUAUGUUCCCCUGGCUAGGUGUAUCUUUUUAUGUUUAUUAAUGAAAUUCACUCGAACUGUUGAGUUUAGUAUGUAAGUUUUGCCUAACUGGCUUUUGAAUCCUAGAACCGCCACUGUUGCUCCAUCCUCCAUGCACUUGCAUGUGCUCUUACAAAGUGUGAAGUAGAUUUUGUGUGCUCCAAGUCAUUGACUAGAGCUGAAACAUGGUUAGCUAGAUUUAUAAGGACCCAUCUCUUUAUUUCCUAGACAUAUACCCAUCUCUCUAUAAAUCUAUAUGUAAAACCUAAUUUCAAACUUAAAUGACCAGUAGGAUAUAAAAGGUCAUAGUAUUCCUAUGUUUUUAUAUCGUUGCCACCAGACUUCUUAUUUUAUUUAUAAUUUAUUUCAAGCAUUUCAUUAACUGCCAUAAUUGUAAUUAAUACUCCAUAUUAAUAGCAUAUCAAUCACCCCAUUUCUUUUGGUUGCCAUUCCCUCUAACAUAUCGCCCCUUAAAUUUGAAAACCAAAAAAAAAAAAUGUAAAUUACAUAUCCAAUAAUGUACCUAUGAAAAAUAUAAAUAUAAAUAUAUACAUAUAAAAAUAUAGGUAUAUUAUUUACCAAAUAGAAAAUAUAAAAACCUAGGUCAGUUGCUUUGUAAUUGAAAUUUCUGUACAUUUUCCACAAAUUAAAAAUAGGUACAUAAUAAUUUAUAGAAAAUAUAUGUACAUUAUUUAUCCAUAGGUAAAAAUACCGAUAAAUGCACAUAGGUGAAUUAUUUACCAAUAUAUUAUUUUUUUGCUAAGGAUUUACCUUAGUUUUUAGUAGAUUAAUUUACCUACCUAGAGGCAUAGGUAGCUUAAAAAAAAUGUACCACCUUAGUUGGUUGCAUACUAAUUUACCUACCUAGAGGCAUAGGUUGCUAAGAAAAAAUGUAGGUAAAUUCAUGUACCUAAACACAUAGGGGUCAAAUAGAGAAUAACAUGUUAUUUCCCUUUGAACAAAUUAAUUUCAAACCAUAACAAUUAUUGAAUUUGGAAAUUGGUAUAAAUAAAAGGAAAUAAAUAAACUAUCAAUUUGAAAAUUAAAAUAAGAAAUGAUCAAGUAGUCAUAUUUGAAAAAAAAGGAAAGAAUAUAUUCUUGGUUUUUAUAGGAACAACGAGUAUAUUCAAACCAAACGGCGAUAACUACACCAAGCUUUAAUUACUUUUUUUUAAGGCCAAAAGUCACUUUUGGUCCCUGUAGUUCGGCAUUUCUACCACUUUUGAUGUUGUAGUUUCAAUUCCGUCAAUUUUGCCAUUGUAGUUUCGUAUUUGUAGCAAUUCAAGGACCUGUUAAUAUUAAUGUCAAUUUGUUUAAUGAUGCAAGAGGUAAUUUCGUCAUCCCAAAAUCCUUGAGCAUAAAAGAUUGUCUGAAAUUCUCCCCAUUUCAUAUUAGGGCUCGAAAUUCAACCACUAAUCCUAAUUUUUGAAGAACCCUAGACCCAAAUGACCAAUUUCAAGCCCUAAUAUGAAAUUACGGAAGUUUUAGAUGAGCUUUUAUGCUCAAGGAUUUUGAGUUGAAGAAACUGCCCCUUGCACUGUCAAAUAAAUUGACAGGAAUACUGACUUGUCCUUGAAUUGCUACAAAUACAAAACUACAGUGUCAAAAUUAACAGAAUUUAAACUAUAGGGUCAAAAGUAGUUGAAGUGUCAAACUAUAAGGACCAAAAGUGACUUUUAGCCUUUUUGUUUCAAUAAGGAAAAAACUGACCUAUUAAAUCCUUGGAAUCUAUACAAAAUUGAAACACAAUUAAUCAACAUUGAAUUGCAGCUAAUUUCUUAAACAAGGGUAUUAUAGGAAUUUAAAAAGUAUAACAUUUAAUCCAUUGAAUUUGAUUAGGAAACUUGAUGAAUUGAAUCCUAGUUAUAUAGUUUUUCUUAUAAAAAUCAGGUUUUAUUUAUAGACAAAUAAAACAAUGGGUUGUAGGUAAGAAAAUAUUAAUUUGAAGGGAAAGAGUCAAAUUUACUAAAUUAAUAAAGCAUAAAUUGGAAAGGGAAAAGAUCUAGAGGAUGCAUUGUAGGAUUGCUCAUGCCAAUAAUUGCACCCUCUCGAUAUUGAAAAACCUAUUGUUUAUUAUUAUCUUCAAUCCUGAAUGAUGCACCUAAAACCCAAGUGUCUCAGGCCAACCAUUGCGCUCAUACCACUUGUUGCAGUACACAUUCACCUGUUUUUAAAGAAAGAAAUUCUACCAAUCGAUAUUUUCUCAAAUUUAAUCACAUAGAUCUAUUAUGGUUAACCAUAUGUACUUUUAUCUGCCAUCCAGAGGUACCUUUUUCCAACGUGCAACAAUUGUAUUUGAUUCACAAUUAUGUCUGAUAUACAUCACAUCAUGCCACUUGCCUCAAAUGAAUUUAAUUGAGUGAGGCAAUGGGAAGUAAUUAAGCUCUAUAUUGGUGGGUGGAGUGUUACUUCUGGAACCCUCAUCAUUCGUCCAUACAGGGGAACAAUUCCCUUCCUUCUAUAAAAUGGGAGCAAUUCUCUCACUGUACUCUAUAUAAAGGAAUAAGUGUCGUCCACUAAUUAAUUACACUUUGUGAGAUUUGAUUUUAAUUAGAGUUCGAAUUAAUGUUGCAGCUAGCAGCGGUGGCACUGGCAAACCAUGCUGCUCAACCAGCACCUCCACUUUACUGGAAUUCCAUCCUGCCAAACACACAAAUGCCAAGAGCUAUCAGUGAACUUCUGCAUCCUGAUUUGUGUUGAAUAGAUAUAGUAUGUUACUGGAGUACGUAUGGCAACAUAUUCACAAAUGUGUCACGUAUUUUCCAUUAUGACGUUGAUAUAUAAUUGCAGACUCCACAAACGAAGAAAAGAGCACAAAUGUCAUGAAUGCUGUUGGGAAUGGAAAGCCAAUUGACCACAAGGGCAAACCUGAAAAUACUGUACUACCACAGCUUGCACGACGCCCAUUUUCUUACAAGAGUGAUGAUCGUCCCACUGACAAUCAACUCCAUUAUAAAAACGUAGCUAUUUUCUUCUUGGAGAAGGACAUGCGCCCUGGCACAACAAUGAGCUUCCAAUUCCCUAGAAAUUCAAACACGGCUACUUUCCUGCCACGAGAAAGAGCUCAAUCGAUCCCCUUCUCCUCUAACAAACUACCAGAAAUUUUCAACCAUUUUUCAGUGAAGCCAACAUCUGUGGAAGCCAAAACAAUUAAGCAAACAAUCGAAGAGUGUGAGGCUCCAGGCAUUAAGGGAGAGGAAAUAUAUUGCGCCACAUCUUUAGAAUCAAUGGUUGAUUUUAGCACUUCGAAGCUUCGAACAAGAAACGUUCAAGCAAUCUCGACGGAGGUAUUGGAAAAAGGUGCCACCAUGUCCAUGCACAAGCACACAACAAUGCCGGGACUGAAGAAGUUGGCAGGUGUCAAAGUCGUUUUGUGUCAUAAGCAGAACUAUCCCUAUGCUGUGUUUUACUGCCAUGUAAUAAAACCAACAGCAGCUUAUGUUCUCUCCCUGAAAGGCGAUGAUGGGGUGAAAGUUAAAGCAGUAGCCAUCUGCCAUCUAGACACAUCAGAAUGGAACCCAAAGCAUUUGGCCUUCCAAAUCCUCAAAGUUAAGCCCGGAACAAUUCCCAUCUGCCAUUUCCUUCCCACUGAUCAUAUUGUCUGGGUUCCGAACCACAAAUCUGCAUGAUCAUCACUUAGCACUGUACGUAUAAUAACCUUUACCCCUGUAUAAUUAUCUCCCUACUCUACUUAUUUCUGCCUCUUCAUGUGGUGUAAGAUAUAUGAUGAGAUGAAGUUUUUGGGAUUAGUGGUCGGGUUGCCUUAAAAACACAGAUUACAGAAACUGCUUGAACUUAACCCGAUCAUGUUUUCUCUUGUACUCGUAAAGCAUGCUGUUGUGGUUCUACUUAAUUUCGUCCUCCCCAAUGUUUGAGUGUUUAAUUGUUACGUUGGAAUAGGCUGCUAAUGCAUGUAGUUAGAGAAGCUUUCAUUUAUAUCAAAGUCCUCAAACUAUCAAGAAUUAAUGCAUCCAGAAACAUAUAUACCAAGACGCAAAACAACAUAUUUUCCAUGCUGUGUCGGUAACACCAAAGCAAACUUCCUUUAUCACAAAAGGACCAAAUUCCAAUACUAAUCUAAUCCAUCAUGUAAAGCAUACAAUCUACAACUGCCUCCCUAAAUUUGUCCAUUGGAUAUAUAUGUCACUUUUUGGUAAUUUGGUAUAGCAGCACCACGUAGUAUGCAUUUAACAGAAAAGUAAACAAAAUUGACAGUAGAACUAUUUGUCCUAACGAAACUGAAGUUGAAAGACCAUGAGAACGAUUUUGAAAAUUAAGGGACUCAAAUGAAAAUUGGGUCUAAGUUCAGGGACCAAUAAAACGAUUAACCCAUAGAUUUUGGAUCCAGUACCACAUCCCAAAGAGAAAACCACAAGUUUGCAAGCAAGUUUGUCCAUACUAACACUACGUACAGUAUGGGCAAUGUGCUAGACUCAUCUCACUUUCUCAACCUAUCCUAUACUUGUCUAAAAGAGUUUCUAAUUUAAUGUACUGAGAUUUACGAAAGAAAUAUCAGAGAAACAAUUUUCAGGCAAUAAAAAAAUGUCUUGGCAAGAAAAUGCACAAUUUGUUACAUAACUUAUUAAAUAUGAACAGUUGAAAGAAAAAAGAAUUUGGAUGAGGGAUUUGCAAAUUCCUAUGGCCCAAUUACCUUUUUUUCUUUGUUUUUUUUUGGUUCUUUUGAUCCAGUAGCAUAUUCCAAAGAAUGAAAACCACAGGCAUGCAAUGCAAGCUCUUUUCCCAUGUUUUCCUCUGUUUUUCUCCUAUCAUGGAAGUGAUUAAAACACACCUCUAAGCUUGUUUUGCGUUUGGUAGCCGAGUGUAAAAGCUCAAUGCAAGAUAGUUUGAGGUAGAAUUUUCUCCUGUUUUAUUAGGACAAUGAUGAGCUAUAUGUGACAACAAAUUGCUUUAAUAAUGAAAAUUAAAAAAGUGUGAUUCAUUGAAUAUUUGCGGGGUUUUGUUCAGAGCUGACAAAGUUCUAAGUCAACACAUCAAAUUCCUUUUUCCAACAAUCGUAUUUGAUUCACAAUUUUGUCUGAUAUACAUCACAUCAUGACACUUGCAUCAAAUGAAUUUAAUUGAGUGAGGCAAUGGGAAGUAAUUAAGCUCUAUAUUGGUGGGUGGAGUGUUACUUCUGGAAUCCUAAUCAUUCGUCCCUACAGGACUCUAGAACUCUCACACUUCUUACAAGGACUACUUAACUCUAUAGCUUAUUGCAUAUAGCAUAUAUAUGCAAACCCAAUUAGAAAUUCUACAACAGAAGCAAGAUCAAUCUCACUAUGCCUUCUAAACAAACAAACAAAUAAAACAAGCAUAUUAAUUGCUUUAAUCACUCUACUAACAUCAACACAGCACACUUAGUUUACUAACAGAUGAUAUAGAAAGGAAAAAAAAGGACCAAUAGGGAGAAAAUGGUGAACUAAGGAGAGACUAAUACUUCUGGUCCUUAGAAGGCAUAACAGAAAUAAUAGAGCACACUGCUUGAAUGCAAGUCAGUAUUAGGAGCAAAACAGCUGCAAUGAAAGAAAUAGUUGCCCAAGGUGUAUUGAAAUAAUGUUGCCUCAAAUUUGCCUUCCAUUUGUUCCAAGGCUUUCUGCAGUAGCUAUUAAGGCGCUCAGAAAGAGUAGCAAAGUAGAAGCUUUCACGAUACACUGCAAUUCCUUUUCCGAGGUUGUUAAUCAGAGUGCACACCUCAUUGUAGUCACCAAGCAUAUUUUUGACAAUCCCAUACUUCAGAAGGAACUCCACAUCCUUUUCGGUGUUCACAAACUCAUCCAUGAGUGAAACAUAAUCACUUAUGUAAUUCUUACGGCAAUGGCACUAUUCAAAGGCAAUGAGGUUAUGGAGUGUGAGCUCUGUGUAAUCGUUUAUUUUUAGUUUUGGAAUUUCUAGAAUCCCAUCGUUGAAUCGUGUUAACGCAGCUUUCCUUUCCUAGCCUACGCGGAAGUCAACUUCACAAUCUCCUCCUAGCAAUUAGCCUUUCCUACUGUAAAUCGGAUUGUAUUCAUGUCUAUAUUAUUUCCUACCUUAAAUAGAUAUCCUGUACUAGUAUACAUAGGGACUUUGUGUAAUCUGUUAAAUACAAGGAAAUAUAUACUCUACAUGGUAUCAACCUAACCUAGGGUUCUCUCUCUCCCCCUUAUUCGAUCCUCUUCUCCUUUAGGUCCACCUCAUGGCUUCGUUUGAAUCCACCAUCUCCCUCCCAAGCCCUAACUCUUCUCAUUUUAUCAAGCUUACUAACUCCAACUAUCUUCUUUGGCUCCGCCAACUCAAACCCUUUUAGUUGGCCAUGACCUCUGGAAAUUUAUCGAUGGCAUUCAUAAACAACCUUCUGCCCACACCUCCACCUCUACCACCACAACACCCACAACCACCACCACUCUUACCGAAAUCAAUCCUACCUAUGCUCAGUGGUACCAACAAGACCAACUCAUUGUUAGCUACAUCACCAGUACACUCUCUGAGUCCAUUUUCUCUCUCACUGUCGGUUGCAUCUCUGCCCGGGAUCUCUGGGAGUGUCUCCAAUGCCACUUCUCUUAAUCCAAUAUGGCCAGUGAAUCUGCUCUUCGUUUUCAACUCAUGGAUUUGCAAAAAGGCUCUCAACCCAUUGAUGCUUACCUUCGUCAUGCUAAGUCUCUUGCCGAUUCACUAGCUGCCAUCAAUUAACCUGUCUCCCCAAAAGAACUUGUCACUGCUGUGCUUCGGGGUUUAGGACCCGAUCACAAAAUGCUCAUCACAGCAAUUCUCAAUUUCUCUCCGCUUCCAGACUUUGCUGAUCUUCGUGCUCGUUUGUUAGCUUUUGAUGCACAGACUCCUCGAAUCUUUCCUGAUCAAAACACAACGCUAAUGGCCACCCAAUCUUCUCCUUACACCACCGGUCAUACUUCCUUCCCUUCUCACCGUGGUUGUGGCUCUUCCAGCAAUAGGCGCGGUGGCUGGUGCAGUAUUGGCCGUGGUGGCUGGCACAACUUCUCAUCUUCCUAGAGCAACCCGUGGAAUGGCUUCCAGCAGCCCUAAUGACCUAAUCAACUGUGGCCUCCUUUUGCUCUAAGUUUUGGAUCUCAAAGCAACUGGCCUUCCUUUCAACCUCUUUGGGCCCAAUCUGCCGCUUCUAGCAAACACUCUGCCCGACCCAACUCAGCUCCUGGUGUCUUGGGACCCGCUUGGUGCACCACAUGCAAUACCAAUCGACAUACUACUACAACAUGUCCUUAUUGCUACAAUGGCCCAGAAUUCUUCCUUUGCUGGGGCUCAAUUCAUGCAGCCACCUAACUCUACAUGGUACCCUGACACAAGUGCCACUCAUCAUAUGACUGGUAGUUCUUCUAAUCUCCAAAGGAAAUUAAAUGAAGGAGUCCUACGAAGGCUCAAGGCUCGAAAGCACACGAUCCGGCUCUGCUGCGGAGCUCACUCAACUACUGGCUGAGGGGGCGCAAAACAGAAAAUUGUGAGUGGACAAAAAUAAAAAUUCAGUUCAGUGUAAACCAACGUAAUAUAACCCCACCGUUUAGAAAACCAUGCAAGAAAUCCAAAUGCAUCUCAAAACCAUCAUAAUCAUCAAAUCAAAAUCAAAUACUGGAUGCCAAGUCCGAAAUCCAUAAAGAAAGCUUUACAAACCCACCAUCCAAAUCUUACAAUCCCACAACUAAACUCUCGAAAGCGUACCCAUUGGCAGUACCAGCAAGGAAGUAUCCUCACCGAGAAACAAGAACAAAAGAAUAGCUAUAUAUAUAAUUAUAUAAUAUAACCACACCUAGUUGUACCGGGAAAACAAUCCAACCGGGGGAUUGUUUGACUAGUCACCAUGGCAGAGUCAAAGUAAACAAAUUCCUCAAUUCACCAUGUGACUAGGGAACGAGCUGUCCAACUGGGGGACCAACUCUCAGCCAGCAUGUACCGUCGAUAGCCUCAAAACCCGUACGUCUGUGACCAGUCCUACGCGUGCAGACUACCCAAUCAAGGGUUUACAGCAACAUCCCAUCAAGGAUGCCCUAGGUUCCCACAAUUCCAAGUAUCUCAAGUUUGCGUAUCCAAGUUCCAAAUCCGGGGAGGUACAUAGGGUAGUGCUUAUAGCACUCCAAAUUGACAUUCUAUACUCAUCACUUUCCACAAUCUCAUCUCAACAACCUAAGUACCCCACACAUAGCCAAACAUAUAUAGAAAUUCUCAAAAUCCAUAUAUACAUACUCAAGAUACUCAAAUAUGUCAAAAUCCAAAAUAUAUUUCCAAUGCAUCAUAAAAAUAUCACUUUUAACAAUUGAAUAAAUAAUAUAUAUCCAAUAUACCAAUUAAAACAUCAUGCAUAAUAUUUCCCAUCAUAAAAUCAUGCAUAAGAUUUGAAAACAAAGUCCACUCACAAGUAGUCCCACACUGCUUGACCUUGAGAGGGUCCCGCCUACUGCGUAUGCGUGGUUGGAGUACCUAUUUCAGAAUACGUAUACGAGAUUAAUAAGAAGCGUUUCGAACGAGAACUUUGAAUUAAAUAUCCUAAUUUCCCAGGUUUCUAGUAAGUGUACUAGGAACGAGACGUUCUAAGGUUCCACUACCCAAUUCGAACCAUGGAAGAGCUUCGGGAGACACUCGGUCAACCGGCGGUCAAAUUCCCAAAUCGGGUCAACUGGCCCACGGGACCCACGACCUCCGUUUUUAAAAUCCGUAAGUUCCUAAAGGUUUCACAAUGUCUAAGAUACUACUAUCACAAGUUUGGUCCGAAACGGACUGUUAGAUCGCUUACGAUCGCACGAUCAGACGGUUAUUGUAAAACGUAAACUUUAAGUUAUUGAAUCAGAACAUCCGGGGCUCCGAUUCACGAUCCGCGAAUUCCUACACGAUCCUAGGAAGGUCUAGAGUAACAUAUAUUGGAAUGGAGUCGAUCCAAAGGUCCGAACAUAUCGAACCUAGACCGGAUAACUCCUAAUAUGUGAGAUUCGUUCGGGGUUCGAACAUCAACCAAAUUGGAAUCCUAAGGUACCUACGUGCUCGUGACAUUAAGGGGAUCAAUUGGGACAAAAAUGCCCCUCUGCUACAGUGCCCACGUGCCACCACACGCGGCGGUAGAGAGUGGGUGUCCAAAGCGAUUUCUCUUCGCCGGAAAAUCUCCAAAUUACAAGCCACUCUCCUGGCUACAGGUUCUACUCAACGAGUGGAACACUUUAUUCAACUACAGCCAAGUCCAAUUCGGACGGCAAGUGGCCGGAAACUCACGGUUUAACCCGGAACUUCAUGGCUUGGAUUGGGCGACCAUCGUCACCAUUGUCGUGGCACAACCUAGGAAAUAGCUAAAAGGAGAGGAGGGCUACCUAUUCCAAGCGAUGGCGCAGCUCGCGGUAGCCGAAAAUGUAGCCGAUGACGUUGGCAGUUUUGGCCGGUUUUUCACGUCGUUGCCAUCGCCGUUUGUCGAGUUUUCGAUUGGAGAAAAGGGGUGGGGUGAGUAGAGGAGGAAGAGAGGAAGCUUUUGCAAGAAAUGACACUUGUCAGGGAGGGGGGGGUUGGGGGAAGAGAGAGAGAGAGAGAGAGAGAGAGAGAGAAAAAAAAAAAAUUUCAGAUUUUCAUCCAAACCCUUUUCGAAAUAUUUACAAGUUUGCCACUAAACUACUUUUGGUUGCCAAAUCUUCGUUAUAACUCCGAUUCAAGCCUACCACGUGUCUACGGAUUCGUCUCAAUACAACCUACCCAAAAAUACCAGUCACUGCCCCAAACUCUUUUUGGGUAAGAAAAUGACCAAAAUACCCCUACCCCAAGGGUAAAUUCAUAAUUUCACUUCAAUAAUUUAAUAAAGAAUUAAAUUUGGAGUCGGGGUGUUACAUUAACUACCUGUUUAGUAGGUGUGGGGUUUUAUACAAAAAGCAUCGAUGUUAUUGGGAGUGGAACCACUUAUUAUAAGUUGUGAUUUAUUUAGUCAAGUUUCCUAUGUGGGAUUUUCUAUUCUUCAACAAGCCCCCUCAUGUGGGACCACCACAUAGUGGGCCACAUGUAAAGCUAAGUCCACAUCGGAGUCAAUCAUUCAAGCCCAAUACCUAAACACCACGUAUUGUGUGAGGGGUAGGGGUAAACAUUCAAGCCCAACAUGUGAACCACCAAAUAUUAAGUAAGGGUAAAGGCUCAAUUCAGGCCCAAUCAAUGAACCCAUUAUGAUAUCAUGUUAAAUUUCAGAUAGACGGGACUGUGGCCCACCACUAGCAACAUUGAUAUUGUCCCCAACUUAACUACAUGUUUAGUAGGUGUGGAGUUCUAUACAUAAGGUCUCGAUGUUUUUAGGAGUGGAACCACUUAUUAUAAGUUAUAAUUUAUUUAGUCAAGUUUCCAGUCAACCUGACUUUGAUACCAUGUUAAGAUUUUAAAGGGACGAACUCUUGGCACUAUUAGUAACAUCGACAUUGUCCCCAACUUAACCACCUGUUUAGCAAGUGUGGGGUUUUAUCCUAAAGGCCUCGAUCUUAUUAAGAGUUGAGUCAUUUAUUAUAUGGAACUUUCUAUUUUGUUAACUCUGUGUAUUCUUCAUCAAUGUGAACACCCCUAAACCAAUCAUACCUGAUACGAAUUGAAACACAAGUUUGUUUUUUGCCUUUGGUAGAUGAGUAGCUAGAAAAGCUCAAUGCACUUGCUCUUCUGCUACAUUUCAAUAUAAGAACAAGGUUUGGAAGUCAGGUCAACUCCUCAUAGCUUCCUUGCCUUUGCUUUGACAUGUCUAUGCACUUCUUGGGGAAGUUUGAAUAAUCCAUUGCAGGCCCCAUGACAACUAAGGAACCAACAUUUUGUAGAAGGUUUUGUCUAUACCUUUUGACUAUAAGUAAAAUCUUUUGUAUCUGCUCUUAUGUUUCGGUGAAGUUUCUAUGUGUCCUUUGUGCCGAGUUUCUAUGCGUCCUUUGUUGAACCAAAAAAUGAGGUUGUUUCUUACUAGAUUCAAAUACUUAAAAGAAAAAAAGAAAUUGUUGUUUCUUAAUGGAUUUUAUGAUGAACAAUAUCAAACUCUCCUCUUAUACGUCUGUUGGUAAAUUUUAACAACAAUAUUAAAACCUUGCAAGUGCACAAAUCAAAUGAUAGUAUAGUAAGCAAGCAAGGGUCGAUCCCACGGAGAUUGUGAUCUAAAGAGAUGUUUAUCAAUGUCACGCAAUGAAAAUCAAAACAAAGGACUUCCAAACACACGCCAACACCAAGGGGGGUUUUGAUUUGUUUUUGUGAAUCAAACAAAAUAAGGAAAAGGAAACAAAAGAGAAUUUAAAUUAGAGUUUAAGAGAAAUUGGUUUAAAAUCAAUCAAGAUCAAUAGCUAGGACUUACUAUCCACCUCCAAACAAUCAAUCAAUCCAUAAACAACAAUAGAUAAUCAAUUUCUAGUAAGCACACUACUACAAAAAAGCAAAAAGACGACGGUAAAUCACCGUCGUGUAUUCGGUUUUUCAAUGGUCGUGGAAUCCACCGUCAUCUUUUCCCUCAUAAACCACGACGCUAAAUCACCGUCGUUGUUACAAUAUACAACGUCAUCAACAAAUACAAAACGACGUCUUUGUACUGCAAAAAGAUCUAAAAAAGCAAUCGAUGAUGAGAAAAGACGACCAACUCUCUAAACAAACCGUCGUUAAAAAGAAAAAAUAUGACACAUAUUAACAGAACAUGGCCGCAAGAUAGACAUACAACGACGAAAAUUAAAAUAAGACGCCGUUAAAUAUCAUUUUCACGACAAUAAAAAAUAUGUCGUCUUUAAAUACAUUAGAAGACGACGUUAUUGAUACCUACUACGUCGCCUAUAUAAAAAUAACCGUCGUAAAAUAAAUUUUCCACUUCGAUUUUUCUAUAAAAGAUGACGUGGAAAUAGUUGUCAGUGUCAUUAUUUACGACGUAUGUAUUUAUAGAGUAGACGUUGAACAACGAAACAACGUCGGUUACAAAUAUAUGAGAGUCGUAUUACAAAAUUUAUACGUCCUAUUUUCAGAAACAAACAACGACGAUAAAUAUUAGACGUUGUUAAAUAAAACAACGUCGAAAACAAAUAAAAACAGACGUGUUUAGUCUGCUAAAGUUCUAAAAAAUAGUCGAGGAUGAGAAUAGACGACCAACUCAAACAAAUCACCGUCGUUAAAAAGGAAAAAUAUGACACAUAUUAAAAGAACAAGGCCGCAAGAUAGACAUACAACGACGACAACUAAAACACUACGCCGUCAAAUAUAAUUUUCACGACAAGAAAAAAUAUGACGUCUUUAAAUACAUGAGAAGACGACGUUAUUGAAAUAUACUACGUUUCUUAUUUACAAACAACCGUCGUGAAAUAAAUUUUCCACUUCGAUUUUUCUAAAAAAGAUGAUGUGGAAAUAGUUGUCAGUGUCAUUAUUUACGACGUAUGUAUUUAUAUAGUUGACGUUGAAAUGCGAAACAACGUCGGUGGCAUUUAUAUAGUCGACGUUGUAUUUAUAUGUAUUCAUUACUCACGACGCACUUAUUAAUAUAGACGACGUUGAACUUCUAAACAACGUCGGUUCCAAAUAAAUGAGAGCCGUAUUACAGAAAAUAUAGAUGGCGUUGAUUAUGAUGAGAGCCGUAUUACAAAUAACGUCGUUUAAUUGAUAUUAGACGGCGGUUAUAAUGAAUUACCGUCGGAAUUCAUUUCGUUCCUCUUCGUUUAUAAAAGAACUUGCGACGUGGAAAAUGUAUGAUGACGUCGUAUUUUUUAACGUUCAGAUUAUAUAUCUCGUUUUUUAGACGUCGGUAUUAUGGGAUUGGAGUCGUGUUAUUUUGAAUUACAUGGCGGUUCUUAAUCCUUCCCCGACGUGAUAUCCUGAAUAAUUGCUUCAUAAUAGCGUCGUGGUUCUUCAUUGUUACGUUGCUUUAAGACGUCGGUAAAUAUGCUGAAUAACUGGUUCACAAUAACGUCGUGUUUUAUUUGAACGUAGAAAGUGAAGAAAUCACAUUACAAUAUAUUACAAAAUUAAUGUCAUACACUGCCAAUUACAUAAGCAUCAUUCAAUCCAUAUAUCUUCACACCCAUCUCGAAUAUUUUGACCGCCUAACUCACCCACCAGUUCAUCAAAUGUGUCAACAUUUGGCAUCCCUCUAGUAAAUGGCUCACACUCAAUUAUCACAUCACCUAAGACUUCAUCACCAAUAACAUUAUUAUAUUCUCUAUUAGGCAUUGAUAACACUACCGACCAACCACGAUGCAUCGGGUCGUCAACAAAAAAUAUUUGUUUGACUUGAGAAGCCAAAACAAAUUGGUCAUUCCUAUGUCCAAUUUUACUCAAAUCUACAAGGGUAAAUCCAAGUUCGUCGACUACAAGACCAGAACUAUCUAUCCAAUCACACCUAAAGACUGGGAUUGUAAACUUUUGGUAGUCAAGGUCCCAAAUUUCUUGAAUGACACCAUAGAAACCCAUAUUUGAGAGAAUUGAGUUUUUAUCCUUGGCACUAGCAACUUGCAUGGUAUGUGCAAGUAAAUAAACUCCACUAUUUUGAGUUGUCCGCACAUCAUCUUGUGCCUUGAUAUUGAAUUUAAUACCUUUAAUAAGAUAGCUCCUAUAUAAUGGCACAGCCAUGUUUGGACCAGCUGCUAGCCACCUUAAAUUUUCUGAUACGCCAUGAUUGUCUUCCUCAAGUUCACUUUGAACCUGCAAAUUAAUCAUAUAUCUUAAUGCAAUCUAACAUAGAAAUAAGAAGAAAAUUAAAAGAGAAAUAUGUUAUUCAACAACAUAUACCUUGAAGCGUAGCCAUUGAAUGAAAGUGUUAUUGUGCUUAUCCUGCAGCCACUUUGUGAUUUAAGGUAUGACAAUCAUGUGAUUUAAGGCCAAGAAGUCUUGAAUCUUGUAAAGAUACAAGAUUUUUAAUAUUUGAAGAAUAACCUUCAGGGACCUUCAUACCAUAGAAAGAAUUGCAAACCUCUCUCUUCUCUGCUCUUGACAAAUUCCAAGGCCCAGGAGGCAAACGAGUACGUCUUUCUCCAUACUCGGGUUGCAAAUCAGUUUUGACCCCCAUGUUCAAUAAAUCUAAUCGAGCAGCAAUCCCAUCUUUAUUUUUUCCAGGGAUCUCCAGCAAUGUACCAAUGAUACUAUCGCAAACAUUCUUCUCAAUGUGCAUAACAUCUAGGGCAUGCCUCACAGGAAGGUAUUUCCAAUACUCGAGAUCAAAGAAUAUUGAUUUCUUCUUCCAACAAACUCUGUCACCAUUUUCAACCAUGUGCAGCACUUCUUCUCCGGUUAAUGGCUCGGGAGGUAUGCCAUAUUCAGGUUUCCCAUUAAAAGCUGCACGUUGCCUCCUAUAUGGAUGAUUGAUUGGUAACCAUUUUCUAUGCCCAAUGUAACAAAUUUUGUGGCCAUUUUCAACCUGUGACUAGGUGUAUCAUCGCCGCAUAUUGGACAAGCUUUAUAUCCUUUAACAACACAACCAGAUAAGUUUCCAUAGGCGGGGAAAUCAUUAAUUGUCCACAUUAAUGCAGCUCUGAGUGUAAAGUAUUCUCCAUUAUGUGCAUCAUACACUCCUCUAAUCCCAUCCCACAAAGAUUUUAAAUCAUCAAUCAAAGGCUCCAAGUAGACGUCUAUAUCAUUUUCGGGUUGUUUAGGACCGGAAAUCAAUAAGGUUAACAUCAUGAACUUUCGUUUCAUGCACAGCCAUGGAGGGAGAUUAUAUGUAACUAAGAUAACCGGCCAACAACUAUAUCUGCUACUUAGAGAACUGUGGGGAUUGAAUCCAUCAGAUGAAAGAGCCAAUCUCAAGUUUCUCGGCUCAUUACCAAACUCAGGCCAUUUAUCAUCAAGAAGUUUCCAAGACGGGGAAUCCGCCGGAUGAGACAUCUGACCGUCAAUUGAUUUUCUAGCAGCAUGCCAAGUCAAACUCUUAGCUGUCUCAUGUGAUUGAAACAUCCUUUUAAACCUUGGAAUUGGAGGAAAAUACCACACCACCUUCGCUGGCACAUCCUCUUUCAAGAUUGAAUCUUUGCCUUCCUUCCACCUUGAGAUACCACAAGUAGGACAAUUAGUUGAAUCCUCAUACUCCUUCCUAUACAAGAUGCAAUCAUUGGGGCAUGCGUGCAUUUUCUCAUAACUCAGCCCCAAUGCACACAAAGUCUUUUUUGCCUCAUACAUAGAGGUUGGUAUUGUAUUUCCUUCUGGAAGCAAAUCGCCUUGAAGUAUCAAUAAUUCUGUAAAACAGACAUCACUCAUCCCAUGUUUUGCCUUCAAAUUAUACAACUUCACUAAUGCCGAUAACUUCGUGUACUUUCUACAACCAGGGUACACUGGUUGAUCUCCAUCCCCAAUCACAUUGGCAAACUCAUACGGAUCGGAACCAAAAUCACCAAAAUCAUUAUCAUCCAUAUCAAUUUCUUCAGACACAAAACUGUACCUACUAUGGCCAUCAUCUUCUUCAACAUUUCUACUAGCAUUAGUAGUUGCUUCCCAAGGUUCUCCGUGAAAUGUCCAAUUCUUAUAGCUUUGGUCAAUUCCAUUAAAGUAUAAGUGAUCCCUUAUAAUUCCAACCCCAAACAACUUCAAAUUAACACAUUUAACACAUGGACAACGGAUAUGUGUUGUAGUUAGAAGAUUUUCUACAGCAAAGUUCAAAAAUGCUUCCACCCCAAACUCAUAUGCCUUCGAUCUUCUAUCCGAGUGCAUCCAUGACUUAUUCAUCUCCGACACUAUAACCUAUUAUCUAUAAUAAAGUGAAAAUACAGGCAAUGACCAUCACUAUAGCAGAUUAUACAAAGAUCUAAUAGCAAGUAAUACAUAACAGAGACGACGGGUUUUAAACAAAAACAGACGUAUUUGGCAUAUAUAGACGACGGAUUUUCAACAGACGUCGUCUAAUAUAAGUAAUACAAACGACGGUUUAUGAAAAAACCGUCGUGUAUAAGUAAUACAACGACGGUUUUUUCAUAAACCGUCGUGUAAUCGUCGUCGUAUGCCUAAAAAGGCGUCGUGUCUCAGUUUAUUUUCAAGAACCCAAAACCCAUUAAGAACACAACAUAUAUAUGAAACCAAGCAAGAAACCAACAUAUACAUGAAGCCAAGCAUGAAAACAAUAAAUCCAUUCCCAAUUCAACAUAACAUAGGGUGAUUAAAAGAUCCGACAAAAUUAAAACCAUUCCCAAUUCAACAUAACAGAUAAUGUAAUCCAUGAACCCAUUAAACAGAAAAUCCAUGAACCUAUACCUAUAAGCACAUUAUUAACAGAUCGCAAAGCAUAUACCUAAAACCCUUUAACAAAACAACCUAAUAUCAUUCAAUGAAUUUACAAAGGGAAGAUAGGGUUUGUACUUACAGGUUGGACGAGCUCACAGAUUCGACGAAGCCUGGAGAGUGCAACUUUUAAUUAGAGCAGAAGUGAGAGAGCGAAUGUUAUGUUGCGCGAAAUCUGAAAAUUUUAGGGUUCAGGGUUAGAAGUAUAAGAAUAAGAGCCAAAUAUAAAAAAAUUUAGGGCGCGCGAAAAUUUUUAGAGCGCGCGCUCUUUAAAACGUCGAAAGAAAAACCAUGGCGAAAGUUCUACAAGAACCGACGUAAAUGUAAUAUUCCACGACGAAAACACUUAACGUAACGCCGUUUAUUUUGACGUUCAUUUUUCGGAUUAAUUUUAAAUUUAUUUUGAAUAUUUUGAUAUAAAGACGACUGAAAAACCACGUCGAAGUUAAGAAAUUGAAAACGUUGUAAAUUAUAAUAGACGACUUACAUAUUAAAAUGACGUCGUUUAAAGUGGAAACCAUGUCGGAUAUUUUACUGCACGACGUAACAUAUGUAUUCCACGACUCAACCACCGUCGUUAACAAUUAAUACCCUAAACCCUUAAAACUAAAUUAUAUAAUUUUAAAAAUUAAGUUUAUAAAAGGGUUUAUGGUUUUACAGCCUAAUAUAUACCCUAUACUACCCAAAAAUUAUACUUUAAAAAUAAACCCCAAUAAAUAACAACCCUAAUCUCUAAACCCUAGACUCUAAACCCUAAACCAUAAAACUAGAAGUGAUUUUAUGACUCAUCAAAACAAUUUUGUUUUGGAUGGUCAUUUUAAAUUUUUUUUAUUCAAAAUGAAUUUUUUCAAGGUUUAGGGGGAAGAAAAUAUAUCAAUGACUUCAUAGGAGUUGACUUUUCAUUUUUCUGAUUUAUUUUAAAUUUAUUUUGAAUAUUUUGAUAUAAAAAUAAUAAAAUAUUCUUAUCACAAUAACAAACCACGUCGGUGUUAAUAAAUUUUAGACGUUGUAAAUUGUAAUAGACGACUAAGUUGUUAAAAUGACGUCGUUUAAAUGAGAAACCAUGGCGGAUAUUUAACUAUCCGACAUAAAAUAUAUAUUCCACGACUUAACCGCUGUCGUUACAAAGUACUACCCUGAACCCUUAAGAAAUUGAAGACGUUGUAAACCAUAAACGACUCAAUUGUUCAAAGAACGUCGUCUAAAUAUCCUUUUACGUCGGAUUUGGUUAAAACGAAACAACAAAAAACGACGGCUUUUGACUUUAUUACGUCGUUGGAAAAGUAUUACACGUCGGUUACGCAAUUUGUAUGUUUGUUUUUUUUUUUAAUUUAAGAAAACCUCAACAAAUUUUUACAUUAUAUAUUAUAGACAAAAUUUGUACAUUAUACAUAAAUAUCAAGUGUUCAAUAAUUCCCCUAUUCCAGGUGAAGGCAAACAAACUCUGACCAUUCAUUCCGGACUUCAUCAAUUGCUUCUUGGGGGUAUGGCGCUUCCUGUUUUCCCUUGGCAUACUGCAUAAACAAUGACUAUUAGGGUUUAUAAAUAAAAAGAAAUUCAAUCACAGACGACGAUAUUUUUCAUAACCGACGUACUAUAUCUAUUCAACGACGGUAAUUUUACAUGACCGUCGUUGAUAAUACAAAAAACGACGUAAAAUGUAUGAAGGUAAUUUCUUCUUACCUUCUUCUCAAACCCCAAGGAAGGAUCCAUGAUGAUGUCCCUCAUGAAGCGCAUCACAUAAUACCCGCAUUCGACAUUGCUGGGUUGCUUUGGUGUCCCUGACAGAGUUUUCCAAAUGGCUGCCUUACGGCCUGGUCUGGCUAUGUGAGAAUUAUAAAUUUUUAUAGCACUGUUCACAAUGUUUUUGGCCUCUUCAUCGACCACACGAUUUCCUGGCAGAGGAUCCAGAAAAUAGACGGUUUCUCUCUUUGCUCUUACAAUCAGCAAGAUCCAAUGACGGCUGCACAAAAUUAAUAUAAAAACGACGGUUAUUUACAAUAACGACGUAUUAUAAUGUUUCACACGACGAAAUAAAGUAGCAAUCGACGACAUUUUACAUUUAUCACGACGAUAAAUAACUACCGACGUGGUUAGUAGUUUCAAACGACUCAAUAAAAUAAAACACCGACGUGGUUAGUUUAUACGCUGUAAUUUAUUGAAAAUCAUAAAAACAAAAUCCUGUUAAGGAGACUAACCCUGGAUUGUAAGGCAUCAGGAAAAUCUGUUCACCGUCAGUCUUUUGAAGUCGAGCUGCUAGUAAGCGUGAUCUGUCAGCUAUUGUGCCAGAGUUGGCACUAACUGUAGCAAGGUCGAUAAAGCCAACCAUAUUGCACAUAUUUGCUCGUUUCAAAACAUCGUGCAAGUGCCUAAAUAUAUAAAAUAAUAUAAACAAGUCAGCACAAAAAAACACACGACGGUUAUGUAUAACAAAACGACGUAUUAUAAAAUUUCACACGACGUACUGAAAUAGACAACGACGUUAUAAUAUAUUUAUCACGACGGUAAAUACUAACGACGUGGUUAGUUAGUUAAGACGACGUAAUAAAUAAACCAACGACGUAUUAUUUUAGAAUGACAAACCUCAUAUAUACAAAAAAACACGACGGUUAUGUAUAACAAAACGACGUAUUAUAAAAUUUCACACGACAUACUGAAAUAGACAACGACGUUAUGAUAUACUAACGACGUGGUUAGUUGGUUAAGACGACGCAAUAAAUACACCAACGACGUAUUAUUUUAGAAUGACAAACCUCAUAUAUACAGCAAUGACAGUGGCUCCUAUUUCUUCCAUGCCUGCAAAUUGUGUAAUAUCUUCAGGCAGGAGGAAGGUAUCGCGCUCUAGACCAAACACCUCCUUAUCAAUUGUAAAGUGCAGGGUCUUAUCCUGAGGCACGAGUGUCGUUUCCACAUAACGACAAAGGGAGUUUAAAGAAGAUGGCGCCUCCAUAUUUGAAUAAUCAACAACUUUAAUAACCUGUUUAAAGAAAUAUAAAAAAUGACGUGGUAAUUCAAUAAAAACGACGGUUUAAGGAAUAAAACGUCGUCUGAAAAGAAUUUAAACGUCGUCUGAAGAAACCGUCGUGGUGAAUAAUUUAUUACGUCUUAAAAAAAAUUCCGCCGUCUAAGUUGUAAACAAACGACGGUUUAAAGAAAAAUAUCGACGUCUGGAAUUUUGAAAAACAAAUAAAAAAGGCAAAGUUAUGUGAACAUACCUGGUCGUCAUCUUCUUUCUCCUUUUCAUCAUGUUUUUCUUCUGUCUUCCCUUCAUCUAUUACGUCGAGAAUGACUAACUCCGUCGUCUAAAAACCACAAAGUUUUAAAAUAACGACGUUUAAUGGCGUGUAAAACAAGUAAACUAAAUACGACGUGGUAUUGAAAUACAAACGACGGUUUAUGUUUAAAAUCGUGGUGGUAUGUAUUUCAAACGACGGUUUUAUUAAUAAUAACGACAUCUAAUGGUUUUUAAAAAAACAGAGAAUUCAAAGUUCAGAUAUGUUACCUUUUCUUCCUGAUGUUUCCCAUUUUUGGCAGUAUCAUCCUCAAAAUGCUGGGAUCUCACAUCACCUCCAGAGCAGCUUGCUUUGUCAGACAUUGGAUUUUUGGGACUUUGGCUAAUUCUGGGUUUAAGCAUGCUUGGAUCAAAAUUGGGAAUUAAUUGGGAAAGCUGACUCAGGAAAUGCUCCCUCUCAGCCUCUACCAAUUGUUUCGUUCUAGCCUCCAUCCUUAAAGCCUCUUCCCUUGCCUUAGCUUCCAUCUUUUUAGUCUCUUCUUGAAGGAGAACUCUUAAACUGUCCUUCAAACGGUCGUCAAAGCUCACUCUCUGUGGUUUGGGUAAAUUGAAAUAUUGCCUUGGUGAGAUCCCAGCACCUACUCCUCUCACUCUGCCUGGAUGCUCGGGGCCCAAAGCCAUGGUCAGCACAUCAUUGCUGCCAGAAACAGUGACUUUGCCUUCCGAGACUUGUUUUUGCAAUUCAUCCUAAAACAAAGAUAUAUAAAAAAGUAAGAACAAAAACACACGACGGUUAUUUAUAUACAAACGACGUAUUAUAUAAUUUCACACGACGCAAUAACAUAUAAAUCGACGUUAUUAUAAUUUAUCACGACGGUAGUUUUUAAACCGACGUGGUUAGUUUUUAAAACGACGAAAUGAAUAAACCACCGACGUCUUAUGCUUUAUUUACAGAUAACAGAGGGAUGAUUCAAUAUUCACACCUUUAACGACCUUGUUUAAAAUAUUUCGACGUAGUAAUUCAAUACAAACGACGCGAAAAUGAACCACCGACAUCUUAUGCUAUAAUUACAGAAAACAGAGUAGUGAUUCCUGAUUUAGACCUUUAACGAUGUGGUAAUAUCAUUCACACGACGCAAAAUAUAACAUAAGACGUAAUAAGAAUUAUUCACAGUUUAAUAAAAAUUUAAAACAGAGUGAGUAGGCUUACAAUUAAUUUUGCUUUCUCUGCCACCUUUGGAUCCGGGAUGUUACCAUGUUUGUCCUGUCUAGCUCUCUUCCAUAAGGUAGAUCGAUCAAUUUCUACCCCAGGCAUGGUUUCCUCCAAUUGAUCCUCCAAACCAGCAUAUCCUUUUCGAGACAAUCGAUGAUUGUACUCAAGUUUCUCCCUAAUCUGUGCAUGUUGAGAAUGCACAGACUCAAAAUCUUUGGAUAACCUUGAAGCUACAAAGGCAUCCCAUUGUGCUUUCUCUAUGAAUUUAUAUAUUUCAGGGGGUUGGCUUAAUCUCUCCCUGUCAUUAGUGUAUGGAAGGAUAUAUUGCCUCGUUAGUGUAGACUUGAAAUCCUUCCAUUUCUUGGCAGCAGAAGCUAACACAGAGCUCUUGCCCCCUUGACCUACCACAAAAGCAAUGUCAACUGCUUCCCAAAUCUGCUCCUUUAUAUCCUUGGAGAUUUGAGCCUAUUUCAUGUCCACAAGUGGAACUCUGGAGCGUGCCAACACACCAAUGUAGGACUGCAUCUCACUAUGUGCUUGGCCAAUUCCUUUCCCCCUUUUAUUGUACUCAACAAUUGGCCUCAGUUUCUGAAGUUUUCUCUUCACAACAUGAGGCAUUGUGCUCAUACCUCGACCAGACUUUGAAUCAUCAGAGAUUGUUGUCGUGCUGGUUCGUUCUGUCUCAGCAGAUGAUGAAGCAAACUUCAUCUUCUUCGAAGGCUUCACUUGAGGAGGUACCAUUCCAAGGUCCUUACCUCCAUUUUUCUUGGAGCCAGAAUCCUUACUUUGGUCUUAGUGAGAAACCAUUUUUACAGACAAAACUGCAAGUGAAAAUAUUUCAGGAAAAGAUUAAGAACACAAACGACAGUUAUUAAUAAAAUACGACGUAUGAUAUGAUUUUAAACGACGCAAUGAAAUAAUCUCAGACGUAAUAAAUGUUUAAAACCAAGGUAAUUAAACAACGACGAAAUAAUUAACUAUAAACGACGUGAUAAUUAACUAUAAACGACGAAAUAUUUAUAUAACGUCGUGGUAUUGAUGUUCACACGACGUCAGUCGUAAUAUACCGUCGUCUAUAUAAGGAUCCAAAACCCUUCUUUCUUUCUCUGUGAAUGUUUGAUUGCAGAUUUGAUUUUUCUGAACCAUGGUUUUUGUUUUCUAAUUUGAUAAAAUACAAGGCCAAGAAAGAAAGUUUUGGAAUCUUAUAUAGACGACGGUAUUUUAAUAUGACGUCGUGGUAUUAACAUUCACACGACGUAAAACAAUAAGAUACUGUCGUCUAUAUUAGAUACCAACCCUACUUUCUUUUUCUUUAUAUUUUAUCAAAUUAGGGAAAAACAAAAACCAUUGUUCAGAGAAAUCAAACCUGCAAUUAAACAAGCAAAUAAAAAAAAGACUAUAAUUUUAAAAACAACUUUGUCAAUUUUCAGACGACGCUAGAACGACUGACGAACCGUCGUGGUCUACAUAUUUAACCACGUACAUAAGAAGCUACCGUCGUCUUAUUUAGUUGAGGUAGUUGUCUUCAAAGUUGGAAACUUUCCCUCUUUGUCUGUAUAUUUUAUUGAACUUGGAAAGAAGUAAAAUGAUUUUGGCCAGAAAAAAGGUAAAAAGAUUUUUCAAACAAAAAACGUAUGAGCAUGCAAAACAACAACCAAAAUAGUGAAAAUGAAAGCUUACCUUUUGCGUGCAAUGAAAGCAAGAGGAAGAUUAUGUUUAAGUUCAGAGACGACGAAGAAGAAGAGAGGAAGACGAUGAGAUACUCUGACAGUGCUCUGACAAGGAAAAAAGUCUAAAAGUUUUCUCUGGGAGAUUGAACUUUUUAAUCGGGUUUGAAAACGGCGCAUGUGUAUGUCAGGUAGACGAAAAGUUGCUUACAUAUAAAACCAUUUCAAAAAAAUAAUACGGCGGUUACAUAUAACUACGACGUAUAAAUUACAAAAUACGACGGUACAUUUAACUUCGGACGUGGUAAAUAAAUACGACAGUAGUGUUGUAGGUACCGUCGUAGUAAACUCAAAAAUUAAAGUACAUAAGUAAUAACUCGCGUCAUGGUAGAUUAUUUAACACGUCGUUUUUAUUAAUUUACCGACGUGGAUUUCUGUAAUAUACGUCGAUAAUACCGACGUUGAUUUUACAAUUUAAACGGCGGUUUUUUUGUAAGGACCGCCGUUGGUUUUAAAAAUUUAUUCUAUAAAUUUGUCGCUUUCAUUCAUUUUCGGUUUACAUUUAAGGUUCCAAGUUCUUCCUCUCUCAGUCUCUCACGUCUCAAAGACAAUAAUUUGGAUGUCUUUCUCAAAGAGAAAUUGAGCUUACUCGCAUCAAAUAUAUGUCCACAAGAAGAAGCUUGUCAACUAGCCUUCUCACUUCCUUGAUCAAGCCUGAUAGGACACUUAGUGCUUCUGAAUACUCCUUGCUUUCCAUCAAAAGAGAUGCAAGCCUGGCCUCCACUCGCUGUCGAAGGAAAGUUCGCUUCUCAGGGAAAUCUUCUUGAUUUUCUUGGCUAAGAAGAUCCGUCAGAUUUGUGAUAGCCUCUUCCUUUAUCCGUAGAGCUUCAGAAGAAGAAGAUGGGUUUCAAGAAUGCGAUAAAGAAUAGAAAUGGCUUCAGAUGGCCUCUAAAGCAUGAGCAAUCGAAUCAGUAGUUGUUGGGAGAUAUGAUGAAGACAUUGUCAAUGCUUUGAACUAUACAAGUCCUGCAGAAAGAUAAAGGACCAAACUGUUAAAGAAACUGAAACAAUGGCGGUUUUCUGUUCUACCGUCGUCUUUUCUCGUCGUCUAUAUUAAGGUAAGAUGGCGGUAGAUUUAUAAUUACCGACGUAGAUUAUUUUGUUAAACGUCGUUAAGUGUACUACAACCGACGUGGAUUUUAUUUUUAAAUUAUAAAUAGAGUUUUUUUUCCCCUAUUCUUUCAGUUUUAGUUUUCAAUUACAAAGCGUGAUAAAUAGAUUUUUCUUUCCCGAGGAAAUUUAAAAUGAGGGAAAUUAAUGUUCUAGAAUUUGUAAACUAACACGACGCAAUAUUUGCAAAUCUGUGUCAUCUGUUAAGAUUAUGAUGUGGAACAGAGUUCCAUCUGGUAAGAUUUCGUAACCCUUGGGAUCUCAGACAAAUCUGAUUAUGUCGGCGGUUUUCUAUAUAAAUCGUCGUGGUUAUUUCAAUUCUUGUCAUUAAGUAGAUCUACCGACGUAGGAUAAGAAAAUCAAAGAAAAAAAUUGUUAACAAAAAUUCUUAUUAAGACGACGGUUAAAAUUAAAGGUACGACGUAUAAAAUGAAUAAAUACGACGUUAAAUUUUAUUGUACGAUUUAAAGAUAACGUCGUAGAACUAUAAGAGAAUGACGUCGAUAUAUUUAUAUUUUCCGUCGUUGUACAUUAAUUUAAUACGGCGAUAUUUUGUAUUUUAAAGCCGUGGAUUUGUUUGUAAUUAUACGGCGUCUUAUACGAAAACCUCGUCGUGUUAUUUUAUGAGUAAAAACGGCAGUUUUUAUUGAAAUCGUCGUCUUUACUUUCUACGUCGGUCGAUUCAUAACUUCUGCCGUUCUUUGUUGGCAUUGAUUUUACACUGCGAAAAUCUGUUUCAAAUAGACGUCGGUUGUUUAAUUAUGUACGUUGUUGUUUUUGAACAGCCAUUUGAAUCUCCAUUUUUUAGUUGUCUAAGGUUGUAUUACACGACGGUGUUUUUAGAACCGUCGUCUUUUUAAAAACCACGACGGUUUUCACUUAGACCGUCGUUGUUUUCUGGUCGUCUUUUUCACUUUUUGUAGUAGUGGCAUAUGAUGACGACACUCACAACAAGAUCAUGGCAUUUGACUCGAGUUGUAUGAUUCUCUCUUAAGUGUAUGUAAAGUGUAUGACAUUUACAUCAAUACGUGUAUUCUUAAUUGAAAUCUACUAUGGCAUUUACUCAAAUUAACAAUCAAGAAUCCAUUAAGAUCAAAGAGAAUAUGAGUGUCACAAAAACCCUAAAACAUGGCAUUUGUUAUUAGGAAUUCAAGAAUCGAUUUCUCAUAACUAGUUCUUAACCCAAUUAUUCGUUGCAAAUAAGAACACAUUCAAUAUGGCAAUUGACCUAUGUUCUACAACAAUUUAAUUCCAAUACAUGCUUCUAAGUUAGCUACUCAAAGAAACAAAAUAUCAGAAUUCACAUAACAUAUAGAAACCGAAAACAUCACGCUUGUAGAAACUAAAAAUCCAUUAACCUUGUUUAUAAAAUUGAAAUCAUGUUUAGGGCUUCAAGAUUAAGCCCUAACUAACAAGAAAUUAGUUACUCAUGGUCUUGGAUGAACUCAAAAAUAAAUACAUAAGAACUGAAAAUUAAAGAAGGAAGGAAAAGAAAGAACUCGUUCGCAGCUUUCUCCUCUUGCGCUGUUGAUCUCUUUAGGACGUGAAUCCUUUUUAUCAGCCUUGCCUCGUCUUUUAUAUCACUUAUAUCAGAGUUCUAAACCCUAAAAUUGACUGAAAAGUCGUCCAAGAAGUCUUGGUAAACAAGGAAUCCAAAUAGGAAAGUAAAAAUCACAAUUCCUAACUCCACUGGGAAAUACAGCUCAGCCCAAUGUUCACACGAUUUUGGGAUCUUCGACCUUGUAGAAAAAUCAUUAAAAAUAUAUUUUAGAAAGAUAAAUGUCUUAUCUUUCCAACCAUAUAUAGCACGUAACUUGAAAAAUUCGGAAAGGCUUCCGUUUCUUCACAUUCACGUAGCAUGUACGAAACUGUCCUGUCUGCACGUGGGCUAACUUUACUUGUAAUACUGUACCAAUUGGCUCGGUAGAAAAUUCUAGAAAAAUCAUAGAUUGAACUUCAAGAUGUUAGCUUUCAUCUCCAAUCAGGGGCGGCCUUGGGGAGGUGCAAGUGGCGCCACCGCACAGGGCCCCCGAAAAAAAAAAUAUUUAUAUUAUAUAUAUAUAUUAAUAUUAUAUGAAUCGUAUAUAUAAUAUAGCGUCUGGAUAUUUGCACAACAGCGUGUUCAGGGGAGUUGGAUGGAGCACAUCUCUCUUUGGCAAAAGGGCCCGAGUUCGAUGCUCCUUGAUGUCGUUCUACUGGCUAGCCUUUUGUGAUAUUAUUUUUGCAUUCAAACUUUACAUAAUUAUUGAACCAUUGGAUUAAUAUGCAACGAUGGGUGACCACAAUCUCUUGGACUCCUGUGGUCCAUGAGAUCGGGACUGAUAUUACAUGACUUAUUUUAUUAAAUUAUUAUCAUGUUGAUGAUUGGUUGUAUGAGAAUAUAGUUUGUAGAAAUAUUUAUCUAUUUCUUGUUGGGGUUUUCUUCCAGGUUAUAGGGUUUUGGAAUUUUUCUUUGUAAUCUAAACAUGCCACCUACUAGAAAAUACGUUUAUGGAUAUACAAAACGGCUUAGAAAAAGAAAAUUCGAGGAAUUGACUCAAUCUCAAAGAGGAGCUCUUGAUAGAUUCAUUGUUAGAGAAUCACAUGCUACAAUUGAUGAAAAUAUUUAAAUUUUUAUGAAUUUAAUUUCUGAUUUUCAUUGCAUAUUUAUUGAUGGUGAAUUUUAGUUAUAAAAAAAAAUUGUUUAUGACAUUAAGUUAUGGCAAAUUUUUAUAGUAUUUUCGUAUUAGAUUAUGCAAGGCCCCAAUUUAAGUUUCGCACAGGGCCCUCAAAAUCUCAGGGACGGCCCUGUCUCCAAUUGGUCUUGUGCUAAAAUUCCUCCGAAAAGUUGAUUUUCCCUUAAAAACCUUCUAAGAGUGCAGAAAAGCUGAAAAUCAGAAAAAUAAAGUAAUAAGCCAUUUUUAAAUCUAAUUCUCUUACAAAACCAAAGUAAAAAGAGUACAUAAAUGAGUAUAUUUAUGGACUUAUCAACGUCUUCUUCGUUGGACUUGGGGUUGUUUUCCUUAUAUGUCCCCUAUAUAUAUAUAUGGCCUUUAGUUGAGCCCACAAAUACCUUCAGUUAGUUUUUGGGUUUAGGGGCCUACAGAACCUGCACUAAACAAUAAAAGAAAAUACCUAAUUAGUUUAGUACGAAUUUAUAAUGAAGGCUUUAUUAGGUGAAGUUUUAUUUCUUAAUCGUUAGAUCAAAUUGGUUAGCAUCUGAAGUCGCCCAAAGAUUUGAGAGGGAUUCCACAAACAUAUAAUAUAAAGAAAGAAAGCAAUAGUAGGAGAUGAACCAGUACAAAAAACAAUAUAUAAAUAGUACAUAAUAAUUCCAUAACCUUGUCACAAACGCACUCACAAAUGCUUUCCAUAAACCUUGCCCUAACAUAUAACAAAUAAAGGCAACAUUGCAUAUGAUGCAACCAUGUCCAAAUCUGAUACGUGAUAAAAAAAAAAGGACAUGGCAGCAACAUAUGACUGAAGUAGAUGGGCUCUUUGCAUCUCGUGUUAUCGUAAUUAAAGACAUCAAAAUAUUAAGGUUGAAAUCUUCUAUAGUAGCAAGCAUUAAAAUAGGUUUGAAGCAGAGUUUAAAGAAAAUUCCAAUUCCACUGAUUUGCCUCUGCUCAAAGACGAGAACCAAAAUGGUUACUUCCCUUGCUGAGUAUAUUUGUUAACGUCGGAAACGGUAAUAGAUGACCAAUCAAACCCAAGUACGACGAGUUUUGCAUAGGAUCAGAAGUAGUUGAAUCCAGCUUGCAUCACACGCUUCUUUGACUCCAUUGCAUUAGAUGAGUUUUUGUAUUUUUGAACAGCUACACUCCGAAGUCGUUUGUGUCUACGCUUCAUGCGCUGCAACUUCGCCCUAUCCAGAUUGGCCUGCCUUUUGUCAUCUUCAAUUUGGCCUUCAACAAAUUCCAAACGUGCCCUUGCCCUUUGGAUUUCAUCACCAAGUUGAAGAUGCCUCUCCUUCCAAAAAGCAAGAACUCUUUCAGACUCAAAACUUCCAACAAAAUGGUCAUUCUAUCUAGGAAUGUGACAUUGCUUGUCUGGUGACUCACCUGCGUUUCAAAGGCGGUCUUUGUUUGGAGGGGUGUUUAUUAUGCUCACAUCAAACUUGGUUAGUAAAUCCAUUCUAUGGGGGGAGUGAGUUUCUGUGGAGGAGAGAGUUUCAGUAGAUGGAGACAGAUUCGGUGGAGGAGUGAGAUUUUUGUGGAGGGAGAAUUUCUAUGAAAUGGGUGAUAGUAAUACCAAUAAAAGGGUUCCCGCCAAAAAGUAUUUGGUUGACAAUGUAUAAAUUAAUUUUUGGUCUGAUACAAUCUAAGUUUAAUCCUAACUAGUUUGGUUAGUUUGGUUGAAUUCACUAACUAGAUGUCACUUCCAUUGAGUUUCUUUCAACCACUAUCAGUGGUGUAAGGAGAGUGUGAGGUUGACAUGCUUGAAAAGCAAAACCUAACACCUCUUUUUUUUAAAAUUGAAAGAAAGUACAUAUGUUGACUACACACAAGCUUUGGUAUGUUGGUCUAUAAAGCUAUGUUCCCUUUCUCAAACGAAAUUGCAUAUGCAAUCCUCGUCCUCCCAAAACAAAUAGAAUUAUUCAAGCAUGUCAACCUCUUCAGGCGCCAACAACACAAUCAAAGAUGACAAAUUGGAGUCGCAGGUUCUAUUUCCACAUUGUACUCGCCGACCCCUUCCAUUUUCAACAUCAUUUGGGAGUGAGGGGGACUCCGAUGAUCCAUUAGAGCUAAUACAUGCAGUCAAUAGCAAGCUGGAUUAUAAUUCCAGACUGAUCAAUUCAUGGCGCGAGAAAUAUGUUGAAGACGAAGCCAUUUUGGCUGAUCUUAACAUUAGAGUGAACAAAGCGUUCUCCCAAAAGAACAAGUACUUGAAGCUGAGUCAUAAAAGGAAGCUGAAAGCUGAGGAGUUAGAUACAGUAAUGAAUGAUGAAAUUAAAGGUUGUUUGAUGAAUCAUAUGCGAUGCGAAGAGCACCACAGUGAACUGGAGUUGGCAUUCAACGAAGGAUUCGAAAAAUUACGAGCAUUUGCAGCAACUACUCAUACAAGUUAUAAUUGGGACUAUGUGUCCCCUGAUGUUGUGAGAGAGAUACUAGACGAUGGUGGUGACAUGAAUGAGCAUAAGCACGUCAAAGCUGCUUGGAAGAAGCCGACCGAUACGACUAAGUGAUUGCGGCUACAGUUGUUCAGUUGGUUGAGAGUGAUCGUGGUAUUGCACAAAUUAGAAGUAUAUUCCCAUAAUGUCAUUAUCUAAUUUAAAAUAACACAAAUAUCAGUUUCAUUUGCUUCAUAUUGUAACACCCCGACCCCAAAUUUCCCCAAAAUUUACCCUCAUUUAAUUAAUUAAUUAUUUAAGGGUAUUUUAGUCAUAUUUUUAACCGGAGAGAGUUUGGGACCAUGACUUGUAUUUUUGGAUAGGUCGUACUGAGACGAGUUCAUAGACACGUAGUGGGCUCGAAUCAGAGUUGUAACGAGAGAGAUAUGGUCAAAAGAAACCCAGUGGCACAAUCGUAAAUAUUUCAAAAUGGGAUUUUUAUAAAAAUCUGGUUUUUCUCUCUCUCUCUCUCUCUCUCUCUCUCUCUCCCGCGACUUCUCUCUCUCUCCCGUCGGCUCUCUCUCUUUCUCUCCUUGUAUCUCCGGCCACCGACCACGGCUGUGGGCGGGGCCGGUACCAAACUGACCGGGACGACGUCCCCUUCCUUCCCCGACCAUUCCCCGCCGGCAACGCGGCCGUUGCUGGCCGGAAAAUGCAGAAAACCGCCGGGAGGUCGUCGAAACUUCAACGCCGUCGAUCUCCCUCCUCCGGCCACCAUUUUCGUCGACCCAGGUAUGGAUCUUGAACCUCUCGAGCUGUUCUAGCUGUUUGUUGGUUGGGUUUUGAUCGAUUCGAUCUCUAGAUCACUCGAUUUUCGAAUUGAAAAUUGGCCGAAACUUCGGCCGCCGUGAUCGGCCAUUUUCGGCCACUUUUUGUGGUAGGUCCAAGAACAAAAGUGGCUCCAAAUAGGGUGUUAUACCUAGGGUAGAAGUUUGGAGCCGAGAUGUUGAGAUUUUCCGGCGAAGCGUUAUCGCUUUGGGCACCCACGCGUGCGGCGGCGCGUGGGCACUGUAGAAAAAGUAGAUGUGUUCCGAUGAGAUCCUUAGGUUGUCACGAGUGCGUAGGAUUUGGCGGAUCUCAAUUCGGACGUCGUUUGACUAUCGAACGGAUAAUCGCAUAUUAUGCGUUAUCCGGGUUCGAUAGGUUGAGACCGUCGGAUGGUCCCAAAUUUAAUAUAUGUUGAUCUAGGUAUUUCUAGGAUCGUGUAGGAUUUCACGGAUCGUGAAUCGGAGCCCCGGAUGUUCCGAAUAAUAAUUUAAAGUUUAUAUUUUAUAUUAACCAUCAGAUUAUGCGAUCGUGAGAAAUCCGACCGUCUGAUCUGAACCAAACUGGCAGGAAAAGUGUCCUGUACCUGGUAGAACCCAUAGGGACCUUCGGAUCGGAAAUUGGAGGUCGUGGGUUCCGCAAGUCUGUUUGACCAGGGUUAGAGUAGUUUGACCCUUGGUUGACCGUGAGUCUCCCGGAGUAAUCUCACCCUUCCAGGGGGAAUUAUCGGGAGCUAGACUAUUGUGGAGGGUUACACAAUAUUAGAAUUAUUUAUAUAAUUAUAUAUGGUUGUACAAGGGUACAACAAAGUCUAGAAUGUCAGUUUGGAGUGCUAUACGCACUACUUUAGGUACCUCCUCGGAUUUUGGAUUCGCUACAAGCACCACCAAGUGAAAGUUAGGUCCCGCGUGGCGUAGGUUAUCCGGCGUUGGGACAGACCCCAUACGUGGCGUUGGUUGUACCGGCGUAUGGGGAGAUUUGCAAUAUGAUGUUCAGGUCUCACGUGGCGUAGGUUAUCCGGCGUUGAGACAGGCCCCGUACGUGGCGUUGGUUGUACCAGCGUACGGGGAGAUUAUGUGAUAUGAUGUUGAGGUCCCGCGUGGCGUAGGUUAUCCGGCGUUGGGACAGGCCCCAUACGUGGCGUUGGUUGUACCGGCGUAUGGGGAGUUAUAUGAUAUGAUAGUAUGGCAUGGUCGCACAUGGCGUAGGUUAUCCGGCGUGUUGACAGGCCCCAUACGUGGCGUUGGUUGUAUCGGCGUAUGGGGAGAAUAUGUGAAAUGCAGAGAAAGGAAAUAAGGUAUCACCGAUGUGUGGAAUUGGGUUUUAGGGAAGAACUACGUGUGGCUUGAUCCCUCAAGGAGGGUACGUAGGCAGCCUAAGGUUAUUGGGUGCAGCCGCAGACUAAAUAUUAGUCAUAUUUGGUAUUUGAAUUGUAUGGUAGUUGUUUGAGAAUUAUUGGAAGGCCAAAGGCCAUUUAUGAGAAUUUGCAUGAAAUUAUAUUGUGCAUGCUGCUAGUUGUGGAUAUUAAAUGUGUUUUUAUGCAGGUUGAAAUUUUGGGAAAUGUCCAAUUUAUAGGGGAGACUCUGCUGAAAUUUCGGCAGGAAGUCUCGGUUUUUAGUAAGUGGGCCUGGCAUCGGGGUGAUGUCAGGAAUUCCAAAGGGUUCGUCUCGGGUUUUGAGAAAAUUCGGGGCGGGUCCUUAAACAUAUAUAAUUAUUGGGACUAUGUAUUGCAAGUCAUCAUGUGUUCCUUCUGUCUAACAUUAUAUUUUGCAAAUAUCAAAAUAUUAUUCAAUAAGCAGUCAAUAUCACAGCAAGUUGGGAAUUAGUAAAGCCCCAUUAUCAUGUCCGUUCACAUUAAAGAGCUGGCGUACUUUUUCUCAAAAAACUGACACGUGAGUCAUAAGUAACAUAACAUGUGCUAUACAUUGUUUAGUGAAUGGUUUAUGGUUUAUUUAUAUAUAAUAAAAUUCCAAAUAUUGCUGAAUAUUUGUUUUUUCUAUAUCCCUGGGAACAUGAGUGACCAUAAGCAUGUAAGACCUGUUAAGAAGAAGCUGACUAAUACGACCGAGUGAUUGUGGCUACCGUUGUUUAGUUGGUUGGGGAGAUCGUGGUAUUGCUAAGAGGGAGCACAUAAUGUGCUUUGCAAUCAAAUUUUCUUUUGUGUGUGGAAUUAUGAGUAGUUCAAAUGUUAGUGUACCCUUUAAUAUUCUUCAACCGUUUGAAAUGUGAUUAGCUGCAAUGUACUUUUUUACACGCUGCUUUCUAAUCACUCUGUUCCAACAAAGUGCUUUAAGUAUCCUUCAGUUACAAAUGUUUACAAAAUCGUGCAUCUAAUAACCAGUCGAGCUCAGAUCUUAAUAACAAGUAAAACACUAGAACAUAACAUUCGGAAAAAGUGGGUGCUGCUGGAAAUCAUUACUGGUAAUGGAAGCAAGAGCUGGCUGCUGGAAAUGCUGCAUUAGCCUGUGAUAUAAUCAAUGAAUCUCUGUUAAAACAUAAUUCACCAUAAACUACCCAUUUUACAUGGUAAAAGUCAUUGCUUCUUCACAUAACUCAAAAUUUGAUACUUUAUCAAAUGUCUAUGAAAAUUUCUAAAUAGGGGAAAGACGUAAAAUUAACAUGUGUCCAAAUUUCAUGCAAGAAUGAAACCAAGCAAAUUUUUAUUUCAAUUAUCAGUGGACAUAGUAAGAACUCAUCGGUGGACAUGAACAAAAAAAUAAUAAUAUUAAAAACUGAAUCUAGAAAACUUCACCUGAUCAUUAGUCUUCAUAACAACCGAAUUUCGUCUAAUAGAAACAUAAAUCAUUCAGUUGGUCCGUGCAUCGUGUCAAAUUCAUAGAAUAAUGGGUCACUACGAUCUAUUGGAGUUGAUUCGUCAUUGUUCGACGGUGAUGUCCUGCAUAGACAUCAAACACAAGCACAGAAAAAAUUUACCUAUUCAAAUUUUAGGUGUUAUUAUAAAUAGUGUUAGCAUCUUACGGUGUGUUCAAAUUUCUUGCGCAUUGUCUUCUAUCAUGACCAAUGUGUCCACACUCCAGACAGUGUCUAAUCCCUCGCUUCAUUGCCUUUUCUUUUGCUCCCGUUACUCGUUUCGACCUUCUUUUGCACCUCACUCUCUUAGGGUCUUUCAUAUAUUGUGUUUGAGAGCUGGACCCUCCAACUUCGUUAUUACUUGGUCCAUCCUUCAACAACUUCAACUUCACCUGCAAACUUUUUAGAGUCUCUGACAGUAGCUCACAUCCUUCUUCACUCAUUAAUGCACCCUCAACCACAUCUUAAGCAAGUCGAGACAUUGUACUCCGCCUUAUUAAAAGACCAGGAUCUGCAGAGUCUUUAAUUUCGUUGCCAUUUGCAUCUGACACCAAUUCAGAUUUUGCAGUUUUCUUCCACCUCUUUAAAAUAUAUUUAUCGGGCAUAUAUUCAAUCUGGUCCCUUCUGAACAAUGCUAGGAUGUGCUUGCAAAUAAUUCCAACAAAUUCAAAUCUUUUGCACCCACACGAUGCGUGGUCAGAAUCUUUAACAUAUACGACGUCUGCCACUCUUGUUUCCCAAUUUUUCCUUUUGCUCACGCGAAAGACAACUUUAGAAGCACCCUCUGUUUUGAGCUCUAGGAAACAUGUUGUACUUUGUAUUAGUUCUUGGUCAAACUUUUGAAACAUUGUCCUUGUGUACAAGGUAGCCAUUUGUUUGUUCAUUGGCAUCGGUAGAAUACAUUGAGCCACUUCAAAUGCAUCUACGUGAUCAGCAACUAACUCUUUUUGACGUUGAUGAGAAAGUGCCCUCUCAAAUCGUAUUAUGAAAUCCAUCAACGAAUUUCUCCUUGAUAUGUAUUGCUUGAAAAAACCAUGAGAACCUUCCACUCUUUGGCUGCUUGACAUUCCAGCGGCAAAAAAUUGUUGUGCGUAGGCUGGAACCCAAGAUUCUCUUAAAUCAAACAUUGAACUUAGCCAUGGAUGGUCAGUCAAACCAGCCUUUGUAACCACAAUAUUCCAUUUUGUAACAAACUUAUCCUUAUUGUCAGUAUCCCAUACGGCUUUCUGAAAUUCACGCCAAUACUCCUUAUAAGCAGAAUGUGGUAACUUAACAGAGAACUUUGAUGUGAUGUGCAAUAUGCAAAGUCGAUGAAAUGUAGUCGGGAAGGGUAUUGAAAUCGCUCUGGUCAUUGCCGCAUCUUGAUCUGUAAUGAUCGUUUUAGGUCCGCCACUUGGCAUGGCUUUCUUAAACUCCUCAAACAUCCAAAUAAACGACUCAGUCGUUUCCUUGCUCAAAAAUGCGCAUGCUUAGACAAUUGUCUGACCAUGGUUAUUAACUCCCAACAUUGGUGCAAAUGUCAAGUCGUAUCGAUUCGUGUUGAAUGUGGUAUCGAAUACAACAACAUCUCCAUAAAACCCGUACGCCCAUCUAGAAGUUGCAUCUGCCCAAAAACAUUGACUAAACCUGUCAUGGCCAUCUCUCUCAAUCUUGAAAUAAAAAGCCUCAUUUUUUUUUUCUGUUCAGCCAUAAAAUACUCGGUCACUAGUUCAACAUCGUGGUUCCUCAACUUCCCAUUCACACUACAUUCAAAAUUGUAGAUAUCUUUUUUGAUAAAACCGAUUUUAUCCAUUCCUCCGGAUUGCACCUCGAAAAUACUUACCUUCUGAUGAAUGAGAAUAUUAACCGAACCCAACUGUUUUGUGAGUACUUUUGUAGAAUCUGAACUAUGACGGUGUGAUCUCAAUAAAUGCAUUCUUUCUGAGGGUGUCAUCUUAUGAUUGUGUCCCUCUGCAAAAAGAGAGAUGGUAUACUUCUUGCUCCCAUUUGUCUUCACAACCACAAUCUUAGCUUUGCAAUUGCAUCUACUUAUUCCCCGCUGUCUUUUUCUCUCCCGAGUUUCAUCUCUCCUGUAUUCACCUUGUUUGCAACAUACAAAUUCUUUCCUCAAAAUCUCUUUCUUAUUUCCCCCCCAAAAGCUGGAAUGAAGUCGAAUACCAAAGCCAGCCAAGAAUGCAUAUCUAUUAUAGAAAUUGUAAACGAGGUCAAGCAAGUCGAACUUCAUCCCAACUGCUGGUGUUUCCUCAUUUCUUACUUCAAGAAUGUAAACCCUCCCAUUAGCUGUUACACAGUCAUCACUCUCUGAGCCCCCAGACAUUUUAUCCACGUAUAUUAUUGAUCCACUUCUAUAUUAUUGCAUAGCAAAUAUUAAUUCAUUAAUAAAUCAUUACUGCAUCACAACAUAUCAAUGCAUUCCACUUACACAAAACAUUGCCCAAAUUGACACAAAACACGCAUAGCCUAACUUGUUGGAUUCCGAUUACACAAAACGCAAGCAAAAUUUAAUAAUAGUUACGUCAUCUCUUGUGAAAUAAUCUAGAAAAAAUAACAUUAGAACCAACAUGUUCAACUAAGAACACAAAUGCAAUUCAAACCAGCAAUCACAUAACUUCACCCAAUAUCCUCUCCAAAUGCUUACUCCUAAUGUCAUUAAGCCUAAGUUUAGGAUCUUUUACCUACAUUUCAUAAUUUUUCACCCCCACCAAAAAUAAUCAACUAAGUAUACUGAAUAUUCAUAAGGAAAUGACGCAUUAUUGAUGCCACAAAUGACGAAUUUCCUACCCUCACAAAAAACAAAUCAAACCCAAUUAAAUCAAUCCAGCAAGAGUGAACUUACCUCUCAAAAUCAAUCGGGAGCUCCGAAGUCAGUAAGCUUGAGAGAAUGUGGUGGACAUUAGAGAAGACUCUUUGGUAUUGGAGACUCCAUCUCUACCAAAAUCGAGGAACGAACUGCUGCUACGGCGUCUAGCUACAGAAAAAGAUAUGCUACUUUACUUUCAUCUGGAAUCUUGUUUGCUGAACGAAAAAGAGAAAGGGUUUUCACUUGAGCCAUAGAAUCAAAACAAGGCAACAUCUAGGUAAGAGCCAUUAAUCGUCAUAUCGAGGAUACCAUAGAUCGCAGGCCUCCCAAGGAGCUGAUGACAAUGGAGCGACUAUAGGGUUUGGGAGCUUUGGAUCCUUCUAAUUGUGGGUUUGCGUUACAUUCAAAAAAAGAGGAGUGUGUUGUUGAGUUUUUCACAUAGAGGGAAAGAGGGAAAGAUCUUCAACUGAAGUUGGGUUUCCAACGGGUCAAAUUUCAACCCGGUUCUACAUGCACCCUCUUUUAAAAACUCACCGUUGGAUUUCAUCCAACGGCUCGUACAUACCCCUCAAAAACACCCCUUAUAACUUUCCACUCACUAUAGAAGCUCUCCCCAGGAAAUGCUUCGAGGUAGAUUUUAUGUUUUGGGCCUUGGGACCCAACUUCACAAAAAGAAAACAAAUUUGACCAAAAAACAAAGUUGAAGGACAUUGAUAUUGUACCUGUAGGAUAGGUUAAAACACUAAAAGGAAGGUAAAUAGUACGUUUACAGAGUUUAAGUGUAAUAAAGGAAUAAAAACAUGCCCAGAGAAUUGAUAAGUGAUAUCAAUUCUUGAAUAUAUAGAACGUAAAAUAAAGGAAUACGUAGAAAAUUAUUUUAUGUGGUAAAACUCAAUCUAUGGGGCCACGGGACUUCUUAGUCCAAAAAAAAUCCAUUGAACGAUGAUUACAAGAAGUACUCACACACUUAUCCUAGACACAUUCUAGAUAAUUUUUACUAACAUCUUUGUAACUCAACUUCUGUCAUAGGAUGAUUUUUUGACACUCCUUAUGUUGAACGCAAUACUGGUCACGAUUUCUUCAAGCUCGCAGGAACUCUCCUUAUAUUGAAUAUGAUACUAGUCACGAUAGAUUCAAGCUCAUCGGAGAAAAACAGCCACAACGGUCUUGGUGCCCUCAAUGGUAUGAGUCACUGAACAUGCAAAUAAAUACAAUAUGAAUGAUAAAAGUGUUUGAUAAAUCACCAAGUUAUGGAACACUUGAUGAUUUAUCUCAAAUAAAAACUCAGCUUUCCAAAGUUUAUGAAUUGAAAAUAUGAUCGUUAAAGCUCUCUAAACAAAGAAGACGAAGAUCUUAUUUUAUAGAAUUUUUCUUUAUAAGAAAGAAAACACAUUGAAAACCAAAUCUCCAAGGCUUGACAGAAAAUCACAAAAGUAUCUUUCCUAUUCUAGAGAUUGGUCACAUGUAGUCCAACCAAUAGGACAUGAGAUAUUUAAGAAAUGAAGAUUUUGAUCAAUAUCAAUAUCAAAUGAAUUCUUAUACGCCUAGUCAACUAUUAAGGGUAUCUUGACUCCUUGAUAUUGUGAUAUGAUUGAAACAUGAUUUCCACGUUAGAAAAUUAAGGGGAUGUUAAAACAUGAAAGUAAUAGGAGAAUCAAAUUGAUUUCGGCCAAAAUUGCCUAAAAAGAAAACACUCCUAAAUAAACUCAAUUCACUUUUAAAAACAGUAAAACGUGAUUGAAUUGUUCUUUAAAACAAUUCCCUAAUAUACAUGCAUGAUAAUGACAUCACUUACCUCUGAAUCAAAUGCCUUUCAUAGGUCAAGCCACAAGUCUGUGUUUUGGGGAUUGCUGAGCUGCAUCAAUCCUGCCAAUGUCAAUGCUGCCCCUAUGCUCUCUCAAAGCACGUUUACAACCUAUGCUAACAUAUACCCUAAACCCUAGUAUCAAGAAAAUGCCAACACUAAUUUCGUAACACGUAGAAAUUGUUAGAGAUUGGAAGUUUUUUUUCUUCAAGUCUCUCCACCACUCACUAAUACAGAUUGCUCAUGUGAUGAGUUUACAAAACCUAUUUCUCUACUCUCACAAAGACUAUACUUCUUCUCAAAAGACUAUAUCACUUUACCUCUAUCUCUGUGAAAUGUAAAAAGUUGAAACUUUAAUGUCAAACCUCGACAAAAGAUGAACUUCCAUAAGUUACGUUGAAUUUGGAUUUGUUGAACUUAAGUGGUUUUACUUUUCUGUCAGUGUUUGAUGACUUAAUUUGGUAUUUACUUCUUCUUUUUUUCCUUGGAAAUGUGUUCCACCAACGUGAGGAAGAAAAAUAUGCACAAAUUAAUAUAUUUAAUAGAAGCCCAAGAUUUCGGAAGCACAUAAUUUCUACAAAAUUCUACAAAGUGUUCUACUUUACAAACUUCAUAUGUCUACCAAUUUUUACUAAAAUUAAUUUAUCUGCAGUGCUCAAAUUCAUCAUAUGUGUGUCCUUAAUUUUAGUGAAAAUUGGAAGUUUCCAUUAUUUUUGUUUUACGGGAAUUUUUUGAACCAAGGAAAAUCAAGUAAAAUUAAUAAAGCAUAAAUUGGAAAGGGAAAAUAUCUAGAGGAUGCAUUGUAGGAUUGCUCAUGCCAAUAAUUGUACCCUCUAAAUAUAUAGGGACAUAUUUUUUUUGCUCAUACCACUUGUUGCAGUACACAUUCACCCGUUUUCAAAGAAAGAAAUUCUACCAAUCGAUAAUGUCUCAAAUUUAAUCACAUAUUUUAUGGACCAUCCAGCUAUGAGGUUUUAUCUCAAAAACCUUCGGUACAUUUCUCCCACAUGCCACAAUUGUAUAUUCACAAUUACGUCUGAUACAUCACAUCAUGCCACUUGCCUCAAAUGAAUUUAAGUGAGUGAGGCAGUUGGAAGUAAUUAAGCUCUAUAUUGGUGGGUGGAGUGUUAGUUCUGGGUACCCCUCAUCAUUCGUCUAUAAAAUGGUGAAGCCAGUUGCUACUGUUACCAUAAGAGCCAGCUCCGACUUUCUUUAAUUUCUUGCUUCAUAUCCACUAGCUACAUCUGUUGCUCUUCUCAGUGUAAGCUCUGCAAUUUGAUUAACUUUCCCAUUAUCUCUCACUGUACUCUAUAUAAAGGAAUAAGUGUCGUCCAUUAAUUCUCUCCGAAAGUGUCGUCCUGAUUUUAAUUAGAGUUCGAAUUAAUGUUGCAGCUAGCAGCGGUUGCACUGGCAAACCAUGCUGCUCAACCGGUACCUCAACUUUACUGGAACUCCGUCCUGCCAAACACACAGAUGCCAAGAUCUAUCAGUGAACUUCUGCAUCCUGGUUUGUGUUUGAGCACUUUAGAAUCUUAGAUAUCUCUUCUACCUGCCAUUUUACUAAAAUAUGUUCAACCACAUAUUUAUCAGUUAACUACUGUCAUUACAUGAGUGACACAUAUUCACAAAUCGGCUGAUCACUUAUUUUCCAUUAUGACGUUGAUAUAUAAUGUUGGGAAUGGAAAGCCAAUUGACCACAAGGGAAAACCUGAAAAUACUGUACUACCACAGCUAGCACGAAGCCCAUUUUCUUACAAGAGUGAUGUGGGGACCAAAUCUCAUGUAUCAUAGCUUAACCCAUAUGCCACAACUAAAAGACGUGGGAUGAUCGAACAGCAUACCCACAUGGUCAUGGAUCUCUUCAGAUAAUCAAUAUUAAACAACCCAUAAACUUCUCCCUUUGAAGAACAAAUUAAAACCAAUUUCUAGAGGAAGGUUACAAAACAUUUUAGCCCGUGAAGAACAAAUCAAGACAAUAUAACCCAUUUGAUAACAAAAUCAAAAUGAGAUUUACCAAUACUAGAUGACCACGGCGCCAGUAUAAUGGUACGACGGCGGCGUUAUUGUAACGGUGGAGAAGUGGAUGGUAUGACGACGGUGUUAGUGUGACGGUGGAGGAAACGAUAUUAUGAAGGAGGCGUUGCUAUGUUCGGUGGAGGAGUCGUGUGUUUCACAGUUCAAUAUAUCCUUUUUAGUCAUUUUAUAUUAGGGUAAAUCAGUAAUUCAAUAAAUAAUUUGAUAGUAUGGUGUACUCAGUUAAUAUUAGGGUUCAUUUAACAGCACUCAAAUUAACUAGUGUAGAGUCUAUCUAUAUUAUUAAUACUAAAAAUAAAUAUAUGACUAAAUAACUCAAAAAAAAAAUAAAUCUACAAUCUUUUUUUUAAAAAAUUUUUUUUAUAGAAUUUUAUUAGAUUAAUAGGCACUACUAAAAAAUCUCCUUAUAAACUACAAAUACACGCAUAACUUAUACUAAUGUGAGCUACUGACACCACCUGCCACAUGACAGUUGUCCAAGCAUAGUGUUGUCAUUCAUUAUUCCCCACAGCAACUAACAUCCAAUAAAGGGUUGGGGCCCACCCAUACUCCACCUCUCUGUAUGUAGCUCUUUGAGAAUACAGAAGAAAUAUUUUUUAGGGAAAUAGCUUAAAAUGAUACCCAUUUCAUAAUUUUAAUUAAAAAUACCACCCCUUUCCAAUUUUUGUACAACUAUCACCUAUAAAUAUAAAAUUAUUGUCCACUUAUUGCUGAUUUUUCACAAGUUCAGAAAUUUUGGAAAGAAGAAGCUCACACAGCUCUCUCUCUCUCUCUCUCUCUCUCUCUCUCUCUCUAGCACAACUCUCUUUCUUUGGUAUCUGUCUAUCACAGCUCUCUGUGUCUCUCUUGGCUCUCUCUAUCUUGGCUCUCUCUCUCUCUAGCACAACUCUCUGUCUCUCUCUUUGCUCUCUUUCUCAUAGCGCAGCUGUUUCUCUCUCUAGCUUCGUUAUGUCUCUUUCUCCCCUAUUCGAUCUCUUGCUUUCUGUUUGGAAUCGCGAACCCCUCCCUUUAGCUAUGUCUUCUGAAUAGCUGCUUGCAACCUUGAAGCUCUAGUGGAUUGCCGACCUCGAAAAGGUAGUGUUGAUGGUUAUUUUCUUAAUAUCAGUGGGAUUAUGUGAAAUGGGUUAUAGUUUGAUUGUUUGGGUUUGUGUUAAAUUCGUUUUGGCUUUAAUUUCUUUGGGUUAGGUUUUGUUGAAUAUUCAUACUCAUUCAUCUGGGUUUGUACCAAUUGCAUUUAGAUUGGUCUGGAUAUGUGAAUCUUGAAACUUGGGAUUUUCUAUUUGAUGUAGUAGAUCUGUAUAGUGUGAUUCUGUUGUGUUCCUCUUAUUUUACAGUCGUAUUGCUGUUAUAUUGUCAUUAUAUUGCUUAUAUAUUGCUGUUAUAUUGUGGUUAUAUUGCUAUUGUAUUGUUUGGUUAUUGUGGUUAUAUUGUGUUAAUGAAAUGUUGUUUUGUCAUGGUCAGAAAUGGAGACAAUUGUUAUUCUCGUGUGCUACAAUGGAAAAUGGGUCACCUCGAAGAAGAUGUGCAAAUACGAAGGGGGUGACUCAAAAGGCUUAAUAGUUCCACGGACCAUCAAAUUUGUUGAACUGUUGGACCGUGUGCAUUAGAUUGGUAAUACAAACAGCAGGGAAGACAAGGUUUGCUUAAAAUUCUCAGUUUUGGUGGCCUCGAAUGAGUGGAAGCACAUAAAUAUUGAGGACGAUGAUGAUAUCAAUUUUUUUAUGAAGUACAAUUCCGAGGUAACACCUUCAAAACUAGCUCCCUUACUCGUGAGUAUAGAAGAUAAAGGAUUGACAAAUGAUGUAGUUCAUAGUAUGCAUAUCACGACAGAUAGUAGUCGGAUGGGUCAUUCUUCAGUUGCCAUUGUUGAAAGCAAUGAAGUAACUUGGAAUAAUACGAAUGUCACUGAUGUGGGAGGUGAAGUAGGGACAGAUUUUGUGGAUAUGAUUGAUUUUAGCGAGGUGUAGGAGAUGCAUGGUGGUGAUAAUAGUACUGAAAGAAAUGAAGUGUCAGUGUACUCUGCCCCUCCUAAUUUGGGCUGCUUCAACAUAGCUGCCCAGUUGCCAAUAAUGCGUUUAGGAGGAGAAUCUGAACCCACUCGUCAACAUUAUUGGAGUCAAAUAGGUGAACAAAAUCGGUACAAUGCAGCCGGUGUAAAUGAUGAAGAAGCAUAUUUGGACAGCGGGUUUUCACGAAGUGAUUGGAAUCCGAAAAUUACAGUUGGGCAAAUUUUCUCUAGUAAGAAAGCAUUGUUGACGGAGUUACGGUUGACGGCAUUAAGAGGCCACUUUGAAUUUAAGGUGCAAUUCUCUUGCACUAAAAGGUUGCUUGUGGUUUGUUGUCAACGUCCAUGCCCAUGGCGGGUCCGAGCAUCGAGAAUUGGAGAAUACAGCUUCAUGAUUGUGAGGUGUACAACUGUCCAUGAAUGUGAUUUGAGGUUCGUAAGUGACAAGCAUCGUCAAGCAACCGCAGCACUUGUAGCCACUUCACUUAAAAGGAAGUGACAUUAUGAGAGAUGUGAAACACAACUUUGGUUGCACCAUCCAUUAUUCGAAAGCUUGGAAAGCAAAGGAGUUAGCUCUAUUGUCCAUUAGAGGAUCAGCGGAGGAGGCAUAUUAUAUCCUUCCAGCUUAUUGCUAUGAAUUGGAGCGUAUGAAUCCCGGCACAAAAACACACAUCCAAACUGAUGAGAACAAUCACUUUGUGUAUUUAUUUAUGGCGGUUGGCGCAUGUAUUAGAGGGUUCCGUUCUUCCAUGCGCCCAGUGAUAGCCGUGGAUGCCACUCAUUUAAAAUCCAAGUACAAGGGUGUUAUGUUUGUAGCAAAUGCAUUCGAUGGUAAUUGAAAUAUAUAUCCUCUUGCUUUUGGGAUCGGGGAUUUGGAGACGGAUGCAUCAUGGCAUUGGUUUUUCACUAAACUUCAUGAAGCCAUUGGUGAGUGUCCCAAUCUUGUUAUUAUUUCUGAUCGCAAUGUUAGCAUAGAGAAUGUGUGGAACAAAAUUUUUCCAACUGCACAACGUGGCAUAUGCUUUUAUCAUAUGAAGGGGAACAUGAAACGCACUUGCUAGUUGAAAAAGCGUGAUCACAUACUUAUGCACUUUGAGCAGGCUGCGAAAUCUUAUUCCAUUGCUGAAUUUGAUUGUCAUUUUUGCAAGAUCAAGCGAAAGGAACAUGUUGCUCAAUAUCUUGAAGAGACAGGGUUACAUAAGUGGUCUAGAGCUCACAUGGAUGGACGCCGCUACAAUGUAAUGACAACAAAUAUUGCAGAGUCAAUCAACUCAGUCCUUAGGUUUGCAAGGAUGCUGCCAGUGGUUCAUUUGAUAGGGGAAAUUGUUAAUCUCCUUGUGAAAUGGUUCACCGAACGUUGUGAGUUGGUUUUGAAUUGCACAACAACAUUGUGCCCCAAUUUUGGAGAGAAGAAGUUGAGGAACAGGUUGGAGGAUGCUGCAAGGAUGAAUGUGGUUAAAGUAAAUAAUGCACAGUUUAAUGUUUUGGACGGUGAUAUGGACGGCCUCGUAGAUUUGGCGAACAGCAGUUGUAGUUGUAGAAAGUUUCAGCUUGAGCAGCUACCUUGCAAGCAUGUAGUUGCAGUUUGCCGCUUCUUGAAAGUAAAUGUAUACGCAAAGGCUUCUCGGUAUUACACUCAGAAAACCUGGAUGAUGCUUAUUCGGAUAGCAUCUACCCGGCACAACCUCACGGAAUGUGGGAUAUUCCUGAAGAUGUUCGAAGUCGAGUUGUGCUGCCUCCCAUGGCAAGGGUCAUGCCAGGCAGACGAAAGAAGAUCAGAAUUCCCUCGCAAGGAGAGGGCACCAUUAGAAGAAAGUGCUCAAGGUGCGGUUCCGCAGGCCACAAUAAAAGCACAUGUAAAAACAAUAUUCCAUUGCGCAAUGUAUCUUAGACAAUAUGAUUUGUGUUGCUUUGGUAGGUCAUGUAAACUCUACUUUUAUUUGUGGUGGGUUUCGUGUUAUGUUGAAUGGGAAUUCUUUUAAAUUUGCAUAAUUUGGGUUGCAUUGCUACAGCAUGCUGUAUUGCUGACAGAUUGCUAUUAUAUUGGACUUUUAUUGUACUGGUAUUGCUUCCAGAUUGCUAUUAUAAUUUGAGUGCGAAAUUAAAGGGACUGGAAUGUAAUUCCAAAUGGAUCCAAAUCAUUAAAGUUCUUAGAAUUCCUAUAUUACACAGUUACUGUGAUACUCCGACUAUACCUUCUUUUAUGAUUACAAAUUCGGCCAAUGCAUAGGCCAGAUGUGGGGCAAAUACAAGGUGAAAUGUCCUAUGUGUUUGACUACAUAUACUUGUUGAAGGAGCAUUACGAAUGCUAACCUCAAUAGAUUGCUCAUGUCUUGCCAAGAACACUCUUGAAUUUAUGCAAUGUGCCCAAGCCAGUCCCAAAGCUGGACUCACCCGUCUGCCUGAUGUGUCCAGGGACUCCAAGUUUCCCAACCUCACCUCAUUCACUUUAUCAUGUGGCCCAAUAAAAUCCACCACUUGGUUGGUGACAACCACCGCCAACCCAAACUUAUUUGCUAAACCCUUCAAUGUCCCAGAUAUGUUGAAAAAUAUUUCAAACCGCCAUUUCAAAUCUGCUGGUGUUGUCUGAUACUGUGAUCGGAACAAUGCAGCAAUGGAAUCAAUGACAAUGAGUUUCACAGGUAGGUGGGUGUGAUCAAUGGCAAUAAAUGCUUCUAUGUCUCCAAGGACAUGGAUGAGUUGUUGAGCAUCAUGAACACCAUGAACAUAUAUGUCUUCCAAUGGCUCCAACCUUAUUAAGUUGGGGUAUGAUGCAUGAUAAAGGUUGCCUAGUUGUUGCAAUCGACGAAAUGGGAAGCUGAAUUCUGUGAAUAUGUAGACGGUGGAGCCCUCUAGUCCGCCAUGUGAGGGUGGGAGCUGAGCUGGUACCGUAAGUUGGAGACAAAGUUGCGUCUUCCCAGAACCACUCUCCCCUACCAAUUCUGUUAUAGAGUUGCAGGGUAUCCCACCCCCCAAGCAGUCAUCUAGUAUUGGGCAUCCAAUGGAUAAUUGAGGGGUUGAAAGAGGAAGGAGCAUGAGGUUUUAGGGUGUCAUAUUUGUGUAAUUUAGGGGGGGAUGUGAUGGUGCUACAAGGCAUGCAUUAUAUAUAUAUAUAUAUGUAGAGUUCAUUUUGAAGGUCUGUAUUGUAGGCCAUAUGUCUUUUAAGGGAUGUAUAAUCCAUCCUUUUUUCAGGUUGUAAUUAAUUUUUUGUUUAUUUAUUAGUAUUUUUUUGGACCAAAUAAUUUAAAAAACAUUAUGAUGCAGUACGUACUGUAAUAGGAUCAUAUUGUAACUCUAUCAUCACUCUAUUGUACUCUUAUUGACAUAAUAUUGCCGUUAUAUGCAUGUUUAUUAUAUAGUUAUUACUGCUAUAUCGCCACUGAACUGGACACCGAUAAACUGUAUACGCACAAAUACAAAAAGAGGCUUCAUCAUUCCAUAAAAUCCUAUUUCCAAACUUACAUAAUACAACAACAGGCCACCCCAUCGUUACAUAAUACAAAAAUACGCCACCUCAUAGUUCCAUUUCCCUACUGUUGACAAAUUCGAAGUUGCAUACUCUUCAAGUGCGGUGACCGCGACGCAUGAAAUUCAUGACCCCGGCCACAGUGAUGUUGGCCUAGUUUCCUGCCGGAUCCACUAUUUUUGCAAACUUACGAAAUAGUUCGAAUCCGCUUUCCACUUCUUCUUGCUUCAACUUGGCCGUUGCUUCUGAUUCCUUGAAUACCAUAAUUGCAGUGGUAGGGGCAAUUUCAAUUUUUGCUUUCAUUGUCUUUAUAUGUAGGAGAUGCAUGCGCGCAUGAUAACGAGAGCGAAUUGUGCGGUUUUUUAUGACACCCCAUCUAGUUUGGCCCUCCACAAUUUUGAAACUAUGUCUGCAUGAAGAUUUUUCCAAAACAUGGUAUUGCCUCGACAUUGCUGCAUGCCAUGGACCAAGUCUGCAGGGAGUGAAUUGGGUGACUUGGCUUGUGUUUCAGUCUUCUCUCCUUCAGUAAUUGAAAGUGUUGGGUGUGGUGUGAGGUUAUGGUCCAUGGUCUUCGAUAUUUAUUGUAGCCUAGUGUACAACUUAAUUGGAAAAAAAGGGGACUAAAUGCGAUGGGAGUGAAAUCAGUGGGGAAGGUAGUGGCUGUAAGCAGGAGUUAAUGUGAUGGAAGUUUUCAUUUCAAACAACUGGGUUGAUUAAUAUAGGCAAGUUUUAAUGACCUGGAGUAACUCAGAGAGUUAUUGGUGGGAGGGAUUAGAGGGAGUAAUUGGCGGGAGGGAUUGGCGGGAGUCUUAGGCGGGAUAGUAUUGGGCGGGAGUUAUUACCCAGUUGACUGUAUGCCUUUUUGUAAUAUAUUUGUAUGUUGGACGUUCCAAACUUGGUAAUUUUCCCAUUAUGUAAUUCAAAUAAGGGAUUUGCCUAUUUGCCUAAUUGACCAACUCAUUCAAAUUGACCAAUAUGGUUAUUGUCUUAUUUCUCAUUUCAGCAAUCUCAAUUCGUUUCCAUUUUUCCAUUCUUCAUAUUUUCCUAUUUUCCAUGUGUCAUCCAAUUUUCCAAUUUUCCAAUUUUUCAUUAUUUUUGCCUAUUUUUUCCUAUUCCCUAUUUUCCUAUUGUGCAAUUUCCCAAGUUUCCUUUUGUUGUAUUUCUAGUUUUCCAAUUUUUCAAUGUUCCCAUUUUCCCAUUAUGUAAUUUAAAAAAAGUUGCCUGCUUUGCCUAAUUCAGAAAGUAAUUAAAAUGGUCCAAUAUGGUAAUUGUCUUAUUUUCCAUUUCCACAAUUUCAAUUCGUUUCCAAUUUUCUUAUUUUCCAUGUGUCCCUAUUUCCUAUUUCCAUUUUUCAAAUUUUAAGUUUUUGUCCAAUUAUCCAAUUAUCUUUUUUCCAAUUGGACUAUUUUCUAAGUUUCCUUUUUUUCCUAUUUCCAAUUUUCCAAUUUUUCAAUUUGCUAACUUUCCUUUUGUUCUAUUUCCAAUUUUGCUAUUUUCCAAGUUGCCUUAUUUCCUAUUUUUCAAUUAUCCAGUUAUCCAAUAUUCCAAUUUUCCAAUUAUCCAAUUUUCAAUUUUCCAAUUUGCGAAUUUGCCUAUUUUCCAAGUGUCCUUUUUUCCUAUUUCCUAUUUCAAAUUUUCCAAUUUUCAUGUUUUCAGAGUUUCCUUUUUUUUUCCUAUUUUCCAAGUUUCCUUUUGUCCAAUUUCAAAUUUUCCAAUUUUCCAAGUUGCUUUAUUUUCCAAUUACCCAAAUUUCCUAUUUUCCAAGUGUCCUUUUUUCCUUUUUCCAAUUUUCCAAUUUUCCAAGUGUCAUGUAAUCCUAUUGCCUAGUUUCCUCUUUCCAAUUUUUCCUUUUUUCCUAUUUCCAAUUUUCAAUUUUCCAAAUUUCCCAAAUUUCCAACUUUCCAUUUUUUCGUAUUUCCGAUUUGCCAAUUUUCCUUUUGUUCUAUUUCCAAUUUUCCAAGUUUCCUUAUUUCCCAUUCUCCAAGUUUUCACUUUUCCUAUUUUUCAAUUUCGCUAUUUUCCAAUUUUCUGUUCUGAAAUUCGCAAUAAAUGCUUAGUUACACAGUCCUAUUUUGGGUUGAAAUCCACAAUUUUCAAUUUCCCAUUAAGGUUUGCUUUUUUGUCGUUUGGAAGCCAAUUUUAUUGUUGUUAAUGUAAUGUUGUACUGUUGUAAAUUACAGCCAAUGAGUUAAUGAUGUAGUUUGCAAUCCCAUCAAUUGAAUGCACCAACUAAAUACCCAAUAUACUUCAUAUAAGUUCGUACAUAUAACUCAACCUUCCUAUACAGAACUGCAACAGAGGCACCUUCUUAACGGGAAAGGUAAUUAGUCUUACUAAAACGCAAAUAUUCUCCACUACAGCUAACCAAUUGUCGUUUACAACUGGAGACUGAAUCUACCUUUAUUUGUUUUGUUGCAGGCAACAGCUGUGAAUUGUCCCCGGCAAUACUUAAAGAUGUCGGAUGUACGCCCUCCAAAUGAGCAUGUCACAGUUACCCGGGGGACCAGCCGUGGCAUGUGCCAUUCCCAUCUCCACCUCGGACUCCCAAUCAUGAUCCCACUUCAUCUGGAAGUGAGGCUGAGAGCAAUGAUCCGCUUGACAAAAUCUCUGCCGUCAAGCACCACCUCCAAUAUAUGUCAAAGGCAACGGAUUGGUGGGAGAGUAAGUGCGAUAUUCAUGGCCAAGUUAUGGGAAACUUGGCCAACAAGUUGAACAAAGCAUACGCUGGAGAGGUGAAGCAAACUCUAAAAGCAAAAAGUCGGAGCAAAGAGUUAGAGUCCUUGAAGUUGAAAUUGGAAGAGAGAAAGAAAAAUGCUGUCGAAAAAUUCACACAAUCUGAAGAAUAUAACCAUGAAAUGGUUGAAUGUUUCAACAACGGCUUUGAAAUGUUCCGAGAUUAUGCUUCGGUCAUCUCACCAGACUACAAUUGGAGUGAAAUUGAUGUAGCUGGUGUUUGGCAGGUGCUGAAUAUGGGUGCUGAGGGAAUGGCUCAUCAUAGCCUCGUGCAUGCAGCAAGGAGAAAGGACAAAGACUUGGAUCUUUUGAUGGACCUGUAGUAACAGUGAGUGCUGCUUCAGUUCAACUCACCUGAGUACAUGGAUCUUUUGUUGCCUUCAUUUUCCCUUCGCAGGCUAGUAUUGUUAAGGUUCGGUGGCGAUUUCUUUUGCAUGUGUAAAAUGUUGUCUGUAAUGUGUAUGUAUUGUAUGUAGAUUGACUUAAUAUUGUAGUUCUAUUGUAUGUAUAUUGCCUUAAUAUUGCCUUUGUAUAGCAUAGAUAGUGUAUGCAUAUUGCCACCGUAUUGGAUGUAUAUUGUAAAACUAUUGGUAUCGUAUUGCCCUUAUAUUGCUCUAAUAUUGCCUCUAUAGUGCACCUAUAUUGACCUAAUAUUGCUCUUAUAUCGUAUGUCAAUGGCAUGUGCUCUAAUAAGUCUCCAGUUCGUUGAAAGUAAUCCUGAAUUCAAAUAUGAUGGACAAGACAAUUGUUAUCCAUCCUUAUAUUACCAUGAAUUGAUUUGGACCUUUCAAAUGAUAGUUGGAGUUGCACAUGGAUUCAUAUUCAAAAGGAAAGUAAUUCUCUCCCUCAAUGAAUUGUCGUUCAAAAGAAGGCAGCUAUCAAAUUUUGGGUACAAAAAGGCAACAUCCACGGUAAAUUAAUUGGGCACAAACCACAUAUUACAAAACCAGGAUGAUUUUUGGCAUGCUUCAAAAGAGAAGGGCCAAAUACAACAGAAAAGAAAAUCCAUUCAAGCUUGUACAAUAGAAUGCACAAUAACCCUUUUACAUGUCCUUCCAACACCAGUGUUUUGCCUACUUUAGAGUCGCAGGAGGAGAGCUUAUUGCCAUUGUGCAAUUCGAGGGGGCAGUCAAUUUGGAAUGGUGGCAUAAACAUGUUUACUCCACGGAUCACCUAUAUGGGACAGAGCUUCCUUCUUCCCUUGUCGUCUGUAGGUUUCAACUUCACACUUUUUAUAUACAUGUAUGAGAACUUGUGGCUAUUUAUUUAUGGCCUUCUAACACUUGUUCUGCCAUUCCAAAGUGGGUUGGAGACUUUUUGAGUUGAAUGACUGGAAAGACUUCAGAUGACAGAAACUAGAGAGUUUGAAGAAAAAGGGUUACCAAGAACAGCAGUCAUGCCCACGACAUAAACUAAACAUGCUAUAAGCUCCACAGUAAUAUUUACUUCAUCUCCAUAAUCAGAAUAUUGGGAAAAAAAUACCACGGAGAAAUACGUGAAAUGAAAAACAACUCGGCAGUUACUGUGAGAUUGUGUACAUAAAACUUGGAACAACCAAACCAAUUAAAGCUAAGCCAUCUCAUACGUAUACCUACAUCAAAUAACAGUGUAUGGUCAUCUUGUUUAGAAUAUUGCAAUCAACACUUGGUUGAGACCGACCUGCAAAAACAACUGGGUUAAGUACAGAUGAAGCCAUUUAUGAAGGGCAGUUCCAGAAUUAAGACCUACGUUAAUUUGUAACUGCCACCGAAUCAGUUCAUAGUGCCAAAUGCAUCUACCAAGCACACAGAUAUGACCAGCCAAAAGAAAAAAAAGCAAAGUAAAAAAGAUAAAAGAGGCAUGCCAUAAAUGGGAACCUCAGCAGAAAUCAUCAGAUAUGCAUACAAGCAGAUUGAGUAACAUCUCACUAAGUAGAGGUCAUGUUGGUAAUCGCAUGUUGUGUUUGCACACAGACAUUUGGUUUUUGCAAACACAACAUGCAAUUGCAUUCCAUGAUGUGUGUGUUGUGUUUGCACACAGACAUUUGGUUUUUGCAAACACAACAUGCAAUUGCAUGAUGUGUGUGUUGUGUUUGCACACAGACAUAUGGUUUUUGCAAACACAACAUGCAAUUGCAUAUUGUGUGUGUUGUGUUUGCACACAGACAUAUGGUUUUUGCAAACACAACAUGCAAUUGCAUAUUGUGUGUGUUGUGUUUGCACACAGACAUUUGGUUUUUACACACACGAUAUGUAACAUUUAGUUUUACCCUUUUAUUCUUAUUUUCUUCGUUCAAACAUGGUGGUGAGAAAAGCACCAAACCAUCCCAUCAUAUAAAGCAAAACUCAUACAAUAUUUUAGAUGCAAAAGUUAUAUAUUUUAUAUAAAUGCAUCAUCCGCAUGGCUUGAAAUUACAAAUUCACGUUCACAUAUUACUUUUCACAAGCGCACAGACUAACAAUAAUAAUAAUCAACCAAGUAGUUGCGACAUUCAUCCUAUUACGUCCAUAUUGAUAAUGUCAGAAGUUUCAUCGAUAAGCCUCAUCAAACUACAAGUUUUUUAAUUUGAAUUAUGAAUUCAGAACUAAAAGCUCAUGAUAUGCAGAAAAUGACAUACAUUGUCCACAAUCGACUUUUCGAUAUAUUUCUGCUCUAGCAAUUUAUCGUCCAAAUUCUGGACUCUCUGUGUCAGGUGCUUCUUUGUGUUCUAUCCAGCAUAAGAAUAUUUAAUAGUGUGAUUUCAAUUGUUUAUACAAAUUCUAUAAGUAAUAUUGAUGAGUGCUGUAAAUCUAUUUGAUAUUGGGAACAAACAUGGUCCCACUAACAGAAACUCAAACAAAACAGGAAUUUUUUUUUAUUUUUUUUGGCAUAGACAGCCGAAAAGAAACUUACAGCAAUAGCCUCUGUCACGCUCUCCAGACGUUUAUGCAAUUUUGAAACAGCAGCAUUCAUACUACGCUUUGUCACAUACAGAAGAUCUGAGAAUUUUAGACCCUAACCAUUUGUGAAGAGCAAAUAUUAGAUUUGCUUAAAGAAGACAACAACUCACAGAACCAAUGGAUGAAAUAAUAUGAACAUAAAUAUAUCAUUUGGAUACCUUCCACCACAUGUAACCAUAACCCAAUGCCCCCAAGGUAGCUGUUGGCAUUAUUAGUGAUGUCAAACCUAUUAAAAAAAUCAAAAAAAAAAAUAUAACCAAGUAUAAAAUGUUUCUAUUGCAUUAUGAAAUACAUACGUGUAAGGAAUUAAUCGUUUUACAACUUAACCAAAAAGUCAAGGCAGGAGCAUGCAUUCAUUGAGUGGUUAUAAGCAAGAGGAAAAAGCACAAAGCAUGCUAAGAAUUCAUUUGAACACAGAAGAGAAAGUAAGCUACCUUGGAAUUUGGCUGUCAUUCCCCUUCAGGACGGCUCUCUGUAGUGACGAGUCUAGUUGUCGGACCUCAGCUGCCAGUCGGCGCACCUAAAACAAAGUAACACAGGAAAAUUGAUAUCCAUUACAAAAAACAAAAAUUGAACACGAGAAAGCAUCCUUCGACACUAAAUUUAUAGCAGUUUUUCCAAUACCUGUGAUGCGAUCGCAUAAAAGUCACCUUCUGAUUGUUCUCCGGUUCCAUUGAACAAAGGCUGCAAACAAAACAGAAAUAGACACAAAUCCAUCAAUUUUUUGAGCAACAAGACACAAGCUCCGAAAUAAAUAAACUAUCUAACUGAUCAAAACCCUAGUUUACCAAAUGCAUUACAAAAUUAAAAACUCAUACAAAAAUAACACCAAAUACAAAUGUUCUGCGAGUUCCACUAGCAAAGCAGAGUACAAAUCAUGAAAAUGGUACCUGAAGUUCACCGAUCAAUUCAGAUAAUUGACCAUUCUUACGCAGGAUGGUGCUCGUAUACCCUGUAGAAAGAGAACAAUCACUCAGAUCAAAUGUAGCUAAAUACACAAGGAAACUAAUCCAGUAUGCAAGAUGAAAGAGGAGUGAUUGGUACCUACUCCAGCGAAGAUCAGCAAACACAGUAUGAGGUUCCAAAUUCAAAUAACAACAUAAUGCUAAGCAGAGAAGUAGAAUUGCUGCCGAAAUUAUUUAAAACGAACUAAGUCAAAACUAAAUGGAGAAAUGUUAACAAAGUUGUAUGCUUCAGUAAGUCCAGUAACAGAUUCCCAAAACCACAGAGACAAAAUGUGAACAAUGGCUACAAAAGCAUCCAUAAAGAGCAACUAUGUUUAUAUAUGGAGGUGUACAAAAUAGUUAACCUUCAAAAUCGAAACAGUGUGUGUGCCAUGUAAGGCAAUUAGCCACUGCUUCUAGACUAUACAAUAUUACACCUCACAAUAAUAACUAAACCAACUAGCUCUAGCAAAAAGGCAGGAUGACCAUAUAAAGUACCCCCAGCAAAGCAUCUACGUCUGCAUCUUCAUAUCAAGGAGUUCCUGACAUAAGUAAUGAGCAAAGUGAAUUCCCAAGUCAUAAGUCCAGAAUGAGGUGAAUUCACGGACAUUAAAACAUUUACCUCAUAAAUAUGCCUCCCCCCUUAAACCCUCAAUUGCAAGCCUCAGCCGGUAAUAUUUGAUCUUCAAAGGGUCAACUUUAUCUACCGAAAUCCCAGCACUGAGAUGCUCGAUGAAUUUGACGGUCAUGAUUCCGCAAGACGUACUGUGAGACCAAUAAGUUGGGAAAUUAGAACUGCAGUUAUGUAAGAUUUGGAUAAACUGCACUAAAUUCACAAAGCUUACCCAUCUCGUUGUUGUGGCACAUCUGCAAUGCUGCAAACUGAGAAUGGCGUAAACGUCAACAUCUUCAGCCCCUUUUGCUUAACCUUUUCAACCUCAGAAUCUUCAUAAAAGUGCAUAUCGUACAGCACUCGUGCCAGCGUAUCGCUAAUAGGGUGCAGAAGUGUAACCAGCUUCGAACAUUUGGUAAAAGCAACAUAUGAGUCAUACACAGUUGCAGUAUGUCAGACGAAAUCAAUUUCGAUUGCAACCCAGUAAGACCCUUUAAGAUUAUAUGGAAUAUAGACCUUCCGGACUUUUGUCCAAGCUUGGCCAUACCCGUGUUGCCACGUACCGCGUACAAAGUAAUGUAUAUUCUGCAGCUUGCUGGGUGGAAGGUCAACGGUGUUUGAAGCAACUGCCUUCUUCGAUCCACGUUUCUUGGCAGUCGGUUUGAACGGAUCUAGAAAUUGCUGCAUAAAUUGAAAUGAAGGCAUAUUAGAAAAUCACAACCGAAAGCAAAUGAAGCAGCGAAUGUAACAUGGUAACAUGUUUACCUGCAAGCAACAAUCUGCUGUUGUCCAGUCAGUUCCAAAUACCAACGGAUGAGAGAGUUGCCUUUUCCAGAUAAGAAAGGUUGCCAUGUCCAGGUGCUGAAAGUUGACACACAUAAUAUCAGCACAAUUUCAUACAACUGUACACUUAAAAAAGGUGAGAAAACAAUUUAAUUAUCGCAAUAAAGUAGAGCUUUGUGUAUUCUUACCCUUGAGCUAAUCCAUUCCGUUUCAUCGAUAAGUCUGUAGAAAAAAUCAGCGCCCACUGAAAAUAAUUCCAGCUGCACCUCCGCACUACAAAAGGCAAACUUGCAAUGGUUACUUUUAUAGUCAUCUCAUAAUUCUGACUUUGUUGAUGACAAAAAUACACAUGUAUAUUAAAGCAAACUCUACGUUUUCUCAUUAGUCUAUGACUACAUACUAGAAUAGGAUGAAGAUUGGAAUUCAAAGGUAAAGAAUCCUAACCUGAUAUCGUUUUUCCAGGCAGUACAAAACUCUAUUACUGCCUUCACAUCUUCAAUGGGCACGGAUUUUGAUGGAUCAAAACAUGGCGGGGUUGCAGUCGCAGCCAACACACUCAUCGUCCUCUUCUUCCUCAAAGGAUCAGUAAAUGGGCUCAACAAUGUCUGCGCCGGGCGCUUCUGUCUGCACCCUUUACCUUCCACUUCUUUUUUUUCCACACUCGAACUACCUUCUUCAUCACCAGCCAUACUAACUGUGGGUAGACUUGGAGGAUUCAUCGGACCUCCCGAUGGCAUACUCUUAGUCACUUUCCAAUCUUCUAACAGAGACAACACUUUUUGGCAGAUUUCGUCACACCCGGCCACAUCUUCCGGGGUAGGCAGCUUCUCGGAUUGUGCCUGCUCAGCUGCUUCAUGCACUUGUAAGUGAGGAACUGAAGCGGCCAUUUCUGCCUCUUCGACUACCAUGGCUGCGGAAGGUUCGGCUCCAUCACCGGGAACUUGUGUUUCCAUUACCGCCGGUUCUGUAGGCGGACUAACAUGGUCAUGUAAUGGCGACAAGUGAUUGUCGCCUCCUUCAUUCAUAUGAGGACUACUGAGGUCCUCAUGUCCUUUCCCACCUUCAUUCACCCCACCAUUUCGUUUUUUCAGCUGCUCUAUCUCCACAUUAAAAUAAUGCUCCAUUAAAGCCAGGGUGUUGCGGAAAUCCUCCACACACUUUUUAUUUUUUUCGAACUCUCUUUCAACUUUCAAUGACUCCUUCCGUACCAUGUCUUCCAACUGAUGCACUCUGUUGCGAAGCGCUCGAUUUGAUAUGGCAACUUUGGCCAAUUCAUCCUUUGUCCUUUGAAAGUCACGCUUCAAAGUGCGUAACUCUCUGGACGCGACUGUACCCUGCAUUCAGUUAUAAUGCAAGUGUUACAAUAUUUUCAAAAUAUAUUGCAACAAUACAGCAGUUAUUUUCCUAUUGUAUUAUGACGUAUAUCUUGGAAAAAAAUGUAAUGCUUGCCUUAGAAGACGACGGAAGGCUAGCAGUUUCGUCAAUGUCCUUAUCUUUUUCUUCUACAGAGGCAGAAGUGCUGGUUUUUUGUUCAGCGUCAUCGCCAAACAACUGAACAAGUUCUUCAGUGUCGUCAACACUGUCACCCCAAGUCCAAUACGGCUGCUGCUUGUCGAUUACAGAUGGCCGGAGAAGUUGCACAUCAACCUGCAAUUUACACAUACAAUAUACAUAUCAGUAAACUUAUUAUAUUAUAUUUUCAUAUGCCUAACAUUAUCAUUAAAAACUUAACUAACCUCACGGUUCUCGAAUACUUGGCUCAUUAGCUCAUAAAAACACGGCGAACUAUUGCUCCUCCAAUGUAGUAAACGAGGGAUGUAGGCAUUAUCUUCGUGCACCACCAAAUGUAGUGCAGCCAACGCUGGAAAAACCUCAUAAGCCCAAAUCUGGUUUGAGGAAUAAAACGUGAGUCACUGUAAACAAAUGAAAUUUAACUUCAACAUGAAUGGAAAUUUGCUCACCUGAAGUGCAUAGGCAAAACCUUUGAGGUGGUACUCUCUUGGUCUACCAGUUGCCGUUGUUUUUGCUUUCUUUUCAGAUUUUUUUGUUUUUGCAGCUUUUUUGGGCACUUUCACUCGCUGGUAAUCUGUACAAAGUGCCCUCAGAAGUGACACAAUUGUCUUGGCAUAACACACAGCACCCCAUGGAUACUUCCCAAACUCUUCAAGGUCUUCCACCAACUUCAAAUAUCGCAUGUCAAUCUGGACAUGUUUUUCACUGCCCAACAGCACAAACACAGCAAAGUAUACAAAUCUGAGCUUCAAUACAUCGUCCGCAUCAACGCAUUUGAGGAAGGCCUUUUCUAAUUCCAAAACAUUGACAGUUUUAUAGUUGCCAAAGUACUUCCUUUUCAAUGAGCAGUUCUCAUUAGUGGGAAUCGGAAUAAAGGGAAGGUUUCCAAACCUUAGCCCUGUCACGAUGCAAAAUUGCUGCGCCGUGAAUUGGAUCACCUUAUUGCCAACGAUGAAUUUGAUCCCGUUGAGUUGGGAAACUGUCUUUGGAUCAGCUUUCCUCAGCAGCAAGCCGUGGACAAUUGGCGAAGUCCACUUGAGGUCCUCAAUCAGUAGGAGAUGCCCAAAACAACUCUCUUCAAACCUUUGUAGCUGUUGUUCACUGAAUUUCUCCUUUAUCGUGCUGAUUGCAGUCUUCGUAUGGGAUAGGGACAAUGCUUUUCCUUGGAACUUUUCUUCCUCUGCAAUCAUCAACUUCAUUUGAGCAACCAUCUUUCCCUGCAUGCCAAUAUUAUAAAAAAAAAUUCAGUCCGUUGCAAUCUAGACAAUAACAAGCAAUAAACAAUCAGCACUUAUCUACAGCCUAUUAUAGGAUAUUAAGUGAAAACAAAAAAACAAAAAAUACAGGGCAUAAACAAAACCCCAGCUAUUUACAACUGACCUACUAAUUCAAUAGCUCAAAGCCACAUCCCAAGACACCCAGUACUCUACCACUCUUGCAUAAUAUAAUAUCUAAAGACACAUCUCAACACACCAGAUAAUCAUGACACAGCUUCAGCUAGAAUGGGAAUGUGCGGUAGCACAAGCCUAAUUGAGAACAAUUCAAGACUAACGAUAGAAAUCUAUCUGACUAGAAAGAGUUUUAAAAAAACAAGAAGACAUCGGGAAAGAAUUGAUUGACUUCAAGGUAUAAUGUAAUGGAACAUCCUAUGAAUUAGUGGCAACCAUAAUAAUGACUCCACUAUGGCCCUCCUUUCAAAUGUAAGAAAAUGAAUGAAAUUGGCACCAUCCCUUCAGUUUUUUCUUAACAAAAUAAGAGAUUUGUAUGUAUUCUCUGCUUUAUCGAUAUCAAAGAUAAAUUAAUAAAUAAACCAUCAAAACUGUAUAAAAUGUUUGUUAGACAUGUACAAUUACAAAAUUAUAAGUUCUCCUCAGAAACAAAGUUCUCUAAGUACGCAAACAAGAAAAGCAAAAGCUUAAAGAGUUAGCUUAUAGCAAAAUCAAUGUCCCCAUUUCUCUAAACCACACCUGCUGGUGGUAGGUUCCCAUCUUCACUCAUUUCCCGCUUUCUUUUAAACAGACAAUGAUCAAGCACAAAAGAGCAAACUUUUAAAUAACUCAUAUUACACCACAAAUAGUUCUAAAGAAAACUUAUUCAUAUCCAAUAUGCAACCCCUAAAGUUAGUAAACAGAGUUAUAAAAAAAUAUGUCAAAUUAACAAGCAUUAUUCUCAAACAAAAAGUAUGAUAUGGUUGGGAGUUUACAAGUUCAAAAUGAUAUACACAGGUUAAUUGUCUUAGACUUUAGAUAUCAUCUUCAACAAAGAAAAUAGAUACCGAUUAGACUUGUAAGAAGGUUAAAUGCAAUGGUCAUAAAGACCCAUAGUAAGCCACCAAAUACCAAUCAAUAACUGCUAUAAAAACCAUAAUAAAACCAUAAUAAACUAAAAAUACAACAGCACUAAAAUGCCAACACAACAUCACUACAUUAGCAAUAUAGUAGCAACAAAACCACAAUACGACAUCAAUAGCAACAGCAAAACAACAGCAGUGCAAGCAUCAGUCCACAAAGAACAAACCCAUUCACUGUUUCAAACAAGGAAUCAUCAUACUAAGAUCAUUUCAGAGAAACCCCAAAACCAAUUUCAGUGAAACCCCUAAACCAAUUUCAGAGAAACCCCUAAACCAAUUUCAGAGAAACCCCUAAACCUUCAACCAAUUUCGAACAAAUCCCUGAACCAAUUUCAUAGAAAUGCAUAAACCCUAAACCAACUUCAAAGAAACCCUAAACUGUAAGAAAAUGACGAUGAACAGUACCUGUUCAAGGUGAACGAUGGAGUUGAGCUUCGAUGAACAAAUUUCGCUCGGAGAGGAAGAGAGAAGAGAGAGUCAGAGCUGAGCGACGAGAGAUUAAGGGCUGAGCGACGAGAGAGUGAGAGCUGAUCGACGAGAGAUGAGAGAGUGAGAGCAAAGUGACGACAGAGUGAAGAGAAAUUGAGAGAAGGAGCCAAGAGAGAGAGCUGAGAGAGAACUUCAGCAAAACUGAUAGAGAACUUCAGCAAAAGUGAUAUGUGUACAAUAAGGGGACAAUAAAUAUAUAUUUAUAGGUUAUAGUUCCAAAUUUUUUUAAAAAGAGUGGUAUUUUCAGUUACAAUUAUAAAAAUGGUGGCAUUUUGAGCUAUUUCCUUAUUUUUUAUUCAACAUGGACGCAGAAACUGUUGCUAAACUGCAAACUUCUUAAAAUAUUUGUCUCACUUUCUCAACCCUAUAUUUGUCUAACUUUCUAGAUCCAUGUACUGAGAUUUAUUAGGGAAAUAUUGUAGAAACUGAUUAUUUUGAAAUAUUAAAUGUGAAAAACUGAACAAAAAUUUGAUGGGUUACAUAUUUCAACUCAUUUCAGCAGCUUAGAUUUUGAAGACCUCGGAAGAGGCCAUGCAGUGAGCCUAGCUAGUGCACUGUUGAUCACUUCAGUGUCUACCGAUCUGUAAUUUUUCCAGAUUGGUUAUAUUUUCCUUUACAUAUUCUUAUAUUAUUCCCAGCUGUAAGUGUUUUACACACUUGUCUAUUAGAAAAGGGGAGACUUAUAAAUAAAUCCAAAAUGGGUACAGUAUUUAUAAAGAAUGACAAAAUUAAAGUGUUUGGGCAAUAAUGCCCUUAUUCAUUUUGAGAUUGCCUAAGGAAUAUUUUUUCUGAUUUUCAGAAGAUGCCAAAGGACCGUUGUUUGAUGAUUGCCGUAAGGAGCUAAGAAAACUUGCUUUGAUAGUUUUGGACAGAUGCAUGCUACUGUUGCUGGGAUGAUCUCUUCACGUGAAAUGAGGAUGAUGAUGCUUCUACACUACACAAUCCAACGAAUUCACAUGUCUAUUUCAGAUACAAGUAUAAACUAACAAGGCUUUAAAAUAUGGGCUGAUGCACUGUUGUUGAUGUUGCUGACACUGUUACUGUGUUGUUGAUACUGUCACUGCGUUGCUGUUGGAAAAAGCACAAGGACUUCACAUGUUGCUUUCGUCUUUUGUGGAGGAGAGAGACCUAGGACUUGCAUGUCUUAGAUAUUUAAGAUAAGGGGCUUUCGUUCCAUUUUGAAAAUACUUUGGGUGUUUUUGAAAGGUGAUUGUUUCUUUUGGGUUUCUCACUAAAUUUCGCUUUAGAAGGGAAAAUAAUAAUAAUAAUGUCAAACAAAGUAGGGUAAAUAUUCAGAUAUGCUCAUAUUAUUAUUCUUCUCCAAUAUUGAGGUAUUUAUACAAGUACAAAGAUGUGUUAACCCUAAAUAAAAUAGGAAAUAUAUCUAAAUUAUAAUAGGCAGUAAAUCUCUAUUACAAUAGGACUAAAUAAUAAUUGGUAAGUAACCAAAAUUCUAAUGAAAUAAGGAAUCAAAAUCCUAACUAAGUAAGGACUCGCCAACACUCCCCCUCAAGUUAGGGCAAACAUAUUUCGCAUGCCUAACUUGACAAGCGAGUCAUAGAACACCAUACUUGAGAAGCACCAAUUGUAGAGAAGGUCUUUUCGUCAACCACGAGUGAAACAAGUGACAAACUAAAGCAAAGUUCGCAGCGGAAACACAAGAGCGAAUCCUAAAAAAUAGGGCACAUAGCAGAACACAAAAAUCCUGGAGCACGACAGUAGAUAAGGCAGAACACAGAAACCCUGUUAGCACGGCAAUAGGUAAGGCAGAAAAAGUCAAGAGCAAAGGCAAGGUCAACAGGCGUGACCACAACGAAAACACACCAGCAAAGACAUGAGCAACAAUAUUAGCACCAUAAUAGACAUGAGCAACAAUACUGGUACCAACAACAGCAAUACAAGGCACUGGCACCAGCAAGAGCAACAAGGCAUGGACAUAACAUGCAUAAUCAAUAGUAAUCAACAUUGUCCCCAACAAGAGUCAUAAUAGGCAUGAGCAAUAACAUUGUCCCCACUAAGAGACUUAACAGGUAUGAGUAACAGUACUGGCACCAGCAAAGGGCAUAGUAGUCAGCAGCAAUAACAAUGACAAAUACUUCUAUUAUUGCAGAGACAACUUCUCUUCACUCCCCAUCUCCCCUUGAAGAGAAGGGGUCAUCGGAACCAUAAGAAAAGUGGCACUUAAGAAACAGAAGUUGACUGACGCUCAAAUGUAGAAGAAUCAGCCAUGGCAAAUAGGUAGCUGAAUUGCAGCGGAAUAGAUGAGCAGCGGUGUCACUCCCCCUCAUAUCUGAUAAUGUAUGAGAGUCGAGAUUUGGAGAAAGCAAUAUCGAAAAAUAAAGUUGCAGAACCCAAAUAAAGUUGCAUCUAUCUCCCCAUCAAAUCCGACACUGGUAAAGGGUCGAGAUUUGAAAGAGGAGAAAUUGAAAUAAUAGUAAAGAGACUCAAACAUGCAGUCUCAUGGCAGAAACAAAUGCAAGAGGGGAAGAUGGUAGCAUACGGUUGUCCCAUGAAGAAAAAACUUCAGAAAAGGAGAAUAGUAAGGGAGGAAACCUAGCAAAUCAUGAACAGAGACAAAGACAAAGAUGCUCAAACUGAGAAGCGGAAAGGCAACUCAAGAGAGCAACCGAAGAAGACAGAGGCCCGCAGAACAGUCAAAGUUAAGGCUCGGCGAGUGGUGACGAUGCUCGCGGAGGAAAGCAACGGCUCGGUGAGCGGUGAUGAGGCUCACGGAGUAAAGAGACUUGUUAUGAAGUUUCAAAGAUAGAGAAGCUGAGACAUCAAGAAAGACCAUCUGGCAUACAAAGAUGAAAAAUAAAAAUUUUGGAACAGUAGCAAAGAAGCAUGUGAAGGCUGGUGCGGUGAAAACACAUAUGAAAGGAUGAACAAAAGAAGAUGACUAUACAAGAUGAAGACCCAUGAUGGGUUAGGAAUGAGGAGUGCCAACGACUCUCAAUUUGGCAGAGGUUAUCGCAGGUUAGGAACCUGGCUCUGAUACCAUGUCAAACAAAGUAGGGUAAAUAUUCAGUUAUGCUCAGAUAUGCUCAUAUUAUUAUUUUUCUCCAAUAUGGAGAUAAUUAUACAAGUACAAAGAUGUGUUAACCCUAAAUAAAAUAGAAAAUAUAUCUAAAUUACAAUUGGAAGUAAAUCUAUAUUACAAUAGGACUAAAUAAUAAUUGGUAAGUAACUAAAAUUCUAAUGAAAUAAGGAACCAAAAUCCUAACUAAGUUAGGACUCGCCAACAAAUAAUAGUACAACUCUUAUUAGCAACAGGUUACAAACUUCUUCUACAACACACCAACAUGAAUCUAGCCCUGAUCCACUCUUUUACAUACUUGAAAACAAAACAAAACACGAAAAACAAAAAACAAGAAACAAGAUAGGGAGAAAAUGGCUACGGAGAGACUUCCUGCUAAUCAGGGGCGGCCCUGGGGUGGUGCAAGUGGCGUCACCGCACAGGGCCCCCGAUUCUUAAGGGCCCCCAAAAAAUAAUUCUUUAUAUUAUAUAUAUAUAUAUUAAUAUUAUAUGAAUCGUAUAUAAAGUAUAGCGUCUGGAUGAUAAAGAGACUCAUUAUCAUUAUCUUAGUCAUAAGAUUCAAAAUGAAUUGAUACUUUUGUUAGCUUCUGAGCUCAAAAGUGCAAUCAUUAAAAAGAUUGAAGAAGCUAAAUAUUUUUCUGUGAUUCUUGAUUGUACUCCAGAUGCUAGAAACCAAGAACAAAUGAGUUUGAUAGUAAGAUGUGUGGAUGUCUCUACUAAUUCAAUAAAGGUUGAAGAAUUCUUUUUGGAAUUUUUGAUUGUGAAUGAUACAACAGGACAAGGACUUUUUGAAGAGUUGCAAACGGUGUUGCAAAAACUUAAGCUUGAUAUUGAUAAUGUGAGAGGACAAGGCUAUGACAAUGGAUCAAAUAUGAGUGGGAAAUAUCAAGGUGUCCAAAGAAAAUUUUUGGAUGUAAAUCCUAGAGCAUUGUACACACCUUGUGGUUGUCAUAGUCUUAAUUUAACACUUUGCGAUAUUGCAAACUCUUGUGGAAAAGCAAAAGAUUUUUUUGGAAUCAUACAACGUAUUUAUACAUUGUUUGCUAAUUCUACAAAGCGGUGGAAGAUAUUGAAAGAUAAUGUUAAACACUUAACUCUGAAAUCAUUGUCAGUUACACGUUGGGAAAGUCGUAUUGAAAGUGUGAGAGCAAUAAGAUUCCAAGCUGCAGAUUUAAGAGAAGCUUUACUUCAGUUAGCAGAAAGUGACGGUGACUCCAAAAUAACAAGUGAAGCUAAUUCUUUGGCAACAUAUGAACUUGGAAAUUUUGAGUUCUUAUUGGGCAUGGUUAUUUGGUAUGAUAUAUUAGGUGGUGUCAAUGUAGUGAGCAAAAACUUACAAUCUGAAGACAUGCUUAUUGAUGUUGCUAUUGAUAAAGUGAAAGGGUUGAUUACUUUUUUUUUGAAAAGUAUAGAGAAAAUGGGUUUACAGAAGCUAUGUGUACUGCUAAAAAAAUUGCUACUGACAUGGGAAUUGACCCGGUGUUUCCUGAGAAGCGAAAAAUUCGUAGAAAAAAACAUUUUGAUGAGAAUACUUGUGAGCUAUCCCAAUCAGUUCCUGAAUCAACUGAAGAAAAGUUUAGAAUUGAUUAUUUCUUGUAUUUAGUGGACCAAGCUAUUGGUUCUUUACGAAGAAGGUUUCGACAAUAUCAAGAGUAUGAGAAUUUUUGGGUUUUUGUUUACUUCAGAGAAGUUAAAUUCAUUGGAUGAUUGCGAUUUGAAGAAUAGUUGCAGUCAUCUGGAAAGCAUUUUGAAAAAUGACAAGUUUUCUGAUGUCGAUGGGGAGGAUUUAUUUGUUGAGUUGAAAGUUUUACAAGAGCUUUUACCAAAAGUAAAUACCACAGCUACUGCAAUAUUAAAUUUCUUGAAAAGAUUAAAUUGUUUUCCAAAUGCAUUCAUUGCAUAUAGAAUCCUAUUGACUAUUCCUGUUACUGUUGCAUCUGCGGAAAGAAGUUUUUCAAAAUUAAAAUUGUUAAAAUCAUACUUGAGAUCAACUAUGUCGCAAGAAAGAUUAAAUGGACUAGCUUUGAUUUCAAUUGAAAGUGAACUUCUUGAAAAACUUGAUUAUGAACAUUUGAUUGAUGAUUUCUCUUCUAAAAAUUCAAGAAGAUCAAUUUUCAGACAUUAGUAUUGUACUAGCUGUGUUUUUUUUUUUCUUCUAGGGUAAAAGCUCUCAUAAUAAUUUUAAUUCUUCAAAUAAGACAGCAAAUACAAUGUGAUGAAUUUUGGAUAAUCAGGUAUGUUUUUGUUGUUGCUUUUGUGUUUAAUGCAAUAUAAUCUAAUUUUUUUAAUGACAUUUGUGUGCAACUACUCUUUGAUUUGUGAUUGCCAAUUUUUUUUUCUUUCUAUUAAACACAGAUUGCUUAUUGGAGGCAGCAAGAGACCUUAUAGGGGCACAAGGAGCUUAUUUUUGUACAAAACAUUUAACUUUAUCAAAUGGAAACAUUUAAAUUUUUAUGAAUUUGAUUUCUGAUUGUCAUUGCAUAUUUAUUGAUGGUGAAUUUUAGUUAUAAAAAAAAAAUUGUUUAUGACAUUAAGUUAUGGCAAAUUUUUAUAGUAUUUUCGUAUUAGAUUAUGCGAGGUCCCAAUUUAAGUUUCGCACAGGGCCCUCAAAAUCUCAGGAACGGCCCUGCUGCUAAUACUUGAUCAAUAACAGAGAUAAUAGAGCACACUGUUUGUAUGACAAUGAGUAUCAGAAGAAUAAUAGCUGCAAAGAGAGAAAUAGCUGCCCAAGGUGUGUUGAAAUACUUUUGUCUCAAAUUUGCCUUCCGUCUGUUCGUGGUCUUCUUGCAGUACUCGUUUAGUUUGCCAGCAAGAUCACCAAAAUAGUAGUUUCCGUGGUUCGGAGCAACUUUACUGCAAAGCUUGUUAAUCAUAAUGGAAACCUUAUUGUUGUCACCUAGCGUGUUUACAACAAUUCCAUUGUCAACAAGCAACUCUACAUCCUUUGGGGUGUUUACAAAUUUAUCCAGGAUGAAAACAUAAUCGCUUAUGUAUUUAUCCACGCAAUGGCCUUGUUCAAAGGCAAUGAGAUUUCUAUGUGUAAGCUGUGUAAUCAUGUAUUUCAAUUUUUGGAAUUUCCAAGGUGUUUUUCUUGAACUGUAUAUCGAAUAAGUUCUUGCUUGAUCCCACGUUAAACUUAACUCCGGCCUGGUGUAGUUUUGUCAUGCUGGGUGUACUUUGGAGCCCUCCAUUUUUUUUUCUUUUGGCAGAUGUAAAGUUCUAAUAAAAUCAACAAAAUGUAAAGGUUUUUUAGGAUCAGGAGGCAUAAAAGACUUACGGAAGGCUGGUGAGUUCUCCAAGUUUUCUAAACGCAGUGCCUGUUGGAAGAACUUGUAAGAGAGUUCAAUUAUUGAAGGCUCCCCAGUCUGAGCACCUGUGAGAUUGUAAAGAUCCUCGAGAAUGAAAAAUGGCAGCUGAUUUACGAGCAUAAGCAUGUCAGGCAAUAUAUUUUGUAGCACCCAUGGUUUUUUAAAUAUCCAAGCAUCAUCAUCCUGCAAUUUUUCUUCCUGAAAUUUUUCUUCGGAUUUAUUCCUCAACAAUAGCUCAAUGACAAAGGCGGCAUCAACUAGAAUGAUAUUCACAAAAGUAGCAAUGUUAAACUUCUUAGGGCUAGUUUGGCGGCGUUGUGCUUUUAAAAAAAUAUGCUUCUGCUGUGCUGUGAAAAUAAUUAGCUGUGAAAAAAAGCUACUAGGCGUUUGGUAAACUGUUUUUGAAAAACUGCUGUGAGUAGUCAAAGUGUUUGGUAAAUUUUUAUCAGAAGUACUUUUAGUGUGUAUAAUGACCAAAAAGGACAUGAUGAUGAAAUUGUUUGUUAUUUUCUUCAUUCUUUUUCUACUUUAAAAAAAAAAAAAACCCAAUUUCACUACAUAAAUUUUUAUUCUUUUUUAAUUCACACCUUUUUAUCAAAAAAUUUAAUCUACAAUUAACAUACAUAUUUUACCAUAAAUUAUAAAUUACUAUUAUAACAAAAGUAAUUCUAAAUAUUGUUAUAUUAAUAUGGGCUUCGGACAUGACAAAAAUACAAAAAUUGUUCAAUUUUAAAAUGCCCCAAUAGAUCACUACAAUAUAAAAGAAGCUAAUUAGAUGCAUUCAUUAAACUUGUAGCGAUGCUAUUUCUUAAUGCAUUCAUUAGCUUCUUUUUUUGGUUUCCAAUGGUUCUCUAACAAUUUUAACUAAAAAAACAACCAUAAUGCUUUGUGAACAAUAAAUUCAAGUCCAAAUCUGCUAUUGCCCACACCAUACAUAUAUACAUAAUUGUUCCUUUCAUAAAACUUGAAGAUUCAAUAGUAAUUACACAGUUUACCAAUCUUGAUUCCAACUAUAUCCAUAAAAUUAAACUAUAAUUAGAAAUAGAGGAGCUACAUGUGAUUACUCAUAAAUGCUUCCCACUCUCAUCAUCAUCAUCAUCAUCAUCUUCCUCCUCUGUACUUUGCCUUUCACAAAUGGACAAGACCAGAUGGUAACGUACACGACAUGGUCCACAUAUAGAUAAAUUUUGGGUUCACUGGAGAACAUAAAAGAGUUUUUACACGAAUACAAAGUUAGUUAAGUAGUGAAUAAAGUAAAACUAUUCUGUACAAUUCUAGCUGAUGCAGUCCAAAAAGAAUAUAUGUCUAAUAACUUAAAUAACAAUAAAGAGAAACAAAAGCCUCAUGAAAAAUGCUAGAGUAAAAGUUACAUAACUGAAUCGAUGGACAGAGAACUCCACAGGCAGAGAAACAGCAACAAAAAUUGUCAAAACAGUAGCAAGACCAUGUUGGAGUCAAGGCCAAAGAUCAUAUUUCCUGUGUAUCUUCUUCCAUUCUGAAUUAUUCUCGUAUUCAAAUACUGUAACUCUAUUUCAAGUGCACCCCAAAAUACUUAUCUAAGGCCAGUACAUAGGACUUCAUAAAGGGUGCGAUAAAAAAUAUUGCCCCUUAAUUGAUAAACAGAACCAAGAUCCCAACAGCACACCAAAACUAUACCAACCACACCUACAUAAUAUGGACAGAAAAUCCUGUUGUUCCGAUCUCUAACCACACCAAUGACAUUCAUUAGGAAAAUACAAAAGAUGGGUACCCUGCAUUUCUAACAUUUAAGAUAAAAUUCACUGCCAGCUAAUCACAAAUUUGAAAAGAUGGCAAGAAAAUUGGCUAAGCUUUAACAAAAACCAGAGCAGUCCUUGCAUAGACCUGACUUUUUGCUCCAAGCUUUAGCAGAUCACUUACUGGUAGAGAGCAGAGAACAUGUAUGUGAAUAUCUGAAGUUGGAAGGGUAAGCCAUCACAAACACCAAGAGAUCUGAUUCUCAUCUCUUGUUACAACAACAAAUCACAAACACCAAUACAUCUGAUUCAGAAUCUCAUAAACAAUGGAGGAACAAACACAUAUUCACACACAUAUAAAUCCCUAAACAGAAAAAAUAAAAAAUAAAAAAAAAACCAUGAAAGUCAUAGGAGAAUCAAAUUGAUUUGGGCCAAAAUUGCCUAAAAAGAAAACACUCCUAAAUAAACUUCAAUUCACUUUUAAAAACAGUAAAACAUGAUUGAAUCAUUCUUUAAAACAAUUCCCUAAUAUACAUGCAUGAUAAUGACAUCAUUUACCCCUGAAUCAAAUGCCUUUCACUGGUCAAGCCACAAGUCUGUGUUUUGGGAAUUGCUGAGCUGCAUCAAUCCUGCCAAUGUAAAUUCUGCCCCUAGGCUCUCUCAAAGUGCGUUUACAACCUAUGCUAACAUAUACUAGAGUUUGUUUUAGUAUCUAGAAAAUGCCAACACUAAUUUCGUAACACGUAGAAAUUGUUACAUAUUGGAAGUUUUUAUCAUUUUUUCUUCCAGUCUCUCCACCACUCACUAAUACAGAUUACUCAUGUGAUGAGUUUACAAAACAUAUUUCUCUACUCCCACAAAGACCAUACUUUUUCUCAAAAGACUAUAUCACUUUAUCUCUAUCUUUGUGAAAUGUAAAAAGUUGAAACUUUAAUGUCAAACCUCGACAAAAGAUGAACAUCCAUCAUCAAUUACAUUGAAUUUGAAUUUGUUGAACUUAAGUAGUUUUACUUCUCUGUCAGCGUUUGAUGACUUGAUUUGUUAUUUACUUCUUCUUUUUUCCUUGGAAAUGUGUUCCAUCAACGUGAGGAAGAAAAAUAUGCACAAAUUAAUAUAUUUAAUAGAAGCAAAAAUUAAUAUUUACAAAAAUAUGCACAAAUCAAGUAAAAUUAAUAAAGCAUAAAUUGGAAAGGGAAAAUAUGUAGAGGAUGCAUUGUAGGAUUGCUCAUGCCAAUAAUUGUACCCUCUAAAUAUAUAGGGACAUAUUUUUUUUUGUUUUCAUGACAUGUGGUCCUAAAAUUAUUGUUCUUAGCGGGCUCUCCACCCCUCUCGACUGAAAACCUAUUGUGUAAAUCUUCAAUCCUGAAUGAUGCACCUAAAACUCAUGUUGCAAUACACAUCCACCCAUUCUCAGGCCAAUUAUUACUCCUAGUGGGCUCUCCACCCCCUCUCAAAUUUAAGUGGUCCAUUAUUAUUAACCGUAUAUUUUAUGGACCAGCCAGCUGUGAGGUUUUAUCUCAAAAACCUUUCUCCCACAUGCCACAAUUUAUGUCUGAUACAUCACAUCAUGCCAGUUGUCUCAAAUGAAUUUAAGUGAGUGAGGCAGUGUUACUUCUGGGUACCCCUCAUUAUUCGUCUAUAAAUUGGUGAAGCCAGUUGCUACUGUUACCAUAAGAGCCAGCUCCGACUUUCAAAAUAAAAAUUCCAACAACGGUCUUAGUGCCUUCAAUUGUAUGAGUCAUUGAACAUGCAAAUGAAUAAAAUAUGAAUGAUAAAAGUGUUUGAUAAAUCACCAAGUUAUAGAACACUUGAUGAUUUAUCUCAAAUAAAAAUUCAGCUUUCUAAAGUUUGUGAAUUGAAAAUAUAAUCGUUAAAGCUCUCUAAACAAAGAAGACGAAAGUCUUAUUUUAUAGAAUUUUUCUUUACAAGAAAGAAAACAUGUUGAAAACCAAAUCUCCAAUUUCCAAGGCUUGACAGAAAAUCAAAAAAAUAUCUUUCCUAUUCUAGAGAUUGGUCACAUGUAGUUCAACCAAUAGGAAAUGAGAUAUUUAAGAAAGCAAGAUUUUGAUCAAUACCAAUAUCAAAUGAAUUCUUAUACGCCUAGUCAACUAUUAAGGGUAUCUUGACUCCUUGAUAUUGUGAUAUGAUUGAAACAUGAUUUCCAUGUUAGAAAAUUAAGGGGAUGUUAAAACAUGAAAGUAAUAGGAGAAUCAAAUUGAUUUGGACUAAAAUUGCCUAAAAAGAAAACACUCUUAAAUAAACUUCAAUUCACUUUUAAAAACAGUAAAACAUGAUUGAAUCAUUUUUUAAAACAAUUCCCUAAUAUACAUGCAUGAUAAUGACAUCACUUACCCCUAAAUCAAAUUGUCACGCCCCGGACCUGGGGGUCAGUGGAAACCCCACGUUCGGUGCGUGAGAAAAUAAAAAGUAAAAUAAAAUAAAAAGAAUGCCGAAACAAGGGUUUAAAAUAAACUUCUCUUAUAAAAAUAACUCCAAAAUCUUACAACUUUACAAGAAAUAAAUAAAGCCCUAUCAUUCUUAUCUAAUUCAGCCUCAACUGGUUUAGUCCUUGUCUUGCCCACUAAUUCAUCUAAAAAAUGAAGAGUGUUGCUAAACGAACCCUAAAAUUAAUUGAGUACACCCUACUACCAAACGAUUUAUUGAAUUUGUCACAUCUCGGGAUCAACUCCGCCGUAGCACGAUAUUGUUCGCUUUGGGCCCUCCCUCUCUGGCUCGCAUGGUUUUGUUUCUGGGAACUCACGAGUAACUUCCCAGUGGGUCACCAAUCCUGGGAUUGCUCUAGCCCACAACUCGCUUAACUUCGGAGUUCCUACGACUCCGAAGCCUGUGAGCUCCCAAAAGGUCUCGUGCUAGAUGGAUGCGGGUGUGCACAUAUAAGGCACAUCACCCCCUCUCCGUUGGUUGAUGUGGGAUCUUAUAGAAUUACUAAUUUAUCCUAAUAUAAAAUGACCAAAGAAGAUAAAAUAAUAUUGGUAUCUAUUGCUUUGAAUCCAUGCCUUCAAACAAAUUGACUUAAUUUUUAACAAACAACACGGAGUCCAGGAGAAGUGUAUUGAUCCAAGUUGAUUUUUGUAUGCGUAAAACUUAAACAAUCAAUAACACAAAGCAGUUCAUGCUGAAAUAUUGGAAACCCACACCCAAAGAGUUCUCCGCUGCGAGGUUGAAGGCAGGAGAGAUGGGUGACAGAUUUUACUUCCACUGCGAAGUUGGAGGCUAGGAGAGUCUGUGACUGCCAUGGUUGAGGGAGAAGAUGCGUUCAAAAUGCCUAUUGAUAUUUUACAUUAUUGGCUUUUUUCAAAAGUGAAAGUUUUUUUAUGGGUAAAACCUAAAUUUACUUUUUCUAUACAAGUUAACAGUGUUUGUGUAUUGUGAAAAGGUGGAGAGACGUGUCAAAAUUUUAGACAAAGGACAGGAGGAGAUAGGGAAUUUGGGGACAGCAGAUCUCAACUCCCUUGAGACCCUAUUCUCUACGCCACCCCUCCCCCUCAACAACCCUAGUCACCAUUUCUCCUUCAACUCCAACGGCAACUCAUUAAAACCCAAUUCUCAAAUGCAACAAUCUAAUCCCAAUCCCAAUUCAGAUGUUUCUAAAAAACCCAUUGUCGUGGUGGAGAACUGCAAUUCCAGGUGGUGGUGGUGGUACCACAUGGGAGAGAGAAAAAAGAAGAAGAAGAAGCAGGAGAGAGAGAGUUUUUUAUUUUAUUAUUAUUUUACUGUAAUUUUUUAAUUUAAAUAAUUAAAAAAAUUAAAAGUUAAAGAGGAUGUACCAUGGGUAUUUUUGGUAGUUAAAUAAGGUGUACUUAGGGUCAGUUUGGCAUUGCUGUGCUGUGAAAAUAAUAGCUGUCAGAUUUGCUGUGAGAGAAAUCAGCUGUGAGAGAAAUCAGUUUGGCGUUUGAUAAAAUUUUUGUUAAAAGUGUGUUGAUAUUGAUUUUAUGCUUAAUCCGAAAAUGAUUGCUGCAUAAUCAUUAAACCCAGCGCCUCUUCGAAACUGAUUCCUAUAUAAUCAGAAAAUGAAAGCACCUCAUUAGCUGCUUUCCUUUAUAGCUUUCUCUCACAGCAAUUUUUAACAAUAAGUGAUUUUCUCACAGUUUACCAAACGGGUUGGGCUUCUCAAAAUUUUUUAAAAAUCACUUAUUACCCCAAAUAAGCAAUACCAAACGGGCACUUAGUUAAUUUUACAUUUUAAUUUAAACAUUAGGGUGUACUCAGUUAAUUUUAGGGUUCGUUCAGCAGCACUCAAAAUUAAACAAGGUGAGGGAUGAGCAAGUAGGGACAUGAGACAUUGCCACAGUAGAUUGAUAUAACUAAAUAUUAUUAUAAACAUAGAAAUAUAUAAGUAUUAUUAUAAUAGGAUUCAUAAUAAUUAAUAUAAAAGUAUAACAACAAUAUUUACAUUUAUGUACCAAGAUAAUUACACAUAUAAAUAUAACCAAUAUAUAUUUUUAUAUAUUUUAAAAUAUAAGUCUUUACGUAAAUGCCUUUCACGGGUCAAGCCACAAGUCUGUGUUUUGGGGAUUGCUGAGCUGCAUCAAUCCUGCCAAUGUCAAUUCUGCCCCUGAGCUCUCUCAAAGCACGUUUAAAACCUAUGCUAACAUAUACUAGAGUUUAUGCUGUAUCUAGAAAAUGCCAACACUAAUUUCGUAACACGUAGAAAUUGUUAGAGAUUGGAAGUUUUUAUCAUUUUUUCUUCCAGUCUCUCCACUACUUAUUAAUACAGAUUACUCAUGUGAUGAGUUUACAAAACCUAUUUCUCUACUCUCGCAAAGACUAAACUUCUUCUCAAAAGACUAGAUCACUUUACCUCUAUCUCUGUGAAAUGUAAAAAGUUGAAACUUUAAUGUCAAACCUCGACAAAGUGUUCUACUUUACAAACUUCUUGUGUCUACCAAUUUGUACUAAAAUUAAUUUCUCUACAGUGCUCAGAUUCAUCAUAUGUGUGUCCUUAAUUUUAGUGGAAAUUGGAAGUUUCCAUAAUUUUUGCUUUAAGUCACUCUUCUGAAGGAAGUUGAGGUUCCACUUCAUAAUCCAAAAUGUCAGGUUGACUUAUGGCAAACAAUGUAAAUAUGUAGGAGUACUAUGACCUUUUAUAGCAUUUUUAGUUUGAAUUUGGGUUUUAUACAUAGAUUUCAAAAUUAAUAGGUUGAUGCCUAGGAAAUAGAAAUUGUAAGGGCCUAUAUUAGAGUAGCCCUCUUAAAAAUAAUAUUAAUUAAUGAAUAUUUGUUCUUCUUGUUGUUUUGAAGUAGUGGUGGGAGGCAGACCAACAAAAAAAAAAUAUAGUGAAGGCUUAUAAGAGCAUUUACAAUCAUGCUCCCUAUUUUUUAGUUAAAAUUUAGCUAAAAAUAGAAAAAAAGUUAUUAUAGGAGCUCUUUAUAAAGCUCCUUUAUAAAAUUUGAACUCCAAUCAUACUCCCUAGUUUAGGGAGUCAAAAAUACUAUAGUUAUUUUUUAAUUCAAUUUGAUUUUGGUUAAUCUCUAUAAAUAUGAAAAAAUAGUUAGCAUUAAUUAAAAGUUUAAACUAUGCAUAAAACAAAGAAACAUUAAAUUAUAGGGAGCCACUAUGAGUCAUUACUCUCUCCUCAGAUUUAGGAGCUCCUAAAGGUCUCCCUAUUUUAUGAGGUGGAUAAGGAGCAUGGUUGGAGUUGUAUUUCUUCAAUUUCCUCCCUAAAAUUUGUCUAAGGAUGUGGUUUAGGGAGCCCAUUGUGAAUGCUCUAACUCUGGUAAAACACGAGUGACAUGGACAACAUAUGUUACGUCGUACUGAAGAUUUUUGGGUUUCUUUAAUUGGUUAAGUAGCAUCCACACAGCUUCCUAAAUCAUCUCCUUAGACAAAUUUUAGGGAGGAAUUGGAAAAGUACAACUCCAACUAUGCUCCCUAUCCACCAACUAAAAUAGGGAGACUUCUAGGAGCUCCUAAAUCUGAUGAGAGAGAAAGGACUCUUAAUGACUCCCUAUAAUUUAAUGUUGCUUUAUAUUAUUUUGUAUACAGACGGGUCAAUUAUAUUAAAUUAAAAAAUAAUUAAAGUAUUUAUGACUCUCUAAACUAGUGAGCAUAAUUGUAGAUCAUCUUAUAUACCUUAAUUUGAAGAUUCUUUAUUUGGGUUUCUUUCAAGACUUAUCACCUUAGCCACGCCACCUACACGUCUGCAAGCUUUCCUAACAAGGAAGGGGAGGCUGCGCAAUACUUAUCACCUUAGCCACACUACACCAAAUUGACGUCUGCAAGCUUUCGUAAUCUAACAAGGAAGGGGAGGCUGCGCAAUACUUAUCACCUUAGCCACACCAACACCACAAGACCAAUAUGUGUAGUCCAGGAGGCUUUCCCAUUUUAAUAUAUAUUAUCAAAUAAAAUAAAAAUCAAUCUAUUAUCAUAUAUAUUAUAAAAUAAAGAUUAUUGCUCCAUCCUCCAUGCACUUGCAUGCCUCUUACAAAGUGUGAAGUAGAUUUUGUGUGCUCCAAGUCAUUGACGAGAGCUGUAACAUGGUUAGCUGGAUUUAUAAGAUCUUUUCUUUUCUGGGAAUUUUCUGAAUCAAGAAAAAUUAAGUAAAAUUAAUAAAGCAUAAAUUAGAAAGGAAAAAUAUCUAGAGGAUGCAUUGUAGGAUUGCACAUGCCAAUAAUUGUAUCCUCUAAAUAUAUAGGGACAUAUUUUUUUGUUUUCAUGACAUGUGGCCCUAAAAUUAUUGUUCCUAGCGGGCUCUCCACCCCCUCUCGAUUGAAAACUAAUUGUGUAAAUCUUCAAUCUUGAAUGAUGCACCUAAAACUCAAGUGUCCCAGGCCAAUUAUUGCUCUCAUACCACUUGUUGUAAUAAACAUCCAUCCAUUCUAAAGGAAAGAUAACCAUCGAUAUUAUCUCAAAUUUAACCACUUAAGUUCAUUAUGAUUAACUAUGUAUCUUAUGGACCAAUCCAAUCAUGAGGUUUUAUACCCAAUUAGAUCGACUAAUACAAAGUUCACACGUGGAUUGAAAAGCGCUAUCAGUAGGGGAGUGUUCGGCACCCUUUACUGCCGAACGCAACACAAGACCCCUUGCAUGCCUUCACUAAGUUGAGCCUAUCUAUUUUUUAGCAUUAACAAUAUAUAUAGAUUGAAAAAAUAAAAUAAAAAUCAAUCUAUUAUCAUAUAAAAUAAAUAUUAUUGCUCCAUCCUCCAUACACUUGCAUGCCCUCUUACAAAGUGUGAAGUAGAUUUUUUGUGCUCCAACUCAUUGACUAGGGCUGAAACAUGGUUAGUUGGAUUUAUAAGAUCUUUUCUUUUCUGGGAAUUUUCUGAAGCACGGAAAAUCAAAUAAAAUUAAUAAAGCAGAAACUGUACCCUUUAAUUAUAUAUGGACGUAUGUUUUUUUGUUUUCAAGUCUUAGAUGACAUGGGGACCUAAAAUUAUUGCUCCUAGUGGACUCUCGACCCCUCUCAAAUUUAAGUGGUCCAUUAUUAUUAACCACAUAUUUUAUGGACCAUGCAGCUGUGAGGUUUUAUCUCAAAAACCUUCGGUACAUUUCUCCCACAUGCCACAAUUGUAUAUUCACAAUUACGGCUGUUACGUCACAUCAUGCCACUUGCCUCACAUGCAACAAGUCUGUGUUUUGGGGAUUGCCGAGCUGCAUCAAUUCUGCCAAUGUCAAUUCUGCCCCUGGACUCUCUCAAAGCACAUUUAAAACCUAUGCGAACAUAUAUUAGAGUUUAUGAUGUAUGUAUCUAGAAAAUGCCAACACUAAUUUCGUAACAUGUAAAAAUUAUUAGAGAUUGGAAGUUUUUAUCAUUUUUUCUUCCAGUCUCUCCACCACUUAUUAAUACAGAUUACUCAUGUGAUGAGUUUACAAAACCUAUUUCUCUACUCUCGCAAAGACUAAACUUCUUCUCAAAAGACUAGAUCACUUUACCUCUAUCUCUGUGAAAUGUAAAAAGUUGAAACUUUAAUGUCAAACCUCGACAAAGUGUUCUACUUUACAAACUUCUUGUGUCUACCAAUUUGUACUAAAAUUAAUUUAUCUACGGUGCUCAGCUUCAUCGUAUGUGUGUCCUUAAUUUUAGUGGAAAUUGGAAGUUUCCAUAAUUUUUGCUUUAAGUCACUCUUCUGAAGGAAGUUGAGGUUCCACUCCAUAAUCCCAAAUGUCAGGUUGACUUAUGGCAAACAAUGUAAAUAUGUAGGAGUACUAUGACCUUUUAUAGCAUUUUUAGUUUGAAUUUGGGUUUUAUACAUAGAUUUCAAAAUUAAUAGGUUGAUGCCUAGGAAAUAGAAAUUGUAAGGGCCUAUAUUAGAGUAGCCCUCUUAAAAAUAAUAUUAAUUAAUGAAUAUUUGUUCUUCUUGUUGUUUUGAAGUAGUGGUGGGAGGCAGACCAACAAAAAAAAUAUAGUGAAGGCUUAUAAGAGCAUUUACAAUCAUGCUCCCUAUUUUUUAGUUAAAAUUUAGCUAAAAAUAGAAAAAAGUUAUUAUAGGAGCUCUUUAUAAAAUUUGAAUUCCAAUCGUACUCCCUAAUUUAGGGAGUCAUAAAUAUUAUAGUUAUUUUUUAAUUCAAUUUGAUUUUGGUUAAUCUCUAUAAAUAAAUAAAAAUAUGAAAAAAUAGUUAGCAUUAAUUAAAAGUUUAAACUAUGCAUAAAACAAAGAAACAUUAAAUUAUAGGGAGCCACUAUGCCAAUAAUUGUAUCCUCUAAAUAUAUAGGGACAUAUUUUUUUUGUUUUCAUGACAUGUGGCCCUAAAAUUAUUGUUCCUAGCGGGCUCUCCAACCCCUCUCGAUUGAAAACCAAUUGUGUAAAUCUUCAAUCUUGAAUGAUGCACCUAAAACUCAAGUGUCCCAGGCCAAUUAUUGCUCUCAUACCACGUGUUGUAAUAAACAUCCAUCCAUUCUAAAGGAAAGAUAACCAUCGAUAUUAUCUCAAAUUUAACCACUUAAGUUCAUUAUGAUUAACUAUGUAUCUUAUGAACCAAUCCAAUCGUGAGGUUUUAUACCCAAUUAGAUCGACCAAUACAAAGUUCACACGUGGAUUGAAAAGCACUAUCAAUAGGGGAGUGUUCGGCACCCUUUACUGCCGAGCGCAACACAAGAUCCCUUGCAUGCCCUCACUAAGUUGAGCCCAACUAUUUUUUAGCAUUAACAAUAUAUAUAGAUUGAAAAAAUAAAAUAAAAAUCAAUCUAUUAUCAUAUAUUUUAUAAAAUACAUAUUAUUGCUCCAUCCUCCAUACACUUGCAUGCCCUCUUACAAAGUGUGAAGUAGAUUUUUUGUGCUCCAACUCAUUGACUAGGGCUGAAACAUGGUUAGUUAGAUUUAUAAGAUCUUUUGUUUUUUGGGAAUUUUCUGAAGCAAGGAAAAUCAAAUAAAAUUAAUAAAGCAGAAACUGUACCCUUUAAUUAUAUAUGGACAUAUGUUUUUUUGUUUUUUUGCUCUCGACCCCUCUCAAAUUUAAGUGGUCCAUUAUUGUUAACCACAUAUUUUAUGGACCAUCCAGCUUCGGUACAUUUCAAAAAGCUUCGGUACAUUUCUCCCACAUGACACAAUUGUAUAUUCACAAUUACUUCUGGGUACCCCUCAUCAGUCGUCUAUAAAAUGGUGAAGCCAGUUGCUACUGUUACCAUAAGAGCCAGCUCCGACUUUCUUUAAUUUCUUGCUACAUCUGUUGCUAAGUUAAUUUCAGUCCUAAUGGGGUUUCAUCUCCCACUCAUCUUUGCUAUUCUCAGUGUAAGCUCUGCAAUUUGAUUAACUUUUCCAUUCUCUCUCAUUGUACUCUAUAUAUAUAAAUGAAAGUUUUGUGUUCCUAUAAUUCUCUCCGAUUUUAUUUAGUACGUACUUAAGUGUCGUCCACUAAUUAAUUACACUUUGUGAGAUUUGAUUUUAAUUAGAGUUCGAAUUAAUGUUGCAGCUAGCAGCGGUUGCACUGGCAAACAAUGCUGCUCAACCAGCACCUCAACUUUACUGGAACUCCGUCCUGCCAAACACACAGAUGCCAAGAUCUAUCAGUGAACUUCUGCAUCCUGGUUUGUGUUCAGCUCUUUAUAAUCUUAGAUAUCUCUUCUACCUGCCAUUUUACUAAAAUAUGUUCGACCACAUAUUUAUCAGCUAACUACUGUGAUUACAAGAAUGACACUUAUUUUCCAAUAUAAUUUGCAGACUCCACAAAUGAAGAAAAGAGCAAACCUGAAAUUUUCCCAUUGCAGGGCAAUAGAGUUUACACUCAAAGCCAUUAUAAAAAACGUCCUCCUCCUCCAUCUGACGAGGGCAAACCUGAAACUUUCCCAUUGGGCAAUAGCCAUUACACUCAAACCCGUUAUAAAAAACGUCCUCCUCCUCCAUCUGACGAGGGCAAACCUGAAAAUUUCCCAUUGGGCAAUAGCCAUUACACUCAAACCCGUUAUAAAAAACGUCCUCCUCCUCCAUCCGACGAGGGCAAACCUGAAAAUUUCCCAUUGGCCAAUAGCUUUUACACUCAAACCCGUUAUAAAAAACGUCCUCCUCCUCCAUCUGACGAGGGCAAACCUGAAAAUUUCCCAUUGGCCAAUAGCUUUUACACUCAAAGCCAUUAUAAAAAACGUCCUCCUCCUCCAUCUGACGAGGGCAAACCUGAAAAUUUCCCAUUGGCACGUUCUCCUCCAUCUGACAGUCAACUAAAGCAUUACAAAGACUUAGCUAUUUUCUUCUUCGAGAAGGACAUGCGCCCGGGCACAACUAUGAAGUUCCAAUUCCCUAGAAAUUCAAACACGGCUACUUUCCUGCCACGCGAAAGUGCUCAAUCGAUCCCCUUCUCCUCUAAGAAACUACCAGAAAUUUUCAACCAUUUUUCAGUGAAGCCAACAUCUGAGGAAGCCAAAACAAUUAAGCAAACAAUCGAAGAGUGUGAAGCUCCAGGCCUUAAGGGAGAGGAAAAAUAUUGCGCCACAUCUUUAGAAUCAAUGGUUGAUUUUAGCACUUCGAAGCUUGGAACAAGAAACGUUGAAGCAAUCUCAACGGAGGUAUUGGAAGAAGGAGCCACCAAGUACAUGCACAACUAUACAACAAUGCCGGGACUGAAGAAGUUGGAAGGUGACAAAGUCGUUGUGUGUCAUAAGGAGAACUAUCCCUAUGCUGUGUUUCUCUGCCAUGCAAUAAAACAAACAGAAGCUUAUGUUCUCUCCCUGAAAGCCGAUGAUGGGAUGAAGGUGAAAGCAGUAACCAUCUGCCAUCUAGACACAUCAGAAUGGGACCCAGAGCAUUUGUCCUUCCAAAUCCUCAACGUUAAGCCCGGAACCACUCCCAUCUGCCAUUUCCUUACCACUGAUGCUAUUGCCUGGGUUCCAAAACACAAAUCUGCAUGAUCAUCACUUAGCACUGUACGUGUAAUAAGCUUGGUCGGGUUGCACCCUAGGCCUGCAUAAUUAUCUCCCUACUUAUUUCUGCCUCUUCAUCAUGCGGUGUAAGAUAUAUGAUGAGAUGAAGUUUUCUCUUGUAACUAUGUAGACUACUUCAACUUGUACUCAUAAUAAAGCACGCUGUUGGGGGGUUCUACUUAAUUUCGUUCUCUCCAAUGUUUGAGUGUUGAAUUGUUACGUUGGAAUAGGCUGCUAAUGCAUGUAGUUAGAGAAGCCUUCAUUUAUAUCAAAGUCCUCAAACUAUCAAGAAUUAAUGUAUCCAGAAACAUAUACCAAGACGCAAAACAACAUAUUUUCCAUUCUCUGUCUGUAACACCAAAGCAAACUUCCUUUAUCACAUCAUUUAAAGGAUCAAAUUCCAGUACUAAUCUAAUCCAUCAUGUAAAGCAUACAAGUGCCUACCUAAAUUUGUCCAUUGGAUAUAUAUGUCACUUUUUAUUUUUUGAUAGAGAUAUAAAUGUUGAAAAAAUUAGAGUACACAACUCUUAUAGACACUACUACGAUUUACUAUUUGCGCGACGGAAGUUUGCGCGACGAACAUUGUUUCGUCGCGCAAAAAGCACUAUUGCGACGAAAAAAAAAUACCGUAGCGCAAACAACAUAACACAAGCGCGACAAACAGUUUCGUCGCGCAAACAAUCUAUGCGCGACCAAUAUUAAUUUCGUCGCGCAAAGGUAGGGGAAAAAAACCCGGUUUUUUUUUUUUGGCGCCAUAAUCUUGCGCGACAACAACAAUCGUCGCGCAUGACAAUAUUGCGCGACAAUUCAAAGAAUUCGUCAGGUAAAGAUGGACAGAAAAUUGUCUCAUUUUUUUGGCGGUAAAAAACUUUGCGCGACGAAAUUUUUCGUCUCAAAAGACAACUUAGCGCGACGGAAAUAUGUACCGUCGCGUAAAAAAACGAGGGAUACUUAUUUUUGGCGCCAAAAUGCAGGGUGGAUAAAAAAAAUUUUGCGCGACGGAAUUACCUUCGUCGCGUAAAGUGUAAUGCCGGUGCUUUCUUGCGCGACGAAAUAAAUAAUUUGCGCGACGUAAUUUAAACCUUGCGCGACGAAAAGUAUUAUUUGCGCGACGAAAUUUUGUGCGACGAAUAAUAUGUUUCGUCGCACAAAAAAGCAGAUGUCGACAGGUAAUUGCGCGACGGAAAUGUUGUUUUGUGCGAUGGAAAAGUGGGUUUUCGCGACGGCAUUUUGCGCGACGGAUAUUGGUGUUCGUCGCGCAAAGUCCUUCUUCUUCAUAUUAGUAUCUGCCAUUGCAGAGGCAGAAUGCAGAAAUUGCAUUCUGCCUCUCUCUCACUCUCCCUGCCGCUGCUCUGCUGUGAAUUCAAUACGUUCAUUGGGUAUGUAUUUUUUGUCGUUAGUUUAAAUGUAUUAAUGUAAAUUCGUAGUAACGCUAUUAAUUUUGUUAUCGUUAGGGAUAUUUGUGAUUAGUGAUUGGUGGAGAACGAUUGAGAAGGUAUGUUAUUGUAAAAGUUUGUUUGUUAUGUUUGUAAUUUUUUUGUGAAGUUAUAUGUAUAUAAUGUUGUGAAAUUGUGCGUGACAUAGCACAAUGUGUUGUGAUGUACGAAGUUAAUUGAAAUUAACUUCGUACUUUUAUUUUUAUGUUUAGUAACACGUAGUUUCCCGUUCGAGAUUAGUUGGAUUUCGUGCAUGGAUGAGUAAUGCAUGACUGCGGUCCAAUUAAUUCUUGAAUUGUCCCAUUAUUUGGACAGUUUGGUAAUGCAUAGUGUUGUCACAUAAUCUUCGGCUACAGGAUUAGGUUUCGAUUGUGGAGAUUUCGGUGUCAUCUCGGUACGUUCUUCGAGUGGUACGUAGGUAUUUAUACCUAUGCCCACUUCAAGAACUGUGUCGAGAUGCUGCCGAAAUUAAUCCACGUCGAAAUCUAAUCUCAUGUAGCCGUAGGUUACGUGACAGGACUAUGCAUUCCCGAAUGGGAUAGGGCCCUUACCGGAGGCAUAAGGUGACAUUAUAACUUCGUAUGAAGUUGUUGUGAUUGUUGUGUCGUGAUUGUGGUUUCAUGAAUUAUGAGCAGAAGGUGGAUACAUAACCCGAAUAGAUGCGCAGACGAAUACUUGGAUGGAAUCGAGGAUUUUAUUGAGUUUGCACAUAGACACAACCCGGGUGCAAGUAGAAUCCGUUGUCCUUGUAGGAGGUGUAACAACACGUUGUGGGAGACAAUUGAAAAUGUUGGAUUUCAUUUAGUAAGGAAUGGAAUGAUUGAAACAUAUAGCAUUUGGAACCUUCACGGCGAACAUGUAGGCCAUGCUUCGUCUUCAAAUGCCCCAAGAGUGGACAAUGUUGAACCUAUUGUGGAUCCUAAUGAUCAAGUCAUGGGUAUUAUACAGGAUGCUUUUCCAUUCGCAUCGACCAACAUCAAUCAGGAAGGGGAAGAUAACGUGCCUACACCAAUAGACAGUGCGGAGUUUGAACAGUAUGAAAAACUGUUAAAAAAUGCCAACCAAGAGUUAUACCCGGGGUACGAGAGCUUUUCCGUUCUCACUUCUAUUGUGGAGCUAAUGCACGGAAAAAUAAAGUAUCGUAUGUCGAACUUGUGUUUCGAUUACUUUUUGGGGGUUUUCAAGAGAAUGCUUCCGACGGAUAAUUAUUUGCCGAAAGACCAGAAACAUGCACAGAAGGUGUUGCAUGGUCUUGGAUUGGGUUAUGAAAAAAUCCACGCUUGCAAAAACAAUUGCAUGUUAUUCUACAAAGAGCAUGAAACGUUGGAUACAUGCCCUAUAUGCAAUGAGUCGAGGUUCAAAAUGACAUCCCAGAAUAGAACGACUAAGAUACCACAAAAAGUCAUGCGUUAUCUGCCCCUUAAACCUGGGUUGCAGCGAUUGUAUAUGUCGACGCAUACUGCCACAGACAUGAGAUGGCAUAAGGAAAAACGGGUAGACGAUGAUGUGAUGCGGCAUCCUGCAGAUGGGGAGGCAUGGAAAGAGUUCGAUCGAACGUUCCCCGAGUUUGCUGCUGAUCCCCGAAAUGUAAGAUUGGGACUUGCCACUGACGGAUUCAAUCCGUAUGGGGUUCUAAACCAACACCACAGCACUUGGCCGAUUUUCGCAUUCCCAUAUAAUUUGCCGCCUUGGAAAUGCAUGAAAAAAGAAUACAUGAUGAUGACUGUUUUGAUAACUGAGGAUCCUGGCAGGUCAAUUGAUGUGUACUUAAGGCCUCUGGUUGAUGAGCUGAAAGAUUUAUGGACAAACGGUGUUCGCACGUACGAUAAAUCAACUGGGAGGAUGUUCACUUUGCGAGCAGCAAUUAUGUGGACUGUGAAUGAUUUUCCAGCAUAUGCAAUGGUUUCUGGGUGGAGCACAAAAGGUUAUAUGGCAUGUCAUGUAUGCAAGGAAGAUGUAACUUCUGGUUGGCACGCGGGAAAAGUUUGUUACCUUGGUCAUCGGAGAUGGUUGCCAUGGGACCACGAGUGGCGAGAAAAAGAUAAAGAGUUCAACGGGAACACAGAGCGUCGCCUCAGACCUGGAGAAUGGUCCGGUGAUGAGAUCUUGGAACAGCUGAACCGUUUGGAUUUUGGUCCGUUCGGAAAAACAAUUAGUCGGACCAGACCUUCUACACAUUUGAACUGGACGCACAAGCCUAUGUUUUUUGAGCUCCCAUAUUGGUCGAAACUGAAAUUGAGGCACAAUCUAGAUGUGAUGCAUGUUGAGAAAAAUGUAUUCGACACAUUGGUGGGCACGAUUCUAGAUAUCGAGGGGAAGACGAAGGACACGAUCAAAGCUCGUCUUGAUUUGGAAAGAAUGGGCAUACGAAGGGGUUUAUGGAUGAAUAGGGACAGUGAUAAAGCUAGAAGGGAUCUUGCAUUCUUUUCUAUGAAACCGAAUGACAAAAAGGAGUUUCUAAAGUUUGUAUCGUCUGUCAAAUUUCCCGAUGGGUAUGCUUCUAAUAUCGCACGUUGCGUGAAUGUCGAUGGGGGUAAAUUUACUGGACUUAAGAGCCAUGACUGCCAUGUUCCUGUGGGUAUUCGACACCUACUGCCGGAAGAUGUGGUGAAGCCAAUCAUGUUGUUAUCCAGAUUUUUUUCCCAACUGACGGCAAAAACAUUGCGAAGGACAGACAUGUUUCAGUUGCGCCAUGACAUUGUCCAAGUCCUAUGCAAGUUUGAGAUGAUAUUUCCUCCGGCUUUCUUUACAAGUAUGAUGCACGUAAUGGUUCACUUGCCAGAAGAGGCAUUGCUUGCUGGUCCUGUCAACUAUCGCUGGAUGUAUCCAAUAGAAAGGUAUAUAAUCUUUAUCAUUUGUGUAUGCAUCAUUAUCGACACUUUGCUAAUUUGUAUCAUAUCGUUUUAUUUUGGCAGGCUUCUCGGAGAGCUGAAAAAAAGUGUACGCAACAGGGCAAAGCCCGAAGGAUUAAUUAUAGAGGCUUGGGUUCAAUAUGAGUCGCUUACUUUCUGUGGAAUGUAUUUAAAAGAUGUGGAGACGGUUUUCAAUCGUCCUCAACGCAAUAAUGACGGAGGUAUGAGAAAUGAAAAACUUUUUGUUUUUGCCCAAAGCGCAUGACCAUUUGGAGAUCCUGGACGAGGAGAGUCGUUUUCUAGAAAUGACAUGGAGGUAGCGCAUUGGUUCGUACUGAACAAUUGUGAUGAGAUAAUGGCCUACUUAGAUGAGCAUGAACAGAUGAUGAAGCGAGAACAUCCAUCACAUUUGGUUGCCCGGAAACAUCGUGAAUUAUUUCCACAAUGGUUUUUGGAUUCUGUAAGUUAUAACUGUUUUGUAAUUGACAAAUAUAAAUUGUAGUAUUUAAUUUUGUCAGACUAACAUGUAAAUGAUUUUGUAUACUAUUAGGUGAAUAAAUUGAAAUCAUCGAAUUCCCCCACUUACAGUGAUGAGUUAUAUAACUUGGCGUUCGGCCCAAUUCGUGCUGAGUUGUUCUCGGGUUGUAAUGUUAACGGCGUCAAAUUUUUGGGGGCCGCACGAGAUGACAAGUUGUGUAUGCAAAACAGCGGUGUCCAUGUCCCAGGUGGAGGCGAAAGUACGGACAUUGAUUUCUAUGGCAAACUGACAACUGUCGUGCAAUUGCUUUAGAAAGAUCGAUACCAAGUCAUCAUGUUUAAGUGUCGAUGGUUCGAUACCAACCCAAAUAGGGCGGGAAGUGUUAAAAUCGACCAUGGAGUACUGUUUGUGAACAUGGCGUCCCAAAUUGUGUAUCUAGAUGACCCUAAAGCCGGGAGCGGGUGAAAAGUUGUGCAGAAGAUGGAUCAUAGGAACGUGUAUGAUAUACCAGAACUAGACCCAAGUGACAACGACGUCGACAAUGUGGCUGACCAACGUUUAGAAUCUUCAAUGGAAAAUGAUGCGGAAACACUUCGAGAUACAAAUGUUAUACAAGAACCGUUUCAAAUAGAAGGAGUGUCUUCAGUAGAAAUACCGAUUCAGUCAAUUACAAUUGACCUCGGUGAUCUUCCCCGAUACGAUGUUGCAGUGGGUCCUAGCAACGCCGAUGAUGCAGUUAUAGAGGAGGAGGAGGAAGAAGAUUGGGAGACCGAGAGUGAUGAUAGCGAUGAUAACGAAAGUUAUUAUAGUUCAGAUGAUGAAUAAUGAAUUUAUUUGUAAAGUUAUUAUGUUAGUGUAUUCAUUUUGUGUAAUACAAAUCUUUGAAUAUAUGUAGUUGUCCAUAUGUAGUUGUGUAUUCAUUCUCCAUAUUUCAUCACAAACUUCAUUGGAAUGUCAAUACUUUAGUCAAUACUUAUUACGACCCCAUGCUUGUCGAUUGGUUUUUAUUUAUUUAUUUAUUAAUGUCUUUAACUCUUCAAUUAUUAUUUUUUUCUUUUGAGAUAUAGUUAUUUCUUCAUGUUUAAACAAAAAAUAUAAGUUAUUUCUCCAAUAUUAUCUGUGUGCCACUUAUUUUUCUUCACUUUGGUUCAUGAUUAGUGGCAUCAAUCUAGUCAAACCGAUAAAAUCGGUCGAUUCAAAUCUUAAUUAUCAAUUUAGUUUGGUUUUGAUGAAGAAAUACAAAGCCUUUCCAAAAAAUACAGAGCAUAAAAAAUGAUGAAUACAAAACCUUUCCAAAAAAUACAAAGCAUACACAAUUUGAAUUAAAUGAGGAUUUAUGGCGCCAAAUCCUUGCGCAACGAUAAGGAGCCCUUCGUCGCGCAAAUAUAUAUUAGGUAACGUUAUAGUAUAAUAUAUACCCACAUAUAUAUUUAAAAUUGGCGAUCGAAGUAGUUCAUUGUAUUCAUAUGAAGUGUAGGACUGUAGCUGCAAAAAAUCAUCAACAUCGGAGUUAAAAUAACCGUUCAAUCAUCACUUUUUAUUUAGAACCGUCGAAAAGUUUUACCCCGUUACUUAAUCUCUGAAUGUUUUUUUUGUCUGAUUUUUGCUGUCUAUGAUCUCGAAGUAUAACAAAACAAGUUUGACGGCUGGAUGACUGAAGCUAGUUUCGUAGACUGCGUGUGCUAUCAAAAUCAUAUAUUCACCAAAAACUCAAAAAUUUGUUCAUACAUUUGUGAAAAUGUAACUUAAUGUUUAUGUGGUAUCCCCUAGUGUAAAAAUAUGAAAUUGAAGAUCAAAUUCAGUCAUUGUAUUCAUAUAGGGUCAACAAAUGUUGCUGUAAAAAAUGAUCAAAAUCGGAGUUAAAAUAACCGUUAAAUCAUGACUUUUCAUUUAUAACCGUCAAAAUAUUUUGUCCUGUUCCCUGAUAUCUGAAUGUUUGGUCGUUUUGAUUUUUGGCGUAUACGAUCUCCAAGUAUAAACAAAUAAGUUUGCCGGUUGGAUCAUUGAAACUAUUUUAGGGUUUAGGGUUUAGGGCUUAGGGCUUAGGGUUUAGGGUUUACAUUUUAGGGUUUAGGUUUUGCGCGACGAAUAAACAUUCCUUUCGUCGCACAAAGUGAAAGUGACAAAGAUUGCGCGACGGAUAAGUCUUCCAUUCGUCGCGUAAUCUGGGACACACAUUUCACCCCUCCAUACCCUUUGAACACUUAGUGAAAAUUUCAACCGAAUGAAAUUCUUGAACCCGCGCGACGAACAAAGCAAAUACGUCGCGUAAAGUGGACGUGAACAAGAUUGCGCGACGGAUAAAUCUGGUAUUCGUCGCGCAAUCUGGGCCACACUUUCACCCUUCCAUCCCCUUUGAACACUUAGUGAAAAUUUCAACCGAAUGAAAUUUUUGAACUCGCGCGACGAACAAAACAAAUACGUUGCGCAAAGUGGACGUGAACAAGAUUGUGCGACGGAUAAAUCUAAUUUUCGUCGCGCAAUCUGGGCCACGCUUUCACCCUUCCAUCCCCUUUGAACACUUAGUGAAAAUUUCAAGCGAAGCAAAAUCUUCAACUCGCGCGACGAAUAAAAGUAUUCGUCGCGCAAAAGGCACAGGCCUCUGAUUUUUGUUAGCAAACAUUGCGCGACGUUUACUGUCUUCGUCGCGCAAAAGGCACAGACCCUUCAGUUUCAGCCUCCCGCUAAACCCAAAAUUUUCCCAAAAUUUUGGCGGAACGACAGCGUUUUGCGCGACGAACAUAUGACUUUCCGUCGCACAAGGUUAACCUUGCUCGACGUUUACUAUCUUCGUCGCGCAAAAGCACAAACCCUUCAGUUUCAGCCUCCCGCUAAACCCUAAGUCCCAAAAUUUGGGCGGAACGACAUCGUUUUGCGCGACGAAUAUAUGAUUUUCCGUCGCGCAAGGAGAACCUUGCGCAACGUUUACUAUCUUCGUCGCGCAAAAUCACAGUUUCAGCCUCCCGCUAAACCCUAAAUCCCAAAAUUUUGGUGGAACAACAGCGUUUUGCGCGACGAACCAUGUAUUUUUCGUCGCGCAAAAGGCACAGACCCUAAUCCCCAUUCAAAAUUUGGCGUUCUGGGAGACCUUGCGCGACGGAUAUUUCAUCGCGCAAGAUUCAUUAAUACCAUUUUGCACGACGCAUUCUGUUCUUCGUCGCGCAAAGUCGAAUAAAUUUGCAGAAACGGCCCGAUGCCUCCUUCUUCCCCAUUUUCUGGUUUCUCUCCGUUUCUUCCUCUCUCUCCGCCGUCACCUUAGCCCUCUCUCUCUGCCAUCACCUCAGCCACCUCCGCUCGUUCCGUAGCCUCCCUGCCGUCACCGUCGAGCCUGCCGUCGCAAUUUCGUCAGUUUUUCCCGAUUCUUCGCCGGCCGAUUUCUCUCUCCUCCGGCCACCAUUUUCGACGCCUAAGGUAUGAUUUCUCGACUAUUUUUUGUGCUCUAGCUGAUGGUUGGUUAGGAUUUCUUGAAUUUUCGCUAUAGGAAAUAGGAAUUAAAACCCUAGGUUUUGGCCGCUUUGGGAAUUUCAAAUCCGGCCACUUCCGGCCAUUUUUCGGGGUAGGUCCGAGAACAAAAGUGGCUCCAAUUAAUGUUUUCAACCUAGGGUAGGAACCUUGGCCCUUAGUUUUUAGAAUUUUCCGACGAAUGUUAUCGCUUUGGACACCCACGCGCUGCCGGCGCGUGUGGUGGCGCGUGGGAUGUUGUGGCAGUGGGGCAUUGGGUCCCAGAGCAAUCCCCUGUUUGUCACGAGCGCGUAGGUUUGCUCGGAUUUGAAUUUGGUUAUCGUUUGAGUCUUGAUCGGAUUUCGGCUAUUGUGCGAUUUCCAGGUUUGAUAUGUUCGGACCGUUGGAUCGAACUCAAACUCACGUAGUUGUACCUUUGUGUUUCUACGAUCGUUUAGGAUUCGACCGAUCGUUGAUCGGUGUCCCGGAUACUUCGAAAUUCCAAACCCUAGGUGAAGCUAUGCUUUUAAUUAAUUAGUUUAAAUUCUUAAUGAAAUUAUAUGUGCAGAUGUCAGAUUUGAUUAGACGUGGUAGGUCGAUGAUGACUGCACCGAGUUCGGAUCCCCCUGCUCAGUCGGCAUAUGCUGCCACUGCUCCAGCUUUGAUGGAGCACGUGCUGGUUGGUCCCGGGGCGUCCCAGGCGCCUGCGUCAUCUGCGUCAUCCGUCGCGCAGCCAGCUAGUGCUAGGCGGCGGCACCGGCCCGCCGACACGACAUCGACCGACGGUACUGGUGCCUCGGGAUCACAGCCAGAUAUAACUACCAUUUUGUAUUGUUAAUUUUAUAUUGAAAUUUGACAAUGUUGUUUAUUUAACAUUAAUAUCUUUUUUCUUUGCAGCGAAGAAGAACACCUGAGGGCCGUGUCGUCAGCUGAAGACGGCGAAGGUCACCCGGGUGACCAACAGUCGUAUCAGCAUCGGAUACGACGAGCGCCAUCGGGCUGCACCGACGGCGGAGUUGCAUAGCUCCUUGGCCCACGACAUUGGCCACGUCGUGCGGACCCAUUGCCUGAUGCAAUGGAAGUCUUGGAGGGUCAUGCCUGACGAGAUCAAGGUGGAGGUUCGCGGCCAGUUGUCGGUAUGUACCUUACAUUUUCAUUAAUUUUCUUUAAAAUUGUGUAUAUUUCUAUUACUUAACGUAUCUAAUUAAUUGAUUGCAGACGAACUAUAACUUGGAGGAUCUCGACGAAGAGUCGUUGGCGUACGUCAACAGACUCUUCGCUGAGAGGUACAAGCAGUGGAAGAGCGACUUGCACCAUCAUUUUCAGGCCUUUGAUGAUCCGCAAGUCGCUCUUCAGGAGGGUUGCCCGAAGGAGCUUGAGGGGCGGGAGGAUAGUUGGGAGUGGCUCUGCGCUCAUUUUCAAGCGUCCGAAUAUGUGGUAUUUUUUUAAUAAUAUUUGUUUAAUUAUUACUUAUUUCUUAUUAAUGUUUAUUUCAUUUUUUUUAUUUCAUUAUUAUUUAAUUUGUUAUGUUUUAACUAAUACGUUUCAUUUUUUGUAUAACAGAAUAAGGCCCAAGUGAAUAAGGGUAAUAGGAAGAAGAAGACCCUUCUCCACCAUUCCGGCUCCAGGCCCUUUUCGUAUAGGAUGGAUGCCCGGCGACGGGUAAUAAUCACAUAAUUUAUAUUUCAUUUUUAAUGUCAUUUUUAUUAAUUUAUUUUUUUCAUACUAAUAUUUUUCUUCUCUUGUUCAAUUUAGGAGGGGUCCAAGUUCCCAGAGAUCGACGUCUUUGGUGACGUUUAUGUUCGACCCGGGAAUGAGUUGGCCGAGUCCCUUCAUGUAAGUAUUAUUUAAUUUUAAUUCUUAUGUUACGCAUUCAAUUUAUAUGCAUGUUUAAAUUUAUAUUUUAUGUUAUGUUCAACAGACGACGAUGGUGGAGAGGAGCCAGUUGGUUCUUCAGGAGUCCGCCUCCCAGCUUCCUCCCGAGACUCCGAUCGAGUCUGUGGCUCCUCCACAGGAUGCUGGAUUUCAGAUCUUGACGGAGACGUUGGAUCAGACUCUCGGGAGGAGGCCGGGGACAUAUUGUCGAGGGAUGGGGAAUGCCCGGCGGAGGGAACCUAGACCUCGUUCAUCGGCCCAGUCAAACAGUCAGGUGACUGCUUUGACAGCACAGGUGGCCGAGCUUCAGGGUCAGAUGUCGGUGAUUCUACAGUCCCUCGCACAGAGCGGCUUUCCAAUCCCGCAGUUUCGUGCGUCAACCUCCCAGCCCGUCCACCCCGAGUAUGCCCACCAGACCACUGCCCCGGUGGACGCCCAGACCUCCGAGCCGCAUACUGGCGACGACCCGAUUGAUUUUGCUUCAUUAUUUGAUUAGUGUAUUUAUUUUCAUCAUAAACAUUUAUUUUAUUUGUAAUACAUUUAUUUUAUUUUAUAACAAAAUUUUGUUCUAAUUUAUUUUUAUUGCAAUUUCAUUGUUUAAUCAAUAAAAAAACCAAUUUUAUUUAAAAAAAAUAAAAAUAAAUAAAAAACAAAAACAAAAAAAACAAAAAAAAAUUGUAAUAUUAUUUUUGCGCGACGGAAGACAUUUCGUCGCGCAAAACCACAUGUAACAAAAAAAAUUAAAAAAAUCAAUUUUUUAUUACUUUAAUUCUUGCGCGACGAAUACAUACGUCUCGCAAACAUUUUUUGCGCGACGAAAUGUUUCGUCGCGCAACAGCUUUUGCGCGACGACUGAAAUUUUCGUCGCCAAAUAGAUGAGCGACGAAAACUUUCUCAUCGCGCGAAUAGUUCUGCGACGAAUAUAUACGUCUCCCGGACUAGUUUUGCGCGACGAAUUAUUUUCGUCGCGCUAUUCGUUUCGUCGCGCAAAUAUACGUGCGCCGAAUACUUUAUCGUCGCGCAAAUAUUUAUGCGACGAACAGUUGUUUCGUCUCCACACCGUUGGUGCAACGAUGGUUUACCCGUCGCACAAUUAUGCGCGACGAAGUGUUGUACCUCGUCGCGCAAAGGCUUUCUUCACGAUCUUCGCGCGACGGAAGGUGCGCGACGAAUUUUUUGUCGCGCUGAAAUUAGGGCGACUAAAUAAGACUUUGCGCGACGUUUUGUUAUUCGUCGCGCAAAGAGUAAAAUGUAGUAGUGAGACUUGUUGGAGACAAAACAGGUAAACAAAUUACUUGUAUUAGACUCACAAAAUAUUACAACAAGACAACUCUCAAAGAAAAGACAAACUCUCACACUUCUCACAAGGACUACUUAACUUUAUAGCUUAUUGCAUAUAGCAUAUGCAAACACAAUUAGAACAUACCUACGUACACUAUGGGAACACUCGUGUAUAUUUCAACACAAGAAAACAUGUGCACCGUGCACGGUUCACAUGAAGUAAGAAAUGAAGAGGAAAUAAAGAAGAAGAAUACAAAAGAAAAUGGAGAUGAGAAAAAAAAAAAAACCGAAUAAUGAAAAAUGAAUUGACAAUUAUAUAUGGUUGACAUUAGAUCUAAUAUUAUAUGUAACAACUAUUGAUCUAAAAUAAACAUUAAAUCAAACAAUAAUUAAAAGAUUUGACAAUAUAAAAAUUUAUUGAGGACAAAAAAAGGCAAAAACUUAUGAAAAAUGGAAACAAUAAAUAUGAACUGAGUCAUCAACUCACCAUGGUAAGUUUGCUGACGUAUAAAAAUAGUCAAUGGACAUCGAAAAGUAAUUGGCUUACAUCAAAAAUUAAAAUCACGUGGGUUAUUCCUAAGAAACCUUAAUAUUUGCCUUCCAUUUGUUCCAGCAAAAUAAAAGUCAUUGCUACUUAUUGUAACCCCUUUUCCAAGCUUAUUAAUCAAAGUAGACACCUCACUGCUGUCACCUAGCCAAUUUUCAACAAUGUCAUACUUAACAAGCAACUCCACAUCCUUUGAGGUGUUCACAAAACGAUCCAUGAGACUAACAUAAUCACUUAUGUACGUCUCCUCGUAGUGGCAUUGUUCAAAUGCGAUGAGAUUUCUAAUUAAUACCUCUGUAUGAUCGCUUAUUUUCAAUCUUGGAAUUUCAAGAGUCCGGCCAGCAAAUCUAAUAAGGUAUUCAUUGAUCCCUCAUUCAACUUGAACCCUGCCCUGUGUAGCUCUGUGAUGCUGGGUGUGUUUAUAGUUAUGAGUUUCCCGUCAUUAGUUUUUAGGGUUAUUCGUUAUAUGAGUCCCUGAACUUAGACCCGAUUUGCAUUUUAGUCCCUCAAUUUCCAAAAUCGUUCCAGUGGUCCUUCAACUUUAGUUUCGUUAGGACAAAUGGUCCUGCCGUCAAAUGAUUAUAAAGUGGAAAAAACAAGAACAAAAAAGGAAGUGAGUUAAAUUUGCACCUGCUAUGUUCAAACGACAAAGUUCGUUUCCGUUUGGUCGAUUACAAGAGAAGCUCAAUGCAGCUUACUUGGUUCCUCUUGGUAGAUGGAAAUAUAAUUUUUCUCCUAAUAACAAAGGUUUAGUGCAAUCAAUGAUGGGCUGUAUAGAACAACUUUUUUGUUUUAUAUGUUUAUGUGAGACAAGUUUUGCCAGAUUGAAUUAAUGUCUUCUAGCUAUGUACCUUAUCUUUUUGCCGGGCCAUGAGUUGAAUGUAGAGGCAGAGCAUGGCCUUGGGUUUGUAAAAGACAAAAGACUGAACCAGACGUAAUUAUUUAGAUUUUGGAUCCAGUUCCACAUCCCAAAGAGAAAACCACAAGUUUGCAAGCAAGUUUGUCCAUAUUAACACUACGUAGAGUAUAGGCAGUGUGCUACUCAUCUCACUUUCUCAACCUACCCUAUAUUUGUCUAAAAGAGUUUCUAAUUUCGUGUACUGAUUCACUACUACAUUUUACACUUUGUGCGACGAAGAGAAUUUCGUCACGCAAAAUACAUUGGUCGCGCAAAGUUUAAAAAAAAUUUUAAAAAAAUAAAAAAUUCCCGCGUCCAAUUUUUGGUACUUGUCCAAAUUUUUUGAGUUUUGCGCGACGAAUACUAACAUCGCGCAAAUAUUUGCGCGACGAAAUAUUUUUUGUUUUAAAUUUUUUUAAUUUAAAAUAAACUAAUUUAAUAGUUUGCGCUACGAAAUAUUUUGUCGCGCAAGGUUUUUGACUUUUUGUUUUAUUAUUUCUUUAAUAUGAAUUUAUUUAUAUGAAUUUUUUGAAAUUUUUACUUUUUAAAUUUAAUUUAAUUGUAUGAUUUCUUUUUAAAAUUACUUUAAUUUAAAUUGAUAUUAAUUUUUACUUUUUAAAUUUAAUUUAAUUGUAUGAUUUUUUUUAAUUACUUUAAUUUAAAUUGACAUAUUCAAAAUAAAAUUACAUAUGAAAAAUAGUGAUUAAAUUAUCCAAUAAAUAUAUAUAUAUAUAUAAUAUUCAAAAUGUACACAUAAAUUAACAAAGCACAAUAAUAAAAUCCUAAUACAAGCGUAUUGUGGUGGUAGUGUCGGAGGAUAUGUUUUGAUAGCUUCCUAAUCCUCAACUUUAGCCGUCAAAGUCUCGAUGAUUCCCUACAAAAAAAAUAAAUAUGGUCAAAUAACCACAAACAAAAAAAAAAAAAAAAAAAAAGGCAUAAUCUCCCCUAAAAUUGUUAUACCACAAAUCCAACCCAAACUCCAAUCCCUCCCCUUUACUCAACCCCAAAACCCACACAAACUCAAAAUUAACUCCAAAAACACAUAUUAAUGAAAAAAAUUUAAAAUUUGGAGAGAAUAUACCUUUUGGCAAGAUUGAGAGUGAAUGAGAGGGAGAAGUGAGUGUGAGAGAAUUAGAGAAGAUAGUGAUAGAGAGAUGAGAGAGAUGAGAGAGUGAGUGAGAGAGAGUGAGAGAUAGUGAAGAGAGAGAUGAGAGAUUAAGUGAGAGGAGUGAGUGAGAGAAAUGGUGGGAUUUGGGGAGAGGGAAAGAGAAAGGAGAGGUAAGAGUAGAGAAAGGCAUUGAGAAAAUGGUGGAUGAGUUAUUUCGGUUUUAAAAACCGUAUCACUUUGCGUGACGAAAAAUAUUGUUGGUCGCGCAAAGGUUUGCGCGACGAAAAAUAUUGGAAUAUUGAUCGCGCAAACUUUUGAGCGACGAAACAUAUUGGUCGCGCAAAGUCUAAAAAAAUUAUUUAAAAAAAAUAAAAAUCCCCGCGUCCCAUUUUUGGUACCCGCCAAAAUUUUUAAAUUUUUGCGCGACGAAUAUAGGAAUAUUGAUCGCGCAAAGUCUAAAAAAAUUAUUUAAAAAAAUAAAAAUCCCCGCGUCCCAUUUUUGGUACCCGCCAAAAUUUUUAAAUUUUUGCGCGACGAAUAUAGGAAUAUUGGUCGCGCAAAGUCUAAAAAAAUUAUUUAAAAAAAUAAAAAUCCCCGCGUCCCAUUUUUGGUACCCGCCAAAAUUUUUCAAUUUUUGCGCGACGAAAAAUACAUAUUGGUCGCGCAAAGUCUAAAAAAAUUAUUUAAAAAAAUAAAAAUCCCCGCGUCCCAUUUUUGGUACCCGCCAAAAUUUUUAAAUUUUUGCGCGACGAAAAAUACAUACUGGUCGCGCAAAGUCUAAAAAAAUUCCCGCGUCCGAUUUUUGGUACCCGCCCAAAUUUUUGCGAGACGAAAAAUAUAUAUUGGUCGCGCAAAGUUUUGAGCGACAAAAAAUAUUGGUCGCGCAAAGUCUAAAAUUUUUUUAUUUUUUUUUUAAAAUCCAGCGUCCCAUUUUUGGUACCCGUCCAAAUUUUUAGAGUUUUGCGCGACAAACUGUUGGUUGCGCAAACUUUUGAGAGACGAAAAAUUGGUUCGUAACACAAUAUUUAUAAAAAUAAUUGUUAUGAAUAAUAAAAAUAAAAUUAUUUUAUUUUACAAUUUAAAAUAUAAAUAAGGUUAAAGCUGCUUAAGAAAUAUAUAUACUAUUCAAUUUCUUAAGUGUUAUACGUACAAAAUAAAUAAAUUUAAAGGUACUUAAUAAAUAAAUAUAUAUACACACACCAUUCAACGAUCCAACCGUCAGACUUAUUUGUAUAUACUUCAAGAUCGUAUACCCCAAAAAUCACAAAAAACAAACAUUUAGAGAUCUAGUAACGAGACAAAACUUUUCGAUGGUUAUAAAUGAAAAAUUACGAUUUAACGGUUAUUUUAACUCCGAUUUUGAUGAUUUUUUUUUACAGCUACACUCCUUGACCAUAUAUGAAUACAAUGACUGAAUUUGAUCUUCAAUUUAAAAUAUUUACACUAGUGGAUACCACAAAAUCUUAUGUUAUAUCUAACGAACGUAUAAAUAACCUCUUAAUUGUUAGUGAAUAUAUUGUUUUGAUGGCAUAUGCAUUCACCAAAACUAGUUUCAACGAUCCAACCAUCAAACUUGUUUGUUUAUACUUCGAGAUCAUAUACGCCAAAAAUCAGAAAAAAUAAACAUUCAGAGAUCAAGUAAUGGGACAAAAAUUUUCGACGGUUAUAAUGAAAAAUCACGAUUUAACGGUUAUUUUAACUCCGAUUUUGAUGAUUUUUUACAGCUACACUCCUUGACCCUAUAUGAAUACAAUGACUGAAUUUGAUCUUCAAUUUAAAAUAUUUACACUAGUGUAUACCACAAAAUCUUAUGUUAUAUUUAACGAACGUAUAAAUAAACUCUUAAUUGUUAGUGAAUAUAUUGUUUUGAUGGCAUAUGCAUUCACCAAAACUAGUUUCAACGAUCCAACCGUCAAACUUGUUUGUUUAUACUUCGAGAUCAUAUACGCCAAAAAUCGGAAAAAAUAAACAUUCAGAGAUCAAGUAAUGGGACAAAACUUUUCGACGGUUAUAAUGAAAAAUCACGAUUUAACGGUUAUUUUAACUCCGAUUUUGAUGAUUUUUUACAGCUACACUCCUUGAACCUAUAUGAAUACAAUGACUGAAUUUGAUCUUCAAUUUAAAAUAUUUACACUAGUGGAUACCACAAAAUCUUAUGUUAUAUUUAACGAACGUAUAAAUAAACUCUUAAUUGUUAGUGAAUAUAUUGUUUUGAUGGCAUAUGCAUUUACCAAAACUAGUUUCAACGAUCCAACCGUCAACCUUGUUUGUUUAUACUUCGAGAUCAUAUACGCCAAAAAUCGGAAAAAAUAAACAUUCAGAGAUCAAGUAAUGAGACAAAACUUUUCGACGGUUAUAAUGAAAAAUCACGAUUUAACGGUUAUUUUAACUCCGAUUUUGAUGAUUUUUUACAGCUACACUCCUUGACCCUAUAUGAAUACAAUGAACUAAUUCGAUCGUCAAUUUAAAAUAUAUAUUUUCUAACAAAAACCCAAUCUGAACAACAAUAAUAUAUUUUUCUAACAAAAAUCCGAUCCGAUCUAAAAUAAUAAAUUUAAAGCUACUUAAUAAAUAUAUAUACUGUUUAAUUUCUUAAGUGUUAUGCAUACAAAAUAAAAAACAAAAAUAAAUUAGUAUAGGCGACAAAAUGUUUGGAUUACGUCAUGCAAAGAUUUUAAAAUAUAUAUAUAUAUUAUUUUUAUAAGGACUUUGCGCGACGAAGUUCAUUGUUUCGUCGCGCAAAGUCACUUUGAGCGACGAUGUAUUGUUGUCGCGCAAAAGUUUGUCGCGCAAAGUUACUUUGCGCGACGAAUUUUUUUUCAUCGCUCAAAAUUUGGUCGCGCAAGACUUUGAGUGACGAUGUAUUGUCGUCGCGCAAAAGUUUGUCGCGCGAAGUGACUUUGCGCUACGAAUUGUUUUUCGUCACGCAAAAUUUGGUCGCGCAAGACUUUGAGCGACGAAGUUUUGAGUUUCGUCGCGCAAAGUGACUUUGAGCGACGAAUAGUUUUUCGUCGCGCAAAAUUUGGUCGCGCAAGGGGUUUUUUUUUACUAGUAUGAGUUUUAUAUACAAUUUAUAACAAUAUUUUCAGGCAAAAAAAUGUCUUGGCAAGAAAAUGUACAAUUUGUUACGUACUUAACUGGAACGAUUACCUUCAAAUUCCUAUGGCCAAUUACCUUCUUUUUUCUUCCUUUUUUUUUUUUUUUUUUUUUUGGUUGUUGUUGUUCUUUUGAUCAAGUUGCAUAUUCCAAAGAACGAAAACCAGUACAGGCUCUUUUCCAAUGCAAGCUCUUUUCCCAUGUUUCCCUCUGUUUUUCUCCUAUUUUUCUUAUAUGGAAGUGAUUAAAAUACACCUCUAAGCUUGUUUUGCGUUUGGUAACCGACUGUAAAAGCUCAAUGCAGAUAGUUUGAGGUAGAAUUUUCUCCAAUUUUACUAGCACAGUGAUAAGCUAUACUAUAUGUAACAACAAAUUGCUUUAAUAAUGAUAAUGAAAAAAGUGUGAUCCAUCGAAUAUUUGCGGGGUUUUGUUCCAAGUCAACACAUCAAAUUCUUUUACACCAUGAAAUUAAAAAAAAUUUAUUCAACCAUCUCGACCUUAUGCUCGAUCAUUUUGCACAAGCAACCGUCCACGUACCCCAAUAAUUUAAAAGGGCUGAUGAUCUUUAAUUUGGCGAAAGCUUCUAUCUACUUCUACCGCGCUAUAUAUGAGCUAUGCAAUUGUGACGGUGUUACAUGACGUCACAAUGUCGUAGGGAUAAAAAAAUAAUAGUCAUGGUUUCUUAUUAAUGUUAAUACAGGCAUAGCAAAAAGCUUGUAUUUCUAGUGGUUAAGAACAAUUACCCAUGCACUUGAGAUAUUAUGUGCUUAAAUCCCCUCUUCCCCAAUAUUUCUUGUAUAAAAAUAAAAAUAAAAAUAAAAAUAAUAAAGAUAUUGAUAUUGUAUUCUAUAAAGUGUUGGACAUGUUUUAUACCCCUUUACUGCAAAUUACAGUUUGACACAUGUACAAAAAUAAUAGGUAAGUGUUGGACAUCAAGAGUACUUACAUAUAGGUUUAAUAGGUAAGUUUUGAAUAUUUCUGUCUUUAGCUUUAAUUAUUGAAAAUCAACCUAUUAUCAUAUUAAAGACUUAUCCAUGUUCAACGUACAUUCUCUUAUUUUUCUCUCAUUGAAGUAAAUACAAAACUAAGCACAUAGUGGAAAAGUAGGUCACGAUUAGGGGUGGGUUUGGUCUGGGUUGGUUCAGUUUUGGGCUCAACCCGAACACCGAACCGUAGACCUCGAUUUGGCUAUUUUGGAAACCAAAACUAAACCAUAAUUAAUGAAAACCGACCACUUCAAUUACCUUCUGGUCUUCCAACCAGAAGAAAACUCAAAACUUUAACCAUACCAAGUGCAACAGAAUUACACCAGGCUGGAGUCAAGUUUAUGAUGGUUAAAGAUAAAAACUUAUUUGACAUACAAUUUGAGAAUGGAAUCCUCAAAAUUCCACACCUGCGAAUACAGGGUUAAACAGAAAUUUUCUUCCGCAAUUUUAUUGCCUAUGAGCAGUGUGAGCUCCAUGAUCAUUACAUCAACAACUAUGUCUUCGUCAUGGACCGCCUGGUCGACAGUGCCAGGGAUGUGGAAUUGCUUGUGAAGAGUGGAAUUCUUGAAUCCAUGCUACCGGACAGCGAGGCAGCAGGGGAAUUUAUUAAUUCUCUUGACUUGGGGCCUAUUUUAGGCAAGCUUGAAACAAGACUAUUUCAGUUCACCAUGGGCUGGCCUGUCUAUUAUUGUAGCCGCUAUACUAGUUGUGCUCACAUUUAUUCAAACAGUGUGCUCCGUAAUGGCGCUGUAGGUUCUUCAUUUCCUCAAUUUCAUGUUUAGUGGUUGCAGAUUUGUUGCUCAUGUACGUGUUUAUCUAAAGUUAAAUAAGAGUGAUUGACUGAUAGUCUGUUAGUUUGUUUUUCUGGGGUUUUUCCCCUGUUCGUCAAAAAAGAAAAAGAGAAAGAGUGAUUGCUUGUGCCUGUUUGGGCCUAAUUUGACACACCCAAUCCAAAAUCAAAAAGUCCAUGUCAAUUUUGGACAGCCACCAGCAUUCCCUUUGUAAUUAGGCCAAAAACUGCACACCCAACCUAGCACUGGAGCCUAGAACAAACAAGGUAAACUCAGGACCCAAGCAGUUUGAUUUUUUCAUUUAAAUUGGAAUCAAGGGCCCCAAGUCAAAAAAGCCCAAGCCCAAGGCAGAUUUUUUACCAAAAAGACCCAAGGAAGCCCAGUGCAUGCGAAUUGCUUAGCCCACAAUCCCAAAACUCAAAACUAAGUUUGGCAUGAUUAAAUAAAGAUAGAGAGAAGCCCAAAAUUGAAGAAACCCAAAACAGUUUUAUCAAAAUUGUCAGCUCUCUACCCAAGACCUAAAAAGGGUCAAAAAUACCACUAUUGGCAAAAUUGACGCACUCAGCCUUGGAUCACAAAGAAAUCCACGUGACUAUUUGACUUUGAGAAGUCAACAAUUUCAACUAGUCACAAGAGAAGUUGAUUGGAAUUAAUGUAGGCAGGUCAUUACAGAAAAGACUUCUUUGAAACUCUGUAGCCAAAAGAUCAAAAUCCCUUUCUAUAUAAUUCUGCAUCAGAGUAGGUGGUCUUUCCAAGAGAUAAGCAGACUACGUUUUCAAGAGAUAAGUAGAGAAUGAGGGAGUUGUUCAACAAGAAAAGCAAACUAACCAUCAUGAUAGGUUGUGUUCUUUCUCUCUACAAAAAACAAUAGGGAACAAAGAAGAGUUGGUUUUUCUUUCAGAAAAAGGAAGGAAAAGACCUACAUGAAAACUAAUUAUUGAUGGUUCUUCUCUGCCAGAACAGAUAACUUCUCAUUUUCUUUGACAUUUAAAAAUGAAAGGUCUCGCUUUUACAAAAUCUGCCGCCCAUUAUUUAAAGAUUAGAAAACCCACUCCAGCAUUUCCUAUAAAUAUGAGAGGAGGUGAUGUCACAUCACGGGAUUGGCUCUGCCGUAGCACGAUAUUGUCCACUUUGCGCCCCCCUCUCUACCCUCACGGUUUUAUUUUUGGGAACUCACGAGCAACUUCCCAGUGGGUCACUCAUCUUGGGAUUGCUCUAGCCCCCAGCUCGCUUAACUUCGGAGUUCCCAUGACUCCGAAGCCAAUGAGCUCCCAAAAGGCCUCGUGUUAGAUGGAGGCGGGCAUGUACAUAUAAGGCACAUCACCUCCUCUCCGUUGGUCGAUGUGGGAUGUUACAGGUGAACAUAUCAAAGGACAGCCAAAAAAUCAAUCAAAGACAAAAACUCAAAAUGAUCACUUGAUCUCAAAAGCCUUCAAAACACUGAAGCAAGCAAAGCUCAUUGAGCCACAACGAACAAGUCAGCUAGAAUUCAGAAUCUUUAGAGUCAGUUCAGUUUCAGAGAAAUAAUCAAAGAAAGCGAGAUCUCUCUCGUUACAAAUUUGGUUCAGCUUAAAGCCAAAACAAGCAGAGUUCAGGUUCUUACAAAUAUGAAAACCUCAAUAAAUUUAUGGAGAGCCCUGAUCAAGCAAAACAGGUACUACAGUGCAGUUCUAGCUUAGUAAUAAUCAAAUCCACCCACUUCUGCCCCUUCCAGAUUGAGAAGGUCCCAAUUCUGCCCAUUCAAAAAGCCUUCCAAGACUUGAAAUAGAUUAAAGCUCUGCCAAACUCAAAUGUUGGAAUCAAUUCGCAGCUGAAACAUGACAGUUGAAGGUGUUGAUAGUCCAGUCCAGCACAGACAUACCCAGUCUAGCCCAGAUCAGAAGCAUUCACCGAGGCAGAAAUUGAAGUCCAAAGCUCUUUUUGUCUUUUUAGAGUUGGUCUUCCUUUUCUGAGCUUUGUAAAAGGCAAUUCUGCCUAAAACAGUUCACUUUCUUAUCAUUUAUUCUGGCCAGAACUACCAGUUUUGUACUGUGAAAAAUUAUGAAGUCCUCACCAGUCUAAGGCAAGAAAAGAACUUACUUGGGAGAUAUUCCUCACCAAAUUCACAACCGUUUGUUUAGAAAUCAGUAACUUGGUGUAACGACCCGGUCCUAAAUAAAUUGGUAAUUAUUAAUUUAUUCAGAUAAAAGACCAUUUUGCCCAUAGAAUAUUUUAAUAGGUUUACAUGUUGACCCGGGAGGCUUCGGUGAAAUUGUUACAUCUCGGUCCGAAAAAGUGUUAAAAUAAUUAAAGUAGAGUGCUGCUAAAAGAACCCUAAAAUUAACUGAGUACACCCUAUGAUCUAAGUACACCCUAAUAUUUUAAUUAAAAUAUAAAAUUAACUAAGUACACCCUAUAAAACUAUCAAAAAUAACACUGAUACACCCUAAUACUUGUAGCAUUAUUUUAUAGUUGAUUAUUUUAAUAGUGUUUAUAAAUCUUUGACUUUUCAUAUGGAUUUAUGCUUCUACUAAAAUUGUUGCCACUUUUUUUCCAAUUCCAAGUUCUUGCAAUCACCACAUCUUUCGUUAAAAACACAAUAGGACAAGCAAUCUCUUGAUUAGGGUUGAAUAUGGUUAGUAGGGUGUACUUAUUAAUAUUAUAUUUGUUUCACAAUUCCAUAUAUCCUUUUUGGUCAUUUUAUAUUAGGGUAAACCAGUAAUUCAAUAUAUACUUUUAUAGUAGGGUGUACUCAGUUAAUUUUAGGGUUCGUUUAGCAGCACUCUUAAAGUAAGAGAGAAUAAAAUGAAAUAAACAUUAAAAUAAAAUGAUUUGAAUUAAUUAAGGUUUUUGAGAAAUUAAAAUAUUAUUUAAUAUUAUAAGGGGAAAAAGAUCAUUUUAAGUUUGGGAAGGAAUUUGGAAAUUCCAAUUGUACCGUUGUGUAGAGCAUGUCGAAACGAGUCCGUAGACACGUAGUGGACUCGAAUCGUAGUUAUAACGGAGAAAUGGCGAUCAAAAGAAGUUCAGUGGCAUAGCCAUAAAUAUUUCGAAGUUCAGUUUUUUUAAAACCCAAAUUUCUUCUCUCUGGGGAGUGGGAGAGCCAACUUCAAAUGGUGAUUUCUCCCAACUCCGACCACCACACUUCCCUCUUCCUUCAGUUUUGGCAUCAUGAUGGGUUCCAUCCCGGAAUGACACAUUUUCGACGCUAAGGACGUCACAAAUGGUAUUUGAGAUGCUUUGUAAAUUUGUAACCAUGGAAAACACAAUGAACUUUAUGUUCGGAGUUGCAAGAGAACAUUAAGGGGAAUAUGGAGAGUGGGAAAAUAGUAAUAAGUGGAGAUCUGUAUGCUUACUUACUACUGAACUUCCGUCGUGGUGGUUAGUAUGAAAAAGUGUUAGAGAUUAUAGAUUUUAUGGAGGAACAUGGUUGUACACUGAUAAGUAGUCGGUAGGAGUUGAUUUAAGUUCCAAGAGAAAUUCAUUAUGAACUGGGAUGAAUUACUGCAAGAUUCUUGCUGUUUUGAAGUUAUUGAUUUUAGGGGCAUCACCUCUGAAUGAUCAUAAUAACCAUGCGUGGGCUCUGCAUGAGGUUUCUUUGACAUUGUUUGAUUUUGUGUAUUGAUAAUUACACUUAGGGGUGUCACGUUUCUAGAAACGUGUCUAUCCAAAUUGUUGUAUCUCAAUAUCCUAUGGAAGGAAAGCUGAGAAGCUGAAAAUACUGGAUUUAUGGUGGUGAGAUAAAAAUUGUCAGGAACUUUCAAAAGUCAAAUUAUUUCACAAAGGGAAAUACUGGAGAGAAGUAUUAGAGAAUUUUCUUUGGAUAAGUUAUAUAGGAGUGGAGGAGUUGCGAGUUUAACCAAGGAGGGUUGUGACAAUUUAAAUUGAGAAGUAGUGGUGUUGGGUGAAGUAUUAUUUCAUUCGCGUGGGCUUGAAUGCCGCGAUUGACAGGAAUGGAACAUUAGGGUUCUUCUUCCUUGCUCUCUCACGCGAGCUCGCCAUAGAGAGUAUUUCUUGGCGUGGUACUGGCUUCGUCCGACCUCCGAUUACUGUGAUUUUUGAAAGGACCCGGCCCAAAUUUCUCAAAAUCCGAGGCGAAUCCUGUGAAAUUCCCGACAUCACUCCGAUGCCAGGCCCACUUACUAAAGACCGAGACUUUCUGCCGAACUUUCGGCAGAGUCUCCCCUAUAAAUUGGACAUUUUCCAAAACUACCACCUGCAUAAAACACAAUUUAUAUCCCCAACUGGCAGCAUGCACAAGAUAAUUUCAUGCAAAUCACAUAAUCGGCCUGCGGCCUUCAAAUAAUUCAAAACGAAACCACCAAGCACACUAUCAAAUUAAUUCCUACCUUAAACAAGGCAAACAAUAAAUUUAAAUAUGAAUUAUGACUACUAAAUUUCAACAUACGAGGUUUUAACCUCCUAACACAAUCACAUCUAUGUCCGCGGCUGCACCUAAUAACCUUAGGCUGCCUACGUACCUUCACUGAGGGAUCAAGCCACACGUAGUUCUUCCGUAAAACCCAAUUCCACACAUAGGCAAUACCUUUAUUCAUUUCUCUGUAUUUCACAUAAUCUCCCCAUACGCCAGUACUACCAUUGCCACGUAUGGGACUUGUCAACAAGCCGGAUAACCUACACCACGUGCGAUCUCAACAUAAUAUCACAUAAUCUCCUCAUACGCCGGUACAACCAGCGCCACGUAUGGGGCCUGUCAACACGCCGGAUAACCUACGCCACGUGCGACCUCAUCAUACUAUCACAUGAUCUCCCCAUACGCAGGUACAACCAACACCACGUAUGGGGCCUGUCUCAACGCCGGAUAACCUACGCCACGUGAGACCUGAACAUAAUAUCACAUAUCUCCUCAUACGCCGGUACAACCAAUGCCACGUAUGGGGCCUGUCAACACGCCGGAUAACCUACGCCACAUGCGACCUCAAUAUACUAUCACAAUAUCUCCCCAUACGCCGGUGCAACCAACGCCACAUAUAGGGUCUGUCUCAAAUUGGAUAACCUACGCCACGCUAGACCUCAACAUCAUAUCACAAUAUCUCCUCAUACGCCGGUACAACCAACGUCACGUAUGGGGUCUGUCCGCAUGCCGGAUAACCUACGCCAUGUGGGACCUAACUUUCACAGAGUGGUACUUGUAGUGUAACCAAAAUCUGGGGAGGUGCCUAAGGUAGUGCAUAUAGCACUUCAAACUGACAUUCUCUCACUUAUCUAAACUAAUACUAGAGGUCUUCCCAUUUUAAUGGUACCAGUCUAUAGUAGAUUGUAACGUAAUUUAAUCAUAAAAAUAAUAUUAUUUCUAGACCAACGAUUAUUCACAUAAACAUGAAUUUCAUAAUUUCACUAUUUAAAAUAAUAUCUAAAAGUUUCCUAUAAUACAAAUAAACACUCUAAAGAUCCCAACUUAGUCAACACAGCUCAACAAUGCUCAAGACCUGUCAUUAGGGUCAUUAUGAUCCUUCUAGGAAGGUAAAACUACCUCGAAAGACUCAAGGUCAACCAAGGGUCAAACCACCCACAAUUGGUCAAACGGGCCCACGGGGCCCACGACCUCCAAAUUCCAAUCCGAAGGUUCCUAUGGGAUCUACAAGGUAUAGGACACUCGUCUUGCAAGUUAAGCCUAGAUCGGAUGGUCAGAUCGCUCACGAUCGCACAAUCUGAUGGUUAAUAUAAAACAUAAACUUUAAAUUAUUUAAUCGGAACAUCCGGGGCUCCCGAUUCACGAUCUGUUCCUACACGAUCCUAGAAAUACAUAGAUUAACAUAUAUUAAAUUUGAGACCAUCCAACGGUCCUAACCUAUCGAACCCGGAUAACGCGCAAUAGGCGAUAUUCGUUCGAUAGUCAAACGACGUCCGAAUUGAGAUUUACGAAAUCCUACGCACUCGUGACAACCUAAGGAUCUCAUUGAGACAUAUUGCUAUCCCAAAACCGACCGAAAUCCAAUUCGAAAAUCGAGUUACUUACGUUAAGAAUCGACCGAAUCCUACCCAACAGGCAGCUAGAGCAUGAAAAGUAUGUGAGAAACCAUACCUCACUCGUCGAAAUCAGUGGCCAAAGGAGGGAGAUCGACGAUAGAGAAGUUCGGACGAACUGACCGCUUCUUCUCCAUUUUUCAGCGAAACCACGGUAGCUGGUGGCGGGACCUAGCUGGGGUUGGAAGAGGAUGACGCCCCGGUCAUUUUGGUAUCGGCCUCGUGGUCAUCGGUGGCCGGAUGAGAAAACAGCCGGCGAAAAUGUGACCGGCUGCCGUUGCGCACGCGAGAGAGACCACGAGAGAGAGAGAGAGAGAGAGAGAGAGAGAAAUCUGAUUGUGCCACUGAGAUUCUUUUGACCAUAUCUCUCUCGUUACAACUCCGAUUCAAGCCCACCACGUGUCUACGGACUCAUCUCGGUACGACCUAUCCAAAAAUACCAAUCACUACCCCAAAUACUUUUUGGAUCAGAAAGUGACCAAAUUACCCCUACCUCAAUGGUAACUUUGUAAUUUCACUUAAAUAAUUUAAAUAAGGGAUUAAAUUUGGAGUCGGGGUGUUACAAUUUUUGUUGCUAAAUGUUGUCAUCAUUUCUCCUCUACAUCACUCAGUGAUCAUUCACUCCCAUUUCUCUAGUUUACACGGUGAAUUUUAUUUCUAAAAUUUCUUAAAAUUCCGGCCACUGUGAGUUUGACCAGCGACUUGGGUUACUUUUGCCCAUCUUUUUGGAAAUGGAACCGAUUUGAGGAAGAUUAGGAGGAAAGAUACAUAGGCCGCUGAGGCAGAAGUAAAGCCGGAGCUUUACCAUAGACAGAAGUUGUUUUAGAAGUCCUGGAAGAUUGUGAACAGGAAUUGGAAGUUUGCAUGGGGUGAUAGGAUUUUUAGUACUUGUGCAAACAGUGUUAAAAAUCACAUAAAAUACUUGCAAGAAUACAAGGCUAUUGUAGUCUAGAUGCUCAUGCAAGGUCGUUUUCCUCAAGGACUAAUUAGCAAUUUAUGUAAAAAUAAAUUCCAAUUACUACUUAAAAUAAAAAGUCAAGAAAGAUGAUUAUAAAUUUGGUUGAUUCUAAAAAACAAAUAUUAAACAAAAACAAAUACGAUUGAAAGAAAGAGUUUUGAAUAUCAAUUUAUAAAAACACUAGGGUUUCACCAUCACCUAGCAAUCCUAUGAACUUUUACCAAUUACUUAUGAUUUGCACAUGCCACUUUGAAGGUUAGGUUUUCCUAAUGUAUAUUCUACUUAGAACCUCCAACACAGAAUGUAUAUCCAACAUGCAACCCGUCCGGACGUUCGGAUCAAAUCUGAACAUGAAAGACUCAUUAAGUUUUGUGAAAACCCUUUGAAAAACCAUGCAACCCUUAAGACGUGGUGUUCAUCUUAAGUGAAAUUACAAUUAUUAAUCAGAAGAAGCUAGCAUCAAUUUCAGGGAACCUUCCGACCAAAAUUGCAUCCAAUUACUUUUCUAAAGAUCCUAAUGGUGAUCAGGCAUUAAGACAAUUAGAUAGUUUAAAACAGUGAUUAACAAUUCAAAAUACGCAUGCACUCAUCAUAAGCAAUUAAAUAAAAAUCACAUAUUCAUGCUAAGGUUCAAGGCUUCACCCUAGCAAAAGAAAUUUAGUUACGCAUACUCAUAAUUGAAAUCCAAGAAAAUAUCAUUAAGAAGAAAAGAACGAAAACACCUGAAAGUUGUGAAAACCCAAAACCCUAGCAAUUGCUCUCCACAAUGCAAAGUUCAAAAGUGAAAAGGGAGUCCUCCAUUCCUUGUGAGAAAGAGCUUAAAUACCCCUUAAAACCUAGCUGCCAAUGUACAGCUUUUCUAUCCCCACAAGGAAACUAAUUAAAAUAAAAUAAUACUAGGAAAUAAAGUCCAAAUUGGAAUAGGAGAAUCUGCUCAAAAUCUGCCCAGCCACGUUUUGGCCCCAAAUCUCCUCCAAAUCUGGCCCAAGAUAGCUUGUUUUAAAGAUAAAAAAUGUUCUGAACACUUCUUUAGAAGGCCACGAACCCAUCCGAGGUCAUCUUGGGCUCCAAAAACGCAAUAAAAGCCCAACACGUCACUAUUCCAGCACCGCGCACUGCUCCUUUAUUUUGUUGCCAGAAAAUAACCGCUUGGAAGAAAAAUCUGAAAUUUUGAUACGAUCAAGCUAAGUGACUCAAGAACGUCCUCCAACUGGAAUUACUCCAAAAUUCCUCAAUUUGAUUAUGUUUUGCUCCAGAGAGAUUCGAAAGUCCUAUAUUGGAAAUAUAAUUCAAAGUAUCAAAAGUCUUCCAAAAUAAUAACCAAAAUAUACUAAGAAUGAGGUUAAAUAUAUAAUAUAAAAUAUGUCCAUCAAAAUACCCCCAAACUUAGCUUUUGCUUGUCCUCAAGUGAAACAAGACUCAAACAAAAAUAAAAACUUAACAGAUUAGACAUCUGGCUAACACUUAACUAGGACAAAAUUUCCACCUUCAAGUUGCAAUCCAUAGAAAAUUUUAAAAACUAGAACAUCCUUUCAAUAGAUCUAAGUAAUCCCACCACAAAGUCUAAGCUAUUUAGACUCAAUUAGAAAAGAAUUCACAAACUUCUUUCGGUGCAAAGUGAACCAUUAUGGUUAUGGAGACUUGACUAAAACCCUUAACUCUCAUCCCUUUUAUUCAUACUUCACACACUCCACACUUUUUGUUUUUUUUGUUUUUUGUUUUUUGUUUUUUUGUUUUUUUUUCUUUUUGUUUUUAUAGUAACAGUAGUGGUUGUGCAAUGUUGGUUCCCUUAAGCUUUCAAUCCAACCGUGUAGCCAGCUUUAGGUCAAUGUCUCCCAAACCACUCGGGUUUUAGGGCACUAGGUGUAGAACACCCCUAAGGACUUAUUAACUCAAGCUGAAAAGGCUACGAAACCAACUAACCACCCUGCCUCAUGCCAAAACUCUACCUUUUGUCUCGAGAAUCACUGCUGAUUAGGCAGGAUUGACCCGGUUACUAGCAAAGCUUCGGGUGAGGUAAUUAUUACUUUAUAACACAAACUAACUUUAUUUAUAUUGAACAUAAAUUAAAACACAUUUGGACAAAAAGUAAGUAUUCCAAUCUCACUCCCCAAAAACCAUGUUGGUGUGAUGUGCAAAUUUCAAAGUAUAAUUCAUGAAUUAAUGUCUAAGCAACAAUAAAUAGAAAAUACUCUACCGUGGGAUUGAUUUUCACCAUGUCCAUUUGUUCUAACGUUUAAAAUAAUCUAUGGAUAUUGACUGAAAAACGAAAAUUUGUAAACAAGACUCAAAAAAUGAAAAAUAAAAAAAAUUACGUUCCCACCCCCUAACUUAAAUCACACAUUGUCCUCAAGGUGGGGUAAAUAAUCAAAAGAAACAAGAGCAGAAACAAAACGACUAAAACUUAGAAAAUGGAAAUCAAAAAUAAAGAAAAUACUCUAAGAAAAGAAAUUAGGAAGGCAAAGGAUGAGAUCCAGAUGGAUCUGGUAAUCCUAUCCGUAGAGAUGGAAAGAUUCUAUACACGCCAUUGAGACUGGAUUUGGAGAUGAGGAUUUGACCCUACCUUGUUCGACGAAUUCCCUCAAGGGGAAUUAUAGCAAUAAAAUACAUAUGCUUCUACAAACAUUUAAUUGCACUGCUACGACGUGGAAAGAGUGCUUUGGGGUCUCAUCUCAUGUGAACCCGUUCGAGUAGAAAUCUUUCAUUAGAAUCAGAAAUGGGUCAUGGUAAAGAGAGGUAGAUGAUGAUUACAGUUCGGUAAAAAUGAUCAUUUCUGACAUUCCUCUCAAAGAACCGUGUUGGCAAUGUCGUUUAUCGAUUCUAAAGAAAGAAGAAAAAUAUCAACAAGUCAAAGAACGUGGAUUUCUUUUAAGGGGAGAGCUAGAACAAAAUCAAAUCACGAAUGGAAGAGUUUAGCUUUCAGAGGAAGAUUGAGCAUUACAGCAGCUAUUAAAGGAUAUUUUUAGUUGAAGAAUGAGAUUUUUCUUCCUCUGAUUGUUUAGCUAGAGCUUUUGGCUUGACUGCCAACGUGGUUGUGGAGGAAGAAACUUGGGAACCCGAGUAGUAGAUGCGAGCCCACUACCCAUACCCCUUUUGAGUGACAGGUAUGAAAUUUCAAGGAUGAAAUUUUUAUAAGAGGGGUAGAUUGUAACGACCCGGUCCUAAAUAAAUUGGUAAUUAUUAAUUUAUUCAUAUAAAAGACCAUUUUGCCCCCAUAAUAUUUUAAUAGGUUUACAUGUUGACUUGUUGACCGGGGAGGCUUUGGUGAAAUUGUUACAUCCCGGUCUGAAAAAGUGUUAAAAUAAUUAAAGUAAGAGAGAAUAAAUUGAAAUAAACAUUAAAAUAAAAUGAUUUGAAUUAAUUAAGGUGUUUGAGAAAUUAAAAUAUUAUUUAAAAUUAUAAGGGGCAAAAAGAUCAUUUUAAGUUUGGGAAGGAAUUUGAAAAUUUUGAUUGUACCGUUGUGUGGAGCACGUCGAAACGAGUCCGUAGACACAUAGUGGACUCGAAUCGGAGUUGUAACGAAAAAAUGGCGAUCAAAAGAAUUUCAGUGGCAUAACCGUAAAUAUUUUGAAGUUCAGUUUUUUUAAAACCCACAUUUAUUCUCUCUGGGGAGUGGGACGUGCCAACUUCAAAUGGUGAUUUCUCCCAACUCCGGCCACCAAUUCAAGUAAGACCGGCCCCGUUAGAACCACCACACUUCCCUCUUCCAGUCCCAGCCCAUCUCAGUCUCGAUCCGCCGUCGUAGUCGCCGAAAAUCGCCACGAAACAAGGUGGUUUGGAUAGUUUUUGUCGAAAUUUCGUGGAGCUCGUUCUCCCUCCUCCGGCCACCGUUUCAGGCGAGUGAGGUAUCAUUUCUCACCUAUUUUCUAUGAUAUAGCUGAUGGUUGGAUAUGAUUUGAUAAAUUUUGAGCGUUGAUAGUUCGAUUUUCGAAUCAAAGUUUGGCCGAAUUUCGGGAUGAAAUUCCGGCCACUUUCGAUCACUUUUUGGGGUAGGCCCAAGAACAAAAGUGUCUUCAAUUGAUGUCCUGAUCCCAGGGUAAGAGCAUUGGUCGAAAAUUUUGAGAUUUUCCUGCUGGUGGUAUCGCUUUGGGCACCCAUGCGCUGAUGGCGCGUGUGGCAGCGUGUGGGCACUGUAGCAGAGGGCCAUUGUGUCCCAAUGCGACCCCCUUGUUGUCACGAGUGCGUAAGGGUGCUCGGAUUCCAAUUUGGUUGAGGUUUGAACCCCGAAUGGAUUUCGUAUAUUGUACAUUAUCCGGGUUUGAUAGGUUUGAACCGUUGGAUAGUCUUGAAUUUAAUAUAUGUUAGUCUAGACAUCCCUAGGAUCAUAUAGGAUUUCGCGGAUCAUGGAUCGGAGCCCCGGAUGUUCUGAUUUAAUAAAUUAAAGUUUGUGUUUUACAAUAACCGUCCGAUCGUGCGAUCGCGAGCAAUCCGACAGUCCGAUCCGAACCAAACUUGCAGGACGGGUAUCCUAAAUCUUGUAGAACCCAUAGGAGCUUUCGGAUAAGAAUUUGGAGGUCGUGGGCCCGGUUGACCAAGAUUAGGUAGUUUGACCCCUCGGUUGACCAUGAGUCUUCCGAGGUAGUUUCACCCUUCGAGGAGUACUAGAAUGACCUUAUUACAUAGUCUCGACCUUUAAUUGAGCUAUGUUGACUAUGUUGAGAUUUUUAGAGUGUUUAUUAUUAUCGUAUGAAAACUCUUGGAUAUUACUUUUAAUAAUUGAAAUUAUGGAUUUGAUGAGCGUGGGUAAAUUGAUUUGAUGAGUGGUGAAAAGAAGUCGUGGGCUUGGCUAUGACUAUUAGGAAGUGAGGGGACAUUUAUGUUGAAUAUGCAUUAAUUUCAACAAUUGAAAGAACAUGCAUGGAAUGGGUAUAUAUAUAUAUAUAGAUAAAUUGGAUUAAAGAUUGAGAAAUUAAUAAGUUGAGAUAUUAGUAAUAUUUAAUUGAGAAAUGGAUUUUGAGGUGGAAAUUGGAAGGUUGAAUUUGGGGAAUUUUGGAAUUGAGAAUUAUGGGUUAAUACUGAAAGAUGUAGGAUUAUACUAUGUAAGUACCAUCCCCUAGUUACUAGGCUUCCCAUACGUGGAGUUGGAAUUUCUGGCGUGUGGGAAGGAUAUAUGAUUAUUAGAUCUCACAUGCCGUUGGAUUUUCCAGCGUGAGACAGACCCCAUACGUGGGGUUGGAUUUUUCGGCGUAUGGGGAGAUUAUGUGAUGGUUAGGUCACACGUAGGGUGGGAUUUUCCAACGUGUUGACAGACCCCAUAAGUGGCGUUGGAUUUUCCGGUGUAUAGGGAGAUUAUGUGAUGGUUAGGUCACACGUGGCAUAGGAUUUUCCAGCGUGUUGACAGACCCCGUACGUGGCGUUGGAUUUUCAGCGUAUGAGGAGAUUAUGUGAUGGUUAGGUCCCAUGUGGCGUAGGAUUUUCCGGCGUGUUGACAGACUCCAUACGUGACGUUGGAUUUUCCGACGUAUGGGGAGAUUAUCUGAUGGUUAGGUCACACGUGGAGUAGGAUUUUUCAGCGUGUUGACAGACCCCAUACGUGACGUUGGAUUUUCCGGCGUAUGGAGAGAUUAUGUGAUGGUUAGGUCACACGUGGCGUAGAAUUUUCUGGCGUGUUGACAGACCCCAUAUGUGGCGUUGGAUUUUCCGGCAUAUGGGGAGAUAAUGAGAUGGUUAGGUCACACGUGGCAUAGGAUUUUCUGGCUUGUUGACAGACCCCAUAUGUGGCGUUGGAUUUUCGCGCGUAUGGGAAGGAUAUGUGAUUAUUAGGUCUCACAGGUGGCGUUGGAAUUUCCGGCGUAUGAGACACUAACAGUGAGAAGAGAAUGAGAUUAUUUUUCUAUAUCAGAGAAAGGUUAGAGUAUAAAAAGAAAUAUGUUUGGUGUGUGGUAAUUUAAAUUAAAACAGGGAAAGAUAACUUACCUGUACUACUGAAACAGUUGUGUAACAUUUGGAGCAUGAUUAUGGAGUGAAAGAACUACGUGUGGCUUGAUCUCUCAGUAAGGGUACGUAGGCAACCUAGGUGCAGUCGUAGACUAAACGUUAUUUAUGUUGUUUUAUUGAGAUUGGUUCUGACCCUGUCGUUGGUCCUGAAAUUCGGUUGAAAACUAGAUGCGAGUAAAUAAUUGUUCAUACUCCCGUUUCGUUGAGGGAGGAUUGUGUAAAUGUGUUCUGGUCAAGACAGGUAUAAGAACUCGUUUAGGAUUGAUGUACGAUUUGGGCUAAGGCCUUAAACUACUUGUUGUUGUAUUAGGAGAUUAAAACCUCGCAUGUGGGAUAAUUGGGAAAGUUAGAUGAUGUAAAGUGCACUUAGGCAUUCAUAUAUAUGUUUAAAUUUAUUAUUUGUCUUGCUUAACGUAAUUGUUUGACUUAUGGGCUUUAUUGGUGAUUUGCUUCAGAUUAUUUAAAGGCCGAAGGCCGUUUAUGUGAAUUGCAUUUUGAUACAUUGUGCAUGCUACUAGUUGUGGAUAUUAAAUGUGUUUUAUGCAGGUUGAAAUUUUUGGGAUUGUUCAAAUUACAGGGGAGACUGCCAAAAUUUUGAUAGAAAGUCUCGGUCAUUAGUAAGUGGGCCCGGCAUCGAGGUGAUGUCGGAAUUUACACAAGAUUCCUCUCGGGUUUUCAGGAAUUCGGGGCGGAUCCUGUUACUUGGGGUGCAAAUUAUCCAUUUGUUCACCCGUUUUCGUGUUUUACUUCUGAGGUGGAAGGGCGAAGUUUCCCACUGGCUUGGAGACCACUUGUUGGUCGACAAGUCAGCUUUCUUUGGUGUGUGUGAGCGUGCCACUGCUAGCAAUGUAAAUUCUAGCAGACUUAUUUUUUAGAGUGGAUAACUUGCGCCUCAAGUUACUGACUUCUAAAACAAAUGAUUGUGAAUUUGGGUGAGGAAUAUCUCCCAAGUAAGUUCUUUUCUUGCCUCAAACUGGUGAGGACUUUCACAAUUUAUCUCAGUAUCAAAUGGUUGUUCUGGCCAGAAUAGAUAAUAAUAAAGUAGACUGUUUCAGGCAGAACUGCCUUUUACAAAAUUAAGAAGGGAGAAAUCAACUCUAGAAAGGAAAAAAGAUGGCUGGAAUCCCAUUUCUGCCUGGGUAGAAACUUCUGAUCCGGGCUGGACUGGGUAUGUCUAUGCUGGACGGUGCUGUCAACAACUUUAGCUUGCUCGGCUUUAGUUGUAAAUCGAUACCAAAGUUCAAUUUUGGCAGAGCUUCAAUCUACUUCAAGCCUUGGGAGACUUUUGAGUGGGCAGAACUGCAGCUUCUUCAGUUUGAAGGGACAGAAGUGGCUAUUCUCGAGGAUUUAGCAAGCUGGAACUAUGCUAUAAAAUUUGUUGAGGUUUUCAUAUUUGUGAAAACUCAAACUAUGUUUGUCUUGGCUUUUGCUGAACCAAAUUUGUAACGAGAGGGAUCUUGUUUUCAGAAGACUUAUUUUCUAAGUCUGAACUUUGGAAUUCUGAUCUAAAGCUGUUUUCUUGUUUGUUUUUUUUUGAUUGACUGAUGAAUUGAGUGUCCUUUGUUUCUUUGCCUUCUUUCGCUUUUAUAAGAGAUCCUCCUAAGGAGGUCAUUUUUAAUCCUAAACAAUGGGCGGCAAAAAGAUCUCUUAUAAUGUAAAGUAAGAAGGGUUUCUUAUCAAUCAAGGCAGAUAGGUUCUGAGCAGUCACCUCCUAAAAACAGUCCAUUCCCUGGUUUCCUGGGUGGCAGCUUUCUAAUUCAACCAACGCCACCGUCUGUGUGGGCUUUUUAUGGCAGUUUUGGCUCUUUUCUUUUGUAUUUUCUGAGUGGUUCCCUGUUUCCCGUUCUAAUUUAGAAAGCGUGAUUCGUGAAUUCCUUGGGAGAUGGUGUAUUGAUUUGGAGCAAAAUCUUGAACACAGAUGGGUUUUUGAUCUUCAAUUGGCAGUGUUUCAGAGACGUCCCUCUCACAUUUUUAAACUUUAGUUGGAAUUGCUGACUUUUCCAAAGUUGAGGCAAUCACGUGGGUGUGUCUUUGAUCCCUUGGUUUUGAAUCUAUCGAAAAUUACGGGCUGAUCUUUGAAGCCCAUUUCGAAAGUUUCCACAUCUGGGCUUUCUUUGGGCUGAGGCUUUAUUUCCAACAUUCUUGGUGUGAAGCCCAAACUGUCUGGGUCUUAUUUUCGUUUUUCUCAAGUCUCUGGGCUGGGCAGGCAAUUUUAUCAUGGGCCUGUCUUCUGGUCUUGGGCGUGCCGAAUUUGGGCCCAAACAAUGCCCCCUAAGUCUGAAUCGUUUUGGAAUGGUUUCAGACUUAAUGUUUUGCCAUUUAAUUCACGUGCCAGUUUCUUCCGUGUUUUCGCCCACGUCUGCCACGUUUGCCUGCUACGAACUAGAGUUCGUGGGAAAACGGCUAGUUAUUAUCUAGUUACUAGCUAAUAAUCAUCAGGUGCCGUCCCAUCUUCUUCUUCCCACGUUUUCGAGCCCCUCUUUAAAAGAAAUUCAAAUUCAUAGCUUCUGAAAAAAGAAACCCUAAACCUUCCAGCUCUUGUUCCUGCGAGUUCUUUCUUCGAGAUUUCCAAAGCCUUCUUUAGACCUUCCUUUCUUCUGCUUCUUCCCUUGAAUCAGAAAUGUCUUCCCCAAGGUCCCGCGCUCAGUCUUCUUCCGCUUCAGUUCCUCCCGAUUAUAUCACUGGGAGCGGGAUUGAUGCUCACGCGAUAGAAAUCAGGAGCAAGCUUCAUCCCUUUGCCCAGAAGAAUCUGGACGAGAAUGUCCUCCAUUUGUUUGAGAACACCCUGGUGUUAGGGCCUCACUGGUUUGGUCCUGUUCCAGCUGAGAUGGCAGAAUUGCUAAAAAAGGAUGCCGAGGCUCCUUUGUGUUUUGAGAGCUCUUCUGCCCUGGCUUCUUAUUCUUGGGUUAGCAAGAAUUUGAGCCGGUCCUUCCCGUCCAGCGAGGUGAGGAAUAGUCUGGUCAAAUGGGCAGACUGGAUUGAUAGACUUCUCCCGAGAUAUGGGGGUCACUGGAGGAGAGCUGGGAUUUAUGACGCCAUUUUUCUGUCCAAACAAUCGAUUAACAGAGAUGAGAAUCUGCUUGCUGCUGCUUUAUGCUUCUGGAAUUCUGCCAGCAAUACAUUUGACUUCCGCGUGGGUCCUAUGGCGCCAACCUUGCUGGAUAUGGCUCAGAUUUUUGGGUUCAGGCCCCAUGGUAGGCCUGUUGAUGCCAUUGGAGAUUAUCACAGGCGAAGGAAUCAAGAGAAAGUGGCCACCCCUUUUACUAUCCCUCCAGCCGUGAUCAACCAGAACUGCUCUUUCUCCAACUAUCUGAAGAAGUUCAGUGCUGAUAAGGACAAGGAUCAGCAACAUAUGUUGUUCCUUCUGUAUUGGCUGAAUUGGUUCGUUCUCCCCAAUCGGUCUUCUGCAGUUCUGCUAGAGUACAGACACUUGGCAGAAGCACUCCACAAUCACACUGAUGUGGGGCUCGGGCCUACAGUUCUGGCUCACCUUUUCAAGAAUCUGCAUACUUCCACCCUGGAGAACCCAUUGAACCUGUCAGCCCCUGGCGCAUUCUGGAUGAUCCAGAUCUGGCUGCAGGUUUAUUUUCCAGAACUAAGGUUCCCAGACAUAGUUCUGCCUGAAGAUCAAGUCCUGGCUCUUCCUCUGAUGUCGGCAGAAGUGCCCAAGCAUUCUAUUGAGGAGUAUUUGAUGCUCUUCAGGCAUUGUACAAAGAGGUCGGCAGCUCAGUGGCAAGUGGUGAUCAGGAGGACCUAUCCUUGGUUCCAGACCGGAUUUCGGUUGUUUGAGAAGGAGCCAGAAGAUGAAGCUGCCAGAACAGAUUUCAGGAGGAAAUUUCUGAGCAUUACUCUGCCCAGAGAUCUACCCCAUGGUGGGGGCAAACCUCCAAACUAUCAUCUGGGGGCAGAAGUCUACCAUCCCAACUUCUGCGCGAGGCAGCUUGGUUGUCCCCAACUCAUUCCGCUGAAAUCAUAUCGGAGUUGUAACCGGGCCUCUUCUUGGAGGGAUGCAGAUGAUCUGGAGGUGCACAAGGAUGCCCGGUGUGCAGUGAACAAAAUCAACAACAGCACGGAUGCCCUCUAUCCCUCGUGGGAGCUGAAUUCCUGCAGUUCUGCCGACUUUGACGCAUGGUGGAAAGCCAGAUUCCAAAGUCUGCCUGCUUCUGUCACUGCCCUCAAGGUGCUGUUUGAUGGUUGGGAAAACUGGGUCGUUUUUGCGAAUGGGGAUGCCAAGACGCAUAUGAUCCAGACCAUCAAGGAUAUUAACGCGCAAAUUAUAGAAGGUAGAUUUCUGAUUCUGUAUGGGGUUCGUUCUGUCCUGAUGAUUGAUUUCUAAUGUCUAUUCUGCCUGUAUCAGAUCCUUCUUUGACCAGCGUAGGUGGGCAGUCUGUUCAUGCUGGGGAAGUGAUUGGUAAGUCUUUUCUUUUAAUUCUAUUCUGUCUUUUCCUGCUGGAUUGGUCUCUAAUGUCUAAUGCCUUGGUGCAGUCUCUUCCGUUAUUGCUGCCGGGGACUUGGAGCUCCCUUCUGCGGAUGAAGGAGAUGAGGUCCAGACAGAACAAACACCUACCGAGGCCGCUCUUUCUGGCAGAAGAAAAAGGAAAGGACCUGCCCCUCCUUCGGAUAAUCCCACGCGGCCUGGUAUUUCAGGUAAGCUCGUGAUGUUCCAACCAUUCUCUUUAAAUUUAUUAUGUCUUGCCUUCUUUUCCCUAAUACUGCUUUUUGUUCUGUGCAGCUGGAAGUCCUUCCCCUCCUCCUACCAAGUUGAAAAAACUUAAAAAGAGGAGUGAGGAGGAGUAUGUCGCCGCGGAAGAGACGGCAGCAAUUCCCACCACUACCUCCGGGACGGAUGAAGAGCUGCGAGAGGCUUUUGAGGAGGUGGAGCAGGAAAAAGAAUUGGAAGAGCUGGAAGAAACGCCUCAGGAAAAAACGGCAGUGGCGGAAGGAGAGGUAAGUUUUAUUUCUGUGAUUCGCAUCAGUUCCCUUCUCGCCCUGUUUCUUCCGUUCUGACCCUUAUUUUGUAGGAGAAGAUCCCUGCUGAGGUGAUUGCAGAGAGCAUUGCCUUGGCGCAGAAGCAACAAGGGGGUCCAAGGGCUGAGCGGACUAGCUCAGAACUAGCCCUAUUUGAGGAUGCUGAGGCAGAGCAUUCUACUGCCGUUCCAGCGGCUGAGGAUCAGGCGGAACGGUCUGCAUCAGAGCCUGUGGAUCAGGCAGAGCUGUCUGUUGUGGUUCCGGAGGCUGAAGUGGAAACAACCGCCGCUGCCCCUGUGGUUGUGGUAACUUUCUUUCUUUAUCUGUCCACACUCUCCUGCAUUUCUGCCUUGUUCUUUAUUUUUAACUGUUGUAGCCUUUUCAGGUAGAAGUGCCUAAAGCUGUUGGCGUCCUGGCAGCGGUUACCAGUCCCCAGAAGCCUCCCAUUGUUGCUGUAAGUUUUCAUAACUUUUGGGCCUUUAUUUUCCACUUUCUGCCUGGUCUUACCUUAUGCUUUCUUCUUGCAGAUGCCAAUUCAUUCCCUUCCAGGAUCAUCUGCCACGGCUUCUUUUGCUGAUCCAGAACUCGAAGAGUUUGAAGCCAUGGAUCUGGAUGCCCAAUUGGACAGAUUGGAGAAACUCAGCUCUCCUCCAGGCAAGGCAAAAUCUAGGGCAGUGGAGGAGGCCAUGGAGAGGUUGAAAAUCUGGCAGUCUAAUGAGCUGGAGUUUGAUCAAGACAAUGAAGCCUUAAAUCAGCUGAUGAAGGACCUGGACCUGCUUCACAGACAGAACAUGGCUCCAAAACCUAUCCUUGAGAUGGGCCUAAGCUUGGCCAGAGAUGUGCUCAAUCUGCAUGAUCGCUAUGAGGAUCUCAGGCCUACUUUCAAGACUUCUGAAUUCUGCAAGGCCACUCAUGAAGCCAACCUGGCUGAUUUUGCAAAGCAGAAAGCAGAACUGGAUCAGAUGGUGGCCGGAUAUAAGGAAGCCAGGGCCACUGCGGACAAGCUGGAGAAGCCGAUGGAAGAGCUCCAAAAACAACUGGCAGAAUGCAGGGAGGUGCAGAGCAGGCUUGGGGCUGGACUGAGUUCUAAAACUAAGGCCACUUUCCUUGUGCAAAGUAUGGUUGCAGCUUCCAGGACAGCCUUGGAGAUUGCAGAGGCUUCAAUUCACCAGGGGGUGCUGCUCCAGAAAGAGCUUUCUGUCAAGAAAGCGAACCUGCAGGAGACUCUUAGAAAACUAGGAUUUUAGCUUCUUCUUUCCUUUUAUUGUUCGAAUAAUUUGCCGCAAAGGUGGCUAUUUUUAUAUAAGCUUUCAAAGCAUUUUACUGCUUUUCAUUUAUUCUUGAUGCAAUAACUGGAUACGGCUUUGAAAGUAAAAAACAGAACAACUUUAAAGCAAAAAUAAAUCUAAACAAAAUUCUUUUCAAGAAACAAAAAGGUCAAACUUGUUCCUCUUCUAUCCCGGGAUCUGUUUAUACAGCCUGCGAAUCCCACGUGGUUGGAUAGAACUUCUUUAACCAUUUACCAUUGAUUGGGGCAAAAUGAACAACUCCAUCUCGGUCCUGCAACCUGUAUGCCCCCAUUCCGAGGAUUUGGUUAAUUAUAAAAGGGCCUUCCCAUGUAGGUGACCAUUUCCCAUAUCCAGCUAUGUGUGCUCCAAGGGGCAGAAUUGCCUUCCAGACUAUCUCUCCCUCUUCAAAACUCUUGUUUUUGACUCUUUUGUUGUAGGCCCUUGAUACAGCCUGUUUUCCUGCUAAGAGUUUGUUGAGGGUGUCAAUUCUGCUUGCAUCCAAUUCUUCCAAUUCCAGCAACAUGGCUUGAGAGUAAUCCUCCCCAGUGAGACCAUGCUGGUGAGCAAUUCUAAGAGACUGGACCGCUAUCUCCAUGGGAAGAAUUGCAUCGUGGCCGUAGGUUAGAGCAUAGGGGGUCAUGCCAGUUGCUUCUCUCUUUGAAGUUCUGUAUGCCCACAAAGUUUCUGAUAACUUCUCAUGCCAUUACUUUGGAUUCUUCUCUAGCAUCUUUUUGAUGAUAUUGAUAAUCACCUUGUUACUUGAUUCCACCUGUCCAUUAGCUUGAGCAUAGUAAGGAGUAGAUUGAAGCAGUUUGAACUUGAACGUUUCUGCCAUAUCUAGCAUGUCCCUAGAUAUGAAAGAAGAACCCCUAUCGGUUGUGAUUGAUUCUGGAAUGCCAAACCUUUGUAUGAUCUGUUCUUCUAUAAAGGUGAUGAUCUCUUGAGAUGUUGUGGUUUUUACUGGCUUGGCCUCUACCCACUUGGUGAAGUAAUCUGUGGCAACGAUAAUGAAACAGUGCUGCUGGUUGCUGGCUGGAUAGAUUUUGCCAAUGAGAUCCAUUGCCCAUCCCCUGAAAGGCCAUGGUUUUACUACUGGAUUCAUGGGAACCGAAGGAGCCUGCUGGAUUGGGCCGUGCCUUUGACAGGCUUCACAUCCUUUGGAGUAGUUGAUGCAAUCCUUCAUCAUGGUUGGCCAGAAGUAGCCAUACCUUCUGAUUAACCAGCACAUCUUUCUUCCCCCUUGGUGAGCUCCACAGAUCCCCUCAUGGGUUUCUCCCAUGGCUUUCAUAUAUUCUGUCUUCCCGAGGCACCUUAAUAGUACCUCAUCCUUACUUUUUCGGACCAAAUCUUCAUUCCACAUGAGGUAGUUUGUAGCCAUGAUUCUGACUCUUUUCUUAGAGGGCAGAGUGGGAUAUCGUAAGUAAGUCAUGAUAGGCUCCCUCCAAUCAUCUUCAGUGAUCAAGGCAGAAUUGACUUCUAUCUCCAUUCCUCUCGUCAAAACAGAUGGUAGACUUUUCCUUCCUAUCUUGAUGAUCCUUUGGACGCAGUCUUCGGGCAUUUGUAUGCCUGAUGCCACCUGAGCCAGUUCAUUGGCUGCAAAGUUUUCCUCCCUUGGGAUGUUCUCCCAAGUAGCUUCUCUAAAUUCUGUUAGCAGAUUUCUAGCUGCUACUAGAUAUACAGCCAGAGAAGGAUUCAGACACUUAUAUUCUCCAGCAAUCUGUUUUAGGACAAGCAUGGAAUCUCCCAAGAUCUCCACGGACUGGACUCAUAAUUCUACCAACAUCUCGAGCCCUAUAAUCAAAGCCUCAUACUCGGCCAUGUUGUUGGUGCAUUGGAAAUCUAGCUGGAAGGAAUAGCAAUGUCUGACCCCUAAUGGUUCUUCCAGAACAAUCCCUGCUCCUGAAGCCUUGUCUGUCUUUGAUCCAUCAAAAUAUAACUUCCAAGGUGUGAGAUGAAUCGAGUAGAUUGGAUUGUUAAGGCAAACAUGAGCUCUAGUUAGCAGAUCUGCAUUUGCUAUGUCCAAAGAAUCCAUGUUUUCAAUUUCCUCUCCCGAGUGAUCUACCAAGAAGUCUGCCACAGCUUGCCCUUUGACAGCUUUCUGGGGGACAUACCUGAAGGUGAAUUCUGUCAAAGCCAAAGUCCAUUUCCCAAUUCUGCCCCUCAGCAUUGGUCUUGUUAGCAUGUAUUUGAUUAAGUCUGUUUUGGCAAUGAUGUAGAUAGUAUGUGGCAGCAUGUAGUGCCUGAGCUUUACAGCAGUGAAAUAUAAGGCCAGGCAAAGCCUUUCUAUUGCGGAAUACCUUCUUUCCACUUCUGUCAAUGUUCUGCUUAGAUAGUAGGCUGCCUGUUCUUUUCCUUCUUUGUUAUCUUGAACUAUUAGACUUCCAAUGGAUACUUCUGAUGCAGAUACAUAAAGCUUGAGGGGUCUGCCCCUUUUUGGUGGGGACAGAACUGGUGGAUUUGAGAGGUAAUGCUUUAUUUCCUGGAAAGCCUGUUGGUGCUGUUCUUCCCAUUUGAAUGUCUGUUCCUGCUUCAGUCUUAACAGGGAAGAAAAAGGUUGGAUUUUUCCUGCAGAAUUGGAUAUGAAUCUCCUUAGAAAAUUGAUUUUUCCUAAGAGACUUUGAAGUUCCUUCUUGUUCUGAGGUGGUAGAGCUUCUAUGAUGGAUGUUGCUUUAUUUCUGUCAACCUCUAUACCUCUCUGGUGGACCAAGAAUCCUAAGAAAUUCCCUGCUUGGACUCCAAAAACACAUUUUUUGGGGUUCAUUUUCAGUUUGUGCUGCCUCAUUCUUAGGAAUGCCCUUCUCAGGCUUGCUACGUGAUUUCCUUCCUCAGGGGAUUUAAUCACCACGUCAUCUAUGUAUACUUCCAAGGAAUGUCCUAUCAUAUCAUGAAAAAUAGAAUUCAUUGCCUUUGGUAGGUGGCUCCCGCAUUUCUCAAACCGAAAGGCAUUACAGUAUACUCGAAAGCACCUAUAUGUCCUGGACACAUAAAGGCUGUCUUGUGGAUGUCCUGUUCUGCCAUCAUGAUCUGGUUAUAACCUGCAUUGCCGUCCAUGAAAGAUAGCAUCUGGUUAUGAGUGGCUCCAUCCACUAGCAUGUCUGCCAUUGGCAUAGGAUAUUCGUCUUUAGGAGAUGCCUCAUUCAGAUUUCUGUACAAUAUUUGCUAACCAAUCGGAAUAGACGGCUGGCCUGAUGAAUCCUGCCUUGAGCAGCCUUUCUAUCUCUUCUUUGACCUUUAGUUCUGUGUCCAUAGACAUUCUUCUUCUGGCCUGUUUGACUGGAAGGUAGCCAUCUUUAAUUGGCAGCUUGUGCUCCACUCACUGCCUGUCCAAUCCUGGCAUUUCGUGGUAAUGCCAGGCAAAACAAUCUCUGAACUCCUGUAAAAGUGCCAUGAGUUCAGUCUUGAGUGGUUCCUUCAAAAGUGUGCUGAUGAAAGUAGGCCUUGGAUCUUCUUCUGUUCCUAAGUUUAUCUCCUGUAGAGGAUCCUCUACUUCUGGCAGGGAGUCAUCCAGUGCUGCUGGUGCAAAAUCUAAUACUUCCUCCUGUAAAAUUUCCUCCUCUUGCUCUUUUGUGCUUUCAUGGGUGAAUUCUGCCAUAUUGAUGGCUGGAUUCUGUAUGAAAAGCCUCCUUUCUCCCCAGUAUAUCAACAAUCUUUUUGUGAUGGAUCGGAUUGUUGCAGCUCGAUCCUUGUCUAGUUGAUUCGGACUAAACAUCAGAGUUCUGGAAGUUCAGCACAAAAAGGUCUAUUCCAGUCCUCUAGAGAACUGGCUAAACCUUCUUCAAUGAGUCUUUGGGCCGUGACACCAUGUGGACGGCCGUUCUGAUUGACUCCAAGGAAAGUGAAAGGACCGAGGUCAUCAUGAUAAUACCUUGUUUCAAAGCACAUGGCAGAGGGCAGGAAUGGCCGUGGAUCAGCCUCUAUAAUCUCCAUGCAGCCUUCUUCAUUCCAUAGUGCUAACUGCGGGUGGAGGGUGGAAGGAAUACAAAGGCUCUGGUGAAUCCAAUCCCUGCCAAGUAGUGCAUUGUAGGUGGUGGAAGUAGUGUCUAUAACAAAGAAUGCUAUUUUCAACUCUUUGCUUCCGAUUAUGACAUCCACAUCUAAGAUGCCAUGUAUUUUGGUGAUGCAACCAGAAGUUGGUGACGGUCAAUCGUGUUGGAAUCAGAUCUUUCUCUGUCCUGCCCAGCUUGGUCAGCAUUCUGUGGGGUAAUAGAUUAAUGGCUGCACCUCCAUUUACCAUGAUCUUGGAAAUAGGAAUACCCCCAAGAUUUGCCGUUAUAAACAAAGGUCUGAGGUGAAACAAGGUUGCUCUGUAGCUGGUUUAUUGGCUGUUCUGCCUGUCUUGGGGUUUUCUGCUUGUGGUUCUGGUGGCUCCUCUGCUUCUGCCAAUCUACAUUCAAAGCUUUCCUGAGAGAAAACAUCCCCUUCCAGAGUGCUUUCUUGUCCUUCGGCUGCCCUGAAUUUACUUGGUAGGAUGAAUACCAUGUUAAUUCCCAGAUCACCCUGUAGGAGGUCUUCUAAUUCUGCGCCAAAAGCUUCUGUUUCUGGGUCCAAUUCUACACCAAAUUCCAUUAAUUCUUCCCCGUAUUCUUCCGUCCAGUCAUCCUGUUCUGCUACUUCGAGGGGCUCUUUCUGAUCAUCUGCGGAAGGUUCAUAGUCCAAUUGCUCUUCUUCAUAUUCCUCAGUGUAGUCGUCUUCUCCUUGUAACGGGGUAGACCCAGAUUUCUCUGGUGUCUGCGUGGUGUCAGGACGGCUGCUGGACGACGAGGCCACAUGGAUAGGAGACCUGGCUGGGGGUUCUGUUUUCAGCAAUUCCCUUGACUGGCAAGCUUUCUGUUCUGUCUGGGGAAGUGUUUCAGGAUUUUUUCCUUUCCUAGCAGAACUGGGUUGUGAACGUACCUGCGUAUUAUCUUGGCUCUUAAGAUAUGUGCAGUAUUGCCUCUGGAUUCUCCUUUUCUGGGUUCUGGUUAGCUCCAGAGUCGGUCUACCGCUUCUUCCUACGGAAUACCAUCUCCCUUCUAUGAUCGUUGCCAAGGAUCUUUCGUUUCUGGGCAUCUUGACUGGUAUUUCCUUUCUGGGUUGCUCCAUCCUCCUCUCGCUGUAUUGUGUAGGCCUAAGACAGCUCUUCUGCCUUGUUUUGUCUCGGGAUGAGGUUCCAAUUCUGUCAAAGACACUAGGUGUGGGCUGAUUUUGUCUGUCUAGAACCACCUCUAGCUCUGUUUCACAUUUGCACCUACUGCAGAGCACUACCCCAGCCGAGAUGGUCGCUCUUGGUAUUUGACUGGUCUCCCUUAUGAUUCUUCUGCCUCUGCUGCAACCAGCAUCUGUGAUUGGCUCGGUUUUCCUCUGUUCUGGCCAAUUUAAGUUGACCAUAUUGACUUGUGGUUGAGGAAAAGGAUCCGUUGUGACGGAUGGUGGUUUUUCUGCCAGUUUCAACCUUCCUGCCGUUAUCCCUUCUUGUAUUACGUCCCUGAAAACAACACAACUAUUGGUAGAAUGGUUCCAAGAGUUGUGCCACCUGCAGUACUGUCUGCCCUUGAGUUCUUCCGGCUUCGGUAUUCUGUGAGGCGUCUCUAUUGCCUUCUACAGUAGCAUUUCGUGGAACAAGGCAUCAACCUUGGUUAAGUCAAAAGAGUAAACCUUGUUUUACGUUGGUUUGUUUGGAACGAAUCCUCCUGUGAAUGGUGGUGGCUUUUGGUCUUUAGGUGGCUUUGUGAGGGCUUUGCAACUAAUGGGAUGUUUUAGUUUUGCCAUUUCUGCCACUGAAACCUCUUUCUCUUCUGAUUCUUCUGCAUCUUCUUGUGAUUCCACCUCGAUCAGGUGGACUGAAGAAGAAGGGGUUUUAUAGUAUGUACCUUUGGAGGAGUUCCUCCUUUGCUGUUCCUCCCUGAGUAACUCCUCAUAUUUGGAUGCCUUAUCAGCCAGUUCUGCCAGAUCUCCGAACAAUAUCCCGUCGAACCUUUUCCUGAGAGAGAUUUUAAGGGCAACUUGGGCCAUCUGGAUGAAGUGUCUUUCUUCCAUCGGGAUUCGGCACUUCAUUUUGAGCUUUCUGAACCUGGUUAUGAAAUCUUGGGCCGGUUCAUCUUCACUUUGCUUGAGGGCAGCUAGAUCACUGAUGGUGACUUCUGGCUGAAUCCUGUAAUAGUAGUCAUGGAAGACAUUUUCCAUCUGUUCCCAGGUUUGAACAGAGUUAGCUGGCAGGCUGGUGUACCAGGUAAAAGCUUGCCCAAAAAGAGAGUUGCCGAAAAGCCUUAAUUUCAGCAGAGGGUUGCUUUCUAUAGCUAUGCAUUGGACGGAGAACCUGCCUAUAUGUUCAACUGAGGAAGAAUGGGGGUCUUCCCCAUUGAACAAAGUGAAGUUUGGCACUUUGAAACCUGGAGACAACAGUAUUUGAUCGAUAUAGGCUGGGUAUGGCUUUCUGUAAGUAGGCCUUUCCCCUAUUCUAGCCUCGGGUUCCAUGAUUUCUCUGAUCAUUCUUUGCAACGCUCCUAUGUCAUUCAAAGCAUUGACUGGGGGAAGAUUUUGUCCCUGUUCUGGCUGAACGUAAUCAAACCUGGGCUCUGCUCUGUGUGGUCUGGGUGGAACUUCCUCCCUGUGUUCUUCCUGCUCUUCGACUUCUGGAUGAUUCCUCCAGUUUGCCCCCGGUCUAUUCCUGUCAUGAUUAGCAAAAAGGUUGUUCCCUCCUCGGCCUCUCCUCCUUCUUGCAAGUGGAGGGAAUGGAUUAGGGUCCAUCCUUCUGGGUCUAUAUGGCAAUACUGCCGGUGGUUCAGGCAGAAGCGCCAAAGGUUGAUCAUGUGGGAGCACAUGAAGUGGAAUGGGCUGAGGUUCUGGCUGGUUCUGAGCCAGUGCCAGGUUAUCUGGUUGAGCUGGGGCUUCAUGUUUUUGAUUAGGAAGGGCUCCUUCCCUCGGACCAGCCUGAAUUUCUCCGUGGUCUGGCACUCCAGCCAUCUGUGCAACUAGGAAAUUUUCCUGGUAUGGCCAUAUUAGUCCUGGCGGAGGGCCAUAAGGGAGAUCCAACUGCUGGAUUACAGGAUCUGGGUUUGGGUUUCUGGCCAUGGCGGAUUCUCGGUCCUUCCGGAACUGUCUGUUUACCUGCCAUUACAUCAUGGCUGUCAUGUUAUUGAGAGUGUCCUGGCUCCUUCGUACUGUGAUCUCUUGUCGGAGUACUGACUCCUGUAUUUGAUUCAUCCUUUUGGAGCCAGUCCUGGAACGUCUACUUCCUGUACUGCCGUGGGCAGAUUGCCUAGCAUCGCUUUUUUCUGAUUCGAGGCCUUCCCUGAGAACCAUCUUGUUUUUCUCCAUAUCUGGUGUGGGUUCUGACUAGAUCUUCCGGUAUUUGUGAAUCUGUGAAUGAUUCUGUCAGAGUAUAUAUACUGAGAAGUCCCACUGGGUGUGCCAAAUUAUUCACCCGUUUUCGUGUUUUACUCCUGAGGUGGAAGGGCGAAGUUCCCCACUAGCUUGGAGACCACUUGUUGGUCGACAAGUCAGCUUUCUUUGGUGUGUGUGAGCGUGCCACUGCUAGCAAUGUAAAUUCUAGCAGACUUAUUUUUUAGAGUGGAUAACUUGCGCCUCAAGUUACUGACUUCUAAAACAAAUGAUUGUGAAUUUGGGUGAGGAAUAUCUCCCAAGUAAGUUCUUUUCUUGCCUCAGACUGGUGAGGACUUUCACAAUUUAUCUCAGUAUCAAAUGGUUGUUCUGGCCAGAAUAGAUAAUAAUAAAGUAGACUGUUUCAGGCAGAACUGCCUUUUACAAAAUUAAGAAGGGAGAAAUCAACUCUAGAAAGGCAAAAAGAUGGCUGGAAUCCCAUUUCUGCCUGGGUAGAAACUUCUGAUCCGGGCUGGACUGGGUAUGUCUAUGCUGGACGGUGCUGUCAACAACUUUAGCUUGCUCGGCUUUAGUUGUAAAUCGAUACCAAAGUUCAAUUUUGGCAGAGCUUCAAUCUACUUCAAGCCUUGGGAGACUUUUGAGUGGGCAGAACUGCAGCUUCUUCAGUUUGAAGGGACAGAAGUGGCUAUUCUCGAGGAUUUAGCAAGCUGGAACUAUGCUAUAAAAUUUGUUGAGGUUUUCAUAUUUGUGAAAACUCAAACUAUGUUUGUCUUGGCUUUUGCUGAACCAAAUUUGUAACGAGAGGGAUCUUGUUUUCAGAAGACUUAUUUUCUAAGUCUGAACUUUGGAAUUCUGAUCUAAAGCUGUUUUCUUGUUUGUUUUUUUUUUAUUGACUGAUGAAUUGAGUGUCCUUUGUUUCUUUGCCUUCUUUCGCUUUUAUAAGAGAUCCUCCUAAGGAGGUCAUUUUUAAUCCUAAACAAUGGGCGGCAAAAAGAUCUCUUAUAAUGUAAAGUAAGAAGGGUUUCUUAUCAAUCAAGGCAGAUAGGUUCUGAGCAGUCACCUCCUAAAAACAGUCCCUUCCCUGGUUUCCUGGGUGGCAGCUUUCUAAUUCAACCAACGCCACCGUCUGUGUGGGCUUUUUAUGGCGGUUUUGGCUCUUUUCUUUUGUAUUUUCUGAGUGGUUCCCUGUUUCCCGUUCUAAUUUAGAAAGCGUGAUCCGUGAAUUCCUUGGGAGAUGGUGUAUUGAUUUGGAGCAAAAUCUUGAACACAGAUGGGUUUUUGAUCUUCAAUUGGCAGUGUUUCAGAGACGUCCCUCUCACAUUUUUAAACUUUAGUUGGAAUUGCUGACUUUUCCAAAGUUGAGGCAAUCACGUGGGUGUGUCUUUGAUCCCUUGGUUUUGAAUCUUUCAAAAAUUACGGGCUGAUCUUUGAAGCCCAUUUCGAAAGUUUCCACAUCUGGGCUUUCUUUGGGCUGAGGCUUUAUUUCCAACAUUCUUGGUGUGAACUGGACUAAACAGUUAGUCGGACCAGACCGUCUACACAUAUGAACUGGACUCACAAGCCUAUGUUUUUUGAGCUCCCAUAUUGGUCGAAACUCAAAUUGAGGCACAAUCUAGAUGUGAUGCAUGUUGAGAAAAAUGUAUUUAACACAUUGGUGGGCACGAUUCUAGAUAUCGAGGGCAAGACAAAGGACACAAUCAAAGCCCGUCUUGAUUUGGAAAGAAUGGGCAUACAAAGGGGUUUAUGGAUGAACAGGGACAGUGAUAAAGCUAGAAGGGAUCUUGCAUUCUUUUCUAUGAAACCGAAUGAUAAAAAAGAGUUUCUAAAGUUUGUAUCGUCUGUAAAGUUUCCUGAUGGGUAUGCUUCUAAUAUCGCACAUUGCGUGAAUGUUGACGAGGGUAAAUUUACUGGACUGAAGAGCCAUGACUGCCAUGUGUUUAUGCAACGCCUACUUCCUGUGGGUAUUCGACAUCUAUUGCCGGAAGAUGUUGUGAAGCCAAUCAUGUUGUUGUCCAGAUUUUUUUCCCAACUGACGGCAAAAACAUUGCGAAAGACAGACAUAUUUCAGUUGCGCCAUGACAUUGUCCAAGUCCUAUGCAAGUUUGAGAUGAUAUUUCCUCCAGCUUUCUUCACAAGUAUGAUGCACGUGAUGGUUCACUUGCCAGAAGAGGCAUUGCUUGCUAGUCCUGUCAACUAUCGCUGGAUGUAUCCAAUAGAAAGGUAUAUAAUCUUUAUCGUUUGUGUAUGCAUCAUUAUCACAGACUUGCUAAUUUGUAUCAUAUCGUUUUAUUUUGACAGGCUUCUCGGAGAGCUGAAAAAAAGUGUACGCAACAGGGCGAAGCCCGAAGGAUCAAUUAUAGAGGCUUGGGUUCAAUAUGAGUCGCUUACUUUCUGUGGAAUGUAUUUAAAAGAUGUGGAGACGGCUUUCAAUCGUCCUCAACGCAAUAACGACGAAGGUAUGAGAAAGGAAAAACUUUCUGUUUUUGCCCAAAGUGCACGACCCUUUGGAGAUCCUGGACGAGGAGAGUCGUUUUCUAGAAAUGACAUGGAGGUAGCGCAUUGGUUCGUACUGAACAAUUGUGAUGAGAUAAUGGCAUACUUAGAUAAGCAUGAAGAGAUGAUGAAGCGAGAACAUCCAUCACAUUUAGUUGCCCAGAAACACCGUGAAUUGUUUCCACAAUGGUUUUUGGAUUCUGUAAGUUAUAAGUGUUUUGUAUUUGACAAAUAUAAAUUGUAGUAUUUAAUUUUGUCAGACUAACAUGUGAAUGGUUUUGUAUUAUAUUAGGUGAAUAAGUUGAAAUCAUCGAAUUCCCCCACUUACAGUGAUGAGUUAUAUAACUUGGCGUUCGGCCCAAUUCGCGCUGAAUUGUUUCGGGUUGUUAUAUUAAUGGCGUCAAAUUUUUGGGAGCCGCACGAGAUGACAAGUUGUGUAUGCAAAACAGCGGUGUCCAUGUCCCAGGUGGAGGCGAAAGUACGAACAUUGAUUUCUAUGGCAAACUCACAACUGUCAUUCAAUUGCUUUACAAAGAUCGAUACUAAGUGAUCAUGUUUAAGUGUCGAUGGUUUGAUAGCAACCCAAAUAGGCCGGGAAGUGUUAAAAUCAACCAUGGCUUACUAUCUGUGAACAUUAACAGAACUUGGUAUGAUGACGACCCUUACAUUUUGGCAAACAUGGCAACACAAAUUGUGUAUCUAGAUGACCCUAAAGCCGGGAGCAGUUGGAAAGUUGUUCAGAAGAUGGAUCAUAGGAACUUGUAUGCUAUACCAGAACUAGACCCAACUGACAAUGACGUCAACAAUGUGGCUGACCAACGUUUAGAAUCUUCAAUGGAAAAUGAUGCGGAAACACUUCGAGAUACACAUGUUAUACAAGAACCGUUUCAAAUACAAGGAGUGUCUUCAAUCGAAAUACCGAUUCAGUCAAUUACAAUUGACCUCGGGGAUCUUCCAAGAUUCGAUGUUGCAGUGAGCCCGAGCAACGAAGAUGAUGUAGUUAUAGAGGAGGAGGAGGAGGAUUGGGAGACUGAAAGUGAUGAUAGCGAAGAUAACGAAAGUUAUUAUAGUUCAGAUGAUGAAUAAUUAAAUUUUUUAUAUUUUUAUUAUGCUAGUGUACAGACUUUGUGUAAAACAAAAGUUUGAAUAUAUGUAGUUGUGAUAUCCAAACCUUAUAUAUGUGGACAACUGAAACAUUAUUAAAAUAAAUUUAGUUAUAAAACAUCGGUAAAUCAAUAUAUCCAAACCCUUUUAAUAUUCAUUUAAAAUUUUUUUUUUUGACAAAAACGUUUACAAAAUGAAAAUGAUAAAAUAUUUGUUAUAAAACAUUGAUAAAUAAAUAUAUCCAAACCAUUUUCAUACAAAGUUUGAAAAUUAUUGACAACAAACAUUUUUCAAAAAUGAAAAUCCUUGCGCGACGAAGUACACCUCGUCACGCAAAGUUUGCGCGACCCAGUAAACAGUCGUUGUGUAAAGUUAAAACAUUGCGAGACAAAUUAUCAUCCGUCACGCGAUAGAAUUUUGCGCGACGAAUAUUUACUCUCGUCGCGCAAAUGUAUAUUCUUUUAUAAUAUAUUUUAUAUACACAUAUAUAUUCGAAAUUGACGAUCGAGUUAGUUCAUUGUAUUCAUAUAGGGUCAUGGAGUGUAGCUGUAAAAAAUCAUCAAAAUCGGAGUUAAAAUAACUGUUAAAUCAUGACUUUUCAUUUAUAACCGUUCAAAAAUUUUGUCCCGAUACUUGAUCUCUGAAUGUUUUUUUUUUCCGAUUUUUGGGGCCUAAGAUCUCGAAGUAUAAACAAACACGUUUGACGGCUGGAUUAUUGAAACUACUUUCGUAGAAUGCGUAUGCCAUCAAAACUAUAUAUUCACCAACAAUGAAUAGUUUACUUAUACUUUCAUUAAAUAUAACAUAAGAUUAUGUGGUAUCACCCUAGUGUAAACAUCUUAAAUUGAAGAUCAAAUUCAGUAAUUGUAUUCAUAUAGGGUCAAGAAAAGUAGCUAUAAAAAAUCAUCAAAAUCGGAGUUAAAAUAACCGUUAAAUCAUGACUUUUCAUUUAGAUUCGUCGAAAAGUUUUGUACUGUUACUUGAUCUCUUAACGUUUUUUUUGUCAGAUUUUCGGCGUAUACGAUCUCGAAAUAUAAAAAAACAAGUUUGCCGGUUAGAUCAUUAAAACUAGUUUCGGGUUUAGGAUUUCUGCAGUUUAGGGUUUAGGGUUUGCGCGACGAAGCCAUUUCGUUGGUCGCACAAAGCCUGCAAAGAACAGUCUUGCGCUACGAAACUAGGAUUCUUUGUCACGCAAUCUCAACCAGCCCUUUCACCCUCUUCCUCCUUGGACACUUAGCCAAAAAAAGUUGCGAGUUUACAGAAAGCGGCUUUGCGCGACGCUGCCGGUAUUCGUCGCGCAAUAUGUAUGCCAAUAAAACCUAAAUCCCAAAUUUUGGCGAAUUACAACUUUGCGCGACGAAUAUGGGAAGCUUCGCGCAAAGUUUUCAAUCUUUCCCGCUAAACCCUAAGUCCCAAAAUUUUGGCGGAUUGACAACAUUGCGCCACGAAAGAAGGUACUGUGCGUCGCACAAAGUUUUCAAUCUCUCCCGCUAAACCCUAAGUCCCAAAAUUUUGGCGGAUUGACAAUAUUGCGCGACGAAAGAAGGUACUGUGCAUCGCGCAAAGUUUUCAAUCUCUCCCACUAAACCCUAAGUCCCAAAAUUUUGGCGGAUUGACAACAUUGCUCGACGAAAUAUGGUACUGUGCGUCGCGCAAAGUUUUCAAUCUCUACCCAAUAUUUUGCCGGAUUGACAACAUUGUGCGACGAAAGACGAUACUGUGUGUCGCGCAAAAACUACCCUGAUACCAAAUUUUGGGAUUAACAAUAUUGCACGACAGAAGUUAUACUUAUGUCGUCGCGCAAGUGUCAAUUAAAAUAUUUUGCGUGACGCUUUUGUUUGUUCGUUGCGCAAAAUCGAAUAAAAUUGCAGAAACGACGCGAUAGCCUCCUUCUUCCCCAGAUUUGUUUUUCUACCCUAACUCUCUCUCUCUCUCUCCGCCUUCAGCUCAGCCCCCUACCCCAGUGGAUUUUGGACGACGGCGCCACAACAGUGGUACCCCGGAGGUUUCCCGCCGUCACCGUCGAGCCAGCCGCCCUAAUUCCUCGAUUUUCACCGAAUCUGCGCCGCCGUCGUUCUCUCUCCUUCGGCGACCAAAUCCGACACCUGAGGUAUGGUUUCUGUCCUAUUUUUGAUGCUUUAACUGAUGGUUGGGUAGGAUUUGUGUAAUUGUUGCAAUAGGGCAGUGGAUUUGAAACCCUAAAUUUCGACCGAUUUUUGAAUUCCAAUUCCGGCCACUUCUGGCCAUUUUUCAGGGUAGGUCCGAGAACAAAAGUGGCUCCAAUUGAUGUUUUGAACCUAGGGUAGGAACCUUGGCCCUUAGUUUUAAGAAAUUUUCGACGAUUGGUAUCGCUUUGGACACCCACGCUCUGCCAGCGCUUGUGGUGGCGCGUGGGGUACUGUAGCAGUCUUGCAUUGGGUCCCAGUGCAAUCCCAUAUUUGUCACGAGCGCGUAGGUGUUUUCGGAUUGGAAUUUGGUUACCGUUUGAGUCUCGAACGGAUUUUGCCUAUUGUGCGAUUUCCGGGUUUGUUAUGUUCGGACCGUUGGAUCGAACUCAAACUCACGUAUGGUGUACCUUGUAUUUCUUGGAUCGUCUAGGAUUCGACGGAUCGUGGAUCGGAGUCCCGAAUACUCCGAACUCGCAAACCCUAGGUCAAGAAUCUUAAUAAAAUUGUAUGUGCUUUCAAAUAUUCGUAUGUUUUAUUAAUUUGUAUGUGUAUUAAUGAAAUUGUGUAGAUGUCAGACCUGAUUAGACGUCGUAGGGCGGUGACGACUACGCAGAGUUCUGAGCCCCCGGCUCAACUGACAUCUGCUGCCACUGCGCCAGCACUGAUGGACCACUUGGCAGUUGGUCCCGCGGGGUCCCAGGCUCCUGCUUCAUCAGCUUCAUUAGUGGCACAACCUGUUAGCGCCAGGAAGCGUCAUCGGCCUGCCAGCACCACCGACACCACAUCCACUGAUGCGUCGGGGUCACAGCCAGGUAUAGAUUUCCUUAAACUCCAGUUAUUUAUAUUUUUGUUUUUGUUUUUAUUUUUGUUUUUGUUUUUGUUUUUGUUUUUAUUUGUGUGUGUAUUUUAUAGUUAAAUUUGUUAUUUAUUUAACAUUAAUGUCAUCUUUCUUUGCAGCCAAGAAGAACACCCGAGGGCCGUGUCGGUAGUUGAAGACGGCGAAGGUCACUCGGGUGACCAACAGUCGUAUCAACAUCGGAUACGACAAGCGACAUCGGGCUGCACCGACGGCGGAGUUGCAUAGCUCCUUGGCCCACGACAUUGGUGAUGUCAUUCCGAGCCAUUGCCCGAUGAAAUGGAAGUCUUGGAAGGUGAUGCCUGACGAGACCAAGAUGGAGGUUCGCGGCCAGUUGUCAGUAUGUAGGCCUUUUAAUUCUUUUUCUUUCAAAUUUUAUAUUUCUAUUAUUUAAAUGUAUUUAAUUAAUUUAUUGCAGACGAACUACAACUUGGAGGACCUGGACGACGAGUCGUUGGCGUACAUCAACAGACUCUUCUCUGAGAGGUACAAAUAGUGGAAGAGCGACUUGCACCACUAUUUUGAGGCGUUUGAUGAUCCAGAAGUCUCUCUUCAGGAGGGUUGCCCGAAGGAGCUUGAGGGGCGGGAGGAUAGUUGGGCGUGGCUCUGCUCUCAUUUUCAGGCGCCCGCUUUUGUGGUAAUUUGUAAUAUGAAUUUCAAAUUUAUUAUAUUUUUCUUACUAAUGUUUUUUUAAUGUUUUAUAUUUAAUUUCAAUUUCAACUAAUACGUUUUAUUUUUUGUAUAACAGAAUAAAGCCAAAGUCAAUAAGGGCAAUAGGAAGAAGAAGACUCUUCUCCAUCAUUCGGGUUCCAGGCCCUUCUCCUAUAGGAUGGAUGCAUGGCGGCAGGUAAUCAUAAAAAAAAUUUUAUUUAAUUUUUAAUAUUUAAUUAUUCUUAAUUUAUUUUUUUGUACUAAUAUUUUUCUUCUCUUGUUCAAUUUAGGGGGGUCCAAAUUCCCAGAGAUCGACGUCUUUGGCGACGUUUAUGUUCGACCUGGGAAUGAGUUGGGCGAGUCCCUUCAUGUAAGUAUUAUUUAAUUUUAAUUAUUAUGUUACGCAUUCAAGUUUAAAGGUUAUUAUAUGAAUGUUUUAAUUUAUAUUUUAUGUUAUGCUAAACAGAUGACGAUGGUGGAGAGGAGCCAGUUGGUUCUUCAAGAGUCCGCCUCCCAACUUCCUUCCGAUACUCCGAUCGAGUCUGUGGAUCCUCCACAGGAUGCUGGGUUUCAGAUCUUGACGGAGACAUUGGAUCAGACUCUAGGGAGGAGACCGGGGAUAUAUUGUCGAGGGAUGGAGAAUGCCAGGCGGAGGGAAGCCAGACCCCGUUCAUUAGCGCAGUCAAGCAGUCAGGUCACUGCUUUGACAGCACAGGUGGCCACUCUUCAGAGUCAGAUGUCGGACAUUCUGCAGUCCCUCGCACAGUUCGGCAUUCCAGUCCCGCAUUUUGAUGCGCCGACCUCUGAGCCCGUCCAUCCUGAGCAUCCCCACCAGACGACGGCCCUUGUAGACCCCCAGACCUCUGAACCGCAUGUGCCAGACGACAAUGUAGAUUUUGGAACAUUAUGAUUAGUUUUUUUAUUUUCAUAAUUAUUUUUUAAAUAUUUCUCUUGCAGCAUACAUUUAUUUUAUAUAAUAAAUAUGUUCUUUACAAUUCUUUUUUUUAUUGGAAUUUCAUUUUAUUACCCAAAAAAAAAAAACCAAAUUUAUUUUUUUAUAAAAUAAAAUAAAAAGUAAUAUUAAAAUUAAAUAAUAAUUAUAUAUAUUAAUUUUGCGCGACGAAAUCUUUCUCGUCGCGCAAAUUUAUAUAUUACGAAAUAAAAAUGUUUCAUUUUUUUAAAUACAUAUAAUUUAUUCUUGCGCGACGAAUAUUUUCGUCUCUCAAAAAGGAUUUGCGCGACAACAGUUUUUCGUCGCGCAAAAUGUGUUGACACGAAUUGCACGACGAAGAUAUCUUUGUGCCGCAAAUAUCUACGACACGUAUUGCGCGAUGAAAAUGUUCGUCGCGCAAAAAACGUAUGCGCGACAACAAUGUUUCGUCGCGCAAUACGUGUAGACAUGAAUUGCGCGACGAAGAACUCUUGGUGCCGCAAAUGUGUACGAGACGUAUUGUGCGACGAAUAUUAUUCGCCGCGCAUCGUUGUGGCGACGAACCCGCUUUCGUCGCGCAUAAGUUUGUGCGACGAACUAUUGCAUCGUCUCUGAACCUUUUGUGCAACGAAGGGUAACCGUCGCACAAAUUUGCGCGACGAGUGAUACAAUCAGUCGCGCAAAGUCUUUCUUCACCAUCUUUGCACCACAGAUUACGCGCGACGAAUUUUCUGUCGUGCUUGAGUUUGUGCGACCAAAUUUAACUCUGCGCGACGAAAUUGGCUUCGUCGCGCAAAUCGUAAAAUGUAGUAGUGGAAGUUAUCAACAUCUAUAGGAACCCCAAUGAAAAGGCUGUUAACUAAUAAUGAAGUAAACCCCUCAAUGUUUCCGCGUAUCAGAUAUCUCUCAGAAUAUGCGAUUCCAUACUCAAUAAGCAACUCCACAUCCCCUGAGGUUUUCACCAAACCACCCAUUAAGGAAACAUACUGACUCAUGUGUAAUUAUCAUUACUCAUCGGGUAAUGCAAUUGUUCAAAGGCAAGGACAUUUCUCAUUAUUUCUGUAGUGAACCCCAAUGGAAAUGGUGGGAUCUUCAGAACCCCAUUGGUGCUACUGAAUUGUAUGUCAAAUAUGUUUUCACCUUGUCGCGCCUCAAACUUGACUCCAGCGUGCUGUAAUUCUGUCAAGCUGGGUAUGGAUGAUGGGAGUUCCCCUCCAGCUUUUGAUUCCAACGGUUGAUAGAGUUUAAAUAUUUUCCUGUAAAGAUCAACAAUAUGUGCCACUGAUCUAAAAGUCUCCAAAUUGUCUUCCAUUUUGUCAACAGGCAAUAGAUGUUCGAAGAAACUGAAAGAAAGACUAAUUAUUGAAAGCCCCUCAGUAAUGCAGUUAUUGUCAGCAUCAGCAGGGAGUGUAAUUUUCUGUGGGUCGAAAAGAUCCUCGAGAAUGAAGAAUGGCAACUGAUUUUCAAGCAACCACAUAUCUGUCCAUACAUCUUGCAACAUACCUGGUUUGUCAAAUAUGCGGUCAUUUUCAUCCCAAAAUUUGAAGUAGUCCUUCAAUAAGAGCUCAAUAACGAAGGCGGCAUCCACUAGAAUGAUUGUUACAAAUUCAUCACUGCUAAACUUGAUGGGUUCUCCAUAACAACGUCUCAAUCUUGCUUCGUGGUCCUUUAUUUUCUUAAUAUAAUCCUCCAAACUCACAUUGGUCCGACCUAUAAAAUCUUGCAGGUAUCUCUGUUUGUGCUCUUCCUAUACGACAUUCAAGCCUUCCUUUCCAUGGUGAAGUGGGCCUAUAGAGACCACCUGAGGUGUGCAGAGCUUUUCAUUCACACUUCGUAGUCGUUGAGGAACUCUGUAGAUACAGCACUUGGAGGAUGGGGGAGACAAGCUAUUGAACCCUUUUCUCAUCGAAUUUGCUAAUGAAAUGUAUGGGUUUUCUAUGUCAUUUUGAGCAGAUUGAUGGCUUCCUGCCAUUUUCCAGCUCCUGACUAUAUGUGGUGUUCCGAUUGUAACAGAUUACAAUAAUGAUGAGUAUGGAUAACUGAAUUACUGAUAAAACAAUCAAGAAACAUUUCGUUAUUUUCCAUUCCCAAUAACGAAAUCAAAAUGUUCAAGGAAAUAUAAUCAGGAUAUUGCAAUUAUAUAGCCAUUCAUAAGCUGCCUGGCAUGGAAUAAGAGGUGGAAACCAAAUCUACUUAUUGGCCAAAGUUCGAAUUCACUAUAUAUAGAUAUAUAUUUUGCCAAAAUCUAAAACUGACCAACCUUAGAUACAAAAACACGGUACAGCCCGGUUAAAGUAAUUCCAAGUGCGAAGAAAGAAAGGAAUUGAGCGUUUGUACCUCUACAGCUAGCCAAAUUUUCUAUUGAUUCUUUAAAUUUUAGAGAGCAAUUACUCUUAAUUUGGUAGGUGUAGGACUGUGCAACUUCAAGCUUUAAUGAAAGAAGCCAAGUUUAUUCUAAGGGGACAAGUCAGAGACAACGAAAUUUUGCUCAGCUUCAUUUUCAAAUUUGCUGCUUAAGAAGGAAAUUUAAUAUGUUUGUUUCACAAAUUGUAUUGUCAUCAAUGAAACUCGUGCACACCCAACGAAAUUUGCAUGGCUUAUUUUCAAAGGAGUACUGCUAUUUCCAUCCUCUGUCCUAUUUUUCCACUCACCUUAUCUUCAAAAUUUUAAAGACAAAAAUAAACCCCUUUGUAAAAUGCUUAAAAAGAAAUUUAAUAUGUUUGUUUCAAAAAUUGAUAUUGUCAUCAAUGGUUAAAGAAUUGCUGGUGACAACAUAUACUUCUUUUCUACUGUAUUAAUUUCUUUCUUUAUUUUUUCUUCAGUAUAGUUCUGCCUUUCUUUUACAUGUUUAUGCGCAUAUUUGACACGUUCAAGUAUACUUAUAUAACAAAUGCAAUGAGUUUGUAGUCACAAAAAUCAAGGAUUGAAAACAAAAAGUAAUAUUAUGUGCAAGAGAAACUUACCUGCAGAAACUGAAGAACUCCUCUAGUUUCUUCUCUGUCGCUAUGUACUCCCGCGUUCAAGUUAUUAUUCUUACAAUGUACAUACACUAUUAUAUAAUGGCGAGAAGGCUCUGAUUAACCUCCUUUUUGCUUCAUUGGAUGGGGCAAGAAUGGAAUUGUCACCGUGGGUGUGGAGGUGAUCUACCAUUUGAGCAAGAAAUUCCCACAUAUUCUUUAACUAUUUUUCAAGCAUGCAUAUUCCUCCCUAUCAAUCUUUGGUCUCUUCUUUUACUAUUUUUCAAGCAUGCAUACUUUGAUUUUAAAUCAUCUUUUCCGCACUAAUUUGCUUCAAUCAAGAAACAGUUAAUAUAUUUUGUAUCAUCAUUAGAGAACACUUGAAACUGCAUAAGUUAAUUUUGAAGAUGAUGGCAGAACCAAAAUGUGUAUAGCUUAUAACUAUAAUUUCUUGAUUACAACAAGAGGUUUCAAGUUUUCAACAACACAAAUAUGAAUCUCCCAAGCAAAGAUAAACAAUAAAGCAAGCAUACGGAUUGUCAAAUUGCCUUCAAUCACUCUAAAAUACUUCAUACCGUCCGACACUGGCUUCAAUUACUCUACAAUACUUCAAUUCAUAUAUUGUCCUAUUUUCACAUGUACAUCCUGCUUUUACUUAAGGGUUAAUUGUUGAUUUACCCCUUGAACUUGUACUCUACUUUCAAUUUGCACCCUCAACUUUUUUUUUUGAAAAUUAGGUGCAUGAACUAAUUUUUAUUGCCAAUUCCCCCUACCAACAUGUCAUCUAAUAGUCUGUCAAAUCAUUAAAAAAUAUAAUAUUUUUGGAAAAAAUUAAAGAAAAAAAAAUUCCUAAGGACCCACAGACCCAGAACCCACCCUCCGUUGCCCCCGCUUGCUGUUUUCUUCUCCUCCCAGUCCCCCAUGACCACCACCCUCCACUGCCACACCAAUCCCCUACCCAACAGACCCCUCACCCCUUCUUUUUUUUCACCCCCGAACCCAGCAUGAGUUAUUGGUUAAUACCAUUUUCUUAAUUGCCAAAUAAAAAAAAAAAACAGAGUUAACCCUCUGUUAAGCUAGCUGACUAGUGGGGCGAAAUGGAGGAAAAUCAAUAUGGAGACAGCGGAUCCGGUCCCGUGUAAGUGUAUCUGAUGGAAUAAAAGAAUGAUAUUAUUGGUGGUGGGUACGGUUAUGUGGAAGUAAUAAUGGGUAAGAGAAGAAACUUGUUCUCUUGUGAUAAUCAAAAGACAGAAAGUAGUGGGAAAAGACAGAAAGUAGUGGGACACUAUUUUAGAUAUGAUAAUGUUCCUUCCUUGAUUGAUGCAAAUGAAGAGAAAAGGGUGGCUUUAUAUAAUAGCCACUACCGACCUAACACAUUAAAAACACAACUAACACCAAACAUAGUUAAUUCAACUAACUUCUACCACACCAUUAAUUUAACACACAACUACUAACAAACUGCCAACUAUUUCAAAGUUACCAGCCGACUAUUAAUGAAGUCUAGAUUACUUUAACAUCCUCCCUUAAGCUAGACUUCAUUUACGCCAAUUAAUUUUCUCAUCUUGAUGAGCGGCUCUUUCUUCAACGGUUUGGUGAACAAAUCUGCCAGCUGAUCUUGGGACUUGCAAUACAGAACCUCAACUUCUUUAUCUUUGAUUAGCUCUCUGAUGAAAUGGAACUUGAUCUUGAUGUAACACCCCGACCCCAAAUUUUCCCAAAUUUUACCCUUAUUUAAUUAUUUAAUUAUUUAAGGGUAUUUUAGUCAUAUUUUUAACCGGAGAGAGUUUGGGACCGUGACUAGUAUUUUUGGAUAGGUCGAGCUGAGACGAGUUCAUAGACACGUAGUGGGCUCGAAUCGGAGUUGUAACGAGAGAGAUAUGGUCAAAAGAAGCCCAGUGGCACAAUCGUAAAUAUUUCGAAAUGGGAUUUUUUAUAAAAACUCAAAUUUUUCUCUCUCUCUCUCUCUCUCUCUCUCUCUCUCUCUCUCUCUCUCGCGACUCCUCUCUCUCUCUCCCGUCGGCCUCUCCUCUCUCUCUCUUCGUAACUCCGGCCACCGGCCGCGGCUGCGGACGGGGCCGGUGUCAAAAGAACCGGCUCGACCUCGGCAUCACGACCCAGCCCAUCCCCGCCAUCGGCCGCCGCUCCAGCCGCCGGAAAAUGGCGAUUUUCGCCCAGAUGUCGCCGGAACUUCAACGCCGUCGAUCUCCCUCCUCCGGCCACCAAUUCCGUCGACCCAGGUAUGGAUUUUGAACCUCUCGAGCUGCUCUAGCUGAUGGUUGGGUAGGAUUAGAUCGAUUCUUAGCGUAGAUCACUCGAUUUUCGAAUUGAAAAUCGGCCGAAACUUCGGCCGCCGUGAUCGGCCAUUUCCGGCCACUUUUUGGGGUAGGUCCAAGAACAAAAGUGGCUCCAAAUAGGGUGUUAUACCUAGGGUAGGAGUUUGGAGCCGUGGUUUUGAGAUUUUCCGGCGGAGCGUUAUCGCUUUGGGCACCCACGCGCUGCUGGCGCGUGCGGCGGAGCGUGGGCACUGUAUAAAAAGUAGCGAUGUAUUCCGAUGAGAUCCUUAGGUUGUCACGAGUGCGUAGGAUUUUGCGGAUCUCAAUUCGGACGUCGUUUGACUAUCGAACGAAUAAUCGCAUAGUGUGCGUUAUCCGGGUUCGAUAGGUUGGGACCGUUGGAUGGUCCCAAAUUUAAUAUAUGUUAAUCUAGGUAUUUCUAGGAUCGUGUAGGAAUUCACGGAUCGUGAAUCGGAACUCCGGAUGUUCCGAAUAAUAAUUUUAAGUUUAUAUUUUAUAUUAACCAUCAGAUCGUGCGAUCGUGAGCAAUCCGACCGUCCGAUCUGAACCAAACUUGCAGGACAAGUGUCCUACACCUGGUAGAACCCAUAGGGACUUCCGGAUCGGAAAUUGGAGGUCGUGGGUUCUGCAGGUCCGUUUGACCAGGGUUAGAGUAGUUUGACUCUUGGUUGACCGUGAGUCUCCCGGAGUAAUCUCACCCUUCCAGGGGGAAUUAUCGGGAGCUAGACUAUUGUGGAGGGUUACACAAUAUUAGAAUUAUUUAUAUAAAUUAUGUGGUUGUACAAGGGUACAACAGAGUCUAGAAUGUCAGUUUGGAGUGCUAUACGCACUACUCUAGGUACCUCCUCGGACUUUGGAAUUUCUACAAGUACCACCAAGUGAAAGUUAGGUCCCACGUGGCGUAGGUUAUCCGGCGUGUCGACAGACCCCAUACGUGGCGUUGGUUGUACCGGCGUAUGGGGAGAUUUGUGAUAUGAUAUUGAGGUCCCGCGUGGCGUAGGUUAUCCGGCGUUGGGACAGGCCCCAUACGUGGCGUUGGUUGUACCGGCGUAUGGGGAGAUAUUAUGAUAGUAUGGCAUGGUCGCACGUGGCGUAGGUUAUCCGGCGUGUCGACAGACCCCAUACGUGGCGUUGGUUGUACCGGCGUAUGGGGAGAUUUGUGAUAUGAUAUUGAGGUCCUGCGUGGCGUAGGUUAUCCUGCGUUGGGAUAGGCCCCAUACGUGGCGUUAGUUGUACCGGCGUAUGGGGAGAUAUUAUGAUAGUAUGGCAUGGUCGCACGUGGCGUAGGUUAUCCGGCGUGUUGACAGGCCCCAUACGUGGCGUUGGUUGUACCAGCGUAUGGGGAGAAUAUGUGAAAUACAGAGAAAUGAAAUAAGGUAUUGCCCAAGUGUGGAAUUGGGUUUUAGGGAAGAACUACUUAUGGCUUGAUCCCUCAAGGAGGGUACGUAGGCAGCCUAAGGUUAUUAGGUGCAGCCGCAGACUAAAUAUUAGUCAUAAAUUGUAAUUGAACUGUUUGGUAGUCGUUUGAGGAAGUAUUGAAAGGCCGAAGGCCAUUUGUGUGAAUUGCAUGAAAUUAUAUUGUGCAUGCUGCCAGUUGGGAAUAUUAAAUGCGUUUUUAUGCAGGUAUAAAUUUUGGGAAUGUCCAAUUUACAGGGGAGACUCUGCCAAAAUUUCGGCAGGAAGUCUCGGUUUUUAGUAAGUGGGCCUGGCAUCGGGGUGAUGUCAGGAAUUCCAAAGGGUUCGUCUCGGGUUUUGAGAAAAUUCGGGGCGGGUCCUUUCACUUGAUAUGCUUACUCUUGCUGUGAAACAUUGGAUUUUUGGAAAGACAAAUAGCUGAUUUGUUGUUGCAGAACAGCUUUGUAGGUCCUUCUUGAACUUGACCCAUCUCUUCUAAAAUACUUUUCAGCCACCUAGCUUGACAACCUGCUGAUGCAAGAGCAACAUACUCAGAUUCUGUAGUUGAAAGUGCCACUAUAGAUUGCUUUUUGGAGGACCAUGAAAUCGCACUUGAGCCAAUGCUAAAGACAUAACCAGAUGUGCUUUUGCAAGUAUCAACAUCUCCACCCAAGUCACUGUCACUGUAGCCAGUCAAAUUUAGAUUCUGAAUAGGAUAAUAAUGCAAACCAUAAUUGAUAGUUCCAACCACAUAUCUUAGGAUUCUCUUUCCAAGCUCCCAAUGAACAUCUUUUGGUGACUCCACUAAACGGCUGAGGAAGCUUACUGCAUAUGUAAGAUCUGGCCUUGUUGUAGUUAAAUACAAGAGGCCACCCACUAGACUUCGAAACAAAGUUUGAUUUACCAUUGUGCUUCCAUCAUUCUUACCUAUCUUAACACCAACCUCCAUUGGAGUAGCAAUUGACUUUGCAUUUUCCAACCUGAACCUUUUCAACAAUUCCUUUGCGUAUUUCUUUUGAGAAAUAUAGAUACCAUUCUCAUUUUGUUUGACUUCAAUUCCAAGAAAGAAAUGAAGCAAACCAAGGUCUGUCAUUUCAAAUCUUUGUGACAUAAUCAUCUUGAAAUUAUCACACAUUUGAGCAUUACUUCCAGUAAAUAUUAAGUCAUCCACAUAUAAGCAGACAAUCAAAAUCUCACCUUGAGAGUUCUUCUUGGUGUAAAGAGUAUGCUCAUAUGGGCAUUUGUGAAACCCAUACUCUUGGAAGAAUGCAUCAAUCCGACUGUACCAAGCUCUUGGAGCUUGUUUCAAACCAUAUAAAGCCUUCUUCAAUCUACACACUUUUGUUUCUUCAUUUCCCUGCACAUAACCUGGAGGUUGAGCAACAUACACUUCUUCUUCCAAAAAACCUUGCAAGAAUGCUGGUUUAACUUCCAUUUGAAAGACUUUCCAACAAUUUUGGGCAGCAAGAGCUAACACCAUUCGGAUGGUGUCAAAGCGUGCAACUGGAGCAAAAACUUCAUUGUAAUCAAUUCCAUAAUUUUGCUUGUAGCCUUUAGCUACCAAGCGAGCUUUGUAUUUCUCAACUUCUCCUUGAGCAUUCAGCUUGGUCUUAUACACCCAUUUUACUCCUAUAGGCUUCUUUCCUUGAGGAAGAUCAACCAGCUCCCAUGUGUCAUUUUUCUUAAUGGAAUCAAUUUCUUGAUCCAUAGCCUUCACCCAAUUUUCAUCCUUUGAAGCCUCUUCAAACAUAAUUGGGUCUGCAUCUACAAAUAGAGCAAAAUUUGUGCCACCAUUAGUGAUCAAAACAUAAUCACUAGAUGGGUACCUUGUGGAUGGUUGAUGAGCUCUUGUUGAUCUCCUUUGUCCUCUGCAAAUUUCUUCUUCCUCACUGCUAUCACUAGAAGAAGUUGAUGAUGACCCUUGUGAUGAAGAUUCCUAUGAUGAUAGAGUUGUUGGUGGAGUUAAAUCUGGAUUUUCAAGGCCAAUGUCCAACAGUAUUGGACUUUGAUUUUCAGCUUCACUCCAAUUCCAUGCUUCUUCUUCAUUGAACUUGACAUCACGACUAACAAUAAUCUUGUUAGUCAAUGGAUUAAACAACUUAUAUGCCUUGGCCUUUUCACUAUACCCAACAAGAAUGCACUUUUCUGAUUUGUCAUCCAAUUUUCUCCUUGUUUUAUCAGGAAUAUGAGAAUAAGCAAUGCUGCCAAAUAUCCUUAAGUGACUAAUACAUGGCUUGAGGCCACUCUAAGCUUCUUGAGGAGUCUUGCCUUCCACACUAUUGGACGAUGCACGGUUCAAGAGAUAUACAGCACAUGCCACUGCUUCUGCCCAAAAACGAUUAGGCAUUGCUUUUGCCUUCAACAUGCUUCUUGCCAAUUCCAUAACGGUCCUAUUUUUUCUCUCGGCCACACCAUUUUGCUGUGGGGUGUACCGAGCUGUGAACUGAUGCUUAAUCCCAUUUUCUUUUAGAAAAUUUUCGAACACAUUGGAUGAGAAUUCUCCACCUUGAUCAGACCGCAAGGUUUUCAAUGCAAAUCCACUUUGCUUCUCAGCCAAAGCUUUGAAAACUUUAAAGUAAUCAAACACCUCUGAUUUAUAUUUGAGAAAAUAGACCCAUGUCUUUCUGCUAUAAUCAUCAAUGAAUGUAAGAAAGUAGCGGUUACCUCCUGUUGAUGUUGUGUUCAUGGGCCCGCAUACAUCUGAGUGCACCAGCUCAAGAGGAUGGGAUGCUCUCCAAGAAUUUCCUGUAAGAAACGAAUUUCUCUGAUGUUUUCCCAGCACACAUGCUUCACAAACUUGUGUUUGAUGCUGUAUCGUUGGUAGGCCUCGUACCAUAUGUUGUUUCCCCAUCAAUGAUAGUGUAUUGAAACUCAAAUGCCCAUAGCGUAGAAGCCACAACCAUGAGGAAUCCUUGAUAAGUGCACUUAAGCAAGCAAAAGAUUCAUACUUUAUGUUCAGAGAAAACAUAUUGUCUCCUGACAUCUGCACCUUUGUAAUUAGAGAGUUGUACUUGUCUCUAAUUACACACUGGUCUUCCCUGAACUGAAUAUUAUGGCCUUUAUGAAGAAGUUGCCCCACACUAAGGAGAUUGUAAUUUAAAUCUGGAACAUAUAACACAUCAGAGAUUCUUUUUUGUUCUCCAGACUUGGAUAGAAAAAGAAUAUCUCCACAUCCUUUGGCCACUAGCUUUCCACCAUCACCAAUCCUUACUUCUGAGUUGUUGGUAUGCUUGAAAUUGACAAAGGCACUUUUGUUGCCUGUCAUGUGAUUACUACAUCCGCUAUCAAGAUACCAUUUUUCUGCACACACGUUUCCUUCCCUGGCAGCUGCAUAUGCAAGUAGAACCACAUUAUCAUUUUCCCUUUCAGAAGCUUUUUCAUGCACAAAGCUUGAUUCGGCUCCUCCAUUUGUUUUGUUUUUGCAUGUUGACUUGAUGUGCCCAUAUUGCUUGCAAUUGUAGCACUGAAUAUUAGAAAGAGAGGAACCUUGUUCUCUUCCUCUUCCUCUUGAAUAACCACCAUAAUCUCCUCUUCCUCUUGGAUAACCAUAAUCUCCUCUUCUUCUUGAAUAACCAUAAUCUCGUGCAGAGCCUUCAUCAUUAGUUUUUUUUAGGUCAUUUGCAUAGCCACGUCCUUGAUUAUUUCUUCCUCGUCCACGAGUAAAGCCGCCUCUUCCUCUUCUAGAACUUCCUCUGAAUGAGACUUGAGAUUGAAAAGCUUGCUCAACAGGGCCAGAGUCAAACUGCUUCAGUCGUAACUCAUGGGAUUGAAGAGAACCCAUUAAACUGUCAAGAGACAAAGUAGACAGAUCUUUGGAUUCUUCAAUUGCCACCACAAUAUAUUCAAACUUUCGGGGACAUACUUCGAAGAAUUUUUUCAGCAACUCUCUGAUCUUCAAUUUUUUCUCCAUUAAUUCUCAGUUGGUUGACUAGAGAAAUGACACGAUUGAAAUAGUCUUCAACAGAUUCUGACUCCUUCAUACGUAACAUAUCAAACUCACCUCUUAGAGUUUGCAGUCUUGCCAUCUUCACUUUAUCUUCUCCUUUAUAUGAUGCAAAGAGAGUGUCCCACGCCUGUUUUGAUGUAAUGCAUGAUGAGAUUCUUUCAAAGAUAGCUUCAUCCACUGCUUGAAAGAUAAAGAAUAAAGCUUUUUUGUCCUUCUUACGUGUCUCCUUCAGCUCUGUGAGUUGUUGUUGAGUGAGGACUGCUUGAUCAUUUGGCUCCACAAAGCCAUUUUCAACCACCUCCCACAAAUCUUGAGCAGCAUACAACACCUUCAUUUGGAUGCUCCAUUGACUAUAAUUCUUCCCUGUAAACUUUGGAAGCUGGGGCUGUAACAAGUUGUUGUUUGAAGCCAUAUGAUUCUGAGUUUCCAGCUCUGAUACCACUUUGAUGGAAUAAAAGAAUGAUAUUAUUGGUGGUGGGUACGGUUAUGUGGAAGUAAUAAUGGGUAAGAGAAGAAACUUGUUCUCUUGUGAUAAUCAAAAGACAGAAAGUAGUGGGACACUAUUUUAGAUAUGAUAAUGUUCCUUCCUUGAUUGAUGCAAAUGAAGAGAAAAGGGUGGCUUUAUAUAAUAGCCACUACCGACCUAACACAUUAAAAACACAACUAACACCAAACAUAGUUAAUUCAACUAACUUCUACCACACCAUUAAUUUAACACACAACUACUAACAAACUGCCAACUAUUUCAAAGUUACCAGCUGACUAUUAAUGAAGUCUAGAUUACUUUAACAGUAUCGAAUCUAGCUUUAAUAUGUAUUGGGUCCUCUGGACAAGAAUUCUAUCCUUUUCGUCCUAACUAAUAUGUAGGGGAAAAACAAUACAUCAAUUAUCCUUUUCGUCCUAACUAAUAUGUAGGGGAAAAACAAUACAUCAAUUAUGAAUUUUUUUUAUCUGGGUUCGAAAUUAAAUAUGAAUGGAGUUUUGGAGGCUUAAAAGUUAUAAGCUCAAGAAAGGAAGGAAACUAUAUGUACAUUUGGGUCGGAGGCAAAGGUCCAGUCAUCUACCGUCCAGGAUAUACAGUAUCAAAAAAGGCUUAAGAAUUGUAAUAAGGUGACAUACGCCCACAUACGGCCAACGCUAGCAUAUUUCGUAAGUGUAUUAUAUGUCUUCUAAGUAUAUCAUAGUUAUGUGUCAAUUUUAGAUCCAAUUGCACACCCAAAAUACAGAAACAAAAUCAUUGAGAAUACACUUUUUUUCACUUAUAUUUUGAAUAUGCAUUGCCUGUAUUUCAUGUGUAUGAUAUAGGGGCUUCACUUAUAGUUUUUGCACAAAACCUCCCUUGAUGAAGGAUGUCUUAGAUUAAUGACAUCAAUGAUUUGUUACAUUUGGAGUACCCAACAUAACAGCUCUCUGAUUAACAAUAAAGUUAUAAAAUUUCAACAGUUUCAUACCUAACAAGCAUAGAGAAACAAAUAAAACAACCACAUUGCUUCGAUCACUGUACAUGCACACAGCUCACUUUCACUAACUACAGAGGCUAUAUUUUCUACAUAUACACUAACUUUUUCUUUCUCCAGCUCUCUUACACCACCAGGCUGGUGACAAACCCAGCUCGCGUCAUGUGGAGGACCAAAAGGAAAUGACAAGGAGAAAACGGCUAAGGAGAGACUUACUCUCAACACUUAGAAGGCAGAGCAGAGAUAACAGAGCACACUGCUUGUAUAAAAGUGAGUAUGAGGAGAAAAAUAGCGGUAGCAAUUGAAAUAGUUGCCCAAGGUGUGUUGCAAUAGUUUUGUCUCAAGUUUGCCUGCCAUUUGUGCCAAGACGUUCUGCAGUACUUGUUGAGGUCUGCACAAAGAAUAGCAAAAUAGAAGUCAUUAGAGUCCACAAUGACCCCAUCUGCAAGGUUGUUGAUCAGAGUAGACCCUCCACUACUGUCACCGAGCAUAUUUUCGACGAUUCCUUGCUUAACAACCAACUCCACAUCCGUUGCGGUGUUCACAAAGCGAUCCACGAUGACAACAUAAUUGUUUAUGUAAUUCUCCAUGCAAUGGCAUUGUUCAAAGGCAAGGAGGUUUCUGAUUGUAAGCUCUGUCUCAUCACUUAUUGCUAAUUUUGGAAUUUCUAGAAUCCCAUUAGCGAAUUGUAUGUCGAAUAAGUUUUUGGGUGAUCCCACCUUAAACUUGACUCCUGCUCUGUGUAACUCUGUGAUGCUGGAUGUGUUUAAGAGUUUCAAGUCGCCCCUUAGCAGGUGGUUUCAAUGGUAGAGGUAGAUACAAAUUUCUACAAAAAUCUACAAAGUGUUCUACUUUAGAAGUACAUAAUUUCUCCAUAUUGCCAUCCGUUCCCUCUAUGUGCAUUAGAGUUUUGAAGAAAUUGUGGCAAAGGUUAAGCAUCGAAAGCCUCUCAAUAUUGUUAUUGUUAGAAGAGACUUUGAUUUUUUCGGGGUCAAAAAGUUCCUCAAGAAUGAAGAAUGGCAGCUGAUUUUCAAACAACCGCAUGUCAGGCCAUACGUCUGGCAACAGCCAUGGUUUGUUAAAUAUGCGGUCAAUUUCAUCCUGCAAUUCAUCGAAACGAUACCUCAACAAGACCUCAAUGAUGAAGGCGGCAUCCACUAGAAUGAUUCUCACAAAUUCAUCACUGCUAACCUGAAUGGUUUCUGCAUAACAACUGCGCAGUUUUGCUUCUUGGUCUUUUACUUUCUGUACAUAAUCGGCUAGGCUUACCCUGGUCCGACGUAUAUAAUCUUGUAAGUACCUCUUUUUGUGAUCUUCCAUGGCUUUUAGGCCUUCCUCGCCAUGAUGAAGUGGGCCUAUAGAGACUACCUGAGGUGUGUAGGCCUUUUCACUCACACGCCGUAGUCGUUCAGGAACUCUAUAAAUGCAACACAAGGAGGAGAGGGAAGACAAGCCAUCCAACUCCUCACUCAUUGAAGUUACUAAUGGAAUGCAAGGGUUUUCAAUAUCAUGUGGAGCUUGAUCGCUUCCUUCCAUUUUCCGCUGAUGUGUUUGUUGUUGUCAAUCAUAAUGGAUGAUAAUGAAAUGAUAGUCACUGACACAACAAUAAACAAAUUUUUCAAGAUGGCUGAGAAAAUUAAUACAAACAUUGCAAUUAUAAGACCAAACACACAAAGACUUUUGAUCCUUGUAACUCUUACAUACCACACUAGUGCCUUAAGAAUUCGAUUUGAAUGCACCAAAUUCAUUCAAAACUCUUCUGGUCAACUCUGUUUCUUGUAAUUAUUCUUGGAAGAUUCUAAUACAUUUUUGAUUGAAAAAUUCCUACUAAUCAUGUGAAUCAGUACCAAAGUUUAUUUCAAAUUAACAUACAAACCCCACUUUUUUUUUCCUACAUAUAUACUUCUUUAUUUCCCCUCAACUUAUUGGAGCUUCUAAUAAAGCAAAUUCUUUCUGUGAUGAUAUCAGAUAGUAGAUUAUGCUUCCAGUCAAAACAUAGACAAACCAAAAUCCCAUUAGAAGAGAAGAAAAUAAUAUACGACAUUCACAUAACCUUCUGCUCAAUUCCAAUUUCCAACUACAAUGAAACAUAAGACACUUAAAAGCUUCAAGAAAUUGGAUGUGCAAGCAAACAUAGCGAAAUUAUGAAAGACAGAGAAAGGUGUUGGGCAUUGAAAACAUACCUGAUACGUAUUGAAACACAAUUUUUUUUUGCCUUUGGUAGAUGGAGUAGCUAGAAAAGCUCAAUGCACUUGCUCUUCUGCUACAUUUCAAUAUAAGAACAUUGUUUGGAAGUCCGGUCAAUUCCUCAAAGCUUCCUUGCCUUUGUUUUGACAUGCCGAUGCCCGUCUUGGGGAAGUUUGAAUAAUCCAUUGCAGGCCCCAUGAUAGGAUUUUUAGUACUUGUGCAAACAGUGUUAAAAAUCACAUAAAAUACUUGCAAGAAUACAAGGCUAUUGUAGUAUAGAUGCUCAUGCAAGGUCGUUUUCCUCAAGGACUAAUUAGCAAUUUAUGUAAAAACAAAUUCCAAUUACUACUUAAAAUAAAAAGUCAAGAAAGAUGAUUAUAAAUUUGGUGGAUUCUAAAAAACAAAUAUUAAACAAAAACAAAUACGAUUGAAAGAAAGAGUUUUGAAUAUCAAUUUAUAAAAACACUAGGGUUUCACCAUCACCUAGCAAUCCUAUGAACUUUUACCAAUUACUUAUGAUUUGCACAUGCCACUUUGAAGGUUAGGUUUUCCUAAUGUAUAUUCUACUUGGAACCUCCAACACAGAACGUAUAUCCAACAUGCAACCCGUCCGGACGUUCGGAUCAAAUCUGAACAUGAAAGACUCAUUAAGUUUUGUGAAAACCCUUUGAAAAACCAUGCAACCCUUAAGACGUGGUGUUCAUCUUAAGUGAAAUUACAAUUAUUAAUCACAAGAAGCUAGCAUAAAUUUCAGGGAACCUUCCGACCAAAAUUGCAUCCAAUUACUUUUCUAAAGAUCCUAAUGGUGAUCAGGCAUUAAGACAAUUAGAUAGUUUAAAAUAGUGAUUAACAAUUCAAAAUACGCAUGCACUCAUCAUAAGCAAUUAAAUAAAAAUCACAUAUUCAUGCUAAGGUUCAAGGCUUCACCCUAGCAAAAGAAAUUUAGUUACGCAUACUCAUAAUUGAAAUCCAAGAAAAUAUCAUUAAGAAGAAAAGAACGAAAACACCUGAAAGUUGUGAAAACCCAAAACCCUAGCAAUUGCUCUCUACAAUGCAAAGUUCAAAAAUAAUUAAGAAGUCCUAAAUUCCUUGUGAGAAAGAGCUUAAAUAUCCCUUAAAACCUAGCUGCCAAUGUACAGCUUUUCUAUCCCUACAAGGAAACUAAUUAAAGUAAAAUAAUACUAGGAAAUAAAGUCCAAAUUGGAAUAGGAGAAUUUGCCCAAAAUCAGCCCAGCCACGUUUUGGCCCCAAAUCUCCUCCAAAUCUGGCCCAAGAUAGCUUUUUUUAAAGACACUACUACAAAAAGUGAAAAAGACGACCAGAAAACAACGACGGUCUAAGUGAAAACCGUCGUGGUUUUUAAAAAGACGACGGUUCUAAAAACACCGUCGUGUAAUACCACCUUAGACAACUAAAAAAUGGAGAUUCAAAUGGCUGUUCAAAAACAACGACGUACCUAAUUAAACAACCGACGUCUAUUUGAAACAGAUUUCCGCAGUGUAAAAUCAAAGCAAACAAAGAACGGCAGAAGUUAUGAAUAGACCGACGUAGAAAGUAAAGACGACGAUUUCAAUAAAAGCCGCCGUUUUUACUCAUAAAAUAACACGACGAGGUUUUCGUAUAAGACGCCGUAUAAUUACAAACAAAUCCACGGCUUUAAAAUACAAAAUAAUCUUAACAGAUGACACAGAUUUGCAAUCAGAGAGACAAUUUUUUGGAAGUUGAUCAACGUCGUUGAAAAUUUGCAAUCAGAGAGACAAUUUUCAACGACGGUUAUAUUAUACCUAACGACGUUUAAAAACAAAUCAACGUCGCUCAACAAAUAUAUUACGUCGUCUUAGUCUUACUUAAGACGACGAAAAACGACGACAGUAGUAAAAAAACAGUCGUUGUUUUUAUAUUCUUAUUUUAUUUAAAUCUGUCGUGUUAGUUAAAAACGACGGCAUAACAAAAAACCGUCGUUUUGUUUCAAACUGAAUUAAUUUAAAAUUUCUUCAGGAAAGCAAAAUCUAUUUAUAAUUUCCUCGGGUUAGUAAUAUUGUGUCGUGUUAGUUUACAAAUUCUAGAACAUUAAUUUCCCUCAUUUUAAAUUUUCUCGGGAAAGAAAAAUCUAUUUAUCACGCUUUGUAAUUGAAAACUAAAACUGAAAGAAUUCUGGAAAAAAAACUCUAUUUAUAAUUUAAAAAUAAAAUGCACGUCGGUUGUAGUACACUUAACGACGUUUAACAAAAUAAUCUACGUCGGUAAUUAUAAAUCUACCGCCAUCUUACCCUAAUAUAGACGACGAGAAAAGACGACGGUAGAACAGAAAACCGCCGUUGUUUCAGUUUCUUUAACAGUUUGGUCCUUUAUCUUUCUGCAGGACUUGUAUAGUUCAAAGCAUUGACAAUGUCUUCAUCAUAUCUCCCAGCAACUACUGAUUCGAUUGCUCAUGCUUUAGAGGCCAUCUGAAGCCAUUUCUAUUCUUUAUCGCAUUCUUGAAACCCAUCUUCUUCUUCUGAAGCUCUACGGAUAAAGGAANNNNNNNNNNNNNNNNNNNNNNNNNNNNNNNNNNNNNNNNNNNNNNNNNNNNNNNNNNNNNNNNNNNNNNNNNNNNNNNNNNNNNNNNNNNNNNNNNNNNNNNNNNNNNNNNNNNNNNNNNNNNNNNNNNNNNNNNNNNNNNNNNNNNNNNNNNNNNNNUUUUUUUUGGGGUUGGUUUUUUAUAGUAACCAGUUAUAACAGUAGUGGUUGUGCAAUGUUUGGUUCCCUUAAGCUUCGAUCCAACCGUGUAGCCAGCUUUAGGUCAAUGUCUCCCAAACCACUCGGGUUUUAGGGCACUAGGUGUAGAACACCCCUAAGGACUUAUUAACUCAAGCUGAAAAGGCUACGAAACCAACUAACCACCCUGCCUCAUGCCAAAACUCUACCUUUUGUCUCGAAAAUCACUGCUGAUUAGGCAGGACUGGCCCGGUUACUAGCAAAGCUUCGGGUGAGGCAAUUAUUACUUUAUAACACAUACUAACUUUAUUUAAAUUGAACAGAAAUUAAAACACACUUGGACAAAAAGUAAGUAUUCCAAUCUCACUCCCCAAAAACCAUAUUGGUGUGAUGUGCAAAUUUCAAAGUAUAAUUCAUGAAUUAGUGUCUAAGCAACAAUAAAUAGAAAAGACUCUACUGUGGGAUUGAUUUUCACUAUGUCCAUUUAUUCUAACGUUUAAAAUAAUCUAUGGAUAUUGACUGAAAAACGAAAAUUUUAAACAAGACUUAAAAAAAACUAAAAAUCUAAAAUUUACUUUCCCACCCCCUAACUUAAAUCACACAUUGUCCUCAAGGUGUGGUAAAUAAUCAAAAGAAACAAGAGCAGAAACAAAACGACUAAAUCCUAGAAAAUGAAAAUCAAAAAUAAAGAAAAUACUCUAAGAAAAGAAACUAGGAAGGAAAAAUAGAAGAAUAAUAAAAUAAAAUAAAAUAAGAAAGAAAAGGAGAAAAACAACAAUAGAAAAGAAAUAGGAAAGAAAAUACCCAAAAAUGAGACACCUUGGGGAUUCAAAGGCAGGACCAGGCGGAGUGUUGCGAAAAAGCGCUGACCAACUCAACCACGUCCACACUGGCAUCAAAUAGGAGCGACAGCUACAAUAUAACCUGCUGUAGCUGCUGCAUCUGUCAUUUGAAAAAUAUUGGAUUCCCUUCUCCUACCCCGAGCUCAGAGCCGAAAGGCUCUCUUCUGUCCAUUCCCAUUUUGCAGAAGAAAAAAGAAUAUUGCUGGAUAAACCAAAGCCUCCGCUGUGUCCAGAGAAUCAGAAAAGGUCUCUGAUUUCUCUCUUCUCAAGGCCAUCCAUCUCCGCCUUCACUCUUCUUCAUUCUCUCCAACACUCACGAUCCUUUCCUCUCUUUCAACCCAAUUACACCAGCGUUUUCAUCUGCGUGAGGAGGCCACAUUUGCAGCAAACACAACCAGUGAGGUUGAAUUAUCUGAUGCACCUGAAUUUUUGGAUGGUUUUGGAGUCCCUAGAUUCCUCAAAUUCAGAUCUGUCUCCAUCCAUGUCACCAGAUGCUAACUUGUUCCAAGAUGAAAACAAGCUGAAGCCGAACAAGAGUCUAUUCUCCACCAGUAAGGACCCCAGAUCUGUGCAUCCCGUAGGUAAACUUUCGAACCCCAGAACUGGUUUUUUUUUUUUUUUUUUUCCGUUUUUUUUUUGUUUUGAAAAUAAAAGAAGUAAAGAGUUUAGAAAAAUUGGGUUGCCUCCCAAUAAGCGCGCUAUUUUAAGUCUGUAGCUAGACUUUGCAGAAGCCUGGUGGUCAAAUCACUGGUUCCUUCAGAGUCAAAGACUCGGCUGCAAUGUCAAAGGGUGUCUCCACGUAGGGUUUUAGCCUAUGACCAUUCACCUUGAACGUGUUGCCUUUAUCUUCAUUAGUGAUUUGAACUGCUCCAUGAGGAAAAACUUGAGUCACUAGGUAGGGUCCAGUCCAGCGAGAUUUUAAUUUCCCUGGAAACAACUUGAGCCUUGAACUAAAUAACAGAACCUUUUGCCCUGGCUGAAAUUCCUUCCGUAAAAUUUGACUGUCAUGAAAUGCCUUAGUUCUUUCCUUGUAGAUGCGAGAACUAUCAUAAGCACCUUGACGAAUUUCCUCUAGCUCAUUUAACUGCAAUUUCCGCUUUUCCCCAGCUGAGUCAUAUGCAAAAUUUAACUCUUUAAUGGCCCAGUAAGCUUUAUGCUCCAGCUCCAUAGGUAGAUGACAGGCUUUCCCAUAAACAAGUCGGAAUGGUGACAUCCCAAUAGGAGUUUUAUAAGCUGUCCUGUAUGCCCACAAAGCAUCAUUUAGUUUGAAACUCCAAUCCUUGCGUGUAGAGCUCACUGUUUUCUCCAAAAUACGCUUUAUUUCUCUGUUUGAAACUUCAACUUGACCAGAUGUCUGUGGGUGGUAUGGUGUAGCCACGCGAUGAUUAAUCCCGUAUUUUGCCAGUAGGUUAGCAAAUGGUUUAUUAAUAAAAUGCUUCCCCCCAUCACUAAGAAUAACACGCGGUAUUCCAAAACGUGGAAAUAUAACCCCCUGGAGGAACUUCAGGACCACUGAUCCUUGAUUAGUUGGUGCUGCAAUGGCCUCGACCCAUUUUGAAACAUAUUCCACAGCCACUAAAAUAUAUUGGUGCCCAUUAGAAGAUGGGAAUGGCCCCAUGAAAUCAAUACCCCAAACAUCAAAUAGUUCAACAAUUAGGAUACUUUGUUGGGGCAUUUCAUUCCUUCUGGAUUGAUUGCCGACCCUUUGACACCGAUCACAUGCCUUGCACCAAUUCUGUGAAUCUCUAAAAAGUGUUGGCCAAAAUAACCCACUCUGUAGGAUUUUCUCUGCUGUCCUUUUCUGCGCAAAAUGUCCUCCUCAAGCAUAGUGAUGAGCAAACUUUAAAACACUUUCUUGUUCAGCCUCCGGAAUACACCUGCGAAUAAUCUGGUCUGCACAAUACUUGUAUAAGUACGGUUCAUCCCAGAAAUAGUGCUUUACAUCAGAUAAAAACUUCUUUUUCUGCUGGUAGGAAAAAUCUGGAUGCACCACACCCUUAGCCAAAUAAUUGACAAUAUCUGCAAACCAAGGUGUGUCAAUUUUGACAGCAAAUAGCUGUUCAUCUGGGAAACUUUCACUCAAUGGUAGAGAAUCUGCCUCUGUAGCUGCUGGAAUAAUUAAUCUAGAUAAAUGAUCAGCCACAACAUUCUCACUGCCCUUCUUGUCUUUAAUCUCUAAGUCAAAUUCUUGAAGUAAGAGAACCCAACGAAUCAAUCUAGGCUUUGCAUCCUUCUUAGACAACAAGUAUUUUAGUGCAGCAUGAUCUGUAUAGACAAUUAUUUUAGCCCCAACCAAAUAAGACCGAAAUUUCUCUAGUGCGAACACAACUGCCAACAAUUCCUUCUCUGUAGUUGCAUAGUUAAGCUGUGCAUCAUUUAGAGUACGACUUGCAUAAUAGAUGACAUGGGGAAGCUUAUCUUUUCGCUGCCCUAAAACUGCCCCGACAGCAUAAUCUGACGCAUCACACAUUAGUUCAAAUGGUAAAUCCCAAUUUGGUGCAGCAAUGAUGGGUGCCGAAGUUAGGAGUGCUUUCAACUUGUUGAAUGCUUCUAAACAGGCCUUAUCAAAAUUAAAUGGUGCAUCCUUAGCCAAUAAAGUGCACAAAGGUCGACUAAUCUUGGAGAAAUCCUUGAUGAACCGACGAUAAAAACCUGCGUGUCCUAAGAAGGACCUCACACCUUUUACUGAUGUAGGAGGUGGCAGCUUUGCAAUAACUUCAAUCUUUGCCUUGUCAACCUCGAUGCCUUUGCUAGAAAUUGAAUGACCCAAGACAAUUCCCUGUUCAACCAUGAAAUGCCACUUUUCCCAGUUUAGCACUAAAUUUGUCGCUUGACAUCUCUGAAGAACUAAUGAUAAAUUCUGUAAGCAUUGAUCAUAUGAAUCCCCAAAAACAGAAAAAUCAUCCAUAAAAACUUCCACAAUAUUUUCGACCAAGCCAGAAAAAAUACUCAUCAUACAACGUUGAAACGUAGCAGGUGCAUCGCAUAAUCCGAAUGGCAUCCUCCGAUAAGCGUAAGUACCAAAUGGACAAGUGAAAGUAGUCUUCUCUUGAUCCUCUGGUGCUAUUGGAAUCUGAUUAUACCCAGAAUACCCAUCAAGAAAACAGUAAAAAGCCCGCCCAACCAACCUUUCUAACAUCUGGUCAAUAAAAGGCAAUGGAAAAUGGUCUUUUCUCGUCCCUGUGUUAAGCUUCCGAUAAUCUACACACAUUCUCCAACCCGUAGUCAAUCGUGUAGGAACUAACUCAUUAUUAUCAUUUUUCACCACUGUAAUACCGGUCCGUUUAGGCACAACUUGAGUCGGGCUAACCCAUUUACUGUCAGAAAUAGGAUAAAUCAUACCUGCAUCAAGUAAUUUCAUAACCUCUGUUCUAACCACCUCUUUCAUAAUUGGGUUAAGGCGGCGUUGAGCAUCAACUGUUAGCUUUACGUCGUCUUCCAUUAAUAUUCUGUGCAUACAUAGUGCUGGGCUGAUUCCCUUGAUAUCCGCAAUUGUCCAUCCCAAUGCAUCUUGAUAUUUUCUCAAUACACGAAGCAAUUUAUCCUCCUCUGUCGGUGUUAAAUCUGCUGCAAUUAUAACUGGCAACGUCUCUGCAGCUCCUAAAUAUGCAUAUUUAAGAUGUUGUGGUAAAGGCUUCAGCUCCAAUUUUGGCGGCUGCUGUCUGGAUGGUUUAAGGGGCUGUUUGGGCUCCCCUAAACUCUCAUACACAUUCCUAAAUUUUGGCAACACUGUGGGCAGACUGUUCAAUGCGUGUAUGUACUCAUGAACACCUUCAUCUUCAAAAUCUGUCUCAAAUGCCCCCUGUAAAACAUGCAACAACUGAUCUGUUUUUGAAUUAGCAUAAAAUCUGUCCUGCACCAUACUGUCUACCAUGUCAAUACGCAUACAAUCUAGCUGUUCAGCAGGACGUUUUGUUGCCGCAAACAAAUUAAACACCACAGAUUGGUCCUGAACCCGUAAAGUCAAUGUUCCAGCUUCCACAUCAAUUAAGGUCCUAGCUGUUGCCAUAAACGGCCUCCCCAAAAUAAUAGGUGUUUGAAGGUCUUCAUCCAUGUCUAAAACCACAAAAUCUGCCGGUAGAUAAAGAUUAUCAACCUUAAUAAUUAGAUCUUCAAUAACACCUCUUGGAUAAGUGAUUGAACGGUCAGCUAGUUGAAGUAUAAUUGAUAUAGGCUUUAAAUCUCCUUGCCCCAAUCGCUGAAAAACAGAAAAAGGCAUCAAAUUAAUACUUGCACCCAAAUCAAUUAAAGCACUCUUAAAAUUAGAAUUUCCAAUAGUGCAAGAAAUAUUAAAACUCCCUGGAUCUUUUUUCUUAGGUGGUAGUUUGUGUAGCAAAACUGCAUUGCACUGUUCUGUCAAAAUAACUUUUUCCAAAUCUGAAAGCUUCUUUUUGCUGCUGCAAACUUCCUUCAAAAAUUUGGCAUAUGAUGGAAUUUUCUUGAUUGCAUCCAGUAAGGGAAUGUUGAUUUGAACCUUGGAUAAUGUCUGCAUAAAGUCCUUGAGUUGCUGAUCUUUUACUUUUGGCUUCAAACGUUCUGGAUAUGGAAUUGGGGCCUCAUAAACACGCUCAGGUACUUGUUUUGGAACAGUUUCUAGAUCUGCCAUAUUAUGUUUUUCUACAGGUUUGGCAGGUUCUGCUGCUGCAAAAUUUUCUGUAUGAUCCUCCACUGCAUGCUGCUCCUUUUCAAUGUUAUUUUCACGAUUGUCAUAGCUUUUUCCACAUCGUAAAGUCCGAACAACUUUGCAAUCUUCACGUCCAUUUGGAUUAGGAAUUGUUUGACUAGGAAAUUUGCCCUUUUAUCUGUCUGAAAUCUGUGUAGCUAGUUGUCCAAAUUGUUGCUCCAAACUUUUAAUAGAUGCUUCAACAUUUUGAAAUCUUUGAUUGUUGCCCUCGAUGAAUGAUUGAGUUGUUGCUGCCAGUUUAGCAAGUUGAUCUUCCAUAGAUGGUUUGGAGGGAACAAAAGGUUUUUGUGCAUGCUGGAAUGGUUUGGCAUUAGUCUGAUUGUCACCCCAUUUGAAAUUAGGGUGAUCCCUCCAUCCAGGAUUGUAAUGAGUUGCAUAUGCAUCAUUCCUAGGCCUUUGAUAGCUGUUCAUCAUAUUGACAUGUUGUUCAACAAGCUCUGGGUAAGAGUCUCUAUGUGGGCAGCCCAUUAUGUCAUGUGUAGCCAUACUGCAUAUAGUGCAAACUGUUGAUGUAGGUGGCUGCUGUGUAGAACUUGCUAUAUGUUGUAGAAGCAUAUCAAACUUUGCAUCAAUUUUCUUAUCCAUUUUUUCCAUUUGUGCAGACAUGUUGGGAGAACCUACUGAUAACUCAAAAAUGCCCCUUUUCUGUGAAUGUUCUGCUGCCCAUUGCUGAGAUUCUGUAGCCAUCAUAUCAAACAGUUCAAAUGCCUCUCUUGCAGAUUUAUUUGAUAAUGAUCCUCCAGCUGAUGCAUUCACAUGGCUCUUAGAUGUAGGAUUAAGCCCAUCAAAGAAAAUAUUCAUUUGUGUAUCUGAAUCAAUUUUAACAUGUGGACACUUUAUGUACAUCUUUGUAUAUCUCUCCCACGCUUCAUGAAACUCUUCAUUAGGCUUCUGUGUGAAUGUCAAAAUCUCCCUCUUGUAAUUCAAUGUCUUGGAUGCUGGAUAAUAUUUGUUCAGGAAUUUUGUGUGUAACUGCUGCCAAGUAGUAAUGCUAUUAGCUGGUAGAGUGAAUAACCAAGUUUCUGCCUUGUCCUUCAAAGUGAAAGGGAAAAGACGUAACUUAAUAGCCUCAGCAGAAAAACCCCUAAUCAAAAUAUUCUUGCAACCCACAAUAAAUUUUGCAAUAUGUAUGUUUGCAUCUUCAUUAGGCAAUCCCCGAAAAGUAGGUAGAAUUUCAAGCAUAUGGUGCCUGAUCUCGAACGAAUCACCCUCUUCUUGUUCAGGAUACACAAUGCAAUUGGGAACAUCAGUGGCACGGGCUUCCAAUGACUCCCUGAGUGGUCUACCUGCCGCAGGUAAUUCUAACGCCAUGUUACUCUCGUUUGCAAACAGAUCCUGCAGAAAAGUGCCCUGCAGUGAACAGUCCCAAGCCCAAGUAACUUCUCUCCGCUGUCUAUGCAGUGUGCGCUCUGGUUCUGGAUCAAAUUGUACAAUCUGUGUAGUUCCUGAUCUGGUCUGGACCAUGCAGUCUGCAAAAUCUGCAACAGAAACAAAAUUGUUCAAUUUCAAUUUUUUUUUUUGGACGAAAAUUAAAAAUAAAAUAAAAUGAAAUAAAUCAGAAAAAGGUUAAACAAAAAUUGUCUAAAAUAGUCCCCAGCAACGGCGCCAAUUUCUUGAUAGGAUUUUUAGUACUUGUGCAAACAGUGUUAAAAAUCACAUAAAAUACUUGCAAGAAUACAAGGCUAUUGUAGUAUAGAUGCUCAUGCAAGGUCGUUUUCCUCAAGGACUAAUUAGCAAUUUAUGUAAAAACAAAUUUCAAUUACUACUUAAAAUAAAAAGUCAAGAAAGAUGAUUAUAAAUUUGGUGGAUUCUAAAAAACAAAUAUUAAACAAAAACAAAUACGAUUGAAAGAAAGAGUUUUGAAUAUCAAUUUAUAAAACCACUAGGGUUUCACCAUCACCUAGCAAUCCUAUGAACUUUUACCAAUUACUUAUGAUUUGCACAUGCCACUUUGAAGGUUAGGUUUUCCUAUUGUAUAUUCUACUUGGAACCUCCAACACAGAACGUAUAUCCAACAUGCAACCCGUCCGGACGUUCGGAUCAAAUCUGAACAUGAAAGACUCAUUAAGUUUUGUGAAAACCCUUUGAAAAACCAUGCAACCCUUAAGACGUGGUGUUCAUCUUAAGUGAAAUUACAAUUAUUAAUCACAAGAAGCUAGCAUAAAUUUCAGGGAACCUUCCGACCAAAAUUGCAUCCAAUUACUUUUCUAAAGAUCCUAAUGGUGAUCAGGCAUUAAGACAAUUAGAUAGUUUAAAAUAGUGAUUAACAAUUCAAAAUACGCAUGCACUCAUCAUAAGCAAUUAAAUAAAAAUCACAUAUUCAUGCUAAGGUUCAAGGCUUCACCCUAGCAAAAGAAAUUUAGUUACGCAUACUCAUAAUUGAAAUCCAAGAAAAUAUCAUUAAGAAGAAAAGAACGAAAACACCUGAAAGUUGUGAAAACCCAAAACCCUAGCAAUUGCUCUCUACAAUGCAAAGUUCAAAAAUAAUUAAGAAGUCCUAAAUUCCUUGUGAGAAAGAGCUUAAAUAUCCCUUAAAACCUAGCUGCCAAUGUACAGCUUUUCUAUCCCUACAAGGAAACUAAUUAAAGUAAAAUAAUACUAGGAAAUAAAGUCCAAAUUGGAAUAGGAGAAUUUGCCCAAAAUCAGCCCAGCCACGUUUUGGCCCCAAAUCUCCUCCAAAUCUGGCCCAAGAUAGCUUUUUUUAAAGACACUACUACAAAAAGUGAAAAAGACGACCAGAAAACAACGACGGUCUAAGUGAAAACCGUCGUGGUUUUUAAAAAGACGACGGUUCUAAAAACACCGUCGUGUAAUACCACCUUAGACAACUAAAAAAUGGAGAUUCAAAUGGCUGUUCAAAAACAACGACGUACCUAAUUAAACAACCGACGUCUAUUUGAAACAGAUUUCCGCAGUGUAAAAUCAAAGCAAACAAAGAACGGCAGAAGUUAUGAAUAGACCGACGUAGAAAGUAAAGACGACGAUUUCAAUAAAAGCCGCCGUUUUUACUCAUAAAAUAACACGACGAGGUUUUCGUAUAAGACGCCGUAUAAUUACAAACAAAUCCACGGCUUUAAAAUACAAAAAUAAUCUUAACAGAUGACACAGAUUUGCAAUCAGAAGAGACAAUUUUUGAAGUUGAUCAACGUCGUUGAAAAUUGCAAUCAGAAGAGACAUUUUCAACGACGGNNNNNNNNNNNNNNNNNNNNNNNNNNNNNNNNNNNNNNNNNNNNNNNNNNNNNNNNNNNNNNNNNNNNNNNNNNNNNNNNNNNNNNNNNNNNNNNNNNNNGGAAGUUGAUCAACGUCGUUGAAAAUUUGCAAUCAGAGAGACAAUUUUCAACGACGGUUAUAUUAUACCUAACGACGUUUAAAAACAAAUCAACGUCGCUCAACAAAUAUAUUACGUCGUCUUAGUCUUACUUAAGACGACGAAAAACGACGACAGUAGUAAAAAAACAGUCGUUGUUUUUAUAUUCUUAUUUUAUUUAAAUCUGUCGUGUUAGUUAAAAACGACGGCAUAACAAAAAACCGUCGUUUUGUUUCAAACUGAAUUAAUUUAAAAUUUCUUCAGGAAAGCAAAAUCUAUUUAUAAUUUCCUCGGGUUAGUAAUAUUGUGUCGUGUUAGUUUACAAAUUCUAGAACAUUAAUUUCCCUCAUUUUAAAUUUUCUCGGGAAAGAAAAAUCUAUUUAUCACGCUUUGUAAUUGAAAACUAAAACUGAAAGAAUUCUGGAAAAAAAACUCUAUUUAUAAUUUAAAAAUAAAAUGCACGUCGGUUGUAGUACACUUAACGACGUUUAACAAAAUAAUCUACGUCGGUAAUUAUAAAUCUACCGCCAUCUUACCCUAAUAUAGACGACGAGAAAAGACGACGGUAGAACAGAAAACCGCCGUUGUUUCAGUUUCUUUAACAGUUUGGUCCUUUAUCUUUCUGCAGGACUUGUAUAGUUCAAAGCAUUGACAAUGUCUUCAUCAUAUCUCCCAGCAACUACUGAUUCGAUUGCUCAUGCUUUAGAGGCCAUCUGAAGCCAUUUCUAUUCUUUAUCGCAUUCUUGAAACCCAUCUUCUUCUUCUGAAGCUCUACGGAUAAAGGAAGAGGCUAUCACAAAUCUGACGGAUCUUCUUAGUCAAAAAAAUCAAGCAGAGGAUCAGGCACAUCUGAUCUUCAGAUUUCCCUGAGAAGCGAACUUUCCUUCGACAGCGAGUGGAGGCCAGGCUUGCAUCUCUUUUGAUGGAAAGCAAGGAGUAUUCAGAAGCACUAAGUGUCCUAUCAGGCUUGAUCAAGGAAGUGAGAAGGCUAGUUGACAAGCUUCUUCUUGUCAACUAGCCUAAAUGUAAGCUCAAUUUCUCUUUGAGAAAGACCUCCAAAUUAUUGUCUUUGAGAUGUGAGAGACAGUGUCUCUGAGAGAGGAAGAACUUGGAACCCUAAAUGUAAACCGCGAAAAUGAAUGAAAGCGACAAAUUUAUAGAAUAAAUUUUUAAAACCAACGGCGGUACUUACCAAGAAACCGCCGUUUCAAUUGUAAAAUCAACGUCGGUAUUACUGACGUAUAUUACAGAACUCCACGUCGGUACAUUAAUAAUCACGACGUCUUAAAUAAUCUACCAUGACGCGAGUUAUUACUUAUGUACUUUAAUUUUUGAGUUUACUACGACGGUACCUACAACACUACUGUCGUAUUUAUUUACCACGUCCGAAGUUAAAUUUACCGACGUAUUUUGUACUUUAUACGUCGUAGUUAUAUGUAACCGCCGUAUUAUUUUUUUGAAAUGGUUUUAUAUGUAAGCAACUUUUCGUCUACUUGACUUACACAUUAGUUGUUUUUAUAUUCUUAUUUUAUUUAAAUCUGUCAUCCAAAAAAGAAACUUUACAUAUUGCAGAAUAUUAAUUUCCUUCGUUUUAAAUUUCCUCCGGAAAAAAAACUCUAUUUAUAACGCACUGUAAUUGAAAAAUAAACUGAAAGGUCACGGGAAAAAAAAUUCUAUUCAUAAUUUAAAAAUUAAAAUCCACGUCGGUUAUAUUAAACCUAACGACGUUAAAUGAAAUGAUUCCACGUCGAACGAAAAAUAUUUCGUCGUGUUAGUUAAAAACGACGUAGUUAAAUGUAACCGCCGUAUUAUUUUUUUGAAAUGGUUUUAUAUGUAAGCAACUUUUGGACUUACACAUGCACUGUUUCCAAACCCGAUUAAAAAUUUCAAUCUCCAGAGAAACCUUUUCGUCUUUUUUCCUUGUCAGAGCAUUAUCAGAGUUUCUCAUCGUCUUCCUCUCGUCUUCUUCGUCGUCCUUGAACUUAAACAUCGAUCAUCUUCCUCUUGCUUUCAUUGCACGCAAAAGGUAAGCUUUCAUUUUCACUAUUUUGGUUACUGUUUUGCAUGCUCAUACGUUUUUUGUUUGAAAAAUCUUUUUACCUUUUUUCUGGCCAAAAUCAUUUUACUUCUUUCCAAGUUUGAUAAAAUAUACAGACAAAAAGGGAAAGUUUCCAACUUUGAAGACAACUACCUCAACUAAAUGAGACGACGGUAGACCACGACGGUUCGUCAGUUGUUCUAGCGUCGUCUGAAAAUUGACAAAGUUGUUUUUAAAAUAAUAGUCUUUUUUUAUAUGCUUGUUUAAUUGCAGGUUUGAUUUCUCUGAACAAUGGUUUUUGUUUUUCCCUUAUUUGAUAAAAUAUAAAGAAAAAGAAACUAGGGUUGGUAUCUAAUAUAGACGACAAAAUAUCUUAUUGUUUUACGUCGUGUGAAUGUUAAUACCACGACGGUGUAUUACUAUUAACGUCGUAUGAACAUAAAUACCACGACGUUAUAUAAAUAAUAGUUUACCACGACGGUGUAUUACUAUUGACGUCGUGUGAACAUAUAUACCACGACGUUAUAUAAAUAAUGGUUUUAAACAUUUAUUACGUCUGAGAUUAUUUCAUUGCGUCGUCUAAAAUCAUAUCAUACGUCGUAUUUUUUUAAUACCGUCGUUUGUGUUCUUAAUGUUUUCCUGAAAUAUUUUCACUUGCAGUUUUGUCUGUUAAAAUGGUUUCUCAACAACAAACUAAGGAUUCUGGCUCCAAGAAGCUUGGAAUGGUAGCUCCUCAAGACAAGUCUUCGAAGGAGAUGAAGUCUUCGAAGAAGAUGAAGUUUGCUUCAUCAUCUGCUGAGACAGAACCAACCAGCCAGACAACAAUCUCUGAUGAUUCAAAGACUGGUCGAGGCAUGAGCACAAUGCCUCGUGUUGUGAAGAGAAAGCUUCAGAAACUGAGGCCAAUUGUUGAGUACAAUAAAAGGGGGAAAGGUGUUGGCCAAGCACAUAUUGAGAUGCAGUCGUAUAUUGGUGUGUUGGCACGCUCCAGGAUCCCACUUGUGGACAAGAAAUGGUCCCAAAUCCCCAAGGAUAUAAAGGAGCAGAUUUGGGAAGCAGUUGACAUGGCUUUUGUCGUAGGCCAAGGGGGCAAGACCUCUGUUUUAGCUUCUGCUUCCAAGAAAUGGAAGGAUUUCAAGUCUACACUAACGAGGCAUUAUAUCCUUCCAUACACCAAUGACAGGGAGAAAUUAAGCCAACCCCCUGAAACAUAUAAAUUCAUAGAGAAAGCACAAUGGGAUGCCUUUGUAGCUUCAAGGCUAUCCAAAGAUUUUGAGUCUGUGCAUUCUCAACAUGCACAGAUUAGGGAGAAACUCGAGUACAAUCAUCGAUUGUCUCGAAAAGGAUAUGCUGGAUUGGAGGAUCAAUUGGAGGAAACCAUGCCUGGGGUAGAAAUUGAUCGAUCUACCUUAUGGAAGAGAGCUAGACAGGACAAACAUGGUAACAUCCCUGAUCCAAAGGUGGCAGAGAAAGCAAAAUUAAUUGUAAGCCUACUAUCACUCUGUUUUAAAUUUUUAUUAAACUGUGAAUUAUUCUUAUUACGUCGUAUGUUAUAUUUUUCGUCGUGUGAAUGAUAUUACCACGUCGAAAAGUUUUUAAAAACGUCGUUAAAGGUCUAAAUAGGAAUCACUACUAAUUUUCUGUAAUUAUAGCAUAAGACGUCGGUGGUUCAUUUUCGCGUCGUUUGAAUGAUAUUACCACGUCGAAACUUUUUUAAAAACGUCAUUAACGGUCUAAAUAGGAAUCACUACUCUGUUUUCUUUAAUUAUAGCAUAAGACGUCGGUUGUUUAUUCAUUUCGUCGUUUUAAAUAAAUAACCACGUCGGUAUAACUACCGUCGUGAUAAGUUAUAAUAACGUCGGUUUAUACGUUAUUGCGUCGUGUGAAAUUAUAUAAUACGUCGUUUGUACAUAAAUAACCGUCGUGUGUUUUUUUGUUUAUCUUUGUUUUAGGAUGAAUUGCAGAAACAAGUCUCGGAAGGCAAAGUCAGAGUAGAUGGCAGCAAUGAUGUGCUGACCAUGGCUUUGGGCCCCGAGCAUCCAGGCAGAGUGAGGGGAGUUGGUGCUGGUGUUUCCCCAAGGCAAUAUUUCAAUUUGCCCAAACCACAGAGGGUGAGCUUUGACGACCAUUUGAAGGACAGUUUAAGAGUUCUCCUUCAAGAAGAGACUAAAAAGAUGGAGGCUAAGGCAAGGGAAGAGGCCUUAAGAAUGGAGGCUAGGACAAAACAAUUGGUAGAGGCUGAGAGGGAGCAUUUCCUGAGUCAGCUUUCCCAAUUAAUUCCCAAUUUUGAUCCAAGCAUGCUUAAACCAAGAAUUAGCCAAAGCCCCAAAAAUCCAAUGUCUGACAAAGCUAGCUGCUCUGGAGGUGAUGUGAGAUCCCUACAUUUGGAGGAUGAUACUGCCAAAAUGGGGAAACAUCAGCCAGAUGAAGAGAAGGAAGAAGAAAAAAGAGAUGAAGAGAAGGAAGAAGAAAAGGAGAAAGAAGAUGAAGAAAAGCAUGACGACAAGGUAUGUUCACAUAACUUUGCCUUUUUUAUUUGUUUUUCAAAAUUUCAGACGUCGAUAUUUUUAUUUAAUCCGUCGUUUGUUUAAAACUUAGACGGCGGACUUUUUUUAAGACGUAAUAAAAUAUUUAAACGACGGUUUUUGCACCGUCGUUUAAAUGGUUUCAGACGACGCUUUAUUCAUAAAAUCGUCGUCUUUAUUGAAUUACCACGACAGUUUUUUCACCGUCGUUUAAAUACUUUUAAGACGACGUUUUAUUCCUUAAACCGUCGUCUUUGUUGAAUUACCACGUCAUUUUUUUUAUUUCUUUAAACAGGUUAUUGAAGUUGGUGCUUAUUCAAAUAUGGAGGCGCCAUCUUCUUUAAAAACCCUUUGUCGUUUUGUGGAAACGACACUCCUGCCUGAGGAUAAGACACUCCAAUUUACAAUUGAUAAGGAGGUGUUUGGUGGUGAGCGCGAUACCUUCCUCCUGCCUGAAGAUAUUACACAAUUUGCAGGCAUGGAAGAAAUUGGAGCUACUGUAUUGGCUGUAUAUAUGAGGUUUGUACUUCUAAAAUAAUACCUCGUUGGUUUAUAUAUUGCGUCGUCUUAACUAACUAACCACGUCGUCUUAACUAACUACCGUCGUGAUAAAUAUAUUAUAACGUCCUCAUCUAUUUCAGUACGUCGUGUGAAAUAUUAUAAUACGUCGUUUUUUUAUACAUAACCGUCGUGUUUGUUUGUGCUGACUUGUUUAUAUUAUUUUAUGUAUUUAGGUACUUACACGAUGUUUUGAAACAAGCCAAUAUGUGCAGCAUGGUUGGCUUUAUCGACCCUGCUACAGUUAGUGCCAACUCUGGCACAAUAACUGAAAGAUCACGACUGGUAGCAGCUCGACUUCAGAAGACAGACGGUGAACAGAUUUUCAUGAUGCCUUACAAUCCAGGGUUAGUCUCCUUAGGAUUUUGUUUUUAUGAUUUUCAAUAAAUGACAGCUUAUAAACUAACCACGUCGGUGUUUUAUUUUAUUUAGUCGUUUGAAACUACUAACCACGUCGGUAUUUAUUUAUCGUCGUGAUAAAUAUAUAAUGUCGUCGUUAUCUACUUUAUUUCGUCGUGUGAAAUACUAUAAUACGUCGUUUUUGUAAAUAACCGUCGUUUUUAUAUUCAUUUUGUGCAGCCGUCAUUGGAUCUUGCUGAUUGUAAGAGCAAAGAAGGAGACCGUCUAUUUUCUGGAUCCUCUGCCAGGUCAUCGUGUGGUCGACGAAGAGGCGAAAAACAUCGUGAACAGUGCUUUAAAAAUAUAUAAUACCCACAUAGCCCGAGCACGACGUAAAAAUGUAAUUUGGAAAACUCUCUCAGGCACACCAAAGCAACCCAGCAAUGUCGAAUGCGGGUACUAUGUGAUGCGCUUCAUGAGGGACAUCAUCAUGGAUCCUUCCUUGGGGUUUGAGAAUAAGGUAAGAAGAAAUUACCUUCAUACAUUUCACGUCGUUUUUUGUAUUAUCAACGACGGUCAUGUAAAAUUAACGUCGUUGAAUGGAUAUACUACGUCGGUUAUGAAAAAUAUCGUCGUCUGUGAUUGAAUUUCUUUUUAUUUAUAAACCCUAAUAGUCAUUGUUUAUGCAGUAUGCCAAGGGAAACCAGGAAGCUUCAUACCCCCAAGAAGCCAUUGAUGAAGUCCGGAAUGAAUGGGCAGAGUUUGUUUUCCAAAUUAUUAAACAGGGCAAUUAUUGAACACUUGAUAUUUAUGUAUAAUGUACAAAUUUUCUCUAUAAUAUGUAAUGUAAAAAUUUGUUGAGGUUUUCUUAAAUUAAAAAAAAAACAAACAUACAAAUUGCUUAACCGACGUGUAAUACUUUUCCAACGACCUAAUAAAGUCAAAAACCGUCGUAUUUUGUUGUUUCGUGUUUUAAACAAAUACGACGUAAAAAUAUAGUUAGACGACGUUCUUUGAACAAUUGAGUCGUUUAUGGUUUACAACAUCUUCAAUUUCUUAAGGGUUCAGGGUAUCAUCGACGACGUUUAUGUAACGACAGCGGUUAAGUCGUGGAAUAUAUAUUUUACGUCGUAUAGUUAAAUAGCCGCCAUGGUUUCUCAUUUUAACGACGUCAUUUUAACGACUUAGUAGUCUAUUACAAUUUACAACGUCUACAAUUUAUUAACACCGACGUGGUUUGUUGUUGUGGUAAGAAUAUUUUAUUAUUUUUAUAUCAAAAUAUUCAAAAUAAAUUUAAAAUAAAUCAGAAAAUUGAAAAGUCAUCUCCUAUGAAGUCAUUGAUAUAUUUUCUUCCACAUAAACCUUGAAAAAAUUCAUUUUGAAUAACAAAAAUUUAAAAUGACCAUCCAAAACAAAAUUGUUUUGAUGAGUCAUAAAAUCACUUCUAGUUUUAUGGUUUAGGGUUUAGAGUCUAGGGUUUAGAGAUUAGGGUUGUUAUUUGUUGGGGUUUAUUUUUAAAGUAUAAUUUUUGGGUAGUCUAGGGUAUAUGUUAGGCUUUAAAACCAUAAAACCUUUUAUAAACUUAAUUUUUUAAAUUGUAUAAUUUAGUUUUAUGGGUUUAGGGUAUUAAUUUUUAACGACGGUGGUUGCGUCGUGGAAUACAUAUUUUACGUCGUACAGAAAAACAUACGACAUGGUUUACGCUUUAAACGACGUCAUUUUAAUAUGUAAGUCGGUUUAUAUAAUUUACAACGUCUUUAAUUUCUUAACACCGACGUGGUUUUUCAGUCGUCGUUAUAUAAAAAAUUCAAAAUAAAUUUAAAAUUAAUCCGAAAAAUGAAGCUUCAAAAUGAACGGCCUUACGUUCUUAAUCCGAAAAAUGAAGUUUCCGUCGUGGAAUAUUAAAUUUACGUCGGUACUUGUAGAACUUUCGCCUUGGUUUUUCUUUCGACGUUUUAAAACGCGCGAGCUCUAAAAAUUUUCGCGUGACCUAAAUUUUUUUAGAUUUGGCUCUUAUUCUUAUACUUCGAACCCUGAAACCUAAAAUUUUCAGAUUUCGCUCUCUCACUUCUGCUCUAAUUAAAAGUUGCACUCUCCAGGCUUCGUCGAAUCUGUGAGCUCGUCCAACCUGUAAGUACAAACCCUAUCUUCCCCUUGUAAAUUCAUUGAAUGAUAUUAGGUUGUUUUGUUAAAGGGUUUUAUGUGUAUGCUUUGCGAUCUGUUAAUAAUGUGCUUAUAGGUAUGGGUUCAUAGAUUUUCUGUUUAAUGGGUUCAUGGAUUACAUUAUCUGUUAUGUUGAAUUGGGAAUGGAUUUAAUUUUGUCGUAUCUUUUAAUCACCCUAUGUUAUGUUGAAUUGGGAAUGGAUUUAUUGUUUUCAUGCUUGGUUUCAUGUAUAUGUUGGUUUCUUGCUUGGUUUCAUAUAUAUGUUGUGUUCUUAAUGGGUUUUGUGUUCUUGAAAAUAAACUGAGACACGACAAAUUUUAAGGCAUACGACGACGAUUACACGACGGUUUUUUUAAACUACCGUCGUUGUAUUACUUAUACAAGACGGUUUUUUCAUAAACCGUCGUUUGUAUUACUUAUAAUAGACGACGUCUGUUGAAAAUCCGUCGUCUAUAUAUGCCAAAUACGUCUGUUUUUGUUUAAAACCCGUCAUCUCUGUUGUGUAUUACUUGCGAUUAGAUCAUUGUAUAAUCUGCUAUAGUGAUGGUCAUUGCCUGUAUUUUCACUUUAUUAUAGAUAAUAGGUUAUAGUGUCGGAGAUGGAUAAGUCAUGGAUGCACUCGGAUAGAAGAUCGAAGGCAUAUGAAUUUGGGGUGGAAGCAUUUUUGAACUUUGCUUGAGAAGUACUUUCCCCCUUCAUUCUUUGAUAUCAUGGUUCAUCUAGUAGUACAUCUUGUCAGAGAAGUUCGUCUAUGUGGGCCAGUAUAUUUUAGGUGGAUGUAUCCGUUUGAAAGAUAUAUGAAAGUGCUGAAGGGGUAUGUUCAGAAUCGUACUCGUCCCGAAGGUUGCAUUGCUGAGCGGUAUAUAGCUUAAGAAGCGGUAGAGUUUUGUACUCAGCAUUUAUCUGAUGUUAGUACAGUUGGAGUGCCUUCAAGCCAAAAGAUGGGACUUUCAAAGCCAUUAUCAGGUUGCACAGUGAGCGUAGUUGAUCAGGACCUGUUGAAUCAAGCACAUCUAUAUGUCUUGGAGAAUACGGAGGAAGUCCUACCUUAUAUCGAGUACGUAUGAGCUUUAUUCUUUAAGUUUCCAUUUUAAAUUAUUUCUUAUGUUUAUCUUCUAUAUUUGGGACCGUAAUGCUUGAAUUUUUCGUGUCAUGUAGGCAACAUAUGAUCCACAUCAAGAUUGCUUAUCCAAAAUUUAGAAAGAGAACAAAGUGGCUGCAGGAUAAGCACAAUAGCACUUUCAUUCAAUGGCUACGCUUCAAGGUAUAUGUUGUUGAAUAACAUAUUUCUCUUUUAAUUUUCUUCUUAUUUAUAUGUUAGAUUGAAUUAAGAUAUGAUUAAUUUGCAGGUUCAAAGUGAACUUGAGGAAGACAAUCAUGGCGUAUCAGAAAAUUUAAGGUGGCUAGCAGCUGGUCCAAACAUGUCAGUGCCAUUAUAUAGGAGCUAUCUUAUUAAAGGUAUUAAAUUCAAUAUCAAGGCACAAGAUGAUGUGCGGACAACUCAAAAUAGUGGAGUUUAUUUACUUGCACAUACCAUGCAAGUUGCUAGUGCCAAGGAUAAAAACCCAAUUCUCUCAAACAUGGGUUUCUAUGGUGUCAUUCAAGAAAUUUGGGACCUUGACUACCAAAAGUUUACAAUCCCAGUCUUUAGGUGUGAUUGGAUAGAUAGUUCUGGUCUUGUAGUCGACGAACUUGGAUUUACCCUUGUAGAUUUGAGUAAAAUUGGACAUAGGAAUGACCAAUUUGUUUUGGCUUCUCAAGUCAAACAAAUAUUUUUUGUUGACGACCCGAUGCAUCGUGGUUGGUCGGUAGUGUUAUCAAUGCCUAAUAGAGAAUAUAAUGAUGUUAUUGGUGAUGAAGUCUUAGGUGAUGUGAUAAUUGAGUGUGAGCCAUUUACUAGAGGGAUGCCAAAUGUUGACACAUUUGAUGAACUGGUGGGUGAGUUAGGCGGUCAAAAUAUUCGAGAUGGGUGUGAAGAUAUAUGGAUUGAAUGAUGCUUAUGUAAUUGGCAGUGUAUGACAUUAAUUUUGUAAUAUAUUGUAAUGUGAUUUCUUCACUUUCUACGUUCAAAUAAAACACGACGUUAUUGUGAACCAGUUAUUCAGCAUAUUUACCGACGUCUUAAAGCAACGUAACAAUGAAGAACCACGACGCUAUUGUGAAGCAAUUAUUCAGGAUAUCACGUCGGGGAAGGAUUAAGAACCGCCAUGUAAUUCAAAAUAACACGACUCCAAUCCCAUAAUACCGACGUCUAAAAAACGAGAUAUAUAAUCUGAACGUUAAAAAAUACGACGUCAUCAUACAUUUUCCACAUCGCAAGUUCUUUUAUAAACGAAGAGGAACGAAAUGAAUUCCGACGGAAAUUCAUUAUAACCGCCGUCUAAUAACAAUUAAACGACGUUAUUUGUAAUACGGCUCUCAUCAUAAUCAACGCCGUCUAUAUGUUCUGUAAUACGGCUCUCAUUUAUUUGGAACCGACGUUGUUUAGAAGUUCAACGUCGUCUAUAUUAUUAAGUGCGUCGUGAGUAAUGAUGAUAGAUAUAAAUACAACGUCGACUAUAUAAAUGCCACUGACGUUGUUUCGCAUUUCAACGUCAACUGUAUAAAUACAUACGUCGUAAAUAAUGACACUGACAACUAUUUCCACGUCAUCUUUUUUAGAAAAAUCGAAGUGGAAAAUUUAUUUCACGACGGUUGUUUGUAAAUAAGAGACGUAGUAUAUUUCAAUAACGUCGUCUUCUCAUGUAUUUAAAGACGUCAUAUUUUUUCUUGUCGUGUAAAUUAUAUUUAACGGCGUAGUAUUUUAGUUGUCGUCGUUGUAUGUAUAUCUUGCGGCCUUGUUCUUUUAACAUGUGUCAUAUUUUUCCUUUUUAACGACGGUGAUUUGUUUGAGUUGGUCGUCUAUUCUCAUCCUCGACUAUUUUCUAGAACUUUAGCAGACUAAACACGUCUGUUUUUAUUGUUUUCCGACGUUGUUUUAUUUAACAACGUCUAAUAUUUAUCGUCGUUGUUUGUUUCUGAAAAUAUGACGUAUAAAUUUUGUAAUACGACUCUCAUAUAUUUGUAACCGACGUUGUUUCGUUUUUCAACGUCUACUCUAUAAAUACAUACGUCGUAAAUAAUGACACUGACAACUAUUUUCACGUCAUCUUUUAUCGAAAAAUCGAAGUGGAAAAUUAAUUUUACGACGGCUGUUUUUAUAUAUGCGACGUAGUAGGUAUCAAUAACGUCGUCUUCUAAUGUAUUUAAAGACGUCAAAUUUUUUAUUGUCGUGAAAAUGAUAUUUAACGGCGUCGUAUUUUUAUUUUCGUCGUUGUAUGUCUAUCUUGCGGCCUUGUUCUCUUAAUAUGUGUCAUAUUUUUCCUUUUUAACGACGGUUUUUUUAGAGAGUUGGUCGUCUAUUCUCAUCCUCGACUGCUUUUUUAGAUCUUUUUGCAGUACAAAGACGUCGUUUUGUAUUUGUUGAUGACGUUGUAUAUUUUAACAACGACGGUGAUUUUGCGUCGUGGUUUAUGAGGGAAAAGAUGACGGUGGAUUCCACGACCAUUGAAAAACCGAAUACACGACGGUGAUUUACCGUCGUCUUUUUGCUUUUUUGUAGUAGUGAGAUAAAAAUGUUCUGAACACUUCUCUAGAAGGCCACGAACCCAUCCGAGGUCAUCUUGGGCUCCAAAAACACAAUAAAAGCCCAACACGUCACUAUUCCAGCACCGCGCACUGCUCAUUUAUUUUAUUGCCAGAAAAUAACCGCUUGGAAGAAAAAUCUGAAAUUUUGAUACGAUCAAGCUAAGUGACUCAAGAACGUCCUCCAACUGGAAUUACUCCAAAAUUCCUCAAUUUGAUUAUGUUUUGCUCCAGAGAGAGUCGAAAGUCCUAUAUUGGAAAUAUAAUUCAAAGUAUCAAAAUUCUUCCAAAAUAUUAACCAAAAUAUACUAAGAAUGAGGUUAAAUAUAUAAUAUAAAAUAUGUCCAUCACCCCACAACAACUAAAGAACCAACAUUUUGUAGAAGGUUUUGUCUAUACCUUUGACUGUAAGUAAAUCUCUUGUAUCUGCUCCUGUGGUUCGGUGAAGUUUCUUUGUGUCCUUUCUGCGGAGUCUCCCAUGCUUGUUCCAUGAAAAUGUUCUAGGAGAAAAUACGGUUGUUUCUUACUAGAUUCAAAUGAUUAAGAAAAAUAAAAACGCAAGAAAAAAGGUAUUUUCUUGAUGGACUUGGUGAUGAAAAAUAUCACUCUCUUUAUAUGUCGUCUUCCUUGGACUUUGAGACCUUGGGUUUCGAUUCUUCUUGAGGAUUGCAUAGGGUUUCUAGGCCCAAGAAUACUUUGAGUUAGUUUUUGCGUUUUGGGCUUUGAGACUUUGAGACUAUAAUGAGUGGAAAGUUAUAAGGGGUAAGUUAUAAGGGGGUCACUUUAUAGCCAUCAGAUUAAUCCAAGGGCUGGGGAGAAUUGAGAUAAAGUUUCACAAUUGGGUAGGUGAGGAACCCAAACCCGAAUUGAAUAUCCAGCACGUCCAAAAAGAAGAAGAAGAGGGAAACACGUCCGAAAAAGAAGAAGAAGAGGCAAGUUCGAAGUUUGAACAGAAAGAACUCAUCUCUCUAAAACACAGAGGUCUGAGAUACCCAAUGAAGGCAACGGCUAACGACAGUUGAAGGCAACAAUUCGCCACUCCGUUCUCCAGACCCCGAAAAAGUAUUUAUUUGGAGUAGAAGGGGCAAAGGUGUGGAUUCCAAAUCAGUGAAGGGGCGAAGCAGUGGAAGGGGAAGGGGAGAAGCUGUAUUCGUUGGAAGUGUAGGUUCCAUUUGUGGAGCAAAGAAAUAGAAAGACCCCACACAGACACCUUGCAAUAACCAGCAUUUGGUGAGUAAUUUAUGGAAUUUGAGUUUAGGGUUAGAGUAAUGGUUUUCCCCAAUUUGUACCAUAAAUUUUGUUGGAUUUGGCAUCUCUUCGUUGUGCUUCAGUUGCAUGUUAAUUUUUGCUUAGGUAUAUGUUAAAAAAGGAAUGAAAAUUAAGUCAAUAACAAGUGAAUAACAUGUCAAUAAUGAUAUGAAUAAGAUAAUGGUGUUGAAUUGGAGGAGGCCCUCAAAACCUUCCACAUUUGAAGCAGUGCAUAGUGCAGAUUAAGAAGAGGCGCUAGAAUAUAUAUAUAUAUUUUAUGAAGUAAAUAUGAUUUCCUUUGUUACUAAAUUUGCCUGAGAAACAUUUGAACAGAUAAUAAUAAACUCAUGAAUAGAACUGCAAAGCAUUUGAUGAGCAAUGUAAGGAAUUUAAGUUUAGGGUUAGAGUAAUGGCAUCUCUUAUUUGUGCUUCAAUUGCAUGUUAAUUUUUGCUUGGGUAUAUGUUAAAAAAUGAAUGAAAAUAAAGUCAAUCACAUGUCAAUAACAUCUCAAUAACAUGUCAAUAACAUGUCAGUAAUGAUAUGAAUAAGAUAAUUGUGUUAAAUUGGAGGAGGCGCUCAAAACCUUCACAUUUGAAGCAGUGCAGAGUGAAGAGUACCUCUCUGGCACUAGAAUUUAUAUAUUUUGUGAAAUAAAUAUUAUUUCAUUUGUUACUAAAUUUGCCUAUGAGAAAUGAGAACAGAUAAUAAUAAACUCAUGAAUAAAAGUGCAAAGCAUUUGAAAUGAAGGUUGAUCUAUGACGAUUGUGGGUGACUGAAGAAAAAGGUAGAAAGAAAGAAGGAUGUGGCAAUUGCUUAGCAAGCAGAUAGCAGAGUACAUGCUUUGCUUUGCUUCCUUCCACUAUAUUUCUUAUUUAUUUAUUUUGGGUUGUGUAUGAGAUGACAAUAAUUGUCAUGUGUGUGAAGUGCAGAACUUGCCUACAUUGCACUCACACGAGUAUGGAUGCAUAAAUAAAACACGUGAAAUUGUUUGUAAUUCACAUAAUCAUUGCAUUAACAGGUAUUUGCACAAAAAUUGUCAUAUUGCUUUGAUGAUGUUAAAGGCUGUGAUGAGUAAUCCCUAUGCUCAUGUACUUUGUAAAAGUUGUAAUGUGCCUGGUUGACUAGUUGUGAUUGUGCAAAUACGUGGUAGUAUAUAUGUUCACGUUAUUUCACAUUGUAUUUGAGGAAAUGGGAUCCAACGUGGAGCUGGUAUGGCCAGAGGCAGAGGUAUAUUCGUCACGGGUGAACAACUGCUCACAUGCAAAUUCAUCUCUAGCUGCAAUUCGAGCGAAGUUGAGUGCGGAACAAUUAGAACAAUUCAAGACAUCAUGCUUUGGCCAUCUUCUGAAUAUAGAUAAGAUUCAGUUUAGCGGGCAGAUUGUGCAUGGGGUUGUGUUGCGUAGAGUAGCGGGGCAGGGUGUGAAAGACUUGGAUGGACUGAGUUUCUUAUUAGGGUGUGACGUUGCUCAGUUCACUCGUCAGGAUUUCUGUUUGAUCACAGGGCUUCGUUUUGGGGAAGUGCCUGAAGUUUCCAGUGGAGAGAGUGAUGAAAUCAGACUUCAGAAAAGAUAUUUUAUAGACGAAGGAAUUACAUGCAAUGCUUUAGAAGAAGCAUUUGUGAGGUGCACAGAGGAAGAUGACAUCUACAAGCAAGCUCUUGUUUACUUUGCUGAGUUAGUGGUUUUGGGAAGGGACAAACAUUUGAACAUCAAUCUAAAUUACCUGACCCUUGUAGAGGACUUGGAUGCGUUCAACAGGUAUCCGUGGGGUUCGGUGUCCUUUGACAAAACCCAAGACAGUCUAUUUUCUGCACCAACAAAGUAUGUGAAAAGCUUGGAAAAUGAAGAGGGAAGAGGGAAGGGGAAAAGUAAGGUAACGGGAACAAGCCGGAGAAAUGAGAAGGGCAAGAAGGAUAAGCAUGGUGAAGCGCAAAUGAGUGGCUGGAGUUUUAAAGGUUUCACGUAUGCUUUCCAGGUACAUGGUAAUAAUGUUCAUGUCAGUUAUGUUUUGUUUUUCUUUAAAACAUAAAUAAUGACUUUUGUCCUGUGAAUUGUGUAGAUUUGGGUAUAUGAAUUAAUUCCUAGAAUGGCGGACCUGAAUUACUGCAAGGUUGUUGAUCCGACCGUUGUCCCGCGUAUUUUGCGAUGGAGAACUACUACGUCUGUUCCAGAGAUGAGAAAGUUGAACAAUUAUUUUUUCCAGAGCAAAGAGGUUUGGUUUGCAGCCCUUGGAACUAUUGAUAAGAUUGAAUGAAAUUAUGAAGUAGAAUGAUUUGAUAUGACUCUUGUCUGUAUUCUGAAACAGUCAGUUCAGUUGCGGGCGCUAUGUCCGAGUGAAGAGGAAAUGAGACAGCCAUAUUGGAGUUGGCCACAGGAUCGCCCUGCUGUUGUCUCAGCAGAGUCAAUUCCUUCUUCAUGUGGUGAUCUUGAUGAGUUGAACAAGGUGGUAAGUUGGUUGAGGUCCGAGUUGUUUCAAGUAAAGCGGGAAAAAGACGUCCUUCACUUAAAGGUCAUACGGAUGGAAAAACUGUUGGACCAAUGUUUAGGUCCUCAGUUUGAGCAGGAAGUAAGGAGGGACCUAGCUUUACUGAAACAGAGGACGAAUCGUUGUGUCAUCUCACAUCUAUUUAAGGGAUAUGGGGAAAUGGAUGACAUUCAAUGGGAUGAAGGGCCAAGUAACAGAAAUGAGGGAGAGGAAAAGGAAGAUGAAGGGAUUGAAGGGGGUGAAGGGCCAAAUAAUAGAAAUGAGGGAGCACAUAAGGAAAAGGAGGGGAUUGACGGAGAGGAAAAGGAAGAGGAGGGGAUUGAAGGGGGUGAAGUGCAAGGAAAACCAAGUGAGGUAGAGGAAGGGCAAAGGAAAAGAAGUGAAGGAGAGCAAGUGCAAGUAAAAAGUAGCAAAGGAGAGGAAGCCCAGAGACAGAGCAGUGAGGGAGAGGAAGUGAAAAGAAAAAGCAGUAAGGGAGAGAAACUGCAAAGGAAAAAAAGGGAGGGCAAGGAAGUGAAAACACAAACAAGUGAGGAAAAGGAAGUGCAAAGAAACCAAUGUGAGAAAGAAGAUAAUGAAGUUAUGUUGCUUGGGGGUGACAUUGGCGAGAGCACGGAGGGGACACUGCUUGAGUUUACUGUCGGGGACAUUGAUUUGGAUGAACCUACAGCUGUGCUAUCUCAGUUGAACGUGUGGUUGAAUGAUAAAGGUAAAGCUCUGGCACAAGGGGUCCAAUUACGGAAAAGGAAGAGGAUCAUUCCUUUGUGGAAGAUCAUUGAAGGCAGUGAAUUGGUUCCAAAAAUUGGGGCACAGACAACCGGACUGAAGAUGUUAGACCCAAUGAAGGCGAUUUCGCAUGAUGAUCUGGUGAAAUUGCUGAAACUUUGUUGGGAAUGGCGCCAGGACCCAAAGUAAGUCCCUUGCAAUUAUAAGAUACAAGCAUGACUGUAUAUAAUUUUUUAUAUACAGUGUUCUAAAACUGUUUUAUAUUCAUAGUUUGGUGAUGCAAUUUGGCAACGUGGAAGCUGAGAUUGAAUUCUUCGCUUCCCUCGUGAAAGCUGAUGGUUGGCUGAAAGGAGAUGUAAGUGUAAUUGAUUAUGCAUUUGUUUUAAUGUACAUACAUUAUGAGAUUGACAAGAAAAACAUGUUGCAGCACAUUGAUUUGGGGUUGUAUCUCAUCCGGAAGCGACAACAACAGUUGGAGACAGAUUCGGUAGAAGUAGCGGACUGGACAACGACCGAUGUUUUUUUUAUGGUAUGUCAUCGGCCUUGACCAAGUGCCGUUAAUAAUUACACAUUUUCCAUACACACACUAGUGGAGGUGUUUAACCAUUGAUUGUUUUGUAUUUCACAGAAUCACAUUCGUACUUGCUUUGCGGAUAAUAAAAGAAAAAAACAGCAGCUUGGGUGGAAAAUCAGGAAAAGUUUACUAACCGUUGUAAAUGGGAAGGUUCCUCCGUGUGGGUUGGAUUGGCAGACCGUCUAUAAGGUGUAUACCCCAUUUAUGUUGACGAAGUACAAGCAUUGGGUGGCUGUAAUGAUUGAUCUGGUAUUGUGUGAAAUCAAAGUGUACGAUUCAAAGGUUUCACUAAUUCCAGAUGACAUCGUAAAGGAAGAACUCGGCCCGCUAUCAAUUACGCUUCCAAAUCUUCUCAACACCAUCGACUUUUAUGAAAAAGGUGUUUAUGCAAACAAUUGCAGCCAAGAUUAGUGGUGUCCGUGGCCAAUAGAGCGUGUGGAUGUUCCACAACAGUCUAAUGAGUAAGCACAACUUGCAAUUUAAUUUUAUUACUUUCAAUUGUCAAUUACGUUAGAAUGUCAUUAGUUGAAUUGAUCGAGUUCUUGUUUUGCUUCAGAGGCGAUUGUGGCAUGUUUGUGUUAAAGUACAUUGAGCUUUUCAGCGCUGAGCUUCCGUUAGCUACUUGCACCUCGCACAACAUGCCUUUUUUUCGGUUGAAAUUGGCUGCGGAGAUAACAAGGGGAGAUGCUUACUUCCCAUGAUAUUGGUUGAAGAUGACAAAUGGUACAUGAGAAGGUUUUGGGAAUGUCCAUUCUCAAACUAAUGUAAAUACACAAUAGAGAAGUACGGGUCCUUAUCGAAUUCUACCGCUAACUCCUUCAUGACAUUUACAUGUUUGUUAACCAAACUGCAUUGAAUUGGAAUUUUAAGACUGCAUAUGUGAAUUGGGAUUUGAAGAUGGCUUUUUAAGUGUAUUACAUCAUUGCAAAGUGAUAUGUCAUUGUUGAUGCAAGCCACCAUUAAUCGCAAUGUGUUGCAUCAUAAUAGGUGUCUAAACAUGCGAAAGGUUUUCCGCAGCUCAGUAGCAUAAAAGUAGAAACAAAGACAAUAUACACAAAAUGAACAACAAUUCACAAAUGCACCGACAAGCAAUACACACACAACAGACAAACAAUAUACACAAACUUGGCCUGCCAUAUACAGAGAAUAGACAUGCAAUAUACACACAGUAGACAUGCAAUAUACACACAAUAGACAUGCAAUAUACACACAAUACUCCCUUAACACACACAAUAGACAUGCCCUUGCCCACAAUAAUGAUGCAAUAUACUUCAGUCCCCAAGUACACCAACCAUAGGGAAGUCGUAUUGAAUAGGAUAUUAAACUUAACAGUUGUUCUUCCUACUAAAAGAAAGAAUAAGGUUCGUUUCCCCCCUUCAUUCUUACUUGAGUGAUACUUGUGGCCCCAAUAAACAUCCAAUUUUGGGGCAAUGAUAUUCCAUAUACAUGCAGCAAACUAUCAAUAAACCUUCAAUAAACCUUCAAUAAACAUUCAAUAUCGUUUCUAUAACAUGCGAAAUACAUGCAGUUACCAAAUAUUACAAAAUGGGUUUAGGGUCUCAUUGGUGGUGCGUGCAACAUGUCUUGUGCGGGAGAACUUUCACAAUCUUUUAAACCGUGCAGUUAAAUGAUCAUUAAAAGAACAAAUAAAAUGACAAUUGAUACAACUAAUAAAACUAAUACCAAGUCCUUAAUGGACUUCAGCAUGUUCAGCACUCUAGCAUCAUACGUGUCAUCUUGAUGUUCUGCUUCAGCGGAGGUUACAUCAACCCAUUCGAAUCCAUUGCAACUGGUGGCUCCCUAAUUGCAGGCAUCAUAUAUGGAAUAUAAUUCUGUCAGAGUUAGACAUAGGUUUUUUUUCACCCACAUACAUAUUCUUUAAAUUAAAACUUACAUAGGAGGUUAGACACUUCCAGAAUGGCUUCCCUCGAUUUUUGUCAGAUUUUGAAACCCGAAGCACCAUUGUAGCUCCACAAUACUGACACCUCUUUGUUUGAGCGGGAGAUGAAGAUGAAGACAUGUUUAAUCUUCUCAGUUGUACCUCUUCUCACUCAGAUCUUCUCACUGAAACCUCUUCGGACUCAUACCUUCUCACUCAUAGUUGUCAUUCAUACCACUUCACUCAUAACCCUAAACUUGUCACUCAGCUCUCUCUCAUCUCUGCCCAAAUCGAGUUAUAUUUCUUUUUUUUGGGAUCAUUUGGUGGGUUGGUCACGAUGUCGACACCUGUACCGUCAGCAUUGUGACAUCUUUUAGCCCGAAAAGCAAUAUAAACUACUUCACUACCAAAUAUAUUUUCUGAAUAAUGACGGGACACUGCUUCAAUUUUAUUAAUUUAUUUAUAUUUCAUUAAGGCAACUAGUUGGAUAAGAAUCCGUCAUUAUUGGUUCCAUUUUAAUAACAUUACUAGGGGUAAUUGGGUGUGGGAAAAUGAAAAAGUAUAUGAUGGGACCUUCUGUCACUAGUCAGUAAUCCAUCACAUUUGUAUCAAUGAAUUUGAUAGUGGGAUAAACCCAAAAAUGGCUAUGCAAAUAGCCAUUUAAUUAACUUUUUGACUGUCUGACUCUGUAUGCACCGUUAUGACGUUUUCCCUUCUUUUGUCUUAAGUUUUAAUUCACUGGGGUUCAGUUUCUUUCAAAAGGGUCAACUUGGAAAAACCCCAACUGGAAACACCUUUUCAAAACACUAUAAACAGAGGCUAAAACAAAACGUGUACCCCAAAUAUUAUCAUUUAUCCCCUCUGCCACUCCUCAAAUCGUUCCAUUCCAAAAACUUUUCAAUGAAUUCGAAACACUUCACUACAGUCGGAGGAAAGAGAAGGAAGCAUGUCCAUUUCGAUAUGCCCGAAGCCUUCAUCCCGGAGUCCGCUUGGUUUCAAGUCAUGUUAUACGUGGCAACCGAAUCAUCGGAAGAUCUCUUCCGUAUGGCAUCUGUGUGACGAUUGUUCCGAACUUUGGCAAACAGUUCACAAGUGUGGAACACCAUUUCAAUGGCAAAGUACCCAGACCAUCCUAUAUGGUACCGUGCCAGACCUGCGGUCCAGCAUUUCUUGCAACAAUGCAGGGCUUGCGAUAACCCUGAGUCCAUAUUUAGAGAAGCAUUCGAAGGUUUUUUCAGGCACGGUAAGGUGGAAGCGUUGUAUGGGAUGCGCAUUGCAGCCACGGCAGGCCAUAUGGAAGCGGCAUAUGUAGUUGGACUACUUGGUAUGUCCGGAAUUGGUCAGUCAAAAGAGGAUGCAUUACAAUUCUUGUGUUCUUUGAAUCAACGUAACAACAUUGAUAUGAAAGGAACCAGGGAUGCUUUGACAGGAAGAUUUCACGGAGCAUUUGUUGCAAGACAUAUCGUAGAUAUGUUUGACUAUGGGAAGAUUAAGUUCAAUCGGUGCAGCGCUUGUAACAACAAUGAAUGGUAUUUUGUUAUUCCAGGCUGGCCUAGUGAAGACAAGAUAAAUCCUGCGUUGUGGACUUGUUGCAAUCGAUGCAAAUGGCACCGUGAGAGUAUUUUUUGGUGCAAACUGAUGCGUGAGUAUGUUGUGCGAGGGAAUCACGUAUUUUUGCAUUAGUUUUAGUACGAAUUUACGGUUUUGAUGCAUUGUGGACUUGCUUCUCUUCACUUCUAGGUUGGCUGGCUACGUUAUACCUAUCUCAGUUUAAAUGUUGUUCAAAUGUUGGUAUUUUGUCAUAAACCGUUUUAUAUAUAAAUGUAUAAUAUUUAUUAUAUAGCGGAAUUAUUACUUACAUCAUAGACGGCUAGGAAUGACAUUUUACUGACACAGAUAUUUUGCUCACCGACCCCAAUCUUCAUAUUUGAUAAACGAAAAGUUAUGCAUGGAGUAAAUAGGUGUCUUUUCACCAGUGCUUGGGAAUGACAUUUUCCCACUUAGCAUAUCCGAAAGGAUUUGGUUACACGUUUCUUAACCUAGGGGGUUGAACAGUGAAUGACGUAGACUAUUUUUUGUGUGUGGAAGGAGUACAAUGGAUGACUUGUAUAUUUCCAUAUUAUGUUUCAAAACAUCCCUUCAACCUAAAAAAUAAAAAAAUUAACAAAUUGAAGAACAGAGAAACCGAUGAGCACUACAAAUGGCCUAUUCGCACGGAAAAUAAAAUUGUUUUCAACAAGUUGGACUAAAUAUAAUUAACAAAUGGACAGCCUAAAAAGUAAUAUCAUAAUAAUUAUAAUAAUUGUGGAUAAAUAAUAAUAAAAUACUAAUGUAACAUAACCAUUAAACAGGGAAUGCAGUAGGAAGAUGAAAUCGCAAUAAGUUCGUAGAAAUUUUGGGAUCGUUUUUCUAAUUUUUGUGUAUUUAGUUAUGAAUUUUCCAAGAAAAAAGGUAAUAAAAUAAUAAUUUAGGGUAAAAUGGGAGGAUGUGGCCAUGUUCGGUAACGUACACUUGUGCAAGUAGUCAAAAGUGACGGGCUGAGAUCGCGCCAGGUGUCAUAUUCUUGUUAAUUUUGGAUUCUUUUGUUAAAAAAUCUUUGAAACUAGGUAAUAAAUAGUAGGAAAAUCGUAAAAAUGGCCCAAAAAUUACUCCGGCCUCCUUUUGACGUCCUAAAACUAGGAGAACCUAUAAAUCAUUCGUCUCGCAAUGAAAUAAUCCAAAUUGUGUUACAUAACUCACUUUCCUCUUAACCCUAAGUAUUGAUGUUUGUUAACUUCAACUUGAAUAACCUACUUCAACAAGCAUCUCCCGUUAAUAUUGGGAAUUAAUUUUACAAAUGCGUAACAAUGAAUCGGAGAAUUCAGCAACGGAGAUGGAGUGUCAAUGAGUUCGUAGCAAUUUUCGGAUAAUUUUUUUAUUUUGUGUGUAAUUAGUUCUGAUUUUUGUAAGGAAAAGUAAUAAAAUAAUAAUUUAGGGUAAAAUGGGAGGGUGUGGCCAUGUUGACUGACGUACACUUGUGCAAGUAGUCAUCAGUGACGGGCUGAGAUCGCGCCAGGUGUCCUUUUGCUAUUAUUUUGGCUUUUUUAGUGCAACAAUCUGUGGACAUAGGUAAUAAAUUCUACGAAAAUCCAAAAAAUGCCCGGAAAAUGAGAAAAUGAAAAUUAUUUGUACAUAACUCACUUUCCUCUUAACCCAAAUUCACGUUAACACGUAUAUUUCGGAUAAUAUUCGAAAUAUAAUUUCUAAUAAUACAAUAUUUAGUUUCACUAUAUACAAUAAUAUGUUUUUUUUAUAAUAAUGUACAUAAAUAAUAAUUGCACAUGCUUUGAAGCCAUCAUUGCAACUACGCCUAGAGCUUUGAAGACGUCAGUUCGUAUUCAAUAAGUUGUCCACAUGCAACUGCACCUAGAGUUUUCAACACGUCAGAGGUAUUCAAUAAGUUGUCCACAUGCAACUGCACCUAGAGUUAUUAACACGUCACAGGUAUUCAAUAAGUUGUCCAUAUGACGCCGCAUUGGGAAUCAGUAAUAUAUUUUCAAUCAUGUCAAAUCACAUAAAUAAUGCCAUACUUUUUCUCAAUAACCUCACACAAGUGAAGCAAUUUUAAAACCCUUAGUGAAUAUUUAUCCUAGUCUAUAUGAGUGAUUAUAUAAUCAGUUGCAUAAUAUUUUUUUCACAGUAUAUGUUAACUUUGAGAGGGAUUCCACAAACAUAAAAUAUAAAGAAAGCAAGAAAUAGUAGGAAAUGAACCAGUACAAAAAACAAUAUAUAAAGUGUACAUAAUAAUUCCAUAACCUUGUCACAAACGCACUCACAAAAGCUUUUCCAUAAACCUUGUCCUAACAUAUAAUAAAUAAAGGCAACAUUGCAUAUGAUGCAACCAUGUCCAAAUCUGAUAAGUGAUCAAAAACAAAUGGACAUGGCAGCAACAUAUGAUUGAAGUAGAUGGGCUCUUUGCAUCUUCUGUUUUCGUAAUUAAAGACAUCAAAAUAUUAAGGUUUAAAUCUUCCAUAGUAGUUAGCAUCAAAAUAGCUUUGAAGCAGAGUGUAACGAAAAUUCCAAUUCCACUUAUUUGCCUCUGCUCAAACACGAGAACCAAAAUGGUUACUUCCCUUGCUGAGUAUAUUUGGUGACGUCGGAAACGGUAAUAGAUGACCAAUCAAACCCGGGUACGACGAGUUUUGCAUAGGAUCGGAAGUAGUCGAAUCCAGCUUGCAUCACACGCUUCUUUGACUCCACUACAUUAGAUGAGUUCUUGUAUUUUUGAACAGCUACACUCUGAAGUCGUUUGUGUCUACGCUUCAUGCGCUGCAACUUCGCCCUAUCCAGAUUGGCCUGCCUUUUGUCAUCUUCAAUUUGGCCUUCCACAAAUUCCAAACGUGCCCUUGCCCUUUGGAUUUCAUCACCAAGUUGAAGAUGCCUCUCCUUCCAAAAAGCAACAACUCUUUCAGACUCAAAACUUCCAACAAAAUGGUCAUUCUGUCUAGCAAUGUGACAUUGCUUGUCUGGUGACUCACUUGCGUGUCGAAGCCGGUCUUUGUUUGGAGGGGUGUUUAUUAUACUCACAUCAAACUUGGUUGUGCUUAUGCUCAUUCUUUGGGGGGAAUGAGUUUGUUUGCUUGAGAGAGUAUCGGUAGAUGGAGACAGAUUCGGUGGAGGAGUGAGUUUUGUGUGGAAGGAGAUUUUAUAUGAAAGGGGUGAUAGUAAUACCAAGAAAAGGGUUCCCGCCAAAAAAUAUUUGGUUGACAAAGUAGAAAUUAUUUUUUUAGUCUGAUACAAUCUAAGUUUAAUCCUAACUAGUUUGGUUGAGUUAACUAAGUAGAUGUCACUUCCAUUGACUUUCUUUCAACAACUAUCAGUGGUGUAAGGAGAGUGUGAGGUUGACAUGCUUGAAAAGCAAAAGCUGACACCUAUUUUUAAAAAAUUCCCGCCAAAAAGUACAUAUGUUGACUACACACAAGCUUUGGUAUGUUGGUCUAUAAACCUAUGUUCCCUUUCUCAAACGAAAUUGCAUAUGCAAUCCUCAUCCUCCCAAAACAAAGAGGAUUAUUCAAGCAUGUCAACCUCUUCAGGCGCCAACAACACAAUCGAACAUGACAAAUUGGAGUCACAGGUUCUAUUUCCACAUUGUACUCGCCGACCCCUUCCUUUUUCAACAUCAUUUGGGAGUGAGGGGGACUCCGAUGAUCCAUUAGAGGCAAUACAUGCAGUCAGUGGCAAGCUGGAUUAUAAUUCCAGACUGAUCAAUUCAUGGCACGAGAAAUGUGUUGAAGACGAGGCAAUUUUGGCUGAUCUUAACAUUAGGGUGAGCAAAGCGUUAUCCCAAAAGAACAAGUACUUGAAGCUGAGUCAUAGCAGGAAGCUGAAAGCUGAGGAGUUGGAUACAGUAAUGAAUGAUGAAAUGAAAGGUUGUUUGAUGAACCAUAUGCGAUGCGAACAGCACCAUACUGAACUGGAGUUGGCAUUCAACGAAGGAUUCGACAAAUUCCGAGCAUUUGCGGCAACUACUCAUACAAGUUAUGAUUGGAACUAUGUGUCCCCUGAUGCUGUGAGAGAGAUACUAGACGAUGGGGGUGACAUGAAUGAGCAUAAGCACGUCAAAGCUGCUCGGAAGAAGCCGACCGAUACGACUAAGUGAUUGCGGCUACCGCUGUUCAGUUAGUUGAGGGUGACCGUGGUAUUGCACAUAUACUCCCUUAAUGUCAUUAUCUAACUUAAAAUAACACAAAUAUCAGUUUCAUUUGCUUGAUAUAUAAUUAUUGGGACUAUGUAUUGCAAGUCAUCAUGUGUUAUAAUGUCUAACAUUAUAUUUUGCAAAUAUGGAAAUAUUAUUCAAGAAGCAGUCAAUAUCACAGAAAGCCGGGAAUCAGUAAAUGCUCCUUAUCAUGUCCAUUUACAUUAAAGAGCUGGAGUACUAAUGUGUUCAAAAAAAACUGACACGUGAGUCAUAAGUAACAUAACAUGUGCUAUACAUUGUUUACUGAAUGGUUUAUGGUUUAUUUGUAUAUAAUAAAAUUUCAAAUAUUGCUGAAGAUUUAUUUCGUGUAUAUCACUAGGGAUAUGAGUGGCCAUAAGCAUGUGAGACCUGCUAAGAAGAAGCUGACGAGUACGACCCAGUGAUUGGCUACCGUUGUUCAGUUGGUUGGGGAGAUCGUGGUAUUGCUAUGAGGAAGCACACAAUAUGUUUUGCAAUCAAAUGUUCUUUUGUGUGUGGAAUUAUGAGUAUUUAUGUAAGUUAGUGUACCCUUUAAUAUUUUUCACCUAAGUAUCGAAAUGCAGUUUUUGAAUGUUAUGUUUUUUUUUACCCGCUGCUUUCUAUUUGCUCUGUUCCAACAAAGUGCUUCAAGUAUCCUUCACUUACAAAAGUGUACAAAAUCGUGCCCCUAAUAACCAGUCGGAAAAAGUGGCUACUGCUGGAAAUGAUUACUGGUAAUGGAAACAACAGCUGGCUGCUGUAAUUGCUGCAUUACCGUGAGGAUUUGAAAAAUGAAUCUCUGUUAAAACAAAUUUCACCCUAAACUGCCCAUUUUACAUGGUAAAAGUCAUUGCUUCUUCAAAUCUUUUGCAGCUACACGAUGCGUGGUCAGAAUCUUUGACAUAUACGACUUCUGCCACUCUUGUUUCCCAAUUUUUUCUUUCGCUCACGUUGAACACAACUUUACAAGCAUCCUCUGUUUUGAGCUCUAGGAAACAUGCUGUACUUUGUAUUAGUUCUUGCUCAAACUUUUGAAACAUUGUCCUUGUGUACAAGGUAGCCAUUUGUUUGUUCAUUGGCAUCGGUAGAAGACAUUGAGCCACUUCAAAUGCAUCUGCGUGAUCAGCAACUAACUCUUUUUCACGUUGAUGAGAAAGUGCCCUCUCAAAUCGUAUUAUGAAAUCCAUCAACGAAUUUCUCCUUGAUAUGUAUUGCUUGAAAAAACCAUGAGAACCUUCCGCUCUUUGGCUGCUUGACAUUCCAGCGGCAAAAAAUUGUCGUGCGUAGGCUGGAACCCAAGAUUCCCUUAAAUCAAACAUUGAACUUAGCCAUGGAUGGUCAGUCAAACCAGCCUUUGUAACCACAAUAUUCCAUUUUGCAUCAAACUCAUCCUUAUUGUCAGUAUCCCAUAUGGCUUUCUGAAAUUCAGGCCAAUACUCCUUAUAAGCGUCACGUGGUAACUUAACAGAGAACUUUGAUGUGAUGUGCUAUAUGCAAAGUCGAUGAAAUGUACUCGGGAAGGCUAUUGAAAUCGCUAUGGCCAUUGCCGCAUCUUGAUCUGUAAUGAUCGUUUUAGGUUCCCCACCUGGCAUGGCUUUCUUAAACUCCUCAAACAUCCAAACAAACGACUCAGUCGUUUCCUUGCUCAAAAAUGUGCAUGCUAACACAAUUGUCUGACCAUGGUUAUUAACUCCCAACAUUGGUGCAAAUGUCAAGUCGUAUCGAUUCGUGUUGAAUGUGGUAUCAAAUACAACAACAUCUCCAUAAAACCCAUACGCCCGUCUAGAAGUUGCAUCUGCCCAAAAACAUCGACUAAACCUAUCAUGCCCAUCUCCCUCAAUCUUGAAAUAAAAAGCCUCAUUUUUUUUCUGUUCAGCCAUAAAAUACUCGGUCACUAGUUCAACAUCGUGGUUCCUCAGCUUCCCAAUCACACUACAUUCAAGAUUGUAGAUAUCUUUUUUGAUAAAACCGAUUUUAUCCAUUCCUCCGGAUUGCACCUCGAAAAUACUUACCUUCUGAUGAAUGGGAAUAUUAACUGAACCCAACUGUUUUGUGAGUACUUUUGUAGAAUCUGAAAUAUGACGGUGUGAUCUCAAUAAAUGCAUUCUUUCUAAGGGUGUCAUCUUAUGAUUGUGUCCCUCUGCAAAAAGAGAAAUGUUAUACUUGUUGCUCCCAUUUGUCUUCACAACCACAAUCUUUGCUUUGCAAUUGCAUCUACUUAUUCCCCGUUGUCUUUUUCUCUCCCGAGUUUCAUCCUUCCUGUAUGCACCUUGUUUGCAACAUACAAAUUCUUUCCUCAAAAUCUCUUUCUUAUUUUUCCCCCAAAAGCUAGAAUGAAGUCGAAUACCAAAGCCAGCCAAGAAUGCAUAUCUAUUAUAGAAAUUGUAAACGAGGUCAAGCGAGUCAAACUUCAUCCCAACUGCUGGUGUUUCCUCAUUUCUUACUUCAGGAAUAUAAACCCUCCCAUUAGCUGUUGCACAUUCAUCACUCUCUGAGCCCCCAGACAUUUUAUCUACGUAUAUUAUUGAUCCACUUCUAUAUUACUGCAUAGCAAUUAUUCAUUCAUUAAUCAGUCAUUACUGCAUCACAACAUAUCAAUGCAUUCCACUUACACAAAACAUUGCCCAAAUUGACACAAAAUACGCAUAGCCUAACUUCCGAUUACACAAAACACAAGCAAAAUUUCAUAAAAGUUACGUCAUCUCUUGUGAAAUAAUCUGGUCAAAAUAACAUUAGAACCAACAUGUUCAACUAAGAACACAAAUGUAAUUCAAACCACCAAUUACAGAACUUCACCCAAUAUCCUCUCCAACUGCUUACUCCUAAUGUCAUUAAGCCUAAGUUUAGGUUCUUUUACCUACAUUUCAUAAUUUUUCACCCCGACCAACAACAAUGAACUAAGUAUAUUGAAUAUUCACAAGGAAAUGACACAUUAUUGAUGCCACAAAUGACGAAUUUCCCACCCUCACAAAAAAUAAACCUAACCCAAUAAAAUCAAUCCAGCAAGUGAACUUACCUCUCAAAAUCAAUCGAGAGCUCUGAAGUCAGUCAGCUUGAAAGAAUGUGGUGGACAUUAGAGAAGACUCUUUGGUAUUUGAGACUCCAUCUCUAUCAAAAUCGAGGAACAACUGCUGCUGCGGCUUCUAGCUACAAAAACAGAUAUGCUACUUUGCUUUCAUCUAGAAUCUUGUCAGCUGAAUGAAAAAGAGAAGGGGUUUUCACUUGAGCCAUAGAAUCAAAACAGGGCAACAGCUAGGUAAGAGCCAUUCUUCGUAAUACCCAGGAUACCAUAGAUCGCAGGCCUCCCAACGAGCUAAUGACAGUGGAGUGACUAUAAGGUUUGGGAGAUUUGGAUCCUUCUAAUUGUGGGUUUGCUUUACAUUCAAAAAGAAAGGAUUGUGUUCUUCAGUUUUUCACAGAGAGGGAAAGAGGGGAACAACUGAAGUUGGGUUUCUAACGGGUUAGAUUUCAACCCGAUUCUACAUGCACCCUCUUUUAAAAACUCACCGUUGGAUGAAAUCCAACGGCUCUUACAUACCCCUCAAAAACACCCCUUAUAACUUCCCACUCACUAUAGAAGCUCCCCCAACUAAAUCCCAAAAGGGAAACAGAUUUGAACAACAUACAAAUUUGAAGGACACACAAAUAUGAAUCUCAGCACCGGUGAGAAAUUAAUUUUAGUUGAGGUUGGUAGGUAGGCAUUGGAAGUUUUUAUUGUUUUUGCUCCAAGUCCCUCCUCCACUCACUAAUACAGAUUACUCGCAAAUGAACUAAAGUCUGCAGGGAUAUAUGGACUCCCCUGUCCAUACGAAUGUUGGAAGAAAUGUGUGUUAAAUUUUAGAGAGACGGGUCUGUGACCCACCACUAGCAACGUUGAUAUUGUCUCCAACUUAACUACAUGUUUAGUAGAUGUGGGGUUUUAUACAAAAAGUAUUGAUGUUAUUGGGAAUGGAACCACUUAUUAUAAGUUAAAAUUUAUUUAGUCAAGUUUCCUAUGUGGGACUUUCUAUUCUUCAACAAGCCCCUUCAUGUGGGACCACCACAUAGUGGGCCACACGUAGAGCCAAGUCCACAUCGGAGUCAAUCAUUCAAGCCCAAUACCUAAACACCACGUAUUGUGUGAGGGGUAGGGGUAAACAUUCAAGCCCAACAUAUGAACACUGUAACAUCCCAACUCCAAAUUUAAUCCCUUAUUUAAAUUAUUUAAGUGAAAUUACAAAUUUACCCUUGGGGUAGGGAUAUUUUGGUCAUUUUCUUACCCGAAAAGAGUUUGGGGCAGUGACUAGUAUUUUUUGGUAGAUCGUACUGAGAUGAGUCUGUAGACAUGUAGUGGGCUCGAUUCGGAGUUGAAACGAAGAAGUUACGAGCAAAACAUCACCAAUGGCAAAACCGUAAAUAUUUCAAAAUGAAUUUUUAAUAAAAAAAACCUGAAAAACCCUCUCUCUCUCUCUCUCUCUCUCUCUCUCUCUCUCUCUCUCCUGCGCACAGCCCCUUUCCCCCCUUCGUUUUUUCUUUCCGUGGCUUCCAAGAGCCACCAUCGCCACCACGAAUCACCACCGGCCAUGAGGCCGGACUCGUUCGAACUGCCGCCGCAUCCUCUUCCUGUUCCGGUCGCUCCCAGUCGCUGCCAUCCGCUGUGCUGGCCGGAAAUCGAAGAAAACCAGCCGAUUUUUGUCAAACUUUCGGCCGCUCGUUCUCCCACUUCCGGCCACCAUUUUGGCCAUCCAGGUAUAGAUUUUGAACCUCUCGAGCUGUUCUUGCUGCCUGUUGUGUUAGAUUUGGGAGAUUUCCGCGUUUUGAAGGUCGAUUAAACGAUGGAAGUUUGGCUGGUUUUUGGCCUCCGAUUCCGGCCACUUUCGGUCACUUUUUGGGGUAGGUCCAAGAACAAAAGUGGUUCCAAAUAGGGUGUUAUACCUAGGGUAGGAGUCUUGAGCCGUGGUUUUGAGAUUUCUCGGUGAUGCGUAAUCGCUUUGGACACCCAUACGCUACCGGCGCGUGUGGUGGCGCGUGGGCACUGUAGAAAUGGGGUAUUGUGUCCCGAUGCGAUCCCCUUGUUGUCACGAGUGUGUAGUGUGCUCGGAUUCCAAUUUGGUUGACAUUCGAACCCCGAACGAAUUUCUCCUAUUGCACGUUAUCCGCGUUUGAUAGGUUUGAACCGUUGGAUAGUCUUGAAUUUAAUAUAUUUAAUCUAAGCAUUUCUAGGAUCGUGUAGGAAUUCACGGAUCAUGAAUCGGAACCCCGGAUGUUCCGAUUUAAUAAUUUAAAGUUUAUGUUUAUAUUAACUGUCAGAUCGUGCAAUCGUGAGCGAUCCGACCUUCCGAUCCGGACCAAACGUGCAGGACGUAUAUCCUAAACCUUGUGGAACCUAUAGGAACUUUCGAAUCAGAAUUUAGAGGUCGUGGGCCUAGUGGCCCCGUUUGACCAAGUGUGGAUAGUUUGACCCUUGGUUGACCUUGAGUCUUCCAAGGUAGUUUUCCUUCCUAGAAGGAUUAUAAUGACCCUAAUGACAGGUCUUGAGCGUUGUUGAGCCAUGUUGACUAGGUUAAGAUUUUUAGAGUGUUUAUUAUUGUCGUAGGAAACUCUUGGACAUUAUUUUAAUAAUUGGAAUUAUAAAAGUGAGUUUUGGGUUCGGCUAUGACUUUAGUGAAUGGACUUUAUUUUUAAAUGAAUAGCAUGGCUUUGUGAUGGAAUUUUUAGGCAUGUGAAUUUAAUGGUUUAUUGAAAUUCAUUUUUAUAAUUAAUAGUUAAUUUAGCAGUUUUGGUAAAGUAUUAGUGAUGUGUGGGGUACUUGGGAUUUUGUUGAGGUUUAUACAAUAUUAGAGAUUAACUUAUAUAUUUAAAUAUAGGUAUGAAUGUAUGAAAAGAGUUUAGAAUGUCAGUUUGAAGUACUAUACGCACUACCCUAGGUACCUCAUCGGAUUUUGAUUACACUAUAAGUACCACCCUGUGAUUGUCAGGUCACCCAUGGCGUAGGAUUUUCCGGCGGAAUGACAGACCCCAUACGUGACGUUGGAAUUUCCGGCGUAUGGGGAGAUGAUAUUAUGAUUGUUAAGUCACACGUGGCAUAGGUUAUCCGGAGUGCUGACAGACCCCAUAUGUGGCGUUGGAAUUUCCGGCAUAUGAGGAGAUUAUGUGAUUGUUAAGUCCCACGUGGCGUAGGUUAUCCGGCGGGAUGAUAGACCCCAUACGUGGGGUUGGAAUUUUCGGUGUAUGGGGAGAUGAUAUAAUGGUUAGGUCACAUGUGGCGUAGGAUUUUCCGGCUUGAUGACAGACCCCAUACGUGGCAUUGGAAUUUCUGGCAUAUGGGAGAUUAUGUGGUUAUUAGAGAGAUGAAUUAAGAUUAUUAUACUGAGUUGGGAACGAAUGAUGUUUGAAAAAGAUUUUGUUUGGGAUUUCUGCAAUUGAUUGCAUGUUGAUGGACUUGGAAAUUUUGUAUGAAAGAACUACGUGUGGCUUGAUCCCUUAGUAAGGGUACAUAUGCAGCUUAGGGUAGUGCCUAGGUGCAGCCGUGUGCUAAACUUUACUCAUGUUGUGUGAUGGAGAUUCGUUCGGACCUUGUUGUUAGUCCUGAAUUUUAGGUGAAAAUGAGAUGCAGUCUUGUUAGGAGGUUUAAAUUUUCUACGUUUAAUAUUUGGGAAUUUAGAUGAUGGAAAUCGCAUUUGGCGUUCAUAAAUGUGUUUGAGUUUAUAUUUGCAUUGUUUAGAGUUAGUUGGUGGUUUCGUUUCGAAUUAUUUGAAGGCCGAAGGCUGAUUAUGUGAUUUAUAUGAAAUUAUCUUGUGCAUACUGCCAGUUGUGAAUAUCAAAUGUGUUUUAUGCACGUUGAAAUUUUUAGGAUUGUUCAACUUACAGGGGAGACUGCCGAAAUUUCGGCAUAAAAUCUCGUGCCCUUAUUCCUUAUUGGGAAAAAUGAUUUAGUUUUAGAAGUGGGUUCGACAUCGGGGUGAUGUCGGGAAUUUUCACAGGAUUCAUCUCGGGUUUCGGGAAAUUCGGGUCGGGUCCUGUCAAACACCACGUAUUAGGUAAGGGUAAAGGCUCAAUUCAGGCCCAGUCAAUCAACCCAUUAUGAUAUCAUGUUAAAUUUCAGAUAGACGGGCCUGUGGCCCACCACUAGUAACAUUGAUAUUGUCCCCAACUUAACUACAUGUUUAGUAGGUGUGGAGUUCUAUACAAAAGAUCUCGAUGUUUUUAGGAGUGAAACCACUUAUUAUAAGUUGUAAUUUAUUUAGUCAAGUUUCCAGUCAACCUGACUUUGAUACCAUGUUAAGAUUUUAAAGGGACGAACUCUUGGCCCACCAUUAGCAAUAUCGACAUUGUCCCCAACUUAACCACCUGUUUAACAAGUGUGGGGUUUUAUCCUAAAGAACUCGAUCUUAUUAAGAGUGGAGCCAUUUAUUAUAUGAAACUUUCUAUUUUGUUAACUCUGUGUAUUCUUCAUCAAUGUGAACACCCCUAAACCAAUCAUACCUGAUACGGAUUGAAACACAAGUUUGUUUUUUGCCUUUGGUAGAUGAGUAGCUAGAAAAGCUCAAUGCACUUGCUCUUCUUCUGCUACAUUUCAAUAUAAGAACAAGGUUUGGAAGCCAGGUCAACUCCUCAUAGUUUCCUUGCCUUUGCUUUGACAUGUCUAUGCACUUCUUGGGGAAGUUUGAAUAAUCAAUUGCAGGCCCCACGACAACUAAGGAACCAACAUUUUGUAGAAGGUUUUGUCUACACCUUUUGACUAUAAGUAAAAUCUUUUGUAUCUGCUCUUAUGUUUCGGUGAAGUUUCUAUGUGUCCUUUGUUGAACGAAAAAAUGAGGUUGUUUCUUACUAGAUUCAAAUACUUAAAAGAAAAAAAGAAAUUAUUGUUUCUUAAUUGAUUUUAUGGUGAACAAUAUCAAACUCUCCUCUUAUACGUCUUCUUCGUUGGACUUGGGGUUGUUUUCCUUAUAUGUCCCUUAUAUAUAUAGGGCCUUUGGUUGAGCCCACAAAUACCUUCAGUUAGUUUUUGGGUUUAGGGGCCUACAGAACCUGCACUAAACAAUAAAAGAAAAUACCUAAUUAGUUUAGUACGAAUUCUAUAAUGAAGGCUUUAUUAGGUAAGAUUUUAUUUCUUAAUCGUUAGAUCAAAUUUGACAGGACCCGUUCCUGAAUUUCUCGGAAAUCAGAGCGAACCCCGUCCUUGUUUCGACAUCACCCCGAUGCAGGGUCCACUUACUAAAAACCGAGACUUUCUACCAAAAUUUUGAUAGAAUCUCCCUUGUAAAUUGAGCAAACCCAACAAAAAUUUCAGCCUGCAACAUACAUAAAAAUAAUCCCAACCAGCAGCAUGCUUACAACAUACAACAAAACGUACUAAAUGGCCUCCGGCCUCACAAGUAAAAUUUAACAUGGGUAAUCUACUGAUGUAAACGAUUCGGCCUUCGAACACUGCUUGCAACCUUCCUGAAGCGACUACUGGCUAAGGGGCGCAAAACAGAAAACAUGUGAGUGGACAAAAACAAGAUUCAAUUAAAACAACAUAGUAACCCCACCGUGUAAAAAUAAUGCUCAAGACAUGUAGGUUUACAAUUCAUAAUUAAAUAUUCAAAAACAAAUUUCAUUUAAAAUUCUUUAAAACCACAAAUCACUCCAUCCAUAAAACCUCAUGCCCACAAUUUUACUGCUCCUACCAACCCACUGUAUAGACUCUAAUUUCUUCACAAUCACAACUAUAUAUAAAUAUAUAAAUUGUAUCAUACAACAUACUCCUCACACUACUUAGGUACAGGGGAAACAAUCCAACCGGAGGAUCGUUUAACUAGCCCGCAGGAUUUUCAGGUGCUAUCCUGAGUCUAGGAAUGAGUGGUCCAACCAGGGGACGAAACUCUAUAGCUCACACACCGGAACAUCCAACGCCACGUGUAGCUCCAAUACUAAGUCCUACAGGCACAGACUGGAUCACCACACACCGGAACAUCCAAUGCCAUAUGUGAUAAUCCCAAGCAAUAUACAGAGUCUUCCCAUACGUCGGAACAUCCAACGCCGCGUAUGGAAAGUGUUCACACGCCGGAACAUCCAACGCCACGUGUGGGAAGCCUAUUAACUGGGGAAAGUACUUACAUAGUGUAAUCAUACAAUUUCUCUCAACAACUCCUCAUACUCAAGUUCUUCCACAAACUCACCUCAACAAUCCCAAGUACCCCACCUAUAGACAAUAUAUAUAUAACUUCCCCAAAAUCUAUACAAAACAUACUCUCGAUAUCCAAAUAUGCCAAACUCACAAUAUAUUGCCAAAGUGCAAUACAAACAUCAAAAUCAACACAUGAAUAUAAUAUAUAUUCAAUAUACCAUUUAAAACAUUAUGCGUAAAUCUUUCAUCAAUAAAACCAUGCGUAUGAUUGAAAACAAAGUCCACUCACAAGUAUUCCUACGCUGCUUGACCACGAGAGAGUCCUGCCUGCUGAGUACGUGCAGUAGGAGCACCUAUUUUGAGAUACAAACCUUUAAUUAAUAUAAAAUUACUUCAAAACGGAAAACACAAAUUAAAUACUUAAAUCCCCAAGUUCCCAGUACAUGUACGUUGAACGAGGUAUCCUAAGGUCUAGUUACAAGUUUGGGAAUCGCUCACGAUUGGACGGUUAUCGCUAACCCACAAAUUUUGAAUUAUUGAAUCGGAACAUUCGGGGCUCCGAUUCACGAUCCGUGAAGUCCUACGUGAUCCUAGGAAUACCUAAAACAACAUAUUUUAAUUGGAAAACGCACAAUAUGCGAAAAUCCGUUCGAUAGUCAAACGAUGUCCGAAUUGAGAUUCGCAAAAUGCUACGCACUCGUGACAACCUGAGGAUCUCAUCAGGACAAAGUGCAACUUCACCACCCUCACCCACGCGCCGGCAGCGCGUGGGUGUGUAGAGUAAAUUCCGGCGAUGGAAAAACUCCACACCUACUUGAGGUCAGGAUCUCAUCACUCAACUACAGGGAGGUUCAAUUAGGACGGCAACUGGCCGGAAUUUCACUUUGAAAUCCAGCCAAAACUUAGGUUUUCUAAUCGGUUCCUAGACAACAAAUCGAUCUAAACCUAUGCAACAGUCAGCUAGACUAAGGAAAAAGAGGAAGAAACCUCACAUUUUUCACUGGAAUCGGAAGGGAGAGGCGACGGGGCGACGUCGGGAAGACUCGGGUUUGAACCAGUCGAUGCCGUUGACGAUUCUCGCAUUUUUCGGGGGGACUUUGGGUGGUUCGGGUUAGUGGCUUCACGACGAGUCGAACGGGACCGGUCUCGGGGGCUGGGGUGGUCGGGUGUGGUGGCGGUGUGGUGGUUUUCGUCUCGGUGAACAGUAACAGGGGAGGGUUUCGCACGCGCAGAGAGGGACUCGGGAGAGAGAGAGAGAGAGAGAGAGAGAGAGAGAGAGAGAGGAGAGAAAAGAAAAAUUAGAUUUUUACUCUCCUCUUUUCAAAAUAUUUACAAGUUUGCCACUAAUGAUGUUUUGAUCGCCAUUUUCUUGUUACAACUCCGAUUCAAGCCUACCGCAUGUCUAGGAAUUCAUCUCAGUACCACCUACCCAAAAUUACCAGUCAUGGUCCCAAACUCUUCCCGUAACAGAAAAUGACUAAAAUACCCCUACCCCAAGGGUAAAUUCAUAAUUUCACUUAAAUAAAUUAAAAAUAGGAAUCAAAUUUGGAGUCGGGGUGUUACAAAAUUGGUUAGUACGAUCCAACGGUUAAUAGAUAAAACUUUACAUAAAAGUCAUAUAUAAGGCCCUCACUAUAGAAUGACUCGUUAGUUUAGUCUCUUGUUACAUAUCAACUGUUAGAGAUAUUUUUUUAAUAAGGAUCUACCAUACCACAUAGUUGGAUAAGACAUUAUACACAACUUUUGUAAGAGCAUCUCCAGCGAGCCAGGCCAGCCCAAGCAGCAAGGGGCCUUAAGCCCGGUAAGCAGCUCCAGCGCUCAAGAUUCAGCCCAGGCAAGGUGUGGAACCCACAAGGAGAUCUGGCCCGUCACCUUGCCUUUGGGUUUCAGUCAGGCUGAUGUCAACGAAAGAAUUUCAAAAAAAUUUUGCCGUUGCAAUGCACGCGCCAACGAUAAAUUUUCUUUGGAUUUCUUGCGUUGAUCCACAGCUACCAAAAACCAACGGCUACAAGCCACGUGGCUUCUCCAAGAGCCUCUGAUCCAAAAAUCUUGUCAAAUCUAACGGCUGUCCAUUUUUUGGCUAAAAAAAUAUCAAAAAAUUAUGGAAACAUUUUCUAUAAAUACCUACAAAUAUUAUUCACUUCCCACACCAAACCUUCAUACAAAUUCAUAUCCUUUCAAUAUUUUUCACUUUCCACACAAGAUUUUCUACUACUAAAUUUCAUUUGUGUAAAAAUACAAGUGGCCUCUUCUAUCAAAGCCGGAGGCGCGUGGACAACCGUGGAAGAUAUUUUGUUGUGUGAGUGUUGGGUCAAAGUUGGUCAUUGCCCGAUCACCGGCAAUGAGAUGAAGUCCUCUCGUAGGAGUUUCUGACAUCGCAGCGAAAGUAAGAUGUGAUAUGAGAAUGUAAGGAAUUUGAUGAGAGGAAUGGGAUUUGAGGAGUUUGAUGUAGGAAUUGAUGUUGAAUUGGAUUUGGGAGGUAUGUAUAUAUGAUUUGAGAGUAUGUGUUUAGGGAUUUUGAUAGGAGGAUUUGAGGAAUUUAGAUUUGAGGGAUUUGGAUUUGGGGAAUUUAAAUAUGAGGAAUUGAUUUAGGGUUUGGGUUUGAAUAUGAGAAAUUUGAUAUGAGAGUUUAGAGACAACUGAUGAUUGAUUGCUCUAAUACCAUGCUAAAAUAUAAAUAUGGUUUGAAUACUUUAGGUUGAGUUUUAUUCUUUUCCAUAAGGAGGUAUAUAUAGCAGUUUACAUGAGUGUUUUACAAGGAAAUAGAUACAGUAAUCAAUUAGGAUAAUAUCUCCUAAUUAUACAAUAAUUUGUCAACUAUAUAGAAUAGGAAAGUAAAUUCCUUAAUUAAUCAAGAAAAUAAAUCUCAUUGAUUAAUUAAGAGACUAACGUCAACAUUUAUAAGCCAUGGAAGAGCAGAAAAAGAGGUACUUAGGAGAUUUUAUACGUCGGACUAAGGUAAGCUUAAAGGACUAUAUCAAAAAAAUAAGGGACCAAGAAGCAAGACUGAGAAGUUGUUAUGCAAACCCAUUAAGUUUAGCAGUGAUGAAUUUGUAAAAAUCAUUCUAGUGGAUGCUGCCUUCACUAUUGAGUUCUUAUUGAGGUUCUAUCUGAAAGGAUGUAGACAUGAAGGAGACCGCUUAUUAAACAAAUCAGCUCCCAUUCUUUAUUCUUGAGGAUCUUUAUCACACAUACAUAAUAACCGACUCUUUUAGGAAUUAUUACAGUACUCAUGAUCAUGAGAGGCUUUCAAUAAUUAAUAUUUCUAAGAAUUUCGUCACAGCUGGAAUAUUGAAUUUGGAGGGGAAGGGAGACAAAUGGAACAGAAUAUCAUCUUCUUCUAGUGUUGGAAAUUUUAUAUUAUUUAAUAAUAUUUAAUUUCUAUUGUGAAUGAAAAAUAAGUUUCUUUAAGAAACGUGUGUCUUAGGCCAGUUUUUCUAACUGGUCGGCUUCCUUAGAUUUGUGCCUAUUGCUUUUCAAAGUAUAAUGAUGCAAUGGUUGUAUCUCGUUCAGGCAAAUGGAAGGUAUAUAGCAAUUUAUAGAACAAUACAGUAAUCCAGAAGAAAUAUUAUGAAAUGAAAAGAAUAAAAAGUAAAAAAAGAGAAGGAAAGGAAUUCCCACCUGCAAUGUAUAUGUAUGAAAGGAAGGACCAAGUUUGUUUUAAAAUGGUAAGAACAAGUUGAUUUAUAAUUGGGUUCAGAUCAACUCAUGGAUUUCUUGCCUUUUCUAUUCUCCUUCCUUGGACAUGAACUGUUUAAUCUUGGCUCUUCCCCAUCAUGUUGGGCCUAUCUUCUUCUUGAGGAUUGUAUAGGCCCAGGAAAUGCUUCAAGAUAGUUUUUGUGUUUUGGGCAUUGGGACCUAACUUCACAAAAAGAAAACAGAUUUGGCCAAAAAACAAAUUUGAAGGACAUUGAAAUUGUACCUGUAGGAUAGGUUAAAACACUGUAAGGGAGGUAAAUAGUACGUUUACAUAGUUUAAGUGUAAUAAAGGAAUAAAAACAUGCCCAGAGGAUUGAUAAGUGAUAUCAAUUCUUGAAUAUAGAGAACGUAAAAUAAAGGAACACGUAUAAAAUUAUUUUAUGUGGUAAAACCCCAUCUCUAGGGAAAAUCCACGGGACUUCUUAGUCCAAAACAAAUCUAUUAUAGAACGAUGAUUACAAGAAGUACUCACACACUUAUCCUAGACACAUUCUAGAUAAUGUUUACUGACCUCUUCGUAACUCAACUUCUGUCACAGGAUGAUCUUUCGACACUUCUUAUGUUGAACGCAAUACUAGUCACGAUUUCUUUCAAGCUCAUUGGAGAAAAACCGCCACAACAGUCUCGGUGCCCUCAAUCUUAUGAGUCACUGAACAUGCAAAUGAAUACAAUAUGAAUGAUAAAAGUGUUUGAUAAAUCACCAAGUUAUGGAACACUUGAUGAUUUAUUUCAAGUAAAAAUUCAGCUUUCCAAAGUUUAUGAAUUGAAAAUAUGAUCGUUAAAGCUCUCUAAACAAAAAAAACGAAGGUCUUAUUUUAUAGACUUUUUCUUUACAAGAAAGAAAACACGUUGAAAACCAAAUCUCCAAUUUCAAGGCUUGACAGAAAAUCACAAAAGUAUCUUUCCUAUUCUAGAGAUUGGUCACAUGAAGUCCAACCAAUAGGAAAUGAGAUAUUUAAGAAAGGAAGAUUUUGAUCAAUAUCAAUAUCAAAUGAAUUCUUAUAUGCCUAGUCAACUAUUAAGGGUAUCUUAACUACUUGAUAUUAUGAUAUGAUUGAAACAUGAUUUCCACGUUAGAAAAUUAAGGGGAUUUUAAAACAUGAAAGUAAUAGGAGAAUCAAAUUGAUUUGGACCAAAAUUGCCUAAAAAGAAAACACUCCUAAAUAAACUUCAAUUCACUUUUAAAAACAGUAAAACUUGAUUGAAUCGUUCUUUAAAACAAUUCCCUAAUAUACAUGCAUGAUAGUGACAUCACUUACCUCUGAAUCAGAUGCCUUUUACGAGUCAAGCCACAAGUUUGUGUUUUGGGGAUUGCUGAGCUGCAUCAAUCCUGCCAAUGUCAAUUCUGCCCCUAGGCUCUCUCAAAGCACGUUUACAAUCUAUGCUAAUAUAUACUAGAGUUUAUGCUAGUAUCUAGAAAAUGCCAACACUAAUUUCGUAACACGUAGAAAUUGUUAGAGAUUGGAAGUUUUUUUCAUUUUUUUCUUCCAGACUCUCCACCACUCACUAAUACAGUUUACUCAUGUGAUGAAUUUACAAAACCUAUUUCUCUACUCUCACAAAGACUAUACUUAGGGGGGGUGUAUUCAAUUAGGAGUCUAGAGCGUUUAAAAAGAUUUUGUUUAAGUGCCAGCUUUCAUAGAACUUGAUGGAACUUUAUAAUUCGUAUAGAACUUGAUAGACUUUCAGAAGACUUCUGUAUAAUUUGUUAAUAAAACUUUCUUAAGCUUUCAUAGAACUUGAUAGGCUUUUAUUCCAGAAUUAUGUAGACAGUAUAUUUCAUUUUAUCCCCAUCCUUGUCAUUUAAAGAAAGAAACUUGAAUGUUUUCAAUCAAAUUUGUUUUUGUUACCAAAGCAAAAACAAAAAGUACUUGUUUGCGAAGGAAGAACAUAUGCACAGUUCAAAAUGAAAAGAAUAAGAAGCAAAGUACCUAUUGGACCAAUGAAUGCUGUGUCAACUAGAGAAGCAAUUGGAUCGGCUGUCAAAGCCAAUGCUACAGGCAAUGCAUCGAUGGUCCAAAUUGCAAUAAAAAAUAUUUUGUAUAAUGGUUCUUGCAGACAAAGACCACAUAAAUUCUGGACUGGUCCAGCUUGAAUAAUAAGGUUAGAUUAGCCGAUGGAUGAGAGUAAAAGCAAAGAAAGUUGAUGAAUUCAUCACCAAUUAUUUAAUAACUGUAACAUCCCACAUUGACCAACGGAGAGGGGGUGAUGUGCCUUAUAUGUACAUGCCCACUUCCAUCUAGCAUGAGUCCUUUUGAGAGCUCACUGGCUUCGGAGUCAUGGGAACUCUGAAGUUAAGCGAGUUGGGGCUAAAGCAAUCCCAGGAUGGGUGACCCACUGGGAAGUUGCUCAUGAGCUUUAGAAACAAAAAUCAUGAGGGCAUAAAGGGAGGCCCAAAUUGGAUAAUAUCGUGCUACGGCGGAGCCGAUCCCAGGAUGUGACAAUAACCAAUAGAGUAUUUAAACAUAAACAACAAUGUUUGAUAAACAAAACAAAUAGUCCAAAUAUUAUCCAAAAAACAAUUCUAAAACCAAUCAUUCCAAACAAACUAGUCAUUCCCAAAAACUCUCAAAAAACCCACUCAUUCCAAAUUAUAGGAUAUCCAAUUUGAGCGCUCCUCAGGAGACAUUUUCAAAAAUGCAUCCUUUUUUGUGUUACUAUGCAACAAAGAGAGCGCUUUAUAAUGAGCACGUUCAUCCAAAUUUGAGGUCUCCUUAAUGGCAUCCCACAUAUAACUCUGCUGCUCUCGCUCUUUUCCCCUUUUUGCCAAUAGGUUAUGGACCUCCCGGAAGUCGGUGACAAUUGAAUCAAUGCUAAGGCUAAUUCUUCCCAUAGCUUGUUGGGUGGUCACAUUUGAGAUGGCAUUCCCUUCCAAAUCUAUUCUAGUUCGUUUCCUCUAGUAACAAGCAUAAAUCCUAGUAACAAGCAUAAACCCUAAUCCCAACCUAUAACCUAAUAACAAGAAAAACACGAUGAAAAAAAAAUCAUGGAAAAAGAAAACCCAACGAGGUAUUGAUCAAAAAAAAAAAUAGGGAGCAUACCUUCACAGAUGGAGGAAGGAAGCUGUUUGUCUUCACAGAGAGAAAAGCUAGGGAAAGAGAAAAACGUCUGAUGAAAUACUUUGGGGGGAGGUUGGAUUUCUUUUGGUCUUUGAUAUUUAUAACUCUCCCCUUAAAACCUACAAAAAUUUAUCACUUAAUGAAAUCCUUCCAAAUAUAUGACCUUUCGAAUACACCUAGAUUUGAUUCAACUUUUUUAUAAUCCUAAUUGAAUACACCCAUAUUUGAGUGGACUUUUUAAAAGUUCAUAUAAGUCCGAAUUGAAUACACCCAGACUUGUAAAACCUCUUUUAAAGUUUGUAUAAAUCCAAAUUGAAUACACCCGGAUUUUUAAAAUAUUUUUUAAACGCUUUAUAAUCCUAAUUGGUACAUCCCCCUUAUUCUCAAAAGACUAUAUCACUUUACCUCUAUCUCUGUGAAAUGUAAAAAGUUGAAACUUUAAUGUCAAACCUCGACAAAAGAUGAACUUCCAUCAGUUGCGUUGAAUUUGGAUUUGUUGAACUAAAGUGGUUUUACUUUCUCUGUCAGUGUUUGAUGACUUAAUUUGGUAUUUACUUCUUUUUUUCCUUGGAAAUGUGUUCCACCAACGUGAGGAAGAAAAAUGUGCACAAAUUAAUAUAUUUAAUAAAAGCCCAAGAUUUCGGAAGCACAUAAUUUCUACAAAAAUCUAGAAAGUGUUCUACUUUACAAACUUCUUAUGUCUAUCAAUUUCUACUAAAAUUAAUUUCUCUGUGGUGCUCAGAUUCAUCAUAUGUGUGUCCUUAAUUUUAUUGGAAAUUAGAAGUUUCCAUAAUUUUUAUUUUUUGGGAAUUUUCUGAACCAAGAAAAAUCAAGUAAAAUUAAUAAAGCUUAAAUUGGAAAGGGAAAAUAUCUAGAGGACGCAUUGUAGGAUUUCUCAUGCCGAUAAUUGUACCCUCUAAAUAUAUAGGGACAUAUUUUUUUUGUUUUCAUGACAUGUGGUCCUAAAAUUAUUGUUCCUAGCGGGCUCUCCACCCCCUCUCAAAUUUACGUGGUCCAUUAUGAUUAACCAUAUAUUUUAUUGACCAUCCAGCUGUGAGGUUUUAUCCCAAAAACCUUAGGUACAUUUCUCAAUUAUGUCUGAUACAUCACAUCAUGCCACAAUUGUAUAUUCACAAUUAUGUCUGAUACAUCACAUCAUGCCACUUGCCUCAAAUGAAUUUAAGUGAGUGUGGCAGUGGGAAGUAAUUACUUCUAGGUGCCCCUCAUCAUUCGUCUAUAAAAUGGUGAAGCCAGUGGCUAUAAGAGCCAGCUCCAACUUUCUUUUAUUCGUCUAUAAAAUGGUGAAGCCAGUUGCCAAGUUAAUUUCAGUCCUAAUGGGGUUUCAUCUCCCACUCAUCUUUGCUAUUCUCAGUGUAAGCUCUGCAAUUUGAUUAACUUUUCCAUUCUCUCUCAUUGUACUCUAUAUAAACGAAAGUUUUGUGUUCCUAUAAUUCUCUUUGAUUUUAUUUAGUACGUACUUAAGUGUCGUCCACUAAUUAAUUACAGUUUGUGAGAUUUGAUUUUAAUUAGAGUUCGAAUUAAUGUUGCAGCUAGCAGUGGUUGCACUGGCAAACCAUGCUGCUCAACCAGCACCUCAACUUUACUGGAACUCCGUCCUGCCAAACACACAAAUGCCAAGAUCUAUCAGUGAACUUCUGCAUCCUGGUUUGUGUUGAGCUCUUUAGAAUCUUAGAUAUCUCUUCUACCUGCCAUUUUACUAAAAUAUGUUCGACCACAUAUUUAUCAGUUAACUACUGUCAUUACAUGAGUGACACUUAUUCACAAAUCGGCUGAUCACUUAUUUUCCAUUUUACAUGAGUGAUAUAUAAUUUGCAGACUCCACAAAUGAAGAAAAUAUCGUGAAUGCUGUUGGGAAUGGAAAGCGCAAACCUGAAAUUUUCCCAUUGAGAAAUAUAAAUUACGUUCAAAGCCAUUAUGGAGUGUUAAAUAGAAAUUACGUUCAAAGCCAUUAUAAAAAACGUCCUCCUCCACCUGAAAAUAUCCCAUUUGCAAAUCGAAAAAAGUACGCACUAGGUUCUCCUCCAUCUGACAAUCAACUACUCCAUUAUAAAGAGUUAGCUAUUUUCUUCUUCGAGAAGGACAUGCGCCCUGGCGCAACAAUGAAGUUCCAAUUCCCUAGAAAUUCAAACACGGCUACUUUCCUGCCACGCGAAAGUGCUCAAUCGAUCCCCUUCUCCUCUAACAAACUACCAGAAAUUUUCAACCAUUUUUCAGUGAAGCCAACAUCUGUGGAAGCCAAAACAAUUAAGCAAACAAUCGAAGAGUGUGAAGCUCCAGGCACUAAGGGAGAGGAAAAAUAUUGCGCCACAUCUUUAGAAUCAAUGGUUGAUUUUAGCACUUCGAAGCUUGGAACAAGAAACGUUGAAGCAGUCUCGACGGAGGUAUUGGAAAAAGGAGCCACCAUGUCCAUGCACAACUAUACAACAAUGCCGGGACUGAAGAAGUUGGCAGGUGACAAAGUCGUUGUGUGUCAUAAGGAGAACUAUCCCUAUGCUGUGUUUUUCUGCCAUGCAAUAAAACAAACAGCAGCUUAUGUUCUCUCCCUGAAAGGCGAUGAUGGGGAGAAGGUUAAAGCAGUAACCAUCUGCCAUCUAGACACAUCAGAAUGGAACCCAGAGCAUUUGUCCUUCCAAAUCCUCAACGUUAAGCCCGGAACCGUUCCCAUCUGCCAUUUCAUUUCCACUGAUGCUAUUGCCUGGGUUCCAAAACACAAAUUUGCAUGAUCAUCACUUAGCACUGUGGUGUAAGAUAUAUGAUGAGAUAAAGUUUUUGGUAUUAGUGGUCGGGUUGCCUGAAAAACACAGAUUACAGAAACUGCUUGAAAUUAACCCGAUCAUGUUUUCUCUUGUAAGACUUCAACUUGUACUCCUAAAGCAAGUUAUAUUUAUGAAGAGAUAUUAAUCUAUAUAUAUUUUAUGUAUAUAUAUAUAUAUAUAUAUAUGCUUUGGCUUUGUGGUUCUACCCAGUGUUUG
Molecule: long non-coding RNA, 217230 nt
Filed under: Prunus persica (peach)
Lineage: Eukaryota; Viridiplantae; Streptophyta; Magnoliopsida; Rosales; Rosaceae
Description: long non-coding RNA (PPER_LNC001496)
Rfam family: Plant small nucleolar RNA R71 (bases 172044-172150)
Source: RNAcentral